This 259911-nucleotide long non-coding RNA is filed under the name Vitis vinifera (wine grape). Its description in RNAcentral is "long non-coding RNA (VVIN_LNC005530)". The stretch from base 26677 to 26749 matches the Rfam family "tRNA". The record is from RNAcentral. Lineage: Eukaryota; Viridiplantae; Streptophyta; Magnoliopsida; Vitales; Vitaceae.
AGCCUUGUUCAUCUUGACCUCUCUUAUAAUCUUCUACGCGGUUCUCUUCUGGGUGCUUUUGGGAACAUGGUCUCUCUUGCAUAUCUCGAUCUCUCCAAGAAUCGACUGGGAGGUAGGAUUCCAACACAUUUCAGUGGCAGCCUCGUUCAUCUUGAGCUCUCUAAUAAUUUUAUACGAGGUUCAAUUCCGGGCACUUUUGGGAACAUGACCUCUCUGGCAUCUCUUGGUCUCUCUAGGAAUCGUCUUAAAGGUAAGAUUCCAAAAUCUUUGAGUAGUAGCCUUGUUUAUCUUGACCUUUCUGGUAAUCAGAUACAAGGUUCAAUUCCGGACACUUUUGGGAACAUGACCUCUCUUAGAACUCUUUGCCUCUGUUCGAAUCAACUUGAAGGUGAGAUUCCAAAAUCCUUCAACAAUUUAUGUAAGUUACAAACACUCGAGUUGUGUCGAAACAAUCUUGAUGGAGUGCUUGCAAAAAACUUGUUGCCUUGUGCAAAUGACACAUUGGAGAUUUUGGAUUUAUCUCGUAACCGAUUUAUUGGAUCAUUCCCUGAUUUUAUUGGAUUUUCAUCGUUGACAAGGUUGGAACUUGGAUACAAUCAAUUAAAUGGGAAUUUACCUGAAAGUAUAGCACAGCUAUCUCAGCUUCAAGUUUUGAAUAUGCCUUGGAAUUCAUUGCAAGGCACUGUUUCUGAAGCCCACCUCUUUAAUCUCUCCAAAUUGCAACAUUUUGACUUAGCUUUCAACUCCCUGUUGACUUUGAAUUUCAGCUCAGACUGGGUUCCCCAAUUUCAACUCACUGAAAUACUAUUAGCCUCUUGCAAACUGGGACCACGUUUCCCAGGUUGGCUUCGAUCUCAGAAAGGUGUUGGUUGGCUUGAUAUCUCAGGUUCUGGAAUUUCGGAUGUCAUACCCAAUUGGUUUUGGAAUUUCAGCUCCCACUUGUAUCGAUUAAAUAUUUCCAACAAUGAGAUCACUGGAAUUGUGCCGAAUUUGUCAUUAAGAUUUGCUCAUUUUGCUCAAAUGGAUUUGAGUUCGAACCGUUUUGAGGGCUCAAUACCACUGUUUCUUUUUCGAGCUGGAUGGUUGGACUUGUCCAAAACAUGUUUUCAGGGUCAAUUUCUUUAUUGUGUGCAGUUGGUUGUGGAGCUGUGGCCUAUCUCGACCUCUCAAAUAACCUAUUGUCAGGAGAGCUACCCGACUGUUGGGCACGAUGGAAAGGAAUAGUAGUUCUUAAUUUAGAAGGUAACAAUUUUUCUGGGAAAAUUCCAAAUUCAAUCGGCUCCUUACAAGCAAUUCAAACAUUGCAUUUGCGCAAUAACAAUUUAAUAGGAGAAUUGCCUUUGUCUUUGAAGAAUUGCACAAAUUUAAGGGUUAUUGAUUUGGGAAAAAACAGCCUGUCAGGAGAAAUACCCUCUUGGAUAGGAAGAAGUCUAUCAAAUUUGAUUAUUCUUAAUUUAAGAUCCAAUAGAUUUACUGGAAGUAUAUCUUUGGAUUUGUGUCAACUCAAAAGAAUUCAAAUAUUAGACCUUUCUAUCAAUAAUAUCUCAGGAAUGAUACCAAGAUGCUUCAACAAUUUCACUGCUAUGGAUCAGAAGGAGAAUUUAGUCAUUGGAUACAACUAUACAAUCCCUUAUUUCAAAGAGUUGUCACGUCGAAGCUCUUAUAUUGAUGAGCAGUUGCUUCAAUGGAAAGGAAGAGAACUUGAGUACAAGAGAACUCUUGGACUUGUAAAGAGUAUCGAUCUUUCAAGUAACAAACUAGGAGGGGAGAUUCCUAGGGAGGUAACCGAUCUUUUAGAAUUGGUUUCAUUGAAUUUAUCACGAAAUAAUUUGAUAGGAUUAAUCCCUCCUACAAUUGGUCAAUUGAAAGCAUUGGAUGUUCUUGACUUGUCUCGAAAUCAGCUUUUAGGUAAAAUUCCUGAUGGUCUUUCUGAAAUAACUCGCCUAAGUGUCUUAGAUCUAUCAAACAACAACCUAUUUGAUAGAAUUCCAUUGGGCACUCAACUACAGAGUUUUAAUUCUUCCACAUAUGAGGGAAAUCCUCAACUUUGUGGUCUACCCCUUCUGAAAAAGUGUCCUGGAGAUGAAAUAAGGAAAGAUUCCCCCACCAUUGAAGGGUACAUUCGAGAAGCGGCAAAUGACUUAUGGUUGUGUAUUAGCAUUGUACUUGGAUUCAUAAUAGGAUUUUGGGGAGUCUGUGGCACUUUAAUACUCAAAACCUCAUGGAGAAUUGCGUAUUUUGAAUUUGUGACGAAAGCAAAAGAUUACCUACUAAGGAUUGCACGAAACUAAAUGGUAACAUCCGUCUCCUUUCUUUCUUUGUCUCUUUAUUUAUCUACAUGAUUUCUAAAAAAAAUCAUAUGUAGGGAAGGCUAAUCACUAAAAAGGAAAGUACGUUCCAUUAUUACUCAAGCCCCCUUUUAUUAACUACUGAAAACCAAGAGCAAUAGCUCAAAAUUUCCUUCCAACUAUUUCAAAUCGAUGAAUAUAAUUUUUCCUUUAUGUUGCAGGACUCCAGCUUGCCUUCCUCUUAUCCGUCUUAGGAGCACUAGGUGUAUUUAAUGAUCAUUGUGGCUGUAAGUUUCUUUGGUUAUGUUUUACUAUGUAAUUGUUUGUUUGGUUUGCGCUAUUAUUCAUUUGGUACUUUAGUUUCCUUUUGGAAUUUCUCGGCUUUGCUGUGCUUUUAUUGUAUAAUAAACCCUCCCUUGGAUGCAGUGGUUGGGUAGUUCUCUUUUAGUUGUUUCCUUGUAGAACUUCUCGGCUUGGUUGUGCUUUUAUUGUAUAAUAAACCCUGCCUUGGAUGCAGUGGUUUGGUAGUUCUCUUUUAGUUGUUUCCUUGUAGAACUUCUCGGCUUGGUUGUGCUUUUAUUGUAUACUAAACCCUGCCUUGGAAGCAGUGUUUUGGUAAUUCUCUUUUAGUGUCCUUGUGCUGUAUAUCUUCCAUCAAGUUAUUGACCAUACUAAUUUUUCUACUACUCUUUAAUCAACUAAAUACUUCAAAAGCUCAAGACAGAAUCCACUUUAAUAAUAUCUUCUUCUUUUUUUCUGUUAUUUUUCUAUGACUUCUCCUUUCUCCAUAAUUGAGAAGAAAAUUAAAAUAUAGUCAUCUUCUCUUACACUCUCAUCUUUUGGUUUAUUAAUGCAAAAUUGGGGCAAUCCUCAAACUUUUUGGCUUAUUAAAUACAAAAAAAAAAAAAAAAAAUGUCCAAUAAUACUAAAUUUAAAAAAGUGCAGUUAAUUUCUCCUGUGACAUUUUCUCUUGGUUACAAGUACCGAAAAUUUUAUUACUGGAAUCUAUGUAAUUUUACUUUUCCUUAUUGAGUGGGGUGCUAUAAAAGCUAAAACCCAAAAGACCUAAGAUUUUAAAAUAAAAUCUCAUAUCUGCUAAUAAUUUAAUUACAUAUCCCAUUGUUCUGUAAAAGAUCUAAUCAAGUACAAAAAUAUCCAUCACUGAGAAGUAAAUUCAGGCUUCUAACAAGGUAGUAGCUUGCAUCCUAAUUAAUAAAUUGUCAUUCAUGAAGAUUUGGCACCAAAGGAGUGUGUUAACACAUUGUGGAAAUAAGGAAUAUAAGAGUGCAACUCAAACCAUUAGAGAUUAAGAUAUUUGAGUCCUUUUAUAUUCACUUCAUCCUCAAUUCACUCCAAUUUUAAAUAUGAACCAUUAAAAAUUUCUUAUAACAACAAAUAAGAAAAAAAGUGUAUCCAUGGACUACUAGCUAGUUAUGUGUGUGCAAGAGGAAGGGAGGUUGGAUUAAGAAAGGAUGGAAAGUGCUCAUAAAAAGAAUACUAUCGACUUUUAUUGAAGUUGAUAAGAGUGCUAUUAAGUUCUUUUGCUACAAGAAGAAAGGACUUGAAAAGAAGGGUUACCCCAAAUGAGAAUUCUCUUGAGAAGAUAUGGAAUCCAAUCUCUAAGUGUGUUAUGAAUCUAAUACGAGUUAUAUUUCUUACAACAUAUGUUGGAUUGAUUCUAGUUUUAUAAUUCAUAUUGCAAACCAUACAAAACUUCAUAAAACACUAGAAGUAAGGGAAAGUGAAUAUUUCAUCUUUUUAAAUAUAGGAUAUAUUCACAUUUUGAAGCUCUUGCAAUCUACAAACUUGCUCUUAGAUAUGGUGUUGUUUGAUUUAGACCGUAAUAAGACAUUUUAUAUUCCAUUUUUCCCAAGAAACCUAGUUAUCUCAAUUUCUAAAAUUCAUCUCAGGGGUUUAGUUUAAUUUCUUUGAACCUCUUUACAUAUGUUGAAAGACUGUUGUUGGUGAUGGUAAUUUGGAUGAUGCCCUUUUUACAUUUUAUUUAAAUUCCACCUUUGAUUAACCUUAUCACUAUGCAUGGUAAUAAUGUUGGUGUUAAACAAGUGUUAUAAAUAAGAAAUUAGUCUCUUUUGUGGCAUGGAAGAUUUGGUCGUAACUCCACUAAAAGGAUUAAAUAAAAAAAAUAGAUUAGUAAAUGAAUCAGCCCUUGAGCUUCUUGACUUUAAUGACUAAUUUUAGUACUUGCAUAGGCAGCAUUAAAGUAAAGUAAACCAACAUGACAAAUAAAAGAUGCUAGGAGUUAUGACAUUUUGGAGAUCUUACACACUCAUGUGUGCAAUUCUUCAUCUCCUUUAUUGAUAAUCAUUACAUGUUUAUUUGUUUUAUCAUAAAAUUGAAGCACUAAAAUGCUUUCAAAUUUUGAAAAGUUGGGGUAGAGAAACAGUUUAAAAAACAAAUUAAGAUUAUGAGAUAAGACAAAGAUAGAGAAUAUUAUGGUAGACAUUAUGUUAUUUUUUUCUCUUUACAUAUGGUGUAUAUAAAGAUACAAACGUUGAAGUCUUUAUAUAUUCUGCCUUUUAGCUCCAUUCAUGGAAAUUGCAUGGAUUGUUGUUUAGUACUAUUUCAACAUAGUUUUCAUUAUAGAUUUUAUGUGGAAAAUUUUUUGAAAUUAUUUUAAAAUCUCAUUUGAGUAAAAAAAAUUUUCUAUCAUAUUCUUAUAAGGACUUUCUUAUUAUUAUAAGAAAAAUAUUUUAUCAUAACAUUCUCUUAUAUGAAUAGGUAUUUUUAAUAAUUAGUCAAUUAGAAAAUAUUUUGACUGAAAAAAAAAAAUAGGGCUUUGAGAUUUAAGAAUGCUAACCAUAAAUAUAUGUUUUAGGAUCAAGCACAACAGGUACAUGAUUUCUUUAUUAAUUUUAUUUUUGUUUUUGUUCUCUUAUUUUCUUCUCUCUGUUAUGAUAUUAUUUAUUUUAGUUUUUCCCAAUCAAAAAUACCAAUGCUAGAAUUACUAAUAUAAUUAUUUACAUUUAGCAUAGUAUUGAAACUUUUUCCUUAAUCUAAACAUUAAAAGCCCCAAACUCAAAAAAAAUUCUUCUAAGACCUAGAAAAGGAUUAUUUUUAACUUGUUAUCUCCACCAAAUCCUAUCAUCCACAAUUUGAAUCUUAUUAUAGAAAACAUUAUGGUUAUGUUUCGUUAUAGGAAAAUACUAAAGAACUAAAAAAAAAUAUUUUAUUAUAUUUAGUUUUACUAUAAAAAGUACAAAAAUAUAAGAAAUAAGUUGAUUUGAAGUUGAAAUUACCUAAUGACAUAAACAAUUCAUUGAUUUUGGAUCUAUUUUUAAUUUUUAAUUUUUUUUCCUCUCUCUAUUUUAUUUCUUUUAUAUUUUCCUUCAAAUUUUCAAUAACCAAAUAUAGUCAAUAGUCAAUAUGGAAUAGAAAUGAACAUACACUACAGUUUUUUUUGAAGAAGUAAGAAAAAUCAACAUAUAAUAUGGAAUAACGAGAAAUAAAAUAAUGCCUUAAUUUUGAAGUUGUCGAUCACAAAUUGUAAAGAGAUACAAAACUACUAGAAGCCUCAAAGUAGACAUUUUCCUUGCUCAUCAUUUCUUUUAAGGCUUUAUUUAAAUAUUCAAAAGUUUUAUGGGAAAGUAUUGGACAAAGAAAAUAGUAAUAAAAAAUUUAAAAAUAAUAAAAUAUGGGUUUGAAAUUGAUAGACUCACAUGGUUCUCCUUUUUUUUUUCCCUUAUAUAUAAAAAAAAAAGAAUAAUUUAAAAUUGUAUAAAUUUUCAUUUAAUUUUCUUUAUAUUUUGAUUUACUUUCUUACUUCAUAUGCUAAACAGAAUGCAAGAUUUUAAGUUCUUUCCAAUUUUCCUUCUCUCCCUGGCUGCGAUAGGAAGAGAGUCCAACAGUUGAUUGCCGAGAAACCAUAACAAGGUAGAAGAAAAAAGCUCUAUAAAUGAAGAUCACAAAUGUGAUUUCUCACCUGGCCCUGUACUUUAUCGAUAAGGUUUUCUUGUUACAUCCUCCAUCUAGAAAUUUUGGUAUACAUUUUUUCAGUCUGACAACUCCACAUCUUAUCAUUUAUACAAAGCACGUGACACAAUCCAACAAAUAGAAGCUCCUGUGCUUAUACGUAUAAAAGUCCAAACUUGAGCCGAAAAGUCAUGAAUUGGACACGGUUGAGAAGGGUCUAGGAAGCCCACCAGCAGUCCUACUUUAGCCUCUUUAAGUAUAUCAGCUGCUCACAGGUAUAUAUAUAUAUAGCUCAUUAGGUCAUUGCCGCCCCCCCUACUUCCCAUUAUCUCCUUCACAAUUGGUCUCCUCAAACCAACCAGUUCUCUCUCCAAUAAUCCCCAUUUUCUUAACUUUUCAAGAGCCAAAGCAAAAAAAAUGGCACAGAAGAAGCAACAGGUCCAUCCCAUUGAACCCACUGGUGGGCCAGCCAAAACUGAUGUAGAGUCUGAGGAGCUUCGCCGCAUGAAAUGCACAAGAUAUAUAGCAUAUCUUUCUGCUUUUGCUUUGUUCGAGACCAUUGUUAUAAUGGUCUGUGUAGUCACCCUGAUGCGUAUCAGGAGUCCGAAGUUUCGGUUCCGUGCUGUUUCUAUUGAGAAUCUCAACUAUACAUCCGACACAACUUCACCCUCAUUUAACAUUAGAUUCAAUGCCAAAGUCGCUGUCAAGAACACCAAUUUUGGACACUUCAAAUUCAAGAACAGCACCAUUACUCUAGCUUACAGAGGUGAUCAUGUUGGGGAUGCCAAGAUUUCCAAGGCUCGAGCUCGGGCUAGAUCCACCAAAAAGAUGAAUGUAACAGUUGAUGUUAAUUCAGACCAUGUAUGGAGCCACUCAAACUUAGCCAGGGAUCUAAAUUCCGGGUUUUUGACACUGACCAGCCAAGGGAAGUUGAGUGGGAAGGUGCACUUGAUGAAGGUAAUGAAGAGGAGGAGAUAUGCAGAAAUGAAUUGCACUAUCAUCAUUAACUUAGUACGUAGACGCAUCCAAGAUUUAAAAUGCAGAUAAAAAUGAAUUCUACUAAUAAGAGGGAUUGGAUUAAAGUUUUGCUCUGUGUAUGUAUUUUUCCUAUUGAAGAUGUAUGUUGAAUGAUGUUUCAACCAUGUGUAAUAAUUUUUAGAUGAAGUAUAUUUUAUAUUUUUUUCUAGGAUAGAUUUUAGAUAUCUAGGAGGAACCAUCAAUCCUAUUUAUCUCGCCAUAUUUACAUAUAUUGGUUUUUGGCUUAAUUAUUAUUAUUUUUUUAUUCUCUCUUUGUCCUACCUCACCUAGAUAUUAGUUUUGCCUAGGCAUGAGGGCUUAUAAAUAAGUCCGCAUCCUUUUGCUAAGGUAUCUUAGUGGCUUUAAUCAACAUUAAUGUGGAUUUGGAGAAGAAACUUUUUCACUACCAAUACGAACCAAAUUUGGUAUGAAUGAUCACAUGCAUACUUUUGACAAAUAAUAGUAGAUUUGUUGAAUGUGGAUGAAAAUAUUUAAGAUGAGAGUAAAGUUUGUCAUUGUUAAAUUAUUUUCUAAAUGAAUAUGAACAUCUCACCGUCACCUUAUUUUAUGGCAAAGAUAAGGUGACUUUUCAUGUUAUGCAUAUUACUUUACUAAACUCUAAAUACAAGAAGCUCCAAAAGGUUUAUAGGAAAAUUUCAUAAGAAAUAUUAACAAUGUGAAGUUGAACUCAAAGUCAUAAACUUGGAAAAAGAGAACUCUUCAUCUAAGGAAAACUUGUGAAAGAGGAAUGUGCUUUUUGCCCUAAAAAUAGGCAUUGAAAGAAAGAUUAUCAUAAACUACAAAAGAAGAAUAAAGACAAGAUAGUGUUUGAUGCUUAUGUAGUCAAGUAUGGAGAUGAUAAGUAAAGCUUUGCUUUGAUUGGCUUAUCUUUGGUAUGCAACUUAGAUGAAUGGAUUUUUUAUACUAAAUCCACUUAUCAAAUGUGUUUCUUCAAGGAGUUGUUUUCUAACUUAGAUGAAGUACAUGGUGGAGUUGUUAUAUAUAUAUAUGGUGGAGUUAUUAGUAAUAAAUGCUUAUAAGACAACAAGAAUAUGUACAAUCCAAUUAAAAACUCAUACAUGUCGGAUCAAUCAAAGCUUGAUAGAUGUUCAAUAUCAACCAAAUUUAAAAAAAAAAAAAUCUCAAUAAAAGUAUUAAUUAAAAUCCAUGAGAUGAAAGUAAUUAUGUUAUGUGCACUUGUGGUGAUGAAAGAAGUAAGAAAAAAUUGUACUACUUUUAAGGAAGUAUAAUUAUUGAACGAGUGGUUACAAACUCUAAAGUUGAUGAAAGAUUAGAAAGUACAAGGUUAUGACAUAUGCGUUGGGGACAUAUAGGUGAAAAGACUUCACCAAUCAAGCUUGGUGAAGCAAUUAAAGGUUAUUAAAGAGUGAAAAAAACUUGUAGACUAGGAUUUUGUAGCAUUGCAUUUUCCGAAAACAAACAAGAAUGAAAUUUGAGACUACCAAUCCAUCAUAUUGAAGAUAUCUUGGAUAUACCCAUAGAAAUGUUUGGGACAAACCAAUGUAGCUUUCUUGACAAGUAUGUACUAUUUUGUUACUUUUCAUUGACCACUUCUCCAAAAGAAUUUGGGUGUUUGUCUUGAAAACUUAUUAGGAUGAAGUUUUAAUUGAAUUGUUUUUGGAAUGAAAUGGUUAAAACUCAAACUAGCUAGAAAAUCAAAUAGUUGAGACUAGAUAAUGGUGAUGAAUACAAAAGUAAUCCAUUUCCCAAAUAUGUCAAAAUGAGGAUAUUAUUUGAGACUUCAUAGUUACAAGUGCACCACAUUAGAAUUGAGUAGCAUAGUAUAUGAAUUGAACUUUCUUGGAAAAGGUUUGAUGUAUGUUUUUAAAUGUUGGAUUUUGAGCGAGGAGCUUUGAGCCAAGGGAGUUGCUUAUGCAUGCCAUUUCAUCAAUCAUAUAAUAUCAACUGCAAUUGAGAGCAAAAAUUUUAUAGAAGUAUGGUCUACAAACCUACAAACAAUUGUGACUACUAACACAUUUUUUGCUCUAGUGCAUUUUAUUUUUUUUAUUUUUUUGUGAAGAAAUAUGGAUUAGAUUUUGUCUUCAAAUGACCAAUGAAGGUAUCAUAAGUGAAGAAGAUGCAUCAACUUAACUACUUUCACAAUAGCAAAUUUUGAUUGCAAUUGGUAGAUUAAAAGGAGAGAUUUGAAUGCUUACUCGAUUGAUUGAUAUGGUGGCAUAUGCACAUUUGGCAGUCAAUGAUGAUAUUCCUUUUUCUUACUUUUUAGACUCAAUUAAUAUCAUGCGAGUUUGAACACCUUUAGGUGCAUGUAUGUGUGCAUUUGAGGUGUAUUUAGAGGAAGUGAUAGUUAGUUCACUUAUCAAAUAAUACUUCAAUUCUUGAAAUUGGUAGUGGAUAAUUAGUUUCACUAAGGUGGAGAUUUGUUGGGUUUUGGGUUACUUAGUAUUUUUUGAUUCUAUUGACUCUUUGUCCCACAUCCAUUAUAUGUUAGUGUUGCCUAGGCUUGUAGGCUUAUAAACCAAUGCAUGUUAGUAACUUCAGCAAACAUUAGUGCAGAGAAGGCUCUUUGUCAAGUAAGAACCUCUAACUUUGAUAUUCUUCCAACUCUUGUAAUUGUCUGAUUUGAAGGUAAUGAAUUGGUUGUCAUUGCCUGAUGACAUGGGUAAGAUAUUCUUAUCGAAACUGAUAAAUAUGAUAUAUCUCUCUUUUGUUGCUAUUAUUUUUUCUAAUUUUUCUGUUUUUAGGAAUUGUUUAUUUUAUAUUGUAUUACAUAUAUUUUGUUAAUUUUAUUUGAAUCCUGUAGGACUAGGACUUAGAACAAAACCAGUACUUAGUGCUAAUUAGGUCCUGUGGGAUGUAGUCCCCAGCACAACAACCUAUACGCACAAUCGAGCAGCUUGACUACAUUAAAGUACUACUGUUUUCUUCUCAUUGCAGUUCUGAUCAAACAUUCAAUAAAGUUCAUCAAGAACGGAUAUGCUGGAUUAAGGCUUCCAUUUUCGGGAUUUGUACAAUCUCUACUCUACUGAUCUGGUUGCCCUUAAAACUUCUACAUCAAACUUGGGAUUGGAUCCGGCUGUGAUUAAAUUGGUCUUUUGCAACUUUUGAGCUCUUCUAUGAGUGUUCUCAACCUUUAAUUUGGAUAUAACUAAAGAAAAGAAAAAAAUAAUCAUAGGAAUCAUCAUGUUAAUUUGGAUCUUAAACUAUGCAUUGUAUUGAAGAAGAAGAAAAAGAAGAAGAAGAAGAAGAAGACAUACAUUGGGAUUGAAGAAGAAGAAUCAUAGCAAUCAUCAUGUUAAUUUAGAUCUUAAAGCCAUGCAUUGGGAUUGAAGAAGAAGAAGAAGAAGAAAAUAAUCAUAGCAAUCAUCAUGUUAAUUUUGAUCUUAAAGCCAUGCAUUGGGAUUUAAGGAACUCGUCAAAUAUGACCUUGAUAUAGACAUUUUCACUAAGAAGAAAAAGAAGCAGCAAGCAGCCCAAGAAGAAGCAGCAAGCAGCCAUGCAUUGGGAUUUAAGCAACUUGUGAAAUGUGGCCUUGAUAUAGACAUUUUCACUAAGAAGAAGAAGAAGAAAUGAAGUGGAAAAAAAAUCCCGGAAAAACCAAGAAGCUAGAAACAGAAACAGCAAAAGAAAAAAUCCUAGAAAAACCCAGGAAAAAAUCCCAAAAGUGUACUGUAUUUUUACUAAGAGGCUAGAAACAGAAAACCCCCAUAUGCUUCACUUUGAUGUGGAGGCUAGGCAGCAAAGAAACCUGAAAAGGCAGCCUUUUCCAAACUAACUUCAAAUUCUUUACAGCAGAGCUUUAAGAAGAGGAGAAAUCUUCAAACCACUGCAAUUUGAUACAAGAUCUAACUGAGGGAAAAAUCUUGAUUUCAGAAAAUGUGCCGCUGUGCAAUUGAAAACCAAUCAAUACUUAUGAAACCUUUUGGCCGGUCAGUCCAUAUUUUAGUAUGUGCAGCAGAGUCAUAUUACUGAGGUUGAGAGCAUCACUCAUCAUGACAUUCCAUACUGAGGUAGGCCUCAAGAACAAGCAAUUUAGAUGACUUAAAGUUUGACAACGGUACAUGCAAUUACAUUAUUAAGUUUUAGUGGUUUUAAUAUUUGAGAAUGGGAAAUGAAAAUGACUAUUUUGUUUUUGUACUUUUUUUUUUAAUAUGAAUAAAUUUGAUGAUUUCAAUUAUUGUAUUUGAAUACGUCUAAAAAUAUAUGACUGGAAUGCUUAUUUGUUUUUAUUUCAGUAUUUGAUAACAAUGAGAAUAUGAAUAUAAAAAAUAAAUUAAUAAUAAUAUGCUUACACAUAUUUUGUAGUUUUGCUAAAUAAUAAGAUUAAGAAAAAUAGAAUUUACUUAAUAAAUAAAAAUUAAUCACAAAAAGUCAUAAAAACCUAAUAGAAAUAUAAUGGUAAAAUAAUACUUCUAAUAAAUUUUCUAUAUCAAGAAAAUCAAAAUACUUCAUCUUGGAAAUCAAUUGAAAUCCUAUUUAUGGGUGAGAUUUUUACUCAAAUCGUUUUUAAUUCCAUUCUCAUUGAAUUUUAAGUUAUUCAAAUAUAGAAAUAACUAAAAAAAGAAAUGAGAUGUUCAUUUCCACUCAUCAUUAAUUUCUUCAUAAUAAACAUGUCCUAAGGUUAAUGCAACUUCAAGAAAAAUGUGUAUAUCUUGGCCAAUAGCAUAAACUCAAGGGGAAUUUGACACAACUAGCUAUGGCAAAUUAAAAAUCAAUGUAAACGGACAUUUAUUGAGUAGUCCCCAUAAGUAAAUAUUUUUAGGUCCAAUUUUUUCGGGUUUUAAACACAACUCCAUCCUCUACCCAGGAAAGAAGUAUAAAUGAAGAGUAUACAGAAACCUAGAACGCGGGAUUUUUUAUCAAUGGGCUUAGAAACUUCUAACAAUGUGGAAACCGUGUAACAAUAUCUAACACUGCAUUGUCUUGUACAGAUGCUGAAUAAUCUAAAGAUGGAAGCUUCAAAAUUAUUAUUAUUAUUAUUAUUAUUAUUAUAUUGUUAGCUAUGGUCGGAGAUGAUUUUGUGGAGAGAGAUUUUGACUAUGGAAGAUACCAAGUUCACACAACUUUAUUAGGUGCAAAUCAGUGGAAACUUGUGCAGUGCGUGGAAUUAUUUUUUUUUGUAGAAGUUUGUAUGCUUAUACUUUCCUCAAAAUGGUAGUUAUACCAUACCAAAAUCCACAUAUUCCAAGGGCCAAAAGCUAAAGCCAAUGAACGCGAUAGGAACUUUUCUACAAAGGCGUGCCAUAUCACUUAAGUCAUCUAUCAUAUUCUACCUUAUAUAUACCCAUCUCAAUCUUCAAAUCCCAGCAUCAUCUCCUCACUGAGCAAUCAACACUGAACAAUUAAAACCCUUGUUUGUGUUCUUUUCAAGAGCCAAAAGAAUGGCAGAGAAGGAUCAACAGGUUUUUCCUAUGGAGCCAACUAAUGCUCAAGUCAAUACUGAUGAAGAGUCUGCCAGGGUUCAUUCUGAAGUGCUUCGCCAUAAGAAGCGCAUGAGACGCCUAGGGUGUGUAGCUGCUUUCACCGUGUUGCUGACUGCUAUUAUUCUAGCCUUUGCACUAACUGUAAUGCAUAUCAAGAAUCCCAAGUUCCGGUUUCGUUCCAUUGAGAUUGAGGAUCUCAGCCUCCGCUCGUCCACCACGACUCCAUCAUUCAGCAUGAGGUUCGAUGCAGAACUCACUGUCAAGAACCAGAAUUUCGGCCCAUUCAAGUAUGACAAAACUGCCAUUCCAAUGUCUUAUGGGGGCACCAAGGUUGGUGAGGCUUUUAUUUCUAACGGUGAAGCAAAGGCAAGAUCCACAAAAGUAAUUAAGGUAACUGUGGACGUGACUUCAAACAAUGUAUCAAGUAAUUCAAACUUGGCCAGUGAUAUAAAUUCGGGGUUUUUGACUCUGACCGGCCAAGGCAAAUUGAACGGGAAGGUGCAUCUGAUGAAGGUGUUUAAGAAGAAGAAAUCCCCCCAAAUGAAUUGCACCAUCAAAAUUAAUUUAGAGAACAAAGUGAUCCAAGAAUGGAAGUGCAAUUAAAAGCUUAGGAGUCCUUGUUAGUUUUCCAUUAGAAAUGGUACUGUGUACCAAAUGCUGAGUUCAGUCUCUACAUUUAUUGAACCCUUACAUUCAUUUUCAUUCCCUUAUUCAUAAUGAAACUGGUAGCACCACCUAUUUCAUCAUUCCACUAUAAAGAUUAUGUGAUAAGAGGGGUGGUAUUGAAGCUCGUCCCCUAAAGAGAGGAAGGCCAAAAUGCUGCUUUUUGACUGCAAGUGUAGGAAACAUAGAAAUUUCAGGCCACUGCUUUCUGGGAGGCCCAUUAUAUUCUUAAGCAUAACGAUUUCAUUUCUAAAAUAUCUCAAUCUAGAAACUUUGACUUGGGUUUCAUUUGUUAAUUUUUUAUGAUACAAUUUUCGCGUCUUCUAUUCUAUAAUCCUAUAUAAUAAGAUCAUAAGCCUCACAACCCACCAAUAGACGCUUCUUUCCUGAGUGGAAGAGUCAAGAAUCAAAGACAUUGGACGCGUUUGAGAAGCCCAAAGGAAGCCCACUCGCUGUUCUAGAUUAACAGAUUUCCAUGGACGUUUUCCACAUCACUGAAUUUUAACGUGGUCGUUAAAUCAGCUGCUCCCAUCUAUAAAUGGGUCCAUAUAAAGUGACAAUAGUCCAAAAUUUCACAUGCCUGUUUAUUAUUCAAAUAAAUGUUGGGCUAGCCCAUAUAUGAGUUCCAACCCAUGAGAGUGGUCUUUUGAAAAGGCUCAUAUUCUGGACUGCUCUUGUAACUGGUUUAUGGGCCCGAUUUGGCAGCAUCUAAAGCUGCGUUUGGAGGUAGAGAAGACCAGAUUUGAGGGCAGAUUGUUGAAAAUGAAAAAGAGAGAACGGAAGAAAAUAAGGGCUGUUUUCAAGGCUCAUGGGGGGUUGAUCCAAGUGUGAAGGUCUUUAACUUCAACCAUUAUAGAAGCUCUUUUGUGAUAUCUUCUCUUCAUUAUCUUCCCUUUCUCUGUAUUUAUGAGAUGAGGGUUUUCCAUCUCAAGCAUUGGUGCAUUUCCACUCUUCUUUAUUGCCAAAGAAGCUAGUGAGGACUUUGUGUUCGUAUUUUAUUUGAAAUGGAAGAAGGUUUCUUGUGGUUUUAAUUUUACCUCCUUUGGCGAGUUUUUCCACAUUGCAGCGAUGACUCUUGGUUGAUAUAUUUUUAGGCUAUAAUUGCUUUCUGUUCUGUUGCAGUUGUAAAGCGAAUUGAUUUGUACAGGUGACAAAGGCUAUAUUCUGCCCAUCAGUGAACUAUCCCCCACUGUCGUUUGCAAUCCCCCAGUACGGUUUAGCAUUCCCAGCUCAUCAGUUGUAUAUCCAACCACUGUCAUUGCAUCACCUAAGUCCUAGCUUGCUUUGCUAUCGUCUAAAUGUUACUCCAUCUCUCGUCAUUCUCAACAAGCAGUAUCAAAGCCUGUGUUGGUUGUGAUGGAAGGAUCUUCUAGCAUAGUGAUUAAGCUUACAAAUACCAAUUGGUUCAUUUGGAAGCCAAAAAUGGAAGACAUCCCUUAUUGUAAGGAUUUAUUUGAACCCAUUGAGGGUGAGAGUGCUAGACACUAAAAUAUGAAUGAUGAUGGUUGGAAUAGGUUGUGUAGAAAUGCGCACUCUAGCUCCGGGGCAGAGUGUCGCUCCAUAGCCUCUACAACUAUUGAGUUGACUUGGAUUUCAUUUUUAUUGAGAGAAAAUGGCAUUCCACUUCAAAAACUAGCUCAGUUAUUUUGUGACAAUGUUAGUGCACUUCAUAUGUCAUUUAAUCCCAUGUUUCAUGCUGGAUCAAAAUACAUUGAGCUUGAAUAUCAUCUUGUCCGAGAGAAGGUUGCCACAAGUUCCCUUGUCACUAGAUGUAUUUCCUAUGGAUAUAAAAAUCACCAUCCUUUAAGCCCAAUGAAAACUUGAAACUCAUCACCACUCAAUGGAAUCCUCCAAAGAGAUACAAGGUUUUUGAGAAAUCACUCUGAAUAAACUAAAGGUAACUUCUAUUCAACUAGCCAAAAAACUCCUGAUCAAGACAAGUUAAAAGACUUUACAGUUUCCACUUGGAACAAACCCUCCAAGCAUAGGUUUCGAAAGCACCCAUUGACAUUCUCAAUUUCACGUAGGAAAUUGAGGAAAGUAAGAAAUGGUGGUAAACUAGGAAUUUCCAUAAGGUUUGAAUGAAGCAAAACCAUUUAUAAAAAUUUGUCAUAACUUUACCUAGAAAAUUCGGAAUGAGGCAUUGUAAAUUAGAGUCUUGAGUUAUAGGGAUUUCCAUGAUACUUAAGUUGUUGAUUAAUUUUGACUAGAUCAAUAAAAGCUUCUCUUCAAAAGAUGUCCAAAAUCUCGUUCUAAUGUUACCUAAGCUUUGGGAAAUUAAUGUGAGAAUCUAAAGCUCAUUCGACCAUAUAUGGGCGUCUUGCCAUGUAGACAGGUCAACACUGGUGGCCUUGAGAUCCUAACUCUAACUUGAAGACCCUAUAGAAAUUGGGCCAGAGAAGUAUGACGAAGUGAAUUUAGGUUAAAUUUUGGUGAUCAGCACGUAGUAAUGUGUGUGUGAGAGAAUCACAGUUCAUUGGACCCUAUGUUCUUACAUAGAGACAAUGAAAUGGAUAAACUUCAAUCAAAUCUUUACAAAAGAGCUUGGAAAGGCGAAAAAUAUUGUCACAUUUAUGGGUGGGGUGGCACUAAUAUGUUUCAUUUUUGUUGUUUAUCAACCUUUGUCAUUUUGUAUAUUUUCUAAGUACUUGGAUUCAGUCCCUUUUUUAUUUGUGGUUUUCAUAAAAUCGUUCUUUUACCUCAAAAAGUUCUAAAUGUCUUUUCGGAGAAACUGGCAUAGCAUGUGAAUGUUUAUGUGUAUAAUUCAAAAAAGAUUUUGGUAGAAACUAGCAUAUGAAAGACAUCAUUGUCUCUCUUAAAGAAACUAGAAAUCUUAUAAUGCAGCAAUGAAAUAAAACUAUUGUAGCAGGAGAUGAGACUACACUACUUUAAGACAAAGACUUCUUCCAAAAACUUUAGGGCAGUCCAUAUUCUAGGUUAUGCGGCAGAGGAAUGGCAUCAUUUUCCAUGUGGGAGUCUGUAGUUUAUAGUUUAUUCUUAUUAUAGCAUACCAAAAGCCAAAGAUUCCGUGAGUAAAAAAUUAAGGCCAUCAAACCCUUCAACAAUGGUGGACUAUAUCUCUCAGUCCUCAAUCAGGUGCUACUUUGCAUCCAUAUAUACCUAUGACCCAUUAAAUUCCUCAAAUCCCACCAUCACCUCCUCACAUUCUCGGACAGCAAUCAGUAAUCAUCAACAAAAUCUCUACAGAAACAAAUCACUCUUUUCUCAACUUCUGAAGAGCCAAAAAAUGGCAGAGAAGGAGCCCAGCAAUAUUGCUCAACAGAAAAGUGAUGUAGAGUCUACAACAAUGCAUUCUGAAGAGCUUCGUCCCAAGAAGAGCAUGAAAUGUCUAGCAUAUGUAGCUGCUUUUGCCGUGUUCCUGACGGUAAUUAUAAUUCUAUUUUCACUAACUAUAAUGCGAGUCAGAGAUCCUAAGCACCGGUUGAGCUCCAUCGGGGUUGAGGGUAUCACCUUUAAUUCCUCUACAGCAUCUCCAUCAUUCAGCAUGAGAUUUGAUGCAGCAGUAGCUGUCAAGAACACAAAUUUUGGUCAAUUCAAGUUUGAUAAUAGCACCAUCAAACUCGCCUAUAAGGGCACCAACGUUGGAGAGGCCAUUAUUGCCAAGGCUCAAGCUCGGGCUAGAUCCACCAAACGGAUUGAGGUACUUGUGGGUGUGAGUUCAAACAAUGUAUCAAGUAACUCAGCCUUGGCCAGUGAUAUAAACACCGGGAUUUUGACACUAACCAGCCAUGUCAGGUUGGAUGGGAAGGUGCAUCUACUGAAAAUUUUCAAGACCAAGAAAUCUCCAGAAAUGAAUUGCACCAUCAACAUUAAUUUGGUGGAUAAAGUGAUCCAAGAUUGGCACUGCAAUUAAAAGGCAAUGUUCCAUGUAUACUUGUAUAUAUGCUUGAAUAACGUGUUCAUAUGUAAUUGUUUUUAGAUCUAUAGUCAUUUCGUUCAUUCAAUUAUUCUGAAAUUGGAUGACAACCUUGUUGCAAAAACCAAUUUGGGGAUUUUGGUUUUUGUAAUUUUUCUUCUUUUUUGUUUUUUUGGGGGUGGGGGGAGUGGGUGGGGGCGGCCCUGGAUUUUCAUAUAUAUGUAUAAGUCGGGACCAUAUGAUAAAACCCCUCCUACAAUGACAUUUCUUAGUAGCUGCUUGCCUUGUAUUAACCCCAUGCAUAGUCAGACUUGGGACUGCGCCUGUCUGCUACGUACUCAAACUACUUUUCAACCUUUGGACAUUUUAUGUGUGGUAUUAUACCUUUGAUAUUACUAACAACUAAAUCUAAUGUCAAUACAACCAUCAAAGCCACAAACAACCAUAAUUUUCAUACAACCAGCAUUGUAAGGAGAAGAAACAUACAGGAAAACGUUCCAUCUAGAUUUGGACUAAAUAUAUCUAGUCAUCUUAAUUUUAAAAUUUCAUUAAGUACAUCUUCUUCUUUCUCAUUUGUUAUUUUUUUCUCUCUUUUUUAAUUUAGAAUAAAAAGGAUAUUUAACGAAAUUUUAAACUCAUUACAACAACGUAAAUUUAACUCAAACCUUAAAAAAGAUGAAUGAAAUUAAUUUACCCUUAUUUUUGUACUUCAGCUUCUUCCCACAAGACAUGAGCAUGGUGCCCACUAAUUGUUUCAAUAAAAAUCUGUGUUCUUAUACUUUUACCCAAACUAUUAAUUGCACCAUAUGAAAAGUCAAAAGAUUGCUAGAGUCAAAUGCUAAAAGCCGACUAACGCGUUUGGAACUUUUUCAGCAACGGUGUGCGGCAUCACUUGAGUCAAAUGAGUCAUAGUUGGCUUCUACCUCACAAAUAGCCAUCGCAGCCCUCCCAUCUCACCAUCAUCUCCUCGCUAAGCCAUCAACAAUAGCUCCACAGCAAAAACCCUUCUUUCUGUACUUCCGAAGAGCCAACCACAAUCGCAGAGAAGGAUCAACAGGUCCACCCCAUGGAGCCAACCACAGCUGAACCUAAAACCGAUGUAGGGUCGGCCAGUGUGCAGUCUGAAGAGCUCCGCCGCCGCAAGAAGGGCAUGAAAUGCUUAGCAUAUGUAGCUGCUUUCGCCAUUUUCCUGACUGCCAUUAUACUAGCCUUGGCAGUAACUGUCAUGAAUAUCAAGAAUCCUAAGUUUAGGCUCCACUCCAUUGACGUUGAGGAUCUCAGUUUGAGCCCCUCCACCACACCUCCAUCCUUCAGCAUGAGACUUGAUGCAGAACUAGCUGUCAAGAACACAAACUUUGGUCACUACAAGUACGAAAACAGCACCAUUACACUGGCCUAUAGAGGCACCAAGGUUGGAGAGGCCUUGAUUUCCAAAGGUAGAGCAAGGGCAAGAUCCACCAAAGAGAUUGAGGUAACUGUGGAUGUGACUUCAAGCAACGCAUCAAUUAAUUCAAACUUGGCCAGUGAUUUAAAUUCCGGGAUUUUGACCCUGACCAGCCAUGGAGAACUGAGUGGGAAGGUGCAUCUGAUGGAGGUGAUCAAGAAGAAGAAAGCCCCACAAAUGAAUUGCAACAUCAACAUUGAUUUGGUCAAGAAAGAGAUCCAAGAUUGGAACUGCAAUUAAAGCUCGUCAAUGUCUGAUUCUCAAGUGUAAUAUACUGUUUUAGAGUUUGGAGGGAAGGUGCAUCUGAUGGAGGUGUUCAAGAAGAAGAAAGCCCCACAAAUGAAUUGCAACAUCAACAUUGAUUUGGUCAAGAAAGAGAUCCAAGAUUGGAACUGCAAUUAAAGCUCGUCAAUGUCUGAUUCUCGAGUGUAAUAUACUGUUUUAGAGUUUGGUGGGAAGGUGCAUCUGAUGGAGGUGUUCAAGAAGAAGAAAGCCCCACAAAUGAAUUGCAACAUCAACAUUGAUUUGGUCAAGAAAGAGAUCCAAGAUUGGAACUGCAAUUAAAGCUCGUCAAUGUCUGAUUCUCGAGUGUAAUAUACUGUUUAGAGUUUUGUGUAGUUAGCUUAGAGUUUGGAGACCGAAGCUCGCGGUUUGUGUGUGUGUGUGUAGAGAUCCAAGAUUGGAACUGCAAUUAAAGCUCGUCAAUGUCUGAUUCUCGAGUGUAAUAUACUGUUUUAGAGUUUGGUGGGAAGGUGCAUCUGAUGGAGGUGUUCAAGAAGAAGAAAGCCCCACAAAUGAAUUGCAACAUCAACAUUGAUUUGGUCAAGAAAGAGAUCCAAGAUUGGAACUGCAAUUAAAGCUCGUCAAUGUCUGAUUCUCAAGUGUAAUAUACUGUUUAGAGUUUUGUGUAGUUAGCUUAGAGUUUGGUGACCGAAGCUCUCGAUUUGAGAGAGAGAGAGAGAGAGAUGAUGAUGUCUUGUGAGUGUUUAGCUAGGUUGGCAGUUCUAGACAAAAUUCCUAAGUGUCCCCUAACUCUAUUUACCAAUUCAUCUUCAAUUUAGUUGACUUUGAAGAUUAAGACUUUGUUAAGGGGCCAAGGUGUGUAGCCGAGUAUGUGGUGAUUGAAUGUGAAUCAACCAUAUUUUUUAUCUUUAAAUGAGUUAAGAAAGUUAGGAGAAACAGUUUUUGGUGCAAGGCUUUUAUUCCCCUAUUUCUGGAUCGAUUCAAGUGUAGGGGCAAAUUGAUCCAACUAAUCUGAUUCUAAGAUCAAUUUCCAACCCUUGAAUUAAGAGUUUCAUUUUCAUUUAAAAUCAAACUUUCUCCCAUUUUUGGAAGUAGAGAGAGUUGCAACCGUGUGAGAGUUUUUCCUUCCUCUCCAUUUUGAGUGUGUUUGCCUCCUAAGAAAAUCCCAUUAGUUUUCCAAGAAAUUUUUCUUAAAAUGAAUUUUCUGAAAAUGAACAUAGGUUGAUUUUUGAAACAUUCAUCUUUCAUUUUCUUGGAUUUGUGCAAAAACUCAUUUUCUUCUUGUGAGAAUUCAAGAAAAGGCCAAGAUUGAGCUUGGUGCAGACUCCAAGUGUGCUCUAGAAAAUGAAGGUGAGAAACUAAAAGUGAAAGUACUAGUCAAGUGGUCCAAGAAAAAUUGGUUGGCUUGAGUUAGGUAAAACCUUGUACUCAGUUUUUAUUCUUCAUAGUGGAGUUUUUCAAUCAAUGGUAGGCCUGUGGUUUUGAUCUCUUUAGAGAUUUUCCACGUAAAUUUGUGGUGUCACAUUGUCUCUCUUUCUCUUCUUAGCAUCCGUUUUUUAAUUUCAGCAAUUUAUUAGAAUUUUGAUUGUCUACUACUUGAUUGAUUGAUGAAGAGAAAUGACUAUGAAUCAUCUUUGAAGUUGUUUUUUAUUGUUGAUCAUUAACAUUUUGAGGUAUAUUGAUCUUGUAUUUAUCUUAAUUUAGUUUAAGUUGAUUUGAGUUUGGGAGUGUUGGAUCAUGUGCAUGUGAAUUGCAUUUUAAUAUUGUUAGGGAGUGUUGUUGCAUUUAUAUAUGCAUGUGAUUUAUAAUUUGAGUUUUUGAAAAUGUGUGAAGAGAAGAAAAAUAUUCAAAAAGUUUCAAGGUUUGCUAAUUUGAGUUGGGAAUAUUCUUUUAAUUGGUCAAAACACCUAUUCAAACCCCAAACCCCCGCCCCCUCCUUUUCAUGUCUUUCCCCUCUCAUACAAAUCUUUUGAUAUAAUGAAUUUCUUCUUUUGAUAUAAUAAAUUUAUUUCUCCUCUACAUAUAAGGUUUUCUAUGUAAAUCUAUGUGUUCUUAUUCUUUUUUUUUUUUUUUCUAUUGUCGUUAUUAUGUAACAUUCAGAAAUAGUGGAAUAGAGAUGCUUAGUGCAGUAUGUAUAUGUAAUUCUUUUUGCAUCUUUGUAUUAGAGAUUUUAUUCAUUUAUUUGUACUUGAAAGCUAGAAAUAAUGUGGAUGGAUAUCAUUUGAAUUCUUUUCUAUCAUUCAGAACUUUGCAUGUUCAAAAACACAAUUGUAUAUAUAGCUUAACACUUUCUAAAGAUAUAUAUAUAUAACUUAUGUUGAAAAAGAUGAAAACAUUUUUUUUAAAGCUAUGUUAAUACUAAACAUGUUUCGUUUAUAUUUUUAUCUAUUUUUUAAAUGAAAAUCAAAUCAUUUCUUGUGGUAAAAAGCCUCGGUAGCUACCAAAAUGUCUCAAAUGUAUUUACAUGAUGGAGCAUUGUUCUUAAUAUCAACUUCUAUAAAUCCAAAAUAAGGUUUUAGUAUAAAAUAAUGCCCUACACUACAAGGAAAAAGAUAUAUGGUGACAUUUAUAAUAAGUCACUAUAAACAUAGGGUGUCACUACAACAUAGCGUCACCUUAUCCACUGACACCAUAGAGGGUAUCAAUUGGUGACGUAUUUGGAAGCGACACCAAAGCAGAUAAAUGGUGACACAUUCAGAAGAGACACCAUAUAUUUUUAGUGAUGCUUAAUUUGAUAUAGAGUUGUAUGAGAUAUAUAAGGUGUCAUAUUAAAUGCAUCAUCUUUGAGUUAUGGUGUCACGUUAAAUAUAUCACCUUUAAUUUAUGGUGUCACAUCAUUGUAAAUGAUUAUGGAAGAUAUGGUUGUUUUUUGUUGAUUAGUUUGUAGAUUUUUGUAAUGCUUAUUAAUAAAUAAGACUAACCUGUGUAAAUUGUCCAUAAAUAUAAUAAUCAUAUUACAUUUAACUUAUAUUUUCAUAAUGCUUAUGAAUUAAUUUGUAACAUAUUACAUCAUCCAAUAAUAUUUGUAUAUCAAAUGUUCACAAAAUGAUAGUACAUCAAAUACAUCAAACCCACCAAAACUAAAAAAGAAAAGUGAAUACACAUUAAAACAUGAUUUAGAAAUGUUAAGUUUCCCAACAUUCAUGUAUACUUGCAUUUCACAUGCAUAAAACCGGCUAACCAUAAAAUGACACAAGAGUUGCAUCCAAAAACCCAAAAUUCUCAAUUCCAAAUAAAGUAACAUUUAUGUCCUAUAAUGUAUGACAUAAGAGUCAUAUCUAAAAACCUAAAUCUUGUUGCCUCUUUCUCCUUUCUUUUUAUUCUUCAUAUUGUCCUCCCAAGAGUGUAUACCUGCAUUUCAUAAUUUAAUGAGUUUUAGAGUUCUUAUUGAAAAUAAAAAUGUGAUGUUAUAAACAAUAAACAAAUCUAAGUACUAAUGUUUUCUUUUUCUUUUUUCUUUUUCUCAUUUUGGUAUAAAAAUAGUUCGUAAAGAAUAAGUAAUGUUAUACAAUAUCAAUGAAAAAUUCAAUCAUAUAACAACUAAGGGACUUACCAUGAAUGAUCACGAUACAUCAAUAUGAUUCAUGAUUAGUUAUAACACAAAAGUAAUCUGUUUUUCUCUAAUUUCAUCAAAUUCUACUUGAGAAUAUGUUUUAUUUGUCAUCAAACUGAAAUCAAAUGAGAAUAACAUUAAUAUCACAAUAAUUGAAAGUAUGAAAUUAUGUACAAUUCAUUAAACGAGUAAAACCUUUGAUGCAAUAACUGUAAAAUCAACAAUUAUUUCUUUAAUGAAUCUCAUAACAAAGUAGUCAUAUUUGAACUCAGUAUUAUUUUUUUACUAUUAAAUUAUUUUUAAACAAAAUAACAAUUAUUAAUAUAUUGGUUUAUUUUUAAAUACUUUCAUAAGAAUAUAUUUUAACUACAAGUUAUUUUAAUUUAUCAAAAGAUUUUUAGGAAAUGAGCUAUUAUCCAUUUAUUAUUUUCUUAUUUUUCAAAAAAUAUUUUCAGUCAUUUCAUACACGUUUUCAACUACUAAAAUUAUUGUUUUUAUAGAAUAAACAAAGNAAGCAUACANNNNNNNNNNNNNNNNNNNNNNNNNNNNNNNNNNNNNNNNNNNNNNNNNNNNNNNNNNNNNNNNNNNNNNNNNNNNNNNNNNNNNNNNNNNNNNNNNNNNGAAAGGUCAUUUCAUUUUAAAGAAUUUUUAGAAUUUCUUAAACAUUACAAAAAAUAGAAUCUAAACAAUUUUAUUUCUAAAAAAAAUUGAUCAAUUCAAAAAAGAAAGAAGAAUGUUAUUUUUUAAGAAAAGUUAAUAAACCACUUUAUUCUUGAAUUAUCUAAACAAAACUUACUAAAAAAAAUUUUAUUCCAAAUUUAUUUUCAAAACUUUCUUAUUGAAAACUAUCUCAUAUAUAAAUUAUUUUAUUAUAUAGAGAAAUUCUUAUUUUAUUCUUUUUUUAGAGAAAAAUUCACUUGUUUAUUAAAUAUCAAAGAAGUCUAUUUUUAUGUCUAUUAUAUAUAUAUAUAUAUAUAUAUAUAAAUUCUCUUAUUUUCAUACAAGAAAUUUCCAUUUAUGCCUAAAAUACUUUUAGAAAAAUCAUUGCCAACAAAAUUUUAUUUUUAAAAUUAUUUUCAACAUUCUUAUUUAAAAAAAUUAUCAUUGGAUUAUUUUCAAAAAGGACAAUCCUAAAAAAAUUAACCAUUUAUAACCCAAUUUAAACUCAAAAAUUAUCCCCAAUAUUAUUUUAUAUUCCUAAAUUAUUUUCAAACAAAAUAACAAUUAUUAAUAUUUUGAUUCAUUUUUAAAUACUUUCACAAAAAUAUAUUUUAACCACAUAUUAUUUUAAUUUAUCAAAAUAUUUUUAGGAAAUGAGUUAUUUUCCAUUUAUUACAAUCCUAUUUUUCAAAACAUAUUUUCAGGCAUUUCAUUCACAUUUUAAAAUUUCAAAUACUUAAAUUAUUGUUUUUAUAAAACAACAAAGCACGUAAAUUUCAACUACUAAAAUUAUUGUUUUUAUAGAAUAAACAAAGCAACAUACACUUAUCUUCCAUUUACUAAUUCAACUAUUACAAUCACCCCAAUAUUUUGUUCACCUACCAAUAAUUCAUUCCAUGUAGGUGACUCUAAAAAAAAAAAAAGUCAUAUUUAUAAUACCCUUUACGACUCUGAUACCCAAUAUUCUAUUCUAUUUAGGUGACUCAAUACAAAGAAAGUGGGAAUGUUUUCUUAGGUUAACCGAAGAAAACCCUAAAUAACUUAAGUGCUUCUGGAUUAAUUGAGUAUCAUCUUGUAGUAGAUGUCAAUCUCUAUUGUUAGACUUCACCAAAAAGCUCCUAGCAAGGUGGAAAAAAGUAUCAAAUAUAGUCAAGUCUUCAAUAAAAUACUAUUUCAUGCGAAAAAUUACUACAAACUAGUGUAUCUCUCAUUCUCAAUUAGACAAAAUUUUUAAAAAUAAUUCAUUUUUCUUGUUUUCAUUUGUUUUGGGGCUUAUUAGCAAUGAAACAAAAAAAUAUGUUAGAAUGUUAAACCUAGUUUUUACUUCCCUGGAACUCGAUAAAAAACACCAUUUACAAAACCCACAUCAUAGAUAUACUAAAUCAAGAGAUAUAAAACAAUUAUACUAACAAAGUUUUUUGCAUUAAUAAAAAAAAUGAAGAUGGUAGAUAAGAGAUUUUGACUUACCCGAGAUUUUACGAAGCAAAGAAUAUCAAUUAUGGGUGUGCCGACCAUGGGUGUGAGAAGAAGGAGAAGAAAACGAUGGUUAGGGUUAAGCAAUAAGAUCUUUUAUAUUAGUUAAUGUAUAUAUGGAAACAAUGGACUUUUCAUAAAUUGUUCCUACUCACUAUUUUUAAAAAGGGCCCAUUAAGUUAUAAAAUUUAAAACUUUUUAUUUCAUAUGGUGUCACUUCCAAAAAAUGACACCGUAAAUCUGAAAUUAGCAUCAUCUAACUAUCCUAAUUGAAGAUUUUUUAUAUGAUGUGUCACCUUUAUAAAUUUUAAGUUCAAUGGUGUCAUUAUUUUAAAUGCGACACCAUAAAUAGUGACAUCAUAUAUUAUUUUUGUAGUAGUGCUAUUUGAUAACUAUUUUAAAAAUAUAGUUCUGAAAAAUAGUUUUUGAUAAUAUUUUUUAAAACUAUUAUCUUAUGUUUUAUAGAGAGAAAAAAAAUUGUUUGGGAAUUUGAAAUAUUUUUAUAUUUUUAAUUUUGUUACAAAAAUAAAUUUUAUAAUGUUUUAUUUUUAAUUGAUCCUUCUCUAUAUUUGUAUAAAUAUUUUUAAAAACAACUCUCAUAAAAAAAGUAAAAAUAAUUAAAAAUAACUAAAAAAUAUUCUUUAAAAGUAUUAUAUUUUCCAUUUUUAAGAAUAAAUUACUGUUUGCUAAUUUAUUAAAAUUAAUCACCUAACCCUCCUAAAGGGUGUAUAUUUCAUGAGACACAAGAGAACCGUAUACUAGUACGUUAGAGGGUGCUCAUGAAAUACUACAUCUUUAGGAGGAGAAAUUCUAAACCAAAUAUUAUCCUUUUUAACCACAACUUUUUAUAUAAAAGUUUGUUCAAACAUCAACUAUCUCUCGGUAAUGAUUAAUCCUAACAUGAGUAAAAAAUCGUUGUCCUAUUUUUCUUUUUGGUUUCUAUUAUUUAAGCACAAAUUAUUUGUAGUAAACAAGGAGAAAACUAAGAAAUUUGAGUUGUUGAAAUCCAAAAAAAUUCAAAAAGAAAGAGAGAGAAACGAAAAUCUAUAAUUUCUUAUUAUGAAUUAUCUUAAAAAAAUGGUAAAACAUCAUUAAAACUUAAAUAGAUCUUAUAAAAGAAAAGAAAGACUAAUUUAUCAUUACUUCUAAAAUGAAAGAAAAUAAUUCUAAUAUAGUAACUAAAAAAACAAAAGAUAUGGUACAUGUUUGGCAACUAUUUUAGUGAACAGUUUUUUGUUCUCCAUAACAAAAGAAUCAAAAAAACAUGUUUAGCAACCAAAACCAAAUUUUUGUUUUCUGUUCUUAAAAAUAUAAAAUAUGGUGUUUUUAGAUAACAUCUUUUACUUGUUUUUUGUUGUUUUCACUUCUUUUCUAAUGGCUAUUUUAAAAAAUAAUUAUAUAAACAUCUAAAAUGAUUAAAAAUAAAACAUUAGACAUAAAAAUUAUUUUAAAAUAUAUUUAAAAAAUAUUAAAAAGAUGUUAAAAAUAUUUUAGGUUUUCAAACAAGCUUUUGUUCUACAAAACAUCAAAAACCAUUCUCAAAAAUUAUUUUUUAGAACUAUUUUUGAAAAGCUUACCAAGCAAGCUCAAGUUUUUUAAAGUUUAAGCAAACUAUAAUUAAAGGCUCUCUAGUGACAAAGUCUGAUAGGAUUGCACAAUAAAAUUAUUAAUUGUGCAAUCAAAUAAUAUCUUUGUUGUAGUCUAAUUGGUUAGGAUAUUCGGCUCUCAUCGAAAGCCCAAGUUCAAGUCCUAGCAACAGAAAAUAGGGUGUUUUUAGAUGACAUCUUUUAGUUGUUUUUUAAGACCUUUUUUAAAAAAUAAUUAUAAAAACAUAUAGAAUGAUUAAAAAUAAAACACAAGGCAUAAAAAUUAUUUUUAAAAUAUUAAAAACAGGUUUAAAACAUUUUAGGUUUUCAAACAAACUUUUAUUCUACAAAAUUUAUUAUAAAACAGUUUUCAAAAACCAUUCUCAAAAAUUGUUUUUCAAAACUCUUUUCGAAAACACUUACCAAACAGACCCUAAGGUUUUUAAAGUUUAAGCAAAGAAUAAUUAAAGGCUCUCUAGUGACAAAGUCUUAUGGGAUUACAUAAUAAAAUUAUUAAUUAUGCAAUCAAAUAAUAUUUCUAUUGUAAUCUAGUUGGUUAGGAUAUUCGGCUCUCACCUAAAAGGCUCGGAUUCAAGUCCCGACAACGGAAAAAUAAGGGCCUAUUUGGCAACUAUUUUCGAAAAUUGUACCAAAACCUAUUUCUGUUUUCCACUGCUUUCACUUGUUCUCUUAGAGUUGUUUUCAAAAAUAAUUAUACUAACAUGUGGAAUGAUUAAAAAUAAAACACUAGACAUCAAAAAUAUUUUUCAAAUAUAUUUAAAAUAUAAAAAACAAGUUAAAAACAUUUUAGAUUUCCAAACAAACUUUUUGUUCUACCUAACAUUAAUGAACAAAUUUCAAAAAACAAUUAUCAAAAAUUGUUUUUUAGAACUGUUUUCAAAAACACUUAUCUAAUAUGUCAUAAGUUUUUUAAAGUUUUUUAAGCAAACUAUAAUUAAAAUCUCUCUAGUGACAAAGUAUGAUAAGAUUGCACAAUAAAAUUAGGGUUUAUUACACUUUACCCCCCUAACCUAUAGCUUAUUUUGCACAUUGCCCCAUUGAGUUUAAAAUCAAAUAAUGUACCCUUUAUGCUUUAUAAUUGCAUGCAAUAUAUAUUUUUUGAGUGACGAUGUUACUUUAAUUAGACGGAAGGUGCAAAUGCUCUCCAUGUGAACUAUUUAAAUGAGGGUAAAAGGGUUAUUUCAUUUUUUAAAAACCCCAAAACCUUAACCCACCCUCUUCCUUCCUUCCUUCCUUCUUUCCUUCAAUCUUCGACAUCUAUCUUGUCUUCCCUACCAUUGGUGCUGCUGUGGAUCCCUUCACUGACCACCCAUCACACCACCACCUUACCGUCACGGAGUCCCUCCUCAAAUCCUACACUGUCACUCUCCCAAUUAAACCCUAGCCCCAACAUCUCCCCCAAAUGCAAUAUCAUUUCAAUGAUUAGCCGCCAUAAAAAGCUUGACCUUGACCUCACUCUCCAAAUAUUCAACCACGCUUGAAAAUCCCAUCCUAAUUUUGCCCACAAUUAUGAAACCUACCUUGCCAUGAUAAAGCUACCAAUUGCUUCAAACUCGCAAAAUCUUAUAUUUUCCAGUUUCUUUAAAUCCCAAAAAAAAAAAAAAAAAAAUCAUCGUGGAAAUUCAAAUGAGAGAAAUGAUUAAAAAUGCUUAAGAAAAGUUUCCAUUUUUGGAUUUUUGUUUCUGAAUCAUUUUCAUUGGAUUUGGUAAAGUUUUCAUUUGAAUUUUGAAUUGAUUUUCUUUUUAGAUUUUUAUAUUGUUUUCCGAUCAUUUUUUGUUUGACAAUUUGAAUUUGGUUGUUUUGGAUCAUGAUGGUGUUUUGAUUCGGUGUUUUAACUUCUAGGUAAAAGAGAUUUUGGAUUAAAGUUGUAUUAGAAUUGAUCAAUAUACAGUUUAGUUAUGUUUUUUUUUGUAAAUUUAUCUAUUUUUUAAAACACUGCAAAUGUGUUUAGUCAAGCUUGUUUGGUUGUCAAGAAAAUGUGGUGAAAGAAAAUGAAUGAAGGUUGAAGAAUGGGGGUUAAGUCAGGGUUUUGGGGUUUUAAAAUGAAAUGACUAUUUUGCCCUCAUUAAAAAUGAUCGUUUUGCCCUCAAUCAUGUGGAAAGCAUAUGUCAUUCUGUCAAAAAAUGUAACAUCAUGAUUCAGAAAAUGCACAUUACAUGCAAUUAUAAAGCAUGGAGGGUAUAUUACUCGAUUUUGAACUCAAUGGGGCAAUGUGCAAAAUGCAAUAUAGGUUGGGGAAAGGGGGGGUAAAGUGUAAUAAACCCAUAAAAUUAUUAAUUGUACAAUCAAAUGAUAUCUUCAUUAUAGACUAGCUGGUUAGGAUAUUCGGCUCUCACCCGAAAGACCUAGGUUCAAGUCCCAACAAUAAAAAAAUAAGUUUUUUCCAUUUUUUUUCUAUUAUUUUCACUUUUUUUAUAAAGAUUGUUUCAAACUAUAAUUAUACAAACAUAUAGAAUUAUUAAAAAUAAAAUACUAGACAUAAAAAUUAUUUUUAAAAAUAUUUAAAAUAGGUUAAAACCAUUUUAGAUUUCCAAACAGACUUUUGUUCUACAAAAUAUUAUAGAACAAUUUUCAAAAACUGUUCUCAAAAAUAGUUUUUCAGAAUUGUUUUCGAAAACACUUAUGAAACAUGCCUAUAGUAACUAAAUAUAUAAUUCUAAUAUAGUAAUAUAUUAAUAACUUCUAACAUCCCCUCACAAACUCACGAUGUGAUUGCAAGAAGCAUCAAAAGUUUGCCAACCAAAAAUCAAAAACAUGGAAGUGGGUGUAACUUUGUAAAUAAAUCUGCAAUCUAUUUGAAAAAGAAAAAAAAAACAAAAACAAAAGGCAAAGUGAGAUUCUUAUGCUAAAAGUGAUGACCAGUGAGGUGACAAUCAAUCUCAAUAUAUUUGGUCUUUUCAUGAAAAACGAAGUUGUGAGUAAUCUUAAUAGCACUCUUGUUAUCAUAGUACAUCAUACUAUUGAGAAAAUCUCUUAGCAACCAAUUAAGCUUUGUAUCACUUAAUUAAAGUACCAAAUACCAAGUAUCAAUCUUAUGCAAAGUAGAAAGUUCCUUAGUCAUACCCUAGAAAAGACGUUGAGAAUUAGAAUGUGGGGGGAAAAAUCCACAAAUUUAGAAGGUGUUGGAGUAAUCGUAGAAGAAGAGGGAAGAGCAUGAUAAUCAAAAACCACAAUACCAAUAUCUGCAUGAAAACUAUCUAUAUCAUCAAAGAAAUGUCCAACGCUAACAAGUUCAGACUUAGAGACAUUAUAAGAUUCAAUAUGAAUAGAAAAGAAAGGUAUAUGCUCAAGAAAGAAAACAUGACGAGAAAAUAAGACAUAUGCUCAAAGAAGUAGUAGAAGACAUAAAAGUAAAACUAUCAAGGAAUGGGAGAUCAAGAAAUAGGGACAGGAGAAGACACAAAACCAUAGAAAAAGAAAAGACAUAUAGAAUUUGGAUCCAUAUCCAAUAGACAGAGAUAAACAAAAUUUGGAUCAUAUCCAAUAAACAAAUUAAGACACACAUAAUUUGGAUUCAUAUCCAACAAACAGAGACAAGCAACUUUUUAGAUUCAUAUCCAAUAAACAAAUAAAAGAAAUGCAAAAUUAGAUUGUAUAUACAAUCUUUCCAAUUAUUCUCAUAACUCUUUAGCAGUCUCAUACUUCGCUAAUUGUAUGUCUAUCAAAUCAUUAAUGGAGUUAUUAAUCAAAGCAAUAAUUUUCAAAUUGCUUACUUCCUAAACAUCUAACAGUUAUGCAUAUUUUUCAUCAUUUUCAUUCAUAGGUUUGUGUAGAGUAUCAAUAAUAUAAGCCCACAUUGUUUUGCCCUUUAGAGAAAAAAAAAUCAUCACAUAACUCCAAUACAAAUAAUUUUUUCCAUUCAAUUUCACACUAAUAGAUCGAAAGAAAUCUUCUCAUUCACCCACCAUGACAAAUAAACAACAAAUAACCACCAAACAAAAUAAAGCAAAUAUAAAUUGAGCAAAACGAAUACAAAAUCAAAUACUAGGAUCAAACAAGAAAAGAACGAUGUAAUUACCUAUUACGAUAUCCCACGAUCAAACAGAUAUAAAAGUAGUGUAUGAGAUUAAACUCUCUUCUAUGAUAUCACAAAUCAAAAGUCCCAUUAAAGAUCAAUUUUGCUUUAAUACAAUAUUAAAAUCCAAAAAAGAUUGAAAGAGAAAAAGAGAAAAGAAAAUCUAAGAUUUCUUAUUAUGAAUUCUCUUAAAAAUAGGUACAACACUAUUAGAAUCUAAAUUGAUCUAAUAAAAGGAAAUAAAGACUAAUUUAUCCUUACUUCUAAAAAAGUGAAAAUAAUUAUAAUAUAAUAACUAAAUAAAUAAGACAUAUGGUAACUAAAUGAAUAAAUAUAUAGUAACUAAAUAUAUUAAUAACUUCUAUCAAAGAAACACAAAAUGAAAAUCUAAAUCUGCAUAUUCAUCAAUUUUAAAGUUGUAAUAAGGACCAAAUUUUUAUUGGCGAUUAUGUACCUAAAAAAAAUUACAAAUCCUUGCUACAAAGUCGAAGGCUUUGAAUUUAUUGUAAUGUGACUUUCACAAUCUCACCAGUAGCGUGAUUACAACAUUCGAAACAAAAAUUGGAAUCAGCAUUUUUCUGCAAGCUUGACAUUCACCUAACAAAAUAAAUAUACUUAAAAAACAUAAUUCAGAUAUUUGACUCCUAAUAAGAUGAUUUCAUGCAAAGAAAAUUCAGUGCCGUGCAAGUACGGCACCAUUGUCUUUGUAAUUUCAACAGCUCACUGUAAGUUCCACGUUUAAAGAAGAAAAUGCACAGUAUAGUCUAUUAAAUAAUGAUAACGAAACAAUUUUCCCGGAAAAAAAAUAUUUUUAAAAGUAGAAAGGAUGAUUGUUGACUAGAGAGAGUAGGUGAACCCCAAAUAAAUAAUAUUUACAAAUGAAAUAUAUAUAUAUAUAUUUAUAUAAUAAAAAAUAUUUAUCCAGUAACUCACUACAUACAUAAUAUUAUAAACUUCUUUUUAUAUAUAUAUAUAUAUAUAUAUAUAUAUAUUUAUAUAAUAAAAAAUAUUUAUCCAGUAACUCACUACAUACAUAAUAUUAUAAACUUCUUUUCUUAUCCAAUCCAAUGUGAGAUAUCACAACACACAAGGGAAUAGAUCAUUAUAGAUAUUGAUUAGAGAGAGAAGUUUUUCACACUUCAUAUUUAGUGUACUCCUAUUAAUUGUAUCACAUUUUAUACAUCAUCUAUACACAACAAAGAGAACUAUUAUAGAUGAUAUUAAAGUCAAUCCCUAAGUAAGUGCAUAUGCACCUAAAUGUGCUUGCCUAUGCUGCAAUCACAUGAGAUAUGGUAAGAAGUUAGUAGCUAUAUGGAGGGUGAUUGUAAACUUUAACAACAAUUAGGGAAAGAAAUUUGUAACAUUUAUGUAGUGGAUACAUCUUAACUAUAUAAAUGUAUUUUAAAGUCAUGUGUCUUAAGCAAAUAAUAUCAACACAUGAAAUAACAGGUUAUAGAUGAUAGUAUCAAAGUUGAUACCGUACUAUGAGUUUUAAGUAUAAAGUUGACAAUAACUACACACCAAGGAGGGAGUUCUUUCAAAUGGUAUCAAAGUGGAUCCUAAAUCAAAUGUUUUUAAAUACAUGCAUCUAGUCCCUUGAUUCACUCCUCUUAUUUGUGCAUAUUAAGUGCGUAGCUAUGUUCUUAGUUGUAUAUAACAAAACGAUUAAUUAAAUAUUUGGUAGAAGCUUAAGCUCAAAUUCGAUGUGACAUUCCUCUCUAGUUAUAUUUUCAAAGGUAAAAAAUAGUUAAAUUUCAUAAUUAAAAAAUUCCAAAAAUAUUUACUAAUUCAAAAUUUUCUUAAUUAUUUUUAAAUCAAGUUAUCCUCCACUUCUUUUUUCUUUUUUUUUUUAAUAAUUUUUCCACUAGAUGAUUGUUUCUCAUAAAUCCCACUUCUUUUCUUUUUCUUUUCUUUAUUUUAAUAAUUUUUCAGUUAAAUGAUCCCUUUCAAUAAAUCCCACUCAACUAUGCAUCGUCCUUCACAAAAAAAUAUAUAGCAUUUCUCAAGAUCCUAUAGGUCGUAAGUGUUAGAACUCAUGAGAGUUUACCUCUGAAUUUUGAAAAAGUCUUAGUUAAACUUAGUCUUUGUUAUUGUUUCAUAUCAGAUUCUUGCUCCAUAAUUUUCUGUUUUCAGUUAGUAGAAGUAGUGCCAAUAAAAUCUUAUAGUAGCUAAGAAUAUAUAUGUUGAUGAUGUGAGUUUGCAGUUUGUUCAAACAGUGGAUGGACCGGCAGUCUUGAUAAGCACCUUUGAGCAGCUUGAGAAGUGGAGUGGGGAUCCAUGUCUCCCUAGUGACACCAUAUGGCAGUGGCUAAACUGUAUAGGCAAUGACCCUCCAAGAGUAACCUCCCUAAAUCUCUCAGGGUAUGGACUAGAUGGCUCUCUCCCUUACUUCAGCCAAAUGCAGGCUCUAAUACCACUAUCAAAAUCUUUAGGUUUUUGUCUUUCUUAAGUUUCUCCUCCUCAUAUGCUUUCAUCUGAGCAACUGUAGGAUUUUCUCUUAAUGGUGGUGGAUCAGCUUCAGACAUCACAACAUUCCACAAACCUUGAGAACUUAAGUAAAGCCUCAUCUUGACAGACCAAAUGUGAUAGUGUUCACCAUUAAACACUGGAAUUAUAGAGGAAAUGUUGUUGGAAGUAGACAUGUUUGCACCACAACUGCCUGAAAAAAAAAAAAUCACUCAACCUCACUAUGUUUAGUACUCAAAACACUUAAAGAAACUUCGUCUCACAUCCCGUAGGAACAGAGCUCUAAUACCACUACAACAUAAUGGAGUCUUUGAGAGGAAGAACAGAACGCUAAUGGAAAUAGCAAGGCGCAUGCUAUUCGAGAAGAAACUACCAAAGCUUCUAUGGGUUGAAGCAGUUAGCACCUUAGUAAAUUUGCUUAAUAGACUACCAACUAAGUCUGUUUAGAGCAAAACACCAAUAGAGGCAUGGUCUGGUGUAAAACCAUUUGUCAAGAACCUAAAAGUGUUUGGCUCAUUGAGUUACCUUCCUGUGCCAUCUAUCAAGAGAGGCAAGCUUGAUGAAAGAGCUAAGAAAGGUGUUUUUGUUCAGUAUCAAAAGGUUACAUAAUUUAUAGCUAGAGUAGAAUAAAAAUUGUGAUAAGUAGAAAUGUGCACUUUGAUGAAAAUUCCUACUAGAAUUGGGACUUGAAGAAAGUCCAUAAAUGUGAUCAAACCACUCCAUCUAUUCUUUAACCAAUAGUAGAAAGUACAAGUAUUGAAGAUCCACUUGAUGUUGAAGCAACUUCAAACACACCAGUGCUUAAGGUAAGGCCAUUAUCUGAUGUGUAUGAGAGGUGCAAUCUUGUACAUGCUGAGCCUACAUGUUACACAGAAGCUGCAAGAUUUCCAGAAUGGAUUGAGGCUAUGAAAGCUGAAAUUGAUGUUAUUGAAAGAAAUGGAACUUGGAAGUUGAUAGAAUUACCUGAAGCUAAGAAGGAAAUUGGUGUAAAAUAGGUUUUCAUAACCAAAUUCAAUUCAGAUGGUUCAAUCUUCAAGUACAAGGCUAGAUUGGUUGUGAAGGGUUUUGCUCAAGUUGCUGGAGUGGACUAUGGUGAUACAUUUGCACCAGUAGCCAGACAUGACACUAUAAGGCUGCUACUUGCACUUGCUGGUCAAAUGGGAUGGAAGGUGUACCAUUUAGAUGUCAAGUCAGCUUUUCUAAACGGUAUACUUCUUGAAGAAAUUUAUGUUCAACAACCAAAAAGCUUUAAGGUUACUGGGCAUGAACAGAAAGUGUACAAGCUACACAAGGCUCUCUAUGGUUUGAAGCAAGCACCAAGGGCCUGGUAUAGCAGAAUUGACUCUCACCUGAUCCAACUUGGAUUUAGAAGGAGUGAAAAUGAAGCUACUUUGUAUUUGAAACAAAAUGAGGAUGGUUUGCAAUUGGUAGUGUUAGUUUAUGUUGAUGACAUGCUAGUGAUUGGAAGCAAUGUACGAUUACUAGCUGAGUUCAAAAUGGAAAUGCAAGAUGUAUUUGAGAUGUCUGACCUUGGCAUCAUGAACUACUUCCUUGGAAUAGAAAUAUACCAAUGCAGCUCGGGUAUCUUCAUUUCACAGAGAAAAUAUGUUGUUGAUAUUCUCAAGAAGUUCAAGCUAGAAUCAUGCAAAGAAGUAGCAAUUCUGUUGGCACAAAAUGAGAAAAUUUCAAAGAAUGAUGGUGAGAAACUUGAAGAACCCUCUGCAUAUAGAAGCUUGGUAGGCAGCCUACUAUACUUGACAACAACCAGACCUGACUUGAUGUUUCCAACUGGUUUGCUUUCAAGAUUCAUGAGUUCACCUAGCAAUGUUCACAUGGGAGUUGCAAAAAAGGUGUUGAAGUAUGUUAGAGGUACAACAAAUCUUGGCAUCUAGUAUUUAAAGAUAGGAUGAGUUAAGCUAGAUGGCUAUGCUGAUAGUGAUUGGGCAGGAAGUAUUGAUGACAUGAAGAGCACUUCAGGUUAUGUAUUUACAAUCGGUUUAGGUGUCAUUUGCUGGAAUUCAAGAAAGCAAGAAGUAGUGGCACAAUCAGCUACAGAAACUGAGUAUAUCUCCUUAGAAGCUACUGCAAAUCAAGGAAUAUGGUUAAGGAAAUUGCUUGCUGAUCUAGGCCAGGAACAAAGCUCACCAACAGAGCUUUACUGUGACAACAAGUCAACCAUUGUCAUUACUCAAAAUCCUGUCCAACAUGGUAGGACCAAGCACAUAAAUGUAAAAUUUCACUCUAUAAGGGAAGCUGAAAAGAAUUCACUUGUCAAGUUGCAUUAUUGCUCAACUGAUGUGCAACUUGCUGACAUAAUGACUAAGACACUUCCUAAAUCAAGGCUGGAGUUCCUAAGGUUGAAGCUUGGCAUGUCCAGGGCAAAUCUCAAGGAGUGUUAGAACUCAUGAGAGUUUGCCUUUGAAGUUUGAAAAAGUCUUAGUUAGACUUAGUCUUUGUUAUUGUUUCAUAUCAGAUUCUUGCUCCAUAAUUUUCUGUUUUUAGUUAGUAGUAGUGCCAAUAAAAUCUGAUAGUAGCUGAGAAUAUAUAUGUUGAUGAUGUGAGUUUGUGGUUUGUUCAAACAGUGGAUGGACUGGCAGUCUUGAUAAGCACCUUUGAGCAGCUCGAGGGGUGGAGUGGGGAUCCAUGUCUCCCUAGUGACACCAUAUGGCAGUGGCUGAACUGUAUAGGCAAUGACCCUCCAAGAGUAACCUCCCUAAAUCUCUCAGGGUAUGGACUGGAUGGCUCUCUCCCUGACUUCAGCCAAAUGCAGGCUCUGAUACCACUGUCAGAAUCUGUAGUUUUUUUCCUACAGAUUCUGACAAUAAGUAGAUUCAACCACAAAAAUCAGCUUAAUUUUUCCCCCUCUAUUCAUAUUUCUCUUUUAUAUCAUUUUAAUGGCUAACCAUAUAAACUUCUCUAACGGUAUAUUUCUAUCAGAAAAAGUGAUCUUUAAAUUGUUGAAUAACAGAGGGGGAAAACGAAGUGAUGAAGAUUAAUUUUAGGAAUACUUUAAGUGAACUAAUUCCCAUCAUUAAAUAAUAUCUAUUCUAAAUUUUUUCUCCUAGGCUCUUUCUCAGCACCUUCCAUAAUCACUCGGAUUCUAAACAGCGUAGAUAACGAAAGAAAGAAGCAGGAAAAGGCUUAACGCUGUAAUUAUCAAUGAAGUUGACAUAACCCCAAGAAAAUUUUCAUCUAGAAAUGCCAUUCUCCAAUAUACCCCUUCUGGAUGCUGUCCAAACAGAACAGUCAGCAGAUGUUUUGUCCACUUUUCAAAUGGCUGACAUGACUAUUUCACAACAGAAGCUUCCCCCAUUAUUGUAAUCCUCAUAGCUUUGUUUGAAAGGCAUCAAAUACCUUAAAGUCAACAUUCAAACCCCCCUGGACGCGUUUGAGAUGUAAGAAAAAAACUACUACGCAAAAAUGUUUGUUUAAUUUCCACGAGAAAAUUUACUAAGUGAUGUAUGCACCCGUCAAUAUGUAUAUAUACAGCUUCUGUCUCCCAACGAUCCCUCCACACCCACCAUUUCUUUUCAUUCUCAUGUGAAGUAAAACUAAGGAGAAAGAAGCAGAAAAAGCUAUAAAACUCUCAAUCGAUUUCCACUAUGGCAGAGAAAGACGCAUACCCCUUGGCACCAGCCAAUGGCCACGCCCGGAACGAUGCAGAAUCAGCUGCAGUCCAUGCUGAUGAGCUCCGCCGCAAGAAACGCAUAAAAUGUAUCAUAUAUCUUAUUAUUUUCGUGGUGUUUCAGAGUAUAGUUAUAUUGGUUUUCGCCCUAACUGUGAUGAAAGUCAAGAGCCCUAAGUUCAGGGUGCGGGAAGCUUCAUUCAGUAGCUUUGAGGUUAAUCCAGGAACCCCAUCAUUCUCCAUGAAAAUGAAUGCUCAACUUGGAGUGAAGAACACAAACUUUGGACACUUCAAAUUCGAUAACAGUACUAUUGUCUUCUCCUACAUGGGGAUACCAGUGGGGGAGGCUUUUGUUCCAAAGGCGAGAGCCCGAGCUAGAACCACAAAGAAGCUGACUGUAACAGUGGAUCUGACCUCAACAGCUUUGGCAAGCAUGAAUUCACAGUUAGGGACUGAUCUCAGUAGGGGGGUUUUGCCAUUGACGAGCUCAUCUAAGCUGAGUGGGAAGGUGCAUCUGAUGAAGGUGAUGAAGAAGAAGAAGUCUGCUCAAAUGAACUGCACCAUGGAAGUCAACACCCAGCUGCAAUCAAUUCAGAAUGUGAAAUGCAAGUGAUCUAGUAGUAAUUUCUCUUUUGUUGUGUGCUUGAACUUUGAUUUCUUAUAUCACAUCCGUGAUGUAUGUACUUUCCGCUAUAUAUCUAUAUGCUUAAACUGUAGUCCCCAUACGCCUGUUAAUUCUUUGUAUUUUGCUUUGAAUUAAGGACGAGUUCAUACUUUAUUAGAUUUUCAGUGCUUUGAAUCCAGUUUUGCAAUCCAACAAUUCAUUGGUGAUGACCAAAAGCCACAGAGUCCAUCUGGGGUUUUUGAGUGACAUCAGUGUGUCACUUUUGUGUGGAAAAAGUCUUCAACUUGAAGCAUAUCGGCUUGGGAAAGCAAGAGGUGAAAUUUUCAAAUAUGGUGGCCAUACUCCACUUCACUAAUCAUCAAAUGUAAAAUUUACGCCCACUAAUAAAAAGGGAGUGGCUUAUAUAGAUGUCAUACUUCCCUUUCUCUACCUUGCUAUAAAACAUACUAUCAAGAGUUUUGUCCAAGUUUAGCAACUGUUUUUGUUUUGAAAAACAGUUUUUAAAAAUUGUCCUAUAAUGUUUAUAAAAUAAAAGUAUGUUAAGAAACAUGAAAUAUUAUUAACUAUUUUUAAAUAUGUUUUUAAAAUAAUUUUUAUGUCUGGUAUUUUACUUUUAAUCAUUUCACAUAUUUGUAUACUUAUUUUUUAAAACAAUUAUAUAAAAACAACUAAAAAAAUAUUUUCUAAAAAAAUCAUGUUUCUAUUUUUAAGAAUAGAAAAUAAAAAAUAGUUUUUAGUUAUCAAAGAUAUGUUCCUAAUUUUUUGUUCUGAAAAACAGAAAACUAUUCUCGAAAACAAUUGCCAAAUGAGCUUUGGUCUCCUCCCACUACUUAGAAGCUCUUUUUAUCUAGUUUUUAUUCAAAAAGCAAUGCCAAAUAAGAUUUGAGUUUAAUGAAAAUUUUGAGAGGAUCAAAUUUUCUCUUAUUGUUUUAUAAAAGCAGUAAAAUCAAUAACAUAAAAACAUAUGUACUUUUGCUUGUUCUUGGUCUUCAGCCCAACCACAAAAGAGGUUAAUAGAUGCAUCAUAACCCCAAAUGGUCACAUAGUUAUUUAUUGAAGUUUGGUUCCAUUUGUUUGAGAAAAGAUAGUCAAUUUUUAGGUUUCUAAAGUACUGUUUAGAAUUGUAUGUAACUCAUUCUAGUUUUUGAGUUCAGCAUUGUAGAUGCUGACACUUUCUCCAGAGCAUAGCAGCAUUGCCCAUUUUAAAGGCUUAAUAUAAGUCUGCGAGGGAUGCAAGUGACAAUUUAAAAGCCUAUUUUUGAUAGGGUGGGGAUUUCAUAACAUGGGGUGGUCAAAUCUGAUCUCACAAAGGGAAAUGUAUGAAGGCAUUAUUUUAGUUUGUGAAGUGAGCUUAUUUUAUAUCACAUGGAAUGUUCAAACCUCUGGCAUUUGACUAUGGAGAUUACUCUCUCUAAAAUUUAAGAGACCCCAUUGUAAUCAGUCUAUUUCAAUGGUGACGACUGACGAGGUCAUGAAAGUAUGUUAUCAUUGGGCCAGGGAUGUGGGACUAGAAGGACACAUUGCCCAUAGAAAAUUUAUGCAAAAGGAAAAAACAAAUAUUUUAUGUCUUGAUCUGCCUAUUUUUUCAUAAAAUUAAUUGAAAAUUUUGACCAUUAAGGCAACAUGUCUUGAGUUCUACAUUCACUCGUUUCAUAAUUAUUCAGUCUCUUUCUCUCUACAUCUGUUUGGCGUAGGCCAUGACAGUUUCCUUUUCACAUAAAAAACCAUAAAAUAAUUUUCUUGAAAGAAAAAAUAUGCAAGUGAGAAUUAAAUUAUAUACUCCUUUUCAAUGUUUUAUAAUCUAUGAAUGCCCUUUAAUUAAUAUUUUUUUAGUCAAAUUAUUUUUAUUUUUAAAAAAUUUCUUAUAAAUUAUGGUGUUCCUUCACUGUUUAUAAUCUAUGAAUAUUCUUUGGUUUAAAAAAAAUAUUAAUAAAGAUAUGAAUUUUUACUCCUGCUACCAAUUACAAUUUGAUAAUUUCGGUUUUUUUAAACUUAUUCUACAAUCAUUUUUUCUUAUGAGAUAUCAUAAUAUAUAUAUAUGGGCAUUUUUGGUAUUAUCAAAAUUUGUCCUCUUGAUAUAUAUAUAUAAUUUUUUUUUUAUCCAACCUAAUACAAACUUAACCCAAUAUUUGAGAUCUAUGUGAACAAGCAUUUUUCAUACUCAAGUUGAACUUAAGUUCUAUUUUCCCAAUCCAAACUUGGGAUAGGACUUGGGCAAAGGGUUGGGGUAAUCCAAGCCUAGAUUGAACCUAAAUUUAAUGUUUACAAUUUGUAUUGUUAAAUUUAUAUAUAUUCCAUUUAUAUUCUUUCAAACAAUUUUAAAGAAAAAUAAUAAAAUUUAAUUAUUUCAUAUUUUAUUUUAUUUUUCUAAAAAAAUAAUAUUUUUGUUAUUAUGUCGAGAUGGUGUAUUACUUACUUACUGUUUAAAUUUUAGCAUAAAAUUAUAAAAGAUGAAGUUAAAAUGACUAUGAUAAGAGAUUUGUUGAACUCUAUCUAAAUUUAAUCCAUACAACUUGAAUAAUUUGUCUAACUUGAUUAACCUAAGUCUAAUAUAAACUUAACUAGAAAAAUAAAAAUGUACGACGUUCAAGUUUAACAUUUUCGAUCAUAUAUUGAAUUAGAUUAAGAUUAGGAUUAAUGUUUAUUAAUUUAAUUUUAGUUCGGGUUACGUGCAAACUCAAUCUAACCCAUUUGAGUUGCAACCCUAGGUUUCCCUGUAUUGAAAAAUAAAAAUGAGGGCUUGCAUAUAAGUAAAAUUUUAAUAUGAGGUGGUCAAAUCUUAUCUUAUAAAGGGAAAUGUAUGAAGGCAUUAUUUUAAUUUGUGAAGUGAGCUUAUUUUUAUGUCACACAUGGAAUUUCCAAACCUAUAUGCCAUUUACUAUGAAGAUCACUCUCAUUAAGACAGCUCAGGGAGACUCAAGAAUUAGUCCAUUUCAAUGGGUGAUGCAUGACCCAAGUAUGUGGGGCUAGAAGGGCGCAUGCCUCUUGGGUAGGCUGAAAAAAAAAUAUAUGUACUUUAUGACUUGAUCCUAUCUUUUUUCUUCCCAUAAAAUUGAAUAUUUUGACCACUAAGGUAACAUGUCCAUGUCAUACAUUGAAAAAAUAAUAAUAAUUGCUUUAAAAACUGUUUAAAUAUAUGAAUUUUAAAAAAAAAUUAAAGUAAUUUUUAAAAAUAGAAGAUAAAUAUGUAUUUUUUAAACAUGAUGUUAUGCCUUUGUAUUGAAGUUUUUGACUUAGAAAAAAUAGGAAGUAUUGAAGUUUUUGAUUUAGAAAGAAAAACAUGAAGGGGGGAGAGAGAGAGAGAGAGAGAUUCUAGCAAACACCACAUGGGCCAGAAGCACAUCAAAGGCCCAGACCAAAAGCUCCAAGUAGGUUGAGUCUCAACCCCACUUUAAUUUAUCGAAUUGGAUUGAGCUAAUCAUAUGGCAAUAUUGCAACACGUAGACUUCAAAAUUUGUUCUAGGAUCUUUUUAUCUAAAAUUUCAGACCUAAUUUUUAUUUAAAAAUUUUUAAAUCCAUUGAAUUAGAAAUAUUUUUACCCUCUUACUUUUGAUCGACAGACUUUACAUAAUUAUUUUUUAAAAUUCAUUUAUUUUUAUUUUUAUUUUUAUUUUUAUUUUUAUAUUGUAAUUAAAUCAAAGAACGUGAUGAGUUACAUAGUUUGGUUUAUAUAAAUGAGAUUGAGUUUGUAUAAUUCAAAAAAUUAUUUCUCGUACCAUAAAUUUUUAAAUUGGAAUAUUGUUACUUUAUUUUAUUGAUAUAUGUGUUUAUCUAUUGUAUAUUUACAUUGAAAAAAAUUAAAUUAAUUUAAUGAGAUUGUAUGAAUUGGGUCAUUUUUAUCUAUUAAUAUGAUUAAAACUUGUAAAAUCAUUUUUUAAUUAAUCUUAUAAAAUUAUGUAAAUUGAAAUCAUUCUUCAUAAUGAUUGUGGAUAAUAGAAAGGAAACAAUAAUAGAAAGAAACAUAAAUGACCAUAAACUCAAAAACUCAUGCUUUCCUUGACUACACUACUACUCGUUACCCUUACAGGUUGGAACCAUUGUUUUUUAUUAUUAUUAUUAUUAUUAUUGACAAUAAAUUUUGCUACUUUAAAAUAUUUUAAAACAUCUUUAAUUACAUUUUUUUAAGUCAAGUUAUUAGUUUUUAAAUACUUUAUCUUAAUUAUAUAAAUAAGAAUACAAUAAUUAUUGGGAUAUUAAUAAUAAUAAACAUAUGAUUUGGACUUAAUUAAAUGCUAAAAUGUUCAAAUUUUUGAUAGAAAAAUAAAAGGUUAUUUAAUGAAAAGAUAUAAAAUAAAACUAUUAGUGUAAUUUUAUUUCAUCCAUCUUAGUUUAGGACUCUGCAUUUUUUCCUAUAGUUUACAUUCUUUUGAAGAUUCAAGAGAAUAAUGGCAUAAAAGGGAUAAAGUGGACUUAUGAAAAUUAGAAAUAAAAUUAAUUUAGAAAGAAUUUUAAAUUAAUAAUUUAAAAAUAAAAAAAUUUCCAAAUCUUUUAAAAUUCUUAAGCUUAAGCUUAUAAAUUAUUAUUUUGGUAAAUCAUUAUUUCUAAAUUGAUUCCAAGUCCACUAGGUUUUCUCUUAUCUAUGUUCAUCGGAAGUGUUCUUCAAAAAAGUGGAUGCACCUAAACUAUUCUAAGUUAUUAUUCAUUGUGCUUAACUUGAAACUCUCAAAAAAUUCAAUAUUCUCAUUCUUGGGUUCAUGAAAGAUAUUUGCAUCCCCUCAAAGUGUUGAGAAGUCCUCUAAGGAGCAUAGUAGUGUUACAUCGUUGACAUGAGAUUGGGCAUAAGUUCUAGGAUGUAAGUCUUAGGGAGUAGCAACUGUCAAGUAAAUUUAUGUACAUCUUCCUCAUAUUCCAUGAAUUAUAACUUUAUGGUCUCACUUGUGAUUUUUUCAUCUUUGCAUAUUGUGUAGAGGUUUUUCAUCGGAAGUGUUUUUCAAAAAGUGGAUGCACCUAAACUUGUCUAAGUUAUUAUUCAUUGUUCUUAACUUGAAACUCUCAAAAAAUUCAAUAUUCUCAUUCUUGGGUUCAUGAAAGAUAUUUGCAUCCCCUCAAAGUGUUGAGGAGUCCACUAAGGAGCAUAGUAGUGUUACAUCGCUAACAUGAGAUUGGGCAUAAGUUCUAGGAUGUAAGUCUUAGGGAGUAGCAAUUGUCAAAUAAAUUUAUGUACCUCUUCUUAAUAUUCCAUGGAUUAUAACUCUAUGGUCUCUCACUUGUGAUUUUUUUAUCUUCACAUAUUGUGUAGAGGUUUUUCACGAACAAAUCCUUUGCCUCGUGUGUGUUUGAUUAUUUUUUAUAUUUUUCACUUUCUCAAAUAAUAUCAACUCUUCUAUUAAAAUCUUUGAAAAUCAUCCAUUCAUUUCCUCUCGUGUGGAAGGCUUACCUCCACAUGCUCUCCCUAAGCUCAAGACCCUUUGACCAUCCAAGGUAAACAAAUAAUCCAUUUGGAGCAAUUUGUCUGGACCAAGAUAAGUUUCGUAUGGCGUGGGAGGAAAAACAAAUUUUUUUCUUCCUUGAUGCCAGACGGAAUGGAUAGACCAAGCUGACUGGGACUUCUAGAUAGACAAACCAAAUCAAUCAAAAAUUCCAAAUAUUAGUCGGAUGAUUAAUCACCACCAAUGUCUAAGCAACAAUCAAUACAACAUUUACACCUAAAAAUCAAUAUCAAUUAGUUGUUACACACAAUCAGCGAUAUUGACAAACAUAAAUGCACAAUCAAUGAUAUGGUUCGAGAUUCUUGCACGACAAUCAAUAAAUGACACCAAUCAGCAACUCUUGUUUGCUAUGAUUGUCCAAUCAGCGCUAAGAUAAAGGUAUUAACUACCUUAUUAAGGCAUAGUAUCCGCCACGAUGGCGAUUAUCAAGGCAAGAAAGGUUGUGAUGAUGGCGUCAUAUGUUCUAUAAAAACCCUUCCAAAAGUAUGAAAAAGAUACGUGUACAUAGUUAUUCAAAAAAUUGGAUUCACUCUCGCUAGAUUCUGACUUAGGCUUCGAAGGGGCAUGCUCAGACCACCUGUCCAGACAUCCUUUUGUGAAGGGAAGCAAUCCAUCUAACUUUGGUGAAGCUAGACGAGCUUUCAUCUAGUUGACACAACACCAACAUCUCGGUGUUUCUCAUACUAAAUCAAAUAACUUUCAAAAACUUUUCUUUGUCAUAUUAUGAGAAUAUUUAUGAUCAUCCAUAUUGAUAUAAAUCUUUUUUUGAUUCUAUAAAAAAAAAAAAUUCCAACUCUCUAUAAAAUGGAAAAACCCGUUAAUGAAAUAUUAUUUAAUUUUCUUUUUUAGCAUUUUAUAUCUUCUUCUUUAAUUUCUUCUCUUUCUACUUUCUUUUUUACAACAUUAUAAAAAAUACAUAUAUAUAUCCUCAUUUCACAUCCAAAUAUUUUAAACAAGCAUUUUUUGAAAUAAAAAUAUAAAGAUAAUUAAAUCAAAUUGAAGUCGUAUUUAUUUAUUUUAUUUUAUUGGAGAUUGUUAUGGGAAUGUACUCUAUCCUUUGUCACAAAUAUUUCAAAAAGAAACCUCCUUAACUUUUUUUUUUCAACCCGAGUCAACAAAUGAACUUUGAGACCAUAUUUGGCCCAAAUUCAUGCACCAAACACUUUCCCCUAUCAUUGUUUUUGCCCUUCUGUUUUUUUUUAAUAUCCAAGGUGGAAGCAAAGAAGCCCCCAUUCCCAUAAUAAUGUUUCCUUAAAAAUGAUAAUUUUCCUAUAAUCUAGGAAAAUGUGCCCACACCCACAUGAAUCCAACACAACAUUAGGUUUGGUGCAACACACAUACACCACCUAAUUCCCAAAUCAACCGAGAAACAUACCAAAUCUAGGGUUCUUGGAUUACUAUAAAGUGUCCACCCUUUGUUUCCAUCAAUUCUUUGUAUCCUUGUCUUCAAGUUUCUCAAUACCACCACAUUGUUUAUGCUUUCUUUGUUUUCUCAUGUCUUCUCUAAUUUCUAUGCUCCAUGUACAUUGAACUAUCCCGAUUAAGCAUGUUAGGUUAAUUUAGUUCUUCGUAUAUUUAUGAUCAACAUAUUUUAAGUCUUAUUCUCAAAAAAAAAAAAUGAUUUCUAAGCGUUCCAAAUCGAUAUAGAUUGAUUUAGUCGGUUACUAUUUAUAAAUUGAUCGAUUCUAUUAGAUUGAUUUGAUUUGAUUUGAUUUUAAUGCGCAAACCUAAAUGAUACAAACCCUAAUUAAUGUACAUAUAUUGACAAAAGGUUGGAAAGAACUUGGAAAAGAAGACAAAAAUAUAAUUCACUUAAAAAUCAUUAGGAAAGAAAAAAUAAAAAAAAGGAGAAAGAAAAGGAAAAAUCCUCCAACUACAAGGGGGUUGGUGGUCGCAAUUUGGUGCAAAUGAGUGGCCUACACUGUUCCAAAAAUGUGAGCCACCAGACCAGACCCAUUGUCUUUGGGGUGGGGUCACAUCACCACUUGCUCCACUCUUGGGUGCUGUUUGGCAGCCUCUCUUCUUCUUUCUUCUGUGUGAUCAUGACUUUAGAAAACAAUUUUUCUGUUCGAAAUUUCAAACUUGGAAUAUUCAAAUUUCCAACUUGUAAUCCCCAUUGUGGAAAUUGGAAAAUCAUGUUGGUGGGUUGCCUCUUUUUCAACUAGCAAUGUGACAAUCUCCAUUAAAUUAAUGGGGCUAGUGCUCCAUUUUCAUGUGACUUGUAGGGUAUGUUUGCCUACAUGUCAUUAAAUAUAUUUCAAUUUUUUUUUUUUUUUUACAUUUAUUGAAUUUAAACUUAUAUUGAUGCUUCCUUCUCAUUUCCCAUUUGUUUGUUAGGUGUAGGUGACUUGGUAUAAAUUCUUAUUUUUUUACAAAAAAUUAAAAUUAAAAUAAGAUCAUAAUUUUAAAGGAUAAUCAAUUAAUUAAACUUGAAAGAAUCAUUUGUAUCAACUUUCCAUUUUUUAUUUUGUUUGAAAAAUAAAAUCAGAGUCUAUUUGGUUGUGAAAUAGUUUUCUAUUUUUAAAAACAGAAAGUUAUCUUCAAAAAUUUUUACUGUUGUUUUGCCGUUGUUUUUUAGAAAUAAUUUUUGAAAAUAAAUUAAAAUAAAUAAUAAUUUUUAGAAAAUAAGUAAAGGUUAUUUUCAUCAAUUUUUUUUAAAAAAAUGAAAAUUUUGGUCAUUUAACCAUAUUUUUAAAAACUAUUUUUAAGUUAAAGAAUUAAAAACAAUUUUUAAAAAUAAGUUUUAGAAAAUACUAUGAAACAUACUUUUUAUUCUUUUAAGAGUUUUAUUAAAAAUAAAAUAAUUUUUAAUAUAAAUUAAAAAAAGUUAUUUACUUCUCAAGAGCCCUAAGUAAAUAAAAAAAUUAUAAUAAAAAUUCUUGUCAACUUUGAAAAAAUCAAAAAGGAUUUCUUGCAAGUCAUUCAAACAUCAUCUAGACACUUAUUAAAAAUGUUUACAUCAUGUGUGUCUUGCAGAACUGAAAUCAAUCAAACCAUGAAGAAAACAUGGGAUUGAUUUUCCCAUCAAAUCCUUUCAUCCAAACACCAAAUAGAGAAAGAGAAAAACACCCACAUCAGGAAUGCCAUGGAACAGUAAAAAAAAAAUAGAGGGAUUUUGACCGUCUAAAGCUGUGAUACAAGUAGAGUACUUUUUGAAGAGACCCACAAGCAGCUUUAUAAGCUGCCUUUUCCUUUUCUUUUCUUUUCUUUUCUUUUUCCAUGGAAUUUGUAUUCAAUUGAAACUUUAUAGCGGUUUUGUAGCUGCAACAAAAGGACAAAUUGAAUCUACCAACUCACCCAUCCGGCCAUCCCUCAGACAAAUGCCUUUCACUUUGCUGCUCUGCAUUCUGCAUUGCCCAAAUAAAGCUAUAAACCCAUUAAAAUAAAAUAUUUUCUCUGCUUUUUCUUGCCUUUUUAAAGUUGUUUUUGUAAAGCAUUCUGAAAUUACUAGAAUAGUUUCAUAUGUUAUAAUCAUUCAAAUGCAAGUAUGUAGUACCCACAAGCUUUCACAUUCUUAAUCACACAUUUUUUAGGGUUUUCUUUUUUAUGAAAUUAGAAAUAAGGUACUCUCUAAUAUUGACUCCUUGUACCCAAAUAUAGGAUCACUUAUGUAUACAUUUCAAAUUUAUGGAUUUUUACCCAAAUUCAAUCUCGUCCCGUUAUUUUGUGUCACACCCCGAAUUCUAGACAACCCAAAAUUCGACCCAUAACUUCAAGUGUAACCCUUAAGAUCAAAGAGCGUUCAAAUUCUAGGUUGUCUAGAAUUCGAAGCGUCACAUUUUAUAUCUGAUCCCAUUUAUUUAUACAUUAAUGUUUCGUAUAAUUUUAAUGAACCAAAUCAAAACUUCUAUGCUAAGCUACACCUAAUUUUUUUGUGAAUAUUGGAUGGUAUUGAAAAUUUUAUUUAUUGUAACAUUUUAAAUUGCAUCAUAUUUUUUCUUGAUAUUCAUAGCCCAAUUUUUUUUUUUCCUGGUUUAAUUCCAGUCAACCAAACGAGGAACAAAAAAGUCAUUUAGUAGGAAUUGGAUUAAAGUGGGUCCACACAUUGGGUUCAUUUUCAAGGCAUCUAGAAUUUGGAUGAAAAAAAAAAUGAGAAGGGAAUCAACCAAGUAAUGUGCUUCACACUUAAUGCAAUUUUCUCGAAUCUUUGAAAAGAAAAAGAAAAAGAAAAUUAAUUUGAAAACAAAAAAGUAAAAAUAAAAUUGGAAAUGCAGAAAUGAAAUGAAAGAAGGGAGAAAAAUAAAUUUCAAUAGUAUCAUAAUGCUUUGACUGCACCAUGCAAAGAUUUACACAGAGAUCUUUUACUCAUUUCUUCAAUAUUUUCAUGAUGACUCGCUGCUCAGUGCUCACCAUCCCCUAAACUCUAAAGAUUCAUUUCACAAUCCUAUCUUUUCAAAUUAUUUUCUACUGAAAACACCAAAAAAAAAAAAAAAUUCCCUUUUCCUCCGUUUGGCCGCUGAGAAAAUGGAAGAAAAUAAUAAAACAGAGUGUUGGGUACAGAAAAUAGAAAACCCAGUUCGGCUCAGCCUAAUAGUUGCAUACGCCCAUGCGGGUUUUUUGUUUUCUCAUGUCCCAAGCAAGACCCAGUCAAAAUUUCUAUGUUUUUCGUUUUUCCUGCAGUUUCUUAGCAUCCAAACAGGGGUUGCAGACACUAGAGUAACGUUUUCCCGCCAUUUCACAGAGCUUCAAAUUUUCUCGACUGAUCGUCUUGAUGAGUCCAGGGAUUGCUCGUGAGAAGAAUCGCUGGUCCAUCGUGAUAAAUGCGAAGAAUCUGAAGCCAAAUUCAGAGGGAAAAAAAUUCAAAUUUUGAAUUUUCGUGAAAAUUGAAGGCUGAAAAAUACAAAUGAUUAAUAGAGAUCAGUUCCGUACCGGUUGAAGAGUUGAGCGAUCUCUUGCAAUGCAUAAUGGCGCUUUGAAUCCCAUCAUGCUGCUGCGCCAGCGAAUCAUCUCUCCUACUUGCCUGAAAGCUCACCGGUGGCAUCAUCUGAACAGCGGCCGACGCCGACCGGCUCUUCCCUAGAUGCUUACACACCACGCGAAGCCCUGCCGGAAGACUCCCCGGCCUCUCUUCUCCGUCCUCUCUCCUGGACUGUGUCUUCACCGGCUUUUUGGGGGAGAAUAUUGGCCCCGGAAUCGGAGAAGACGACGGCGAUGGGGACGACGUCGUUUUUUCGCCGUAUUUCUUGGAAACCUUGAUGUACAGAGGCUUGAUGAGCUUCAGAUACUUGUGCACGACAUCCUUCGAAAACCUCUUCGACUCAAACGACGUCGUUUCCUCCGUGCCAUGCUUGCCAAAGCUCCUCGAACUGUUCUCUCGGGUAAACACCGAAACCACCGGAACUUCCUCCACCUUGAAUUUGACGGUAAAAAGCUUACUAUUCCGCGGAGGUUGUUCCGAAACGCCGCUCGCUUCCAUUUUCUCAGCCUUCUCCGUCUUCUCUGACUUCGACCUCCUGAGCCCGAACAUGAAGACCCUGAACCUGGGCGCGGACCUCAACAGCGAGAUCGGAGACUGAGGCUUCGAGCUGGACUCAAUCGGGAGAAUUCUUCUCUUGAAAAACAGCUCAUGGGCUGAACCUCCCUCUCCGCUCUUGUUGCUGUUCUCUUCUUUGUUCUGAGGCACAGCGAGCUCCAAAUCGAAGAAGGAAUCUUCGUCGUCAGUCUCCACCAUCACAUGGCGCAAGCUGGUGGUCCUGACGGCGUCGCCGGAGGCGGCAGUGGGUGCUGACCCACCGCCUUUCCAGAGCUUGAGAAAGCUGAGAACAUCCAUGGUGGGGAGAGCCAGAGCAGUGAAGAAAUGGGUUUUGCUUGGAGUAGGGUUUUGGUGGUUGGAUUGCUUUAUAGACAGGCCUUUUUCUUCUCUUCCUUUGAUGGCUGUGUCGUUGCAGUCACUGAAAAUGGUGUUUCGGGGAAGCGGAGUGUGAAUUAAGUUUUCCCCCACAACGACGCCGUUUUAUACUGCCACAACACCCACUAAGAAACGGCGUCGUUUCCUUAAUGCGAAACUGGCCCACGCGCAAUCUCUAGUUUGGUCGCACGCGCAGCAUCAUGGGAUGUUGUUUCUCCCAUCCAACACCCAAAUUUGAAUUGAAGAAAGUUGAGACAAAAACAUGGUGGUCCAAACGAAUGGUCAAUUCAUUGAAGAUUCUGAUUUCAAAUUACGAAAUGGAUAGCCCCCUUUCAUUUAUUUGAAAAUUCUUUGGUUAUUUUAAUUUCUCUUUUUUUUUAGAAAAUUAAAAAUUUUAGAAGAUAGUGGAUGGGUUAAAAAGUCAUAUUAGAUGAUAAUCUUUCAUAAUGAACAUUUUGACUCUUUCCUGGAAAAUGAUGUGGUUAAAAUAUCAUCUUCCAGGUUAAGAAACUAGUGAUAGAAGAACACAAAAAAAGUUGAAACUUUCUUUGAUUUUCUUGUAAUUAAAUUAAAUUUCUUUGAAAAAACAUGUUACUAGAUGCCAAAGUAGUUACAUGCCCACUCAAUUCCAAUCAUGCCAUAUUCAAAGACCAUAUUCCAUUCACAUUUAGGAUGGUAAGGGUUGGAUACCAUCUCAAUUGUUUAAAUUUAUUCACAUUUUUAUCUCAAAAAAAAAAAAAAAAAAAGUUAGUAUUGGUAGGGAAAUUUCCACACCACCUCAUGCCCAUUUAAUAUUUGCUGAAAAAGAGAAAUACGAAGGAAUUAAAUUAAAUUAUUUUUUUUUAUUUUGUUAUAUGUCAUAGUGUAAUAAUGUCUAUCUUAAACCUGAUGAUGAUGGAUCACCCAAAUGAUGACUCUUAUAAUAGAAUCACAGAGUGUGAUGUUGAAUGUCAUACCACUCCAAUUGGUUUUUAAAUGAGAUGAUUAAAACCUGAUCCAAGAAUUGGUAUCAAAGUUAAGGAAAUUCAAGUUACAAGAGCAUCAUGUCGGGAGAAGGAUUAUUGGAAUACAACAAUAUUGUCGAAUGUCAUAAAAGAUUUGACUUACUAUCAUUGACCACUAAUUACUUUUCAAAUAAGAAGGUUAAAUCCCAAUCGAAUAAUAUAUAUAUAAUCGAGAUAGAACAAAACAAAUCAAUACUUUCAUCAAAUUUUAUCCAAAAAAAAAAAAAAUCUAAACACACCCUUAACCCAUUUAUACUCUUUCAAUUGGUUGUAUUAUGAUUGAUUUACAUCAUUCUAUUACGUAUAUUCACAUUUUUUUCUUCAUAUUUAUUAAAAAGAGAUUAUAAUAUAACUUUAAUACUGUAUUAUAGUUAGUUGAAAAGCAAUAAUAAUACAACUUACAACCCAUUAUCAUCUACUUCACUUGUUAGAGAAAAAUUUUGAAGGUUAAUUUUCCUAAACAUACGUUAAUAUUUUCAUUAUUUCAAGUGCCCAUUCUCACACAAGGAAGGUCAAAGGUGGCAUAGAAAAAUACCCUUUUGCUAAGGCCAUUUUCACUUUUAGACAGAAAAAAAGGGGAGGUUUAGUGUGGAUUGAGGGAAGCGCGUGUACCAGAAGAGAAUGGAUUUUUUUUUUCACUAUUUGUUAUUUUUUAUUUUUUAUUUUUCUUCUUAAUCCAUGACGGGAACAGAGGGUUGCUGAGGACUGUGGCCAUGGGAAGGGUGACAGAAACUUCCAAAAAGAGACAAAGUAAAAGAAAAAUAAAAAGGGAGAAAAGGGACAAAAAGAAGAGACUCACACAUGACCAAAAAUUAAAAAUAUAAAUAUAAAAAUAAUAAAAAUAAAUAAAUAAAUAAAAUGUAAAGUGUCUCAGAGCUUGCUUUUCUCAGUCUCAAAAAUCUGCUGGAGUCAGAGAAUGGCUUCUUUACAAGGCAAGACAUGGAUAUAAAUGUAUAUAUAUAUAUAUAUAUAUAUAUAUAUAUAUAUAUAUUGGUGGAUGCAGUGGUUGGGCAUAGGGCACCCCAUCUUCAUGUGUAUGUUUUCAGAGAUGGAGUUUCUCUCUUUUGUAAAGAGGCCAUAUCUCUUUUACCCACAAAAGGUUUGACCUAGCUUACAGUGAGGUUUUGGGAGAGUGGCCAUGCCUCUCUUCCCUCAUCUCAAACCCCCUUUCUUUUUCAGUGUUUGGGAAAGGGGUUUGGGUUGAUGGUGAAGAGACCCAUUUGGUGGGGAAAUUUUGUUCAUCUUGGAUAGCUAUAUUGUGGCAAAGGUGGACUACAUUGUCCAUAAAAGCAGAAAUUGAAAACUACUUUGAAUUAACCAAUGGAUGAGCAUUUGUAACCUUUACGAGAAUUUAAAUAUGAAAAACAAAUAAUUUUUUUAGCUUGUUUUUAAAAUGUUUUCUAUAUUUUUAAUCUUCUUAGGAUUUAUUUUAAAACAAUCGAUUUUCAAAACUAUUUUUGUAAAAAUUUGUUAUACAUGUUUUGAGUCAAAAUAUUUUCUAAAACUUGUUUUUUAUUGUUUAACUUAAAAAGAGUUUAUAAAAAUAAGUUUUAAAAAAUAUAACCAAUCAGGUCUGUAUUUUCCUUUUGUUUUUAAAAACCGAUAAAAACAACUUUAAUUUUUUCUCUAAAAAAUAUUCUUUAUUUUACUUUAUUUUUAAAAAUUAUUUUCAAAAAAUAAUGGUCAAAUAGUGUUAAAAACUUUUUAAAAUAGUUUUCUCUUUUUAAAAAUAAAAAAUUAUUUUUAAAUCACAUGACCAAACAGGCUCGAAGUUAUUUGAAUAAUGUUUUUAAUCAAAAUAGUGUCUAUGGAUUGAUGGGACAAAAUUUUUAAGAAACCAUAUGAUGCUAAGAUAAAGAGAGACAAAAAAGAAAGAAAAUAUUGAGAAUGAUGAUAAAAUCAUUCACAUAAAACCUUUUAAAGUGGAUUUAGAGGAAGGAAAAGGGAGGAAUAUAGGUUACUAUAGCUCUUUUUGAUGCUAUAAUAAAAUGAUGAAAUGGUGAUUUUUUAAUGGUUUGUCUAUCAUUUUGCUCAUGUUAUGUUUCUUCCUUUUUUUAAAACUGAAGUUGCUAGUGAGUAGUGAAUGGGACUAGAGCUUCAUUUGCUCAACAUGGUGAUGGAGGAUGGCACCCACAUGUUUAAAUUUAGAACUCCACUGGAGACACCUUGAUUUGACAAUCCUUUUGUCAAAAGUUGAGUGUCUAUUAUGACUACAUAUCCCUAAACUUUCUUACCAUAUUCGUCCUUACAACAAUUUGUGAUCUUUAGUCAUGUUACUCUACAUAAUAAGCCACCAACAUCCUAAUUAUACAAGAUUCUAUGAAGGUGAUUAUUUUGUAUGCAAUGUGUAGGGUAAAUUUGAUCUAACAUCCCUUAGUUUAAGUUUCACCUAUGGUGGUCCAAAAUCUCGUUGGUCGGCUUCCUAGGGUUUUUCUUUAAUUAAGUAGUAGGAUCAUCGGCUUUUUAGGAGUUUUCCUAAUUGAGUAUUAAGACAAUAAACUAUAGUCACUAUUCCAACACCAUAAAUCGAUCAUUACCAAUAUUGUUAAACCCUAUAAUCUUGAUCUUCUUUGACAAUUAUAGCAUACAAAGAGGCACAAGCUUAGGACUCCUUGUCUUUGGAAAAGUGACCCUACCGACAAAAUACAUUACAUUAUCGGGACAUUAGUCAUGUAGAUAAUCUAUUAGGGCCUAGAGAUAACAAUUGAAUAGUCUCAUUCGAUUCGUGGCAUCAUGAUUAAGUUAUAAGAUUCUGCACCCUAAAUCAUGAUAUAAGUCACAACUUUUGGAACUUUUUUUUGCCAACUUUUACUUUAAAGGGGGAAGAGGUCACCCCACAUUUACCCUUUUCUUUUUUUCUUUACAUUGUUGUCAUCCCAGGGUGGAUCAUAGGAGUCCCCCCAAGACCCAAUACCUUAUGCUCUAAAUCAGAGCCUACCAUUGAACUUUUGUACUUCAUCUGUCUGUGGUUGUUGGGCUCUCACUAGAAUUUUACUGAAUGGUUGGUUGGUCAAAUGAUUCUCUCCAAGGAAUUUUUAUGAAUGGUGGGGUCUUUGUGUUUGCUAUUUACAAGUGGAUGACUAAGACAAAGCUUUAACUUAAUUAUUCCAUAGUUAGGCAGUGGUUCAAGGUACUUUUGAAUCAAAUCUUAGUUAUUCUUCAAUCUUUAUGUUCUCUGACCAUACAUGUUUUUCAUUCAUCAUCCCUUUUGAACCAAGUAAGAAAAAGUUUUGUGAACACAACCUUUUAAAAUAUGAAUAUAUUUUUAUUUUUAGAGGGGGUUGUCUCCUUCCUUUUGUGUCACCUACUCUUCACCCUUUAUAGACUAAUUGUUAGAGAUUCUUAUCCACCUACAUGUAAUUCAGGCCAUUGAUGAGGAACAAUCUUCUACCACACCUUUGCUAUGAUGCUUUGGAACACAAAUCUUUAAUUAAAUUAAAUUACCAAGUUUAAAUAGUUAAGACAUAGAGGUAAGAAGUUUAUCCAAUAAGCAUAAUAGUAUUUGUCUUUUGAGAAAAAAAUUAAUAGUUUAUAGGAGACAUGAUUAUGUCGUUAAAAGAGGGUUUCUUUGUGUUGUAAACACGGUAUAGUACCAUGAGAUUUAAUCCAUCGGGCGUGAAAAAUAAUUUAGUCUGAAUUAUAUAAUUUGGUUGUGUCGGAAGUAGUAUGGUGAAAUUUAGAAGUGAUUUGAUUAUAUCUAAAAAGAAUAACCUAAUCAUAUUUGAGAAAUAAAUUCUUCAUUUUUUUUAAAGCAGUUGAUUUAAACUUAAACCUUACGAUUUGAUUAUUUAUUUAUUUAUUUACUUUGGCAUGUUACAACUUUCAGGAAACCUAAAAUUGGGUCUAUAACCUGAGGUCAAAGGUUUGAUCCUAGUAAUUAUAUUAUAUCGAGAUUAGGGUCAACUUAAUUAUUUUGAUUACUUUAAAACCUAAUUUCACAUAGAAUUACUAAAAGGGGUUCUAAUUAAGUAGAUUCUCAAAUCGAUCUAACUAAAAUACCUUUUGAAUUAGUUGGAUGUGUUUUAAAGUUAUGAAGGCAACCAUAAAGAUUAAGGGUCAAAAGUAGACAAUAUUCACUUAAUAAUGACAUUGACAAUAUUCACUCGAUGUUGGCAUCAACAAUAUUUACCCAACAUUGACAUCAAUAAUAUUUAUCCAAUGUUGUCAUAGAUAUUCUCUACCCAUUACAAUAGUAAGAUUAGAGUCAAUCCUACCCUAGAAAGAACAUAGAGUUGAUCAUAUCUUGCGAAGUAUGGAGGGACGAAGGUGUCAAAUCUAUAUAUGGGAGGGUGAGUUUUGAUUGGGAAGAAGAAAUCUUUGAUACUAAUAAAGGUAUCUGAAUUGGUUAGACGGUUUUAAAACCGUGAGAGAGACCGCAAAUGCAAUGGGCUUGAAGCAAAUAUAGAAGAAUCGAGACAUUCUAACUUAGGAAAACAAAAAUAUCCCUUAGUAUUGCCACACGCAUAUCAAUGUGAACACUUGAAGAGGGGAUUGAAAUUACAAGAGGGUCUGUGCGAACUGUUGGGCUGAACACAUAACAACAAAAUGGUACAUAGUGUUGGACAAAUAUGGAGACUAGGCUUAAAAAUCAGGCCUUAGAAGGCAUGAGGCCUUAUAACAUAACUCUAGGUUGAUUUGGAAGAUAACUACCAAGGCCCAUGUAAUUGGCAAUCAAAGAAAUCACACUGAUCCAAGCAGUGGACAAAUCUCUCUCACCCACUACACUUGUUUGGAUGCCCAGAAAGCAACUUCUCCAAAGUGUACCAUUUUCCCACUAAAGACCAUAAUGGAAUAUAUACCCAUAACAAAUCUCCCCCCCUUGUUGAGCCAAACAUGACUUAAAGGUGGCUGUAAGCUACUGUGAGCUUCCUUCAACUCUCCUCCCUUCUGAUUCAUUUUCUCACCAAUUUUCCCAGCAUUUAUGUCUAUCACCUGCACCUACAGUUGUAAUCAUGGUAAAAUGUUGAUGUUGAUUAAUAUAAUGCAAGGGAAAUCAUUCAUGAUCCUAAAUUUGAUGAAUUUGUUGUCAGUUAAAAACAUUUGGAAACAAGUGGAAAUACUAAAUUAGCCCCAUGGAAUCAAAGCAAUUCUAAAUUGAAAAAUAAAAAUAAAAAUUGUUAUUGCUUUGAGAAUAGAAUAUUUUGAAGAAGUGAUUAAAUAUUAUAAAUUAGUAGUGGGGAGCAUGGUUCUGCUGAAUGCUGAUUUUCACAAGUGGGUUGCACGUACUUUCUCAUUCAUGUGAUGAGAUCCUCAACAAUGUUCUUCUUUUUUUCUUUUUUCAAAUUUUAAAAUUUUUAAUUUUUUUAAAUUUUAAGUCUAUUCAAGGGGAGAAUUUUGAAAUACAGCCACAAUUAUAUUAAACUUUAUCCAAUUUUAUAAAUAUGAUAAAAAUAAAAAAUCAUUUAAAUUUAAAUAUUUUUCUUCCUUUUUAUAUUAACACAAAUAUAUUUUAACUUAAAAAACCAAAAAAAAAAAAAAAAAAAGGGAAAAUCCAUUCUUACAAUGAAUUUUAUUUUUUUUUGGGUUUCAAUUUAAUUUUUUAAUGACUUUUUAUCACUUGAAAUAUUUUUGUUUUAUUUUAUGAUAUAUAUCAUGAUUUUAAAAAUUAGAUCGGAUCGAUUAAUUUAACUUUCAAUCAAUUAUUAUUUUGGUUUGAAUGGUUCGAUUCGAUAUCUAGGACUUGUUCCGAUAUAUCGGAACCAACAAUCAAUCCGGUGAAUCAAUUGAUGGAGUGAUUCUCCCUAAAUCGAACAAUUCAAAAGCUAUCAUUUGCCCUUAAAAUGACGUUAUUUUGAUGUAUGCUCUCCAUCCAACCUCCACGCUCUAACUGCAACAUCGUCAGACCCGACACCACCAAUUGAUGAGGACGUCCACGCCGUAGAUAUCUCCAGUCUCGCACAAUGGGUUGCAUUGUUGCAAUUUACAAAGUUUCAAUUGAAUAUUAAAUAUUAAAUAUUUUAUUAUAUAUUAAAUAUUAAUAUUUAUUAUUCAUUAAAUCAUUUGAGAAAAAAAAUUUAUUUUUAUUUUUUAAAUUAUUUUAUUUUAAUAAUAUAUAAAAUAUAUAUUUAUGAGAUCAAAUAUAAUUUUGAAUAUAUAUAUAUAUAUAUAACUCGUUAAUAAAAUUUAAUGAAUUUAUUUUAUAUUUUAAAAUUUUAAUAACUUAUAAAGAAAUUUAAAUUUUUUAAUCUUUUAUUUAUUUAUUUUGUAAAUUAUGGUACGUAGCAUUUAACAUUUAAUAAAUAUCGAAUCAUGUCAUGUGGCGUCUGGUGAUACUGAUACCAUCAUGUUAUUGUGUCCGUACACCACUAAAGUAACCAUAAUUCCAUAUCCCACCAUUCACUUUAUGCCACGUGUCAAUGAUCUGGGAUAAAUAUGGCCGGCCACUUCACGGAGUAAACUGUGAAAUUUUUAAAUAACUAAACAAGAAAAUGACCGCCGUCAAUGUCACCUCCGAAAACCUCGAACGGCACAAAACGGAUAAAUAUUUGUUAAUUAUCUUUUUAUUUUUUUAUUUUUAACACCUGCAUUUCAUUGGGUUCCGUUAUAUUCGCUAGCCUACUAGACUCGGACUCCGAACCUCAGGCUCGGGUUCCCUCCUUAAAAACGGCUCAAGUCUUUUCUUGCUCUCAGCGUUCACUCAGUCGCCGUUAAGUUUUGUCCCCGGCAGCCAGGUAUUACUUCGGAGAUUGCUUGCCGGAGUCUGAUGGCAGAUCAUGCGGGCGAGUCCGAAUCCGCCAUGGAGUCGGUGAUGGAAACGAUAACCGCGAAGCUUCAUGGCUAUGACUCGCCCUCGUCGUCAGACUCCGAAGACGGCAAGAAGUCGCUGGUGGAGGCUGUGAAAUCGAAGAGUUACAGGCUUUUCGGAAGGGAAAAGCCUCUUCACAAGGUCCUAGGGGGUGGAAAACGUAUGGCCACCUCUCUAUUAAUAUAAACACGUCUUUUAUGGAGUCUAUUGAAUCGUGAUGUUAGGGUUUUAUAAAUGAUUUUCGAAUAGAGGAUUUUGAUAUCUUUAUUUUCCUCUUUUUUUUGGUCUAUGUGGACGGGCAUUUUGGUUUUGCGGCGUUUGGUUCGGGAGAAAACGGAGGAAAAUAAAGGAAAGAAAAAACAAAAAUUGAAUUAGGUCGUUUCAUAUAAAUGAAUUACUUAAAAAGGAAGUGAACGCAAUUAAUCCGAACGAUGAAACUUCGUUUUCAUUUAUUUUCUUUCUUUCCUACAUUUUCUCGGCAAUGUAUUGGUCGAAUCCGCAUGUUAUUCUACUCUCUGAUUGGUCAUGUGGAUUUGAUUGAUGAUCUUUUCACAAUGCUAGAGUAGACAUGUAUAAGGAUUUGCAGAGAAUAGUGGUUGCAGAUUUGAUCGGAGAAAAUCUGCGAGGAACAGUCCUUGAACUUUGUUCCCACGCUUGUUACAGUCUCAUUCUUGUGUUUGUCGCAUCCAAAAACAUUCUUGAAAAUGAUUCCAAAAUGCUGAAGUUUUCUGUAGUCGCAGCAUGAAUCUGAGUAUAUCAUCUUACAUUCAUACAUAUAUUUAUUUUGGUGCAGCUGCUGAUGUCUUCCUGUGGAGAAAUAAGAAGAUUUCAGCCAGUGUGCUCGGCUGCGCCACUGCAAUAUGGGUUCUCUUUGAAAUGCUUGAAUACCAAUUGCUUCCUCUACUAUGCCACAUUUUAAUGCUCAGUUUGGCAUCCCUUUUCCUGUGGUCCAAUGCAUCCAUCGUCAUCAAGAAGUAAGUAGUCGGUUUUGUGAUGCAUUCUCUUGUACGAUUCAAAUUGAUUUGCAUUCUCACUUUUUCUGUGUUCCAUAACUAGGUCACCUCCAAACAUCCCAGAAGUUGGAGUUCCUGAGAAAGCUGUCAUGGAGAUUACCUCAGCCCUGCUAUAUGCAAUCAACCGAGGUCUAACUUCACUGCACAACAUUGCAUCCGGGAGACAUUUGAAGCAGUUUCUCGCUGUACGUUGAUUUUCAUUUUCUUGCAUUUGUGAUUUCUAAACAAGCCCUCUAAUAGGGGUUGAACUGUGUUUCUGGUUAUCAGGUUACUGCUGGGUUGUGGGUUUUGUCAGCUGUGGGGAGAUGGUGUAACUUCAUCACCUUGUUCUACUUAUGUAAGGAAUUCAAUUAGUAGUCAUCUAUUUACUUGAUUUUUUCACAAUCAUCCUCAUUUGACUUUGAGUGUCGGAAGACAGUGUUUGUUUUGCUACACACGGUGCCUGUCAUUUACGAGAAGUAUGAGGAUGAAGUGGAUUCGUCAGCUGAGAAAGUUAAGACCGAAAUCAAAAACCAGUACAGAGUCCUUUGCGAGAAGGUUCUCAGAGGACAACCUGAAGACGUGUUGAAGGUCAGGAAGCUGUCUUAGGUUCUGGUUUUGGUUUUGGUUUUCCAUGAGUAUCAUUGGAUUCUACUGUUUUAGGUCAUAAUCAUAGUUAUGCUUCACUUUAGAGCGUGUUUGGCAUUCAUGUAUUGACAUUGCUAUGAUACAAGGCAGUGUUCUUGGGGUUGCCCCUUCUUUCUUUGCCUUCUGCUUCGGCACAUCGUCUCAAUUUGAUUUCUUUGUAACCACCAAAAGAGCUCAUUCGUUUUCCGCCCCCAAUGGGAUGGGGAAUUUUUGACCCCCUAUUUAUACUUUUUGGCCCUUCAUCUUUUUGAAUCGGGGCCCGGCCCGGCUCGAGUCGUUCCAAGUUCCAACAACUGGCGGGGAGCACCAUCGUGCACAGUAACUGGGAGUCCUAUUAGACCGAAAUUUUAAAAAUAAUUAAUUCUAAAUUUUUUUUAGAACUUAUUUUAUUUAAUAAUUUUUUGAAAUCUUAUUUUGAAAACAAGGUGUUUUUUUUUUAAAUAUAUUUUAAUUGUUUUCACUUAUAUCUAGAAAUUUUAAAAAUAAUACUUAAAGUUUUUUAGANNNNNNNNNNNNNNNNNNNNNNNNNNNNNNNNNNNNNNNNNNNNNNNNNNNNNNNNNNNNNNNNNNNNNNNNNNNNNNNNNNNNNNNNNNNNNNNNNNNNUUUAAAUUUUAGAGAAGGUUUUUAUGUAAAAAGUAAAACUUUUAUAAAUAAAAAUGAAUUUUAAAAAAUAUUAAAAAAUAUAGAAAACAUUUCAUGUUUUCAAAUAAAUUUUUAUUAGAAAACAUGGUUUGAUUCUCAUAAGGAAUUAAAAAAAAGUUUUAAAAAAAAUGAUUUAAUAAUUUUCUCAUAUCUAGUUUCAUUAGGAAAAAAAAAAUCAAAUAUAAUUAAAAUUAAUUAAAAAUUUAUAUAUUUUAAAACUAAAAUUAUUUAAUAAUAUAUAUAUAUUCUCUUUAAUUUUUUUAUUCACUACUAUUUUUGUUCUUAAUUUUCUUUUUUAAGAACUAUUUUAGAAAAUGUCCUUCGUGGUUUUUUUUUUCUUUAAAAAAAGAAAACAUAUUUUAAUUGUUUUCCAAAAUAAUUAGACAAAUAUAAAAAUAUUAAAAAUAAAAAUUAUUUAUAAAAAAUAUUUAGAACACAAAAAACAGAAAGCUAACAUUCCAAAAUUCCAAACAAACUUAGAAAACAUUCUCAAACAGUCCCCAGCUUUUGCAAUUCUCCAAUGCCAUCCAUUCAUUCCUCUCAAACAUAGUGUUUUCAGCUUUCAAUCAAUACCAAUGUACCUUGGAUAAGUCCACAGCUUGGAGAGCAACCCUCCUUCCGAAUCACUAUCACUAUCCGAAGAGGAUGUCAUUGACAAAGAAUCAUCCAAUAUAUAUUCAACAAUCUGGAAACAAAGAAUAUGUCAACAACAAGAAAUACCAGUUAUCAGUUAUUCUGCCAAUGCUGAGAUUCCUGCUGGACACAGCAAGGAGAAACGGAAAAUACCACGAAUACGAAAAUCACCUGCUGAGGUGAUACAGGCUUAAUCUGCUGAUUUUCAGACUUCACUCCAGGGUGUCUUUUCGGACAUUUCAUGUUACUGAGCCAAACUAUCGUGUGGCAAACUCCACAAUAUCCCCUAUUAGAUGUGAAUCGUUUUGCCCGCUUGCCUGAAAUCCAGUCAGAUAAUCGUUAUAUUAGUUAGCAAUAUUUUCUUUCUUUUUUGUUUGGUUUUGACAAAAUAGUUAGUCCAAACGAGAUUAGACGGUAAAUACUGGUUUUUCCAAUGUUUUGCUACUUGGGAAGAAUAUGCUCUCCCUUCUAAGGGACUCUCUCUACACUGAUUUUUGUUGUAUGAAUCAGCUUAUUCUGAUACUCUUUGACUAUCAAGCAAUCUUAUCUCUUCAAAGAGUCUCUGGAGCUUUGUUUUUGAAUCCAAGUUCCAUCAAACCCAUCUUUUAUUAGCCAAUGUCCUUGAUCAUUUAAGUUGAAAAAAGCAAACCAAAGCACAAAAAACACAAAAUUUCCAUAACCAGUAAAAAGGCCAAUAGAUUAUAUACUACUGAAAUCGUGUGUGCUUCAUUGACAAAAGUGCAGAAGUGCAAAAUGAACAUUUCAGCAGGGCAGAGCCUAAUGUGAACAAACCAAAAGGCAACCCAACUGUGAGCUUGCCCAGCUGCAUGGAUUCAUUUUUGCAACAUGUAUUUCACAACAAAUCCAACUGAACUAGAGAUCUUGAAAGACAAUAGAGUAGCAUACCUUUAUAUUUUCUUUUGAAGGCAUCUCUCCAGUCAACACCAGUUCUAGUGGCAAUGUCCUCUUUUAGCUUAGUUUCUUCCUUAUCUUCAACUAGUUCACCAUCCCUGCGCCCUUUCAUCUUGGAAAUAUCUUCAGAAUUACCAAAGCAAAUAGCAUAUUGCAACUGCCACAAACAGUUAUCGCUUGCUGCUGAGUUCCAUGACCUUCACAAACAUUCAAAGGUUAUUAAACCAAGAAGUUUGCAGAAAAUUGAUGAUGGGGGACGAUUUAGCAAAAUCAUAUACCAGGCAGUGCUUUUAAUCCUUAGAGGAAGCCACUAAUGGGGCAUGGCAUGGUAAACUAAGACAUGUCAAGAACUUACAACUCAUCUUUAAUUUUGUGAAUGGUAAAGGAAGAAAAGAUUACCAGCAGGCUAACCCAACAGAAAGUAGGGAUUGCAUAUCCAGGAAACUGAAGAUAUGCACAAGAACAUCUUGAGGCAGAUGGGCCAAACCUGAAAAUACGGAAAAAUAUCAAGACGGUCCAUGUGUGGCAGAAAUAGAAUCAGUACACAUAAGUUUAGGACUGCAACUUAAGCGAGUUGGGUUGGGUUGGUAGCUUACCCAAGCACAACCAAAUUAAGACAUAAUCAAUCCAAGCCAUUUCUUAACUUAAAUAUUACCUUCUUCUUCCUGUCGAGCUUUAGAGCGCCUUUUACAAGCAACCUUUGCAUGCUUAAAUUCUGUAACUGCCUGAGUUCUCUUCUGCUUUGGCAACACGGCCUCUGCACUCUGCAGGAGGAGAUUAGCUGCUGAAACAGCACUCUGUGUCUGCAUUCUAGGAUUGAAACAACCAUUAAACAAUUAAUAAAAUUUUAUCCAACAUAGAGAUAGUUAAUAAGUCCAAGCACUUGAGCCAUGCCCCACAUGUGCAUGCCAUUACUGGGCUUGAAACCAACUUUUACUAUUAGUUUUAGCUUAAACAGGAUAACUAAGUAAAAUCCUUAGUACUUUUAUAUGCCUAUGAAAUUGGUUUACACUGAAUAGAAAUCUUUUAAAUUCUCGUGGUUUAAACAAAUCCAUGGUCCUUAAAAACAGAGGUAUGUUUUCAGGAGACAUAGUGAUAAAUACUUAUAUAGACAUAUUCAAAUAUAUAUGCAUGCAUAUACUAAACUAUUCGGUCCACAAAUUGGGACAUCUAGAUCAUCGAUUUUAACCACUAAUAAUAUCUAUAUACACAUAGAAAUUCUAAAUUACUUUUAAAAUCAAGGUUUUGCCACCAUCUUAAUACAUUUACCAAUGGACAUUUAUUCGCUUUGCAUGAAUUAUCACACUUCUCAUUUGGGCAUAAAAAAAGAAAAGGUCAAGCUGCAAAUUUGCUUGUUAGUGCUUAUAUGAUGAAAAAUGAAACAACUAAAUCAAUCCUGAAUUAAAUCAUUUGAGCUUCCAAAUGCAAAUUUUUUAGGCAAACUCCAUAUUCUGCUAGGAAUCAGAACUUUCAUCUCAAAGUUCCCAGACUGCCUACUCAAAAGGAAGGCUCAAGAAUUUCAGAUGGCAUAUAAAAAUUGAUUUUUCCAACAAUUCAUUAGAUUUGGCUGCUAAAUAAAAGCCCCUUCAGAAUAUAAAACCAAAUUCUCAGCAAUUUGUUGAAAGAUGGCUUAUAAGUAAACAGCCUAACAAAUAUAGAUUCAACAUAGUCAAAGGGGCUAAAUCAUAUUCAAUAAGGAUCCACUUCCGAUUACCAGAAAUCUAUAGGAAUAAAUGUAGUUUCAACCACGAAAUUCAAAAUUAAUUCUCAAUUCACCCCUUGCAGCUAUUACAAAACCCAGAGAACCACAAUUCAAAAAAGGAUAAAAAUUAAAAAAUUUUAAAAAAAAUGUUUAGAACUAUGAACAGAACAAUAUGAAACAUGAAAAAUCAAAACCAAUUUUGAAUCCACAAUCUGGGACCAUCACAAAAUCCGCAAUCACAAACUGGGUAUCAAAACCCACACAACGAACAAUUUGAAAACAAAAUCAAUAACUGGGUACUGAAAUAUAAAAAAAUUUCGGCAUCACAAAACCCAGAAGCACGAACCGGGUACUGAUUGAAAUUCACCUAAUAAGCAAUACCAAAAAAGAAAUAUGGGAAAAUUGGAUACAUACUGGGGAAGGAGACGAAAAGCUGCGAGGGUAUCUUGGAAGACGAGAGACUGGAGAUUUUUGGGGAGUUUAUUAUAAGCGCCUCUGAGAAUGAAGCUCAACUCUUUGCAGACGAACGGAUAUUGAUAGAUUCGAGGGAGGGAGUCUCUCAGACCGAGUUUUUGGUAUCUCUCCAAUGGGGUACUCAUCUUCUUUCAUGAAAUUCUGAAAACAAUACCGCUACUCCAUUGCUGGGAUCAACAAGAAAAAACCCGCAAGCAGAGGAAAACACCCACUUUUUUUUUCCCCUGUUCUUUUCUUUUCUUUCCCGUCCUGCUUAAAAAGGAAAAUGAUUUUGAGGGUGGUGAAGAAAAUUUGCAAACUCCGAAAAAUUUUCCUCAAUGAGAUUAGGGGCGCAGGUCGGAUCCAAGGUGCUUUACCUCAAGUGCGAUCCAACUUUGAUUCUUCAAGCUUGGGUUGAGUUUGAAUUAUACUCGAAUUUAUACAUUUAUAAAUUUAAAUUCUAAAUUUAGAAACCUUAUGCAUUUAUUUAAGAAGCCCUACAUAAAUUUUUUCCCUUCUUUCUAUAAUUCCAUGAACCUCAUACAAUCUAAUUUACAUUGACACUAUUUUUGAAAAUUAAUUUUUAAAACAGUUUUCUUUUUUUAAAAAUAAAAUAUAAGUGUAAAUGUUUUUAAAAAUAGUUUUUUUUUUCAAAAUAAAAAAAUAAGAAAACACAUUGAUGAUAAAAAAAAAAUUGUUUUCUGUUUCCUAUUCUUAAAAAUAAAAAAUACAUUAUUUUUAUAACAUUUUUUAAUUAUUUUUACUUAUUUUCAUUUGUUUUCUAAAACUAUUUUUAAAAACUAAUUAUACAAAUAUAUAAAAUAAUUAAAAAUAAAAUAUAUAUUAAAAAUAUUAAAAUUAAGUUAAAAAUAUUUCAAGUUUCCAAACAAAUAUUUUAUAAAAUAUUAAAGGAUAAUUUCAAAACUGUUUUUGAAAAUAGUUACUAAAGACGAAGGUGUUUUCAGAUAACACUUUUAGUUUUUUUUAGUUUUUUUCAUUUGAUUUUUUAAUAAUUAUACAACUUUAAAAAAAUUAAUUCAUGUUUAAAAAUAUAAAAUACUUUUUUAAAACAUUUCAAGUUCCAAAAACAAUUUUCUGACAACAUUUUUCAAAGGCCUUAAUUUCCAUCACUAUCUGCAAAUGGUUGGGGAUCUCCAAGUAGCACACAUUUACAUAAACAUUACUAACAAAUAACCAGAAACUGGUGGCAGUUUGUGUUGUAUUCUGUAGAAUGGCUUCUUAAUAAAUACUGACAACUGCCUUCUAAGAAUGAUAUACUAAAGCCAAAGGGAACCAAUAUGAAGGAUAAACUAAACCAACCCCAUUCAAGCUUCUCAGGGUUUUCCAGAUUUCUUUGUCCAUCUCACUCUACAGCUUUCAAUUCAAUGUUGCAUGCCCAUAACCAGCUGGUUUCAGGUGAAGGGCUUUCUGGCUUCCCAAACUCUCGUUCCUCCUCACAGAGAAUAGUAUUGCUGCUGCUGAUGUGUGUAUAGGAUGUGGCCUAUAGGAAGUAGGUCAGUUGUUUCUUCCUCCUUGAACCGCCAUCUCCAUACAAUUCAUUCCACUGCUUCAGCUUGUUCAUUACUGCUUCAUCAGAAGCAAAACUAGCAGCAACCUGAUUCUUUGCCUGCCUCAUGUCUUCCAUGUUUAAGGGUCUCAGAACAAUUACCUUUUCCCCUUUGGCUUCUUCUUUGGUAUCCGAAGCAUCCUCUGAGCUUUUCCCUUCAUCAGCUUUCUGCUUCUUUUUCUGUGAAAAGAAAUAUCAGAAAAAAAAGCCCUUGCUCCACCGUGGAAAACUAGUUGGAAAAAGGGAAAAGGAGGAAAAUGAUACUUGGAAGAGCUAAGAGAGUUCUUACUUUAUCCUCCUUCAAUCUCUCUUGUUGUAGUAGCUCCUUUACAGGACGAUAAGCUGCUGUCAUGCACAAAUUCUGUUUCAACGAUUAAUCCCAAGAGUCAACACAACAGCAGAUUCUUAAUCAAUUCACCAUUGAUGUCAGUAGAAGUACAAACCUUAAGAUCACUUCCAGUAUAACCUUCUGUCAUGGUUGCAAGCUCCUUAAAGUCAAGAUCCUCUGCUUUUUCUUUUGCCAAGAGAGUCUUCAAUAUCAUCUCCCUGCUCUCCACAGAUGGUAGACCAACCAUAAUUCUGUUCAUCACAGAUACCAUUAGUUUGCCUACUCGAAGCAUGGUGACACAUUCAUCUAUCUUCAAUAUAUCCUUCUCCAUACAACACGGCUUUAGUUUAAAUGCGGUAAAACGAUGAAAAUGAUGCCGAGUGUGACACAAUAUGCAAAUCUACCUGUGCUCAAACCGCCUGAUAAUCGCCUCAUCAAGGUCAAAUGGCCUGUUGGUUGCAGCAAGAACGAGGACUCGUUCACCAGCUUUUGUCAGUAGUCCAUCCCAAUGUGUCAUGAACUCAUUCUUAAUCUGUCGCAUAGCAUAAUGCUCUCCAACUUCGGUCCGCUGCCCAAGCAAACUGUCAGCCUCAUCCACAAAAAUAAUAGUUGGGGAGAUCUUUGCUGCGAGUGUGAACAGAGCUCGAACAUUCUUCUCAACUUCACCAAACCAUUUUGAAGUGACGGUGGACAUUGAGACAUUGAUGAAGCGUGCUCCAGCUUCAUUGGCAAUGGCCUUUGCCAGCAUAGUUUUUCCAUUACCAGGAGGUCCGAAGAGUAAUAUCCCCCUGCAAGGCUUCAGAAGCCCACCCUUGAAGAGGUCUGGCCUCUGAAGAGGGAGCAUAACCAGCUCCUGAAGAGAUUCUUUAAUGUCAUCCAAGGCACCAAUGUCCUCAAAUGCCACUCCUAUCUGAUUUGCUGGGAUAACCUCUGGCCUUAUACGCCUCUCAAAUUCAUUGUAAGGUGGAACCAACUGUAGCGAAACAAUUAAAAGAGUAAGGGAAUAUCGGAAAAUUUUCUUAGUAAAAUUUUCUUCAACAAAAAGGGGAAAACAAAUGCAAGGGAACCUCCUUACAGUAUGCACCAAAGAAAUCUACAAAAUCUGCAUCAUCUUCUCUUUACUUUGUUGUUUAACUUUCAGAAGAAAGUGGCAUUUGGGACAUGCCAAGCAUCUCAAAGAAAUCUUGUGGGUGAAUACCCACAAGAUCCAGUAGGAAACAGAAGCAGCAUACAAAUAAAACACAUUGAUACAGUUAAGACUCAAGUCAAUGUCAAGGUGAAAAACAAACCUUAGAAGAUUCAGCAUUUGUCUUUCGUGUGUCUUCCUUGAAUAUACUCAAUCCAUGGGACAAACUGUACCAGGGCCACAAUUGUAGUUAUAUAGAACUUUGUCUACAAUAAGAAGCUAAAAGACACAAGCAUGCAAGCAAUUGUAUCUACCUCUUGGAAGAUAUGACAAGCUUUCCAUUUCGGUAUUCUGGAUUUUUGUUAUGCAUCAAAUGAUAAGAUAGUGCAGAUAUUACAAUCUCUUCUAUGUGGUCACUUAGAAUCAUGGAGUCUGCAUGGCAGAUUGAACCCAAAUUAUCACAGCCAAUAUCAUUUGCUGCAAGCACCUCAGCAAUAUGAUUUUUGUUUUCCUGAAACUGGAUCAUCUCUCUCUCCUUUUCCAGUUGGGCUUCCCAGAUAUCAAGACAAGUCUCAUCCUCGGGCUCCUUGAUUUCAAUAUUGUAAGGGAAUAAGAGACUCACCCUUUCAUCCAUUUCUUCGUCCUCGUCAUCAGGGUCUAGCAUGCGGGAACCAAGUAUCAGAACUGAUCCUGAUAAUCUACCCAACAUUUUCUGGAACAAUUUGUAUAAUCUUUCUGAUUGGAGAAGAAGCUUCUCGACAUCCCUGAGGUAUAAAAUAAUGGGACAUGUUUCUGAUACUGAAUCCAAGACCUGUUAGUAAUAUAACACAUCAUCAAAACAAGAUCAAGCAUGAAUGUGAUAGCUAGGACUCUCAGACUUAGAACAGAAAACCGAUUCCUCAUAGAUUACCUUGUAAAGUGACUGCAAAAGUUGCUUCUCAUCAAAAGCCCAGUUGCUUGUGCGCUUGAAAUGAGCUACAAAAGAAAUGAGCAGCAGUAAGAAUAACAUCUACUUCCAGAGAAGAAAUGUCAAAAAGACAGUGAUCAAAGGAAUAAGAGGGACAAAACAAAUUCUCUCGGAACAUGAAUUCAUAGCAUCCGAUGUUCUCUUCUUAGGACAAAACUAGUAACCUGAACUUGUAGUAACACGUUGAGAAGCAACAGUGUUCUUUGUAUUAGAUGGAGUAGAAGCAUUGCUACCAUGCUUUGGAGGAUUCAUACAUCUGCAAAUGUGUAUAGGUGUAGGUUUAGAAGUAAUGCAUGAGAGACUUAAUACCUAAAUAGACAAUUAACCAUUGAAGCCCAAUUGUUUGGGGCCAGUAGAACUAAUUAAGAGUACAAGUGGCCUACCAUACCUUGAUUUAAUAUGGGCACCACUGCUUUGCCUAGACAAUGUGCCUGCAUUAGAAGUCCUGACCCGAGCUAAGUUGCGGAUAAAAUAAAAUCAACAAAAAGUUAAAAAGAACAAGACAGCAAAGAAAAUCAGAAGGCGUGAGUUGAAGUUGGUUCAAAGAAUGUAAUGUCUGGAUCAACUAAGAUGGUGUAGUAUAUCAAGACUAAUGAUCAAUGCUAACAACAAAAUUAAGCAUCUUUAAGAGCAUAGUUAUUCCUCCUCUCCCUAAUAACAAAAUAUUAUGAACUCUAUGGAAAUUGUUAGGGCUUUAGCACCAAGUGUAAAAUAUUGACACGACAUACACAUUAAACUAGCUUUGGGAUCAAUUGGUCACCUAACAUGGCAUUAGAACCUUUGGUUUCCAAGAGGUUAUUAUUGUAACCACUCUUUAUUUCUCCAUUUAUUAAGCCUAUGUGCAAAACUAAAAAAGACUGCCUAGGACGUAAGAGGUAUCAUAGAUUAACCCAAAUAUAAGUUGGCAUGAAAUACAUAGUUGGCACGUUACCUAAUAGUUUAAACAUUUAGGUCAAUUGGUAGUGCCAUGAUUUAUGGAAGGUUUUGGAUCAGGUUUUGACAAUUUCAUUUGAAAACUAAUUGAUGGUCACUAGGGUAGGUCAAAUCUUUUAUGACAUUCGACAUCACAUCCUAUGGGCUUAUUCUAAGAGUCAUCAUUUAGGUGACUCAUUUUCAAGCUUAAGAGUGACAUUGUUACACCCCAACAAUCCCUCCCUCAACAUGACACUCUUGUAACUCGAAUUCAUGACCCUGACUCUGACUCUGAUAUCAAUUUUUGGAUAGAACUUUUGACUAUCUCAUCUGAAAACCAAUUAGUGGUCAAUGAAAGUAGGUCAAACCUUUGAUGAUAUUUAACAUCACACCCUAUGGGUCUAUUUUAAGAUUCAUCAUUUGGGUGUUUCAUCCUUGAACUUAAGAGUAACAUUGUUGCACCCCGAUAGAAGAUAAUAUGUUUGAACCUUGCCAAUGUUUAUUUCUUCAUUAAUUAGGCCCAAUUGCAAGCCCAAUAAAGAAUUCAGGUGACAGGGUAGUAAGGUCUUUAGCCUAAGUUUAAGUUGGCACUAGUACACGUAGUUUGCCGAAAAGCUUUAGCUUUGAGGUCAAUUGCUAGCCACAAAAAGUUAAAACACUAAAAGAAAAAUCACUAGGCACUCUACAAACCACAAGUUAUACAACUUGAUUCUUAUGAACAUUAAGGAGUUGGUAUUCUGUUGAUAGUACCUUUGGUUUCUUCUUCUUCACUCUGGAGAAGGAUUGAGAAAGAGCCAAGAAAACCAGACAUCGGCCCCAGUGUCACCUCUGAGAUGGACUUCUUGGAAGACUACAAAAAGAAAACUAAAUGAGAGCGGAAAUCUUCUUGGAUGGAAAGGCAUUUUUAUUCACCAAGAAAAGAAACAUGCUUACAGAUUCUCUUUUGGGGCUUCCAUAUUUGCUCUGCAUCUGAGAAAUGACAAUCAUAGCAGCAAGAUUUAGCGAUAUAUACAGUAUGAAAAGCUAAAUUUAAGGAAGAUUGAGUCUCUACAUAUUAAUUUCACCUUCAGAGAAAAGUCAUUAAGGUCCAACAGCAGCAACUUUGCUUGGAAGAAAUGAGCUAGAGCUUUGGCGAGUGUUUGCUGGUACAGUUCUGCAAAGGCAACCAAGUUAAUUAGGCCAUUGAAAGGACUCAGAACCAUAGUUAAAUAUCCAAAUGCAGGGUCAGAUCACAUAGUCCAGACGGCAUACCAGCAGGUCCUGAGAGCAAAAUAGCUCUGCUUGCAGGCGUAAGGUUUCGGGUGUGCUUAGAAAAGUCAGACUGCCUUAGAUGGAAAUGUGCAGCACUUGUCAGUAACACUCUUGUCUGCUUACUGUCAUGGCCAUUGACAACUACAUUAGUUUGUGUAAAUAUCAAUAUUACAUAUGGAAGUAAUAAAUCAUUACGCACCUGAGGAAAUAAGGAAACUUGUCGAAGGUGAUCUUGCUUUCCCUUCCAUCCAUGACCUGUCGCCGUAGCUCAUGCUCAAUCUGCUCUUCUGUAAUUGCGUCCGGCCAGAGUUUCAGCCCCGUCCAUCGACACACUGUCUGUCCAGAAGCCAAACCAAGGCCAACCGAGACGCCCACCCCAACGAUCAAGGCAGACAACAAUAUGUGCUUCUGUUCCAUCACUUGAGGCCUCCACCAGGAAACUAUGCGCGCGGCUCCUCCAUCCAACCUUAACACACAAACAAACAGAAAACAAACAACAGUCGUGUAUACUCUUGCCCACUGAUCACACUAAAACAAGCAUACAACACAAACCCAUCAACCAAAGGCCUGUUAUCCAAUCAGAAAAUGAUUUCUUUCCUGAAAAACUUCAUCCCCAACACAUUUGUUUUCACACCAGAUAAGUGGCAUACUAUUACAACUCAACACACCCACCCUAGAAACAUGACCUCACAGACAUUCAUAAUUUCAUAUAUACCAAGAAGAAUUGAGACUCAACAAAAGACCCACCAACAAGCACGUUGAUGAAGAAACUUCUCACUAGAAAAGUGUAGAGGUUUGGACACAGAAAUGUAUGAAUCUCUGUUUGGACAGGUUUAUAACUGCGAAUGUGGCUGUGUUCUUUGUUCUUCCGGGGCUACUUAUAUAUAUAUUUUUUCAUUUUUGUUUUUUAGCAUGGUUUUGAAAGUGGGACAGAUCGGAUUAAGCGCCCUUUUCCCCUCUCCUGCAUGUCAGUGCACUCCUCCCAACGUUUGAAACUGCCAUUUUUUAUUUUAGGACAUGAUUUGUAAUAGUAAAUUUAGACUCUACUGAAAAUUUAAGCCAUGCCGACAUCAAAUAUUUGUAUAUAUGCCGACAUCAAAUAUUAAUAUAUGGAUAGAUAGUGUUGGUGUGAUCUUGUAAGUGCGGUUGGGCAGUGACCAGGUCGACACCGAAAUACAUGACGAGUGGAUAGCGUUAGGAUGUGUUUGAUUGCACGAAAGAACCAAAGAUCUUAAGUGCAUAUCAUUUUAGGAAAAAUUAAAAUACGAAUGACGACAAACCAUAACACAUCAAAGAAUUCAAAAUUCUAACCAUAGUAAGCUUUGAUUUAAGUAAUUUUUUUAGUUUUAGUCUCCUCUCUAGUGGGUAUUCUAACACGAUAAUGAAUGACAAAUGGAAAAUCCUCUCAAACAAUACUUUUGCCCUAUGCUUGAUUUUUGGAAAAUAGAAAAAAAAAAAAUUAAUUAUUUUUUACAUUUUUUUUAAUUUAGUUUAUUUAUUUUUCUUUUUUAUAUUAAAAUUAUAUAAUUUUAAAUUUUUAACUAAUUUUAAUUAUAUUUUAUUUUAUUUUUAUAUUUCACUGGAUAAAUCAAAUUUAAGAAUAUUAUUAUUAUUUUUCACACCAAAUGUAAUCUGAAUCAUUUGAUUUCAUAAUUGUAUCAUUUUUAUGGUGAAAAUAAUAGUUGUUCUAAUUUUUUAAACCCCCAACUCUCAUCUCUAGUGCAUUGAGAAUCACUUCUAAAAAUUUAAAUUGAGAGAAUCAUUUGAAAUGAUUCAUUUAGAAAAAAAGGAACAAAAGCCAUUGCUCCCCGGAGCCACUCACACCCCUCCGUAGGCCCACAGUCUGUCCAGAAGCAUACCGAAGCCCAAUCGAAACACCCACCACGCUCAACGCAGACAACAAAAAGUGCUUCGGUCCCAUCUCCCUUUAGGCCUCCACCAACAAACUACACACAAACAAACAGAAAAACGAAGCUCAAUCCCAAGAACCAAACACACAAACAAGCAGUGUUGAUGGCAGAAUGUGAUUGAAAACUCAGAGAAAUUUGGAAAAUACUGAGAAGGGUCUUCUGGGGUUCGAAUUUAGAGCCUACCCUUUUCGUAUGGUACGAGUUUGGACGCAGAAAUGGCAUCAAUCUCUGCCUCCUUCGCUCUUUCUUCUCUCACUUCUCUGUUCUUCGAGGGCUACUUAUAACGGUGCAUUGUUUUGUUUUGUUCUGCUUUGCUACUUUGUUUUGUUUUAUUAUUAUUAAGAUAUAUUUAAAAAUAUAGAAUGCAGUGUGGGGACAUUCCAAGCUCCAACUACGCUUGGAAAAAACUAUUUUUGAAAACAUUUUCCAAACAACCUCUCACUUUCUGCAAAUCCAUUGGCAUCUCCAAGUAGCAAACAUUUACAAAAACAUUACUAACAAAUACCCAGAAACUGGUGGCAGUUUGUUUAUAUUUUCUAGAAUGGCCUGUUAAUAAAUACUGACAACUCCCCUCUAAGAAUGAUAUACACAAGCAAAGGAACCAAUAUGAAGGAUUAUUCAAGCUUCUCUGGGUUGUCCAGAUUUCCUUGCCCAUCUCACUCUACAGCUUUCAAUUCAAUGUUGCAUGCCCAUAUCUAGCUGGUUUCAGGUGAAGGGCUUUCUGGCUUCCCAAACUUCCUAUAAGAUGUGCCCUAUAGAAAGUAGGUCAGCUGUUCCUUCUUCCUUGAGCCGCCUUCUCCAUACAAUUCAUUCCACUGCUUCAGCUUGUUCAUUGCCGCUCCAUCAGAAGCAAAACUAGCAGCAACCUGAUUCUUUGCCUGCCUCAUGUCUUCCAUGUUUAAGGGUCUCAGAACAAUUACCCUUUCCCCUUUGGCUUCUUCUCUGGUAUCCGAAGCAUCCUCUGAGCUUUUUCCUUCAUCAGCUUUCUGCUUCUUUUUCUGUGAAAAGAAAAAUCAGAAAAAACACCAUUGAUCUACUGUGGAAAACUUGUUGGAAAAAGCGAGAAGGAAGAAAACGAUACUUGGAAGAGUUAAGAGAGUUCUUACUUUAUCCUUCUUCAUUCUCUCUUGUUGUGCUAGCUCCCUUACAGGACGAUAAGCUGCUGCCAUGCACAAGUUCUGUUUCAAUUGUUAAUCCCAAGAGUCAACACAGCUGAUUCUUAAUCAAUUCAUCAUUGCCAUCAGAAGUACAAACCUUAAGAUCACUUCCAGUAUAACCUUCUGUCAUGGUUGCAAGCUCCUUAAAGUCAAGAUCCUCGGCUUGUUCUUUAGCCAAGAGAGUCUUCAGGAUCAUCUCUCUGCUCUCCACAGAUGGUAGACCAACCAUAAUUCUGUUCAUCACAGAUACCAUUAGUUUGCCUACUCAAAGCAUGGUGACACAUUCAUCUAUCUUUAAUAUAUCCUUCUCCAUAGCUUCAGAGUAAAACGAUGAAAAUGAUGCUGAGUGUAACACAAUAUGCAAAUCUACCUGUGGUCAAACCGCCUGAUAAUCGCCUCAUCAAGGUCAAAUGGCCUGUUGGUUGCAGCAAGAACGAGGACUCGUUCACCAGCUUUUGUCAGUAGUCCAUCCCAAUGUGUCAUGAAUUCAUUCUUAAUCUUUCGCAUACUACAAUCCUCUCCAAAUUCAAGUCGCUGCCCAAGCAUGCUAUCAACCUCAUCCACAAAAAUAAUAGUUGGGGAGAUCUUUGCCGCAAGUGUGAACAGAGCUCGAACAUUCUUCUCAUCUUCACCAAACCAUUUUGAAGUGAUGGUGGACAUUGAGACAUUGAUGAAGCUUGCUCCAGCUUCAUUGGCCAUAGCCUUUGCCAGCAUCGUUUUUCCAGUACCAGGAGGCCCGAAGAGUAGUAUCCCCCUGCAAGGCUUAAGAAGCCCACCCUUGAAGAUCUCUGGUCUUUGAAGAGGGAACAUGACCAACUCCUCCAGUGAUUCUUUAAUGUCAUCCAAGGCACCGAUGUCAUCAAAUGUCACUCCUAUCCGAUUUGGUGGGAUAACCUCUGGCCUUAUACGACUCUCAAAUUCAUUGCAACGUGGAAAUACCUACAGGGAAACAAUAAGAACCACAGCAAUUAGAAGAGUAAGGUCAUGUUUGGUUCCAGAAAAUACUAAAGGAAUAAAAAAAAAUGCUAAAAAAAAUUAUUUUCUCAUGUUUGGUUUAAUUUUAGAAAUAUGAAAGAAAAUCAAAUAUAAUUAAAAUUAGUACAAAAUUUAUAUAUUUUUAAAUUAUUUAAUCUUUAUAUAAAAGAACUAAAUAAGUUAAAUGACUUUGAAGCAAGAUAUGAAAAUAAUUUACUGACUUUAAAUUUAUUUUUUAUUUUUCUUCACUUUUUCUUUCCUUUACUUUUCCUCUCUAUUUUUGUUCCCUCACAUUUUCACUCAAACUUUCCAAAAACCAAACACAGCCUUAGGGAAUUGGAAAAUUUUCUUGGUAAAAUUUUCUUUCACCAAAAAGGAAAAACAAAUGCAAGGGAACCUCUUUACAGUAUGCAACAGAGAAAUCUAAAAAAUUGGCAUCAUCUUCUGUUUAACUUUGUUGUUAAACUUUCAGAACAGAGUGACAGACUAAGAAUCUCAAUUGCAUUAAAAUUCAAAGCAUCCACCCACAAGAUUCAAUAGAAAACAGAAGCACACCAAUAAGCACAUUGUUGCUGUUAAGGGUCAAUAUCAUUCACACUAUGCUCAGAUUGUUGAAUGGUAGAAUGUUGAGAUGUAGAACGAACCUUAGAUUCAGCAUUUGGUGCGUCUUCCUGGAAUAAACUCAAUCCAUGAGACAAACUGUACCAGGGCCACAAGAAUAUUUAUAUGGAACUUUGUUUCAAAUAAAAAUAAAUAAAUAAGCAAAGAAGACACAAGCAUAGAAACAAUUGUAUCUACCUCUUAGAAGAUAUGACAAGCUUUCCGUUUCGGUAUUCUGGAUCUUUGUUAUUCAACAAAUGAUAAGAUAUUGCAGAUAUUACAAUCUCUUCUGUGUAAUCACUUAGAAUUUCAGGGUCUGCAUAGCAGAUUGAACCCAAAUCAUCACAGUCAAGAUCAUUUGCUGCAAGCACCUUAGCCAUAUAAUUUUUGUUGUCCUGAAACUGGAUCACCUUUGUCUCCUCUUUCAGUUGGGCUUCCCAUCUAUCAAGAUGAGUCUCAUCCUCAGGUUUCUCGAUUUCAAUAUUGCAAGGGAAUAAAAGACUCACCCUUUCAUCCAUUUCAUUAUCCUCAUCAUCAGGGUCUAACAUGCGGGAACCAAGUAUCAGAACUGAUCCCGAUAAUUUGUCCAACAUUUUCCGGAACAAUUUGUAAAAUCUAUCUGAUUGCAGAAGAAGCUUGUCAACAUCCCUGAUGUAUAAAAUCAUGGAACAUGUUUCCGAUACUGAAACCAAGACCUGUUAGUAAUAUAACACAUCUGCCUGUCAGUAACUAAAAUAAGCAAUAUUUGUCACUCUCAAUCAUGAUAAAGCAUCAUCAGAACGAGAUCAUACAUGAAUCUGAUAAGACUAUCAGAUUUAGAACAGAAAACUUAUUCUUAGAUUACCUUGUAAAGCGACUGCAAAAGAUGUUUCUCAUCAAAAGCCCAGCUGCUUGUGCACUUGAUAUGAGCUACAAAAGAAAUGAGCAGCAGUAAGACUAACAUCUAGUUCCAGUAAUUUUUUUAAACAAACAGACUUAAAACUAUAAAUACACAACAGAAAAAAAUAAAGAAAUAAACUGUAUGAAAUGUAAAACAGACGACAUUCAAAGGAGUAAGAGGGACAAAAUAAAUUUUCCUGGAACAAAAGUUCAUAGCAUUGGAUGUGCUGUACCUAGGACAAAUCAUAUUCAUUUAUUUGGUGAAAAAUAAUGUAUAUAAUGGAUGCUCAAUAGUUGGGAUUGGAUAUGUUCAUGAGGUUGAGGUGGUUCAGGGAUAAUCUCCCUGAUAGGAUCCAUCCAAUGUGGAAUUCUUAUAGAUCUGUGUCAUUGAAUGACAGUGAUGCAGAUGAAACCAAGAGUAUUCCAAUUUAGUUCUAAGACCUAACCUGAACUUGUAGUAGUACAUUGGGAGGAAUGGUGCUCGCAUUAGAUGAAGUAGAAGCACUACCACAAUGUUGUGGAGGAUCCAUACUUCUGCAAAUGCAUAUAGCUACAGGUUUAGAAAUGAUACAUGGAACUCAAUACCUAAAUAGAUGACCAUUGAAUCCCAAUUAUUUAGGGGCCGGCAGAAUUAAGAGUGUAAGUGGUCUACCAUACUUUGACUUAAUAUUGGCACCAGUGCUUUGCCUAGAUAAUGUGUCUGUAUUAGAAGUUGGGAUCAAAGCUAAGUUGUGGAGAAAUUAGAAUCGACAAGAAGUAAAAAGAACAAGACAGCAAAGGAAAUCAAAAGGCAUGAGUUGAAGUUCAUUAAAAGAAUGUAAUGUGUGGUUCAAAUAAAAAGGUGUAGUAUAUCAAGACUAAUGAUCAGUGCUAACUACAAAAGCAUCUUUAAAACCAUAGUUAUUCCUCCUCUGUCUAUUAUGAGUUAUAUGGACAUUGUUAGGACUUUAGCUUAAGCGUAAGUUGGCAUAACAUACAUAGUUGUACCACUUUAACUGAGCUUGUAUCAAAAUUAGAGUUUUAAAUAUUAGGAGCUGCAAUUCUAUUAAUACCUUUGGUUUCUUCUCUUUGGGGAAGGAUUGAGAAAGAGCCAAGAAACCCAGAGAUUUGCUUCAAUGUCGUCUCUGGGAUGGACUUCUUGGAAGACUACAAAAAGAAGCUACCCGUUCAGGAAAUACUCCACUUAGAAAACGCAGGGCAAGUUAAACAUGAAGUGCUGAAAUGAAUAAUAUUUAGUUCACAACAAAGAAUGAUGAUUGCAAUGUUUCAUGGUUAACCUUGAUCAACCCUACUAAAUCAGAAUGCAAGGAUUCAUGGAUGGAAAGGCACUUUCAUUUUCAGCAAACAAAGAAAUGCAUUUUCAUCAUCAGAAUAAUUCAGCGAAGGCUUACAUAUUCUUUUCUGGGACAACCAUAUUUGCUCUGCAUCUGAGAAAUGCCAAUCAUAGUGAGAUUUAGUGAUGUAGUAUCAAAAGCUAAAUUUGAGGAAGAUUGAGUUAGUGCAUAUUUCACCUUUAGAGAAAAGUCAUUAACAUCCAACAGCAGCAACUUUGCUUCAAAGAAUUGUGCUAAAGCUUUGGCGAGUGCUCGCUGAUAAAGUUCUUCAGAAGAUAAACAAGAAUAAAAAUGAAGCAAAAGGCAACCAAAUUGGGCCAAUUAAAAGGACUAAGAAACAUAAAUAUCCAUAUCAGAUCACAUAUUCCAGACAACAUACCAGCAGGUCCUGAGAGCAAAAUAGCCCUGCCUGCAGGCAUAAGUUUCUGGGUGUGCUUAGAAAAGUCAGAGAGCCUUAGAUGAACAUGUGCAGCACUUGUCAGUAAUCCUCGUGUCUGCUUACUGUUGUAGCCAUUGAUAGAAAGGAACAACAUUAAAAUAAAUAUAAAAAGAGAUCACAUUGUAAUGAAUAUGCUUAGAAUUAUAGUGUCUAUGUAAACUAGAACAAUAUGAGAGUGCUCUAUAGCUACUUCAGAAUAUGCACCAUCAACAUUUAUUUUGUGUUUCAAAAUAACAGUGAUCUUAUGCCAUUUAACAAGAAAACUCAAAUCACCCCAAAUUGCAUCCUAGUCUGAACUUUUUCGUUAGGUAAGGGACCUUCAGACAAAGUCUUAAACAUAUGUACCUCAACAAAGGGACCCUUAAUCCCCAAAUAACUACUCUUCUCUUUAAUCCAUUAAAUCUAAAUAAUGAAGCUCAGUACCCAAACUGAAAAAUCACAGUUUGAUUGCAGAGGCAAAUGCAAUAGCUAAUUGGUGAGAAGGAAAAUCAAACAGAAAAUUUCCAUAUUCACUAUACAAUUGAGUGACACAAACCAGCAAUAUGAAACAAACAAAAAAAAAAAAAAAAAAAAAAAAAAAAAAAACAAAAAAACAAAAAAACAAAAACAAAACAAAAAGAAAUAUAAAUAUGGGGGAAAAAAAUGAAACCCCCAUCAAUUAGAAUCCCCAAAAGAAGAUUAUUAAAGGAAUUUCAAAAGGGUAUAGAAGAACCAGUACUGUGAUAGCAGUACAUAGUGACAGAAGCAGCAUAUGCAGCAUACAAUUUUCUCUAAUACAACCUUUCAUAUAGACGUAAGAACAAACAAUACAUAUGCAAGUAAUGAAUCAUUACCUGAGGAUAUAAGGAAACUCCUCAAAUGUGAUCUUGCUUUCCUUUCCAUCCACAACCUGUCCCCGUAGCUCAUGCUCAAGCUGCGCUUCUGUAAUUGCGCCCGCCGAGCAGUUCAGCAGCCCGGUCCAUCGGCUCAUUGUCUGUCCAGAGGCCAAAGUAAGGCCAACCGAAACACCGAUCCCGAGGCUCAGAGCAGACAGCAAGAUUUGCUUCUGUUCCAUUACUUCAGGCCUUCCCCAACCUCAAAUUCUCUCCCAAAAAAGACUAUACCCUCCUCUAUCCAACCUUAGCAGACAAAACAAACAGAAAACAAAGCUCAAUUCUAAGAAGCAAUUAAACAAACAACACUUGUUUCUACUCUUUCCCACUAAUCACACUUCUUCAAUACUCAAUCCACAUGGAAAAUACCAGAGGAAAAAAAAAAAAAAACAAUUCAAACCCAUCACCCAAAUUCCUCUUUAUAAUAAUAAAAAAAAAUGAUUGUUCUGUGGAAAACUUCAACCUCACCACAUCUGUGUUCACACCAGAUAAAUGGCAUGGUAGUACCACUCAACACACCCACGUGAGAAACAGGAACCCAGAGGGUUUCACACCAAGAUAAAAUGGAAUCAAUGAUGAUUGAAACAAAACAAAAGACCACCAAAAUGUACGUUGGAGAAAAAACUUCACUCUAGGACAGGGUAAUACUAUGAGCAGUGUUGAUGGCAGAAUAUGUUUGAAAAUCCAGAGAAAUUUUUGGCAGAGACUGAGAAGUACUUUUGGGAUUGGAAUUUUCAGCCUACCCUUCCAGUAUGGUAGAGGUUUGAACACAGGAAUGCAUGAAUCUCUGAUUGGCACGCCAUUGGUGUACCAGUUUGGACAGGUGUGUAACUAGGGAAUGGUUUUCCUUCUUUUUUUAUAAUUUUAUUAUAUAUAUAUAUAUAUAUAUAUAUAUAUAUUUUAAUAGGUGUCAUAUUAUGUUUGGGCUGACUUGUGGUGGGUUGCCGUUGACGCCGAAGUCGAUCGAGUCCAUUGCUUUGGCCUUUUUUGCUUUAUUGGUUAUUAAUUAUUAUAAUAGUAUUAUUAUAGAGCAGGUAUAGGGCUAAAGUUAUGCACAUGGUCAAGGUUUGAAAUUCCGGAAAAUUUCGUCAAAAUAUCGGAUAUUGGUCAAUCCCGAAGCGAAAUAUCGGUCAAAUUAUAAAAUUGGGGUGGUUUUUAAAAUUCUGAAUUGGGCUUCCAUGGACCGGCCCAAAGGAUGGCCUCCAUGCGCACUCACCACAGCCCAGCCCGGUAGGCAUUGAACCCUUGAUUCCACGCAUGAAAUGAAAGGCCCCACCAUUAAGCCAACCUUGCUUAGGGUGUACGCAUCACGAACCACCGUUAUAUCUAAGAUUUAUAAAUGUAAUUAUAUUAUAAAUUAAUUAGAAUAAAAUUAUUGUAAAUAAAUUAUUUCAAAUAUAAUGUAUUUUAUAUAAUAAUUAAAUUCAAAAUAAAUAUAAUUCUAUAAAUAAAAUUAUCAAUGUUUUAAAAUAAAAAAUAACUAUACAUAUAUUAUCAUUUAUUUUAUGUCAUUGAAUACAUCUUAUAAAUGUACAUUUAAAUUUUUGAAUAUUAUUAUUGGUUAUCAUAAAUUAUAUCUUACAUAUAUUAUUUAUUUUUAAUAAAACAACUUUAAAAUUGUUGGGUUUUAAGGGUAUAGAAACAAAUGACUAGCCCAAAAAGACACAAACAAAUAACAAAAUUAAUAAGAAUAAAAAUUUAUCGACUGAGAUAUAACAAACACUAUCCUUAAAAUAGAUCUACCCUCUUCGAAUACGAACUUGGUGCACUAGGGUACCAAUGGUCUACCUCUAAGAUUCAACAGUCAAAUCUUGUAUUGGGUGCACUUUGUAAGCUUGGUUCUCAAAAAAAUUUUCCAAAUAGAUGUAUGAAAAACUCUCUAAAAAAUUCUCUGAAAAUUUUCUAUUCAUAUAUAAAGAGUGAGGGGUAACCUGCUUUUAUAGGCCACUAACACAAUCUUAAUGAAAAUCUACUUGUAAUCAAAACAAGACUCAAAGUGGAAGGGGAUUCUACUUCUAAAAAGAAUAAGACUCCACUAAAAAUAAUUCCCAAAAGGACUCUUCCCAAAAAUAUAAAACUAAUAGAAUAAAAUAAAAUAAAAAUAAAAAUUAUUUACACUCUUCCUACAAUCCUCCACAGAGUGUAAACGUAAUUUUUUAUUUUUUAUUUUUGAGGAAAAAAAAUUCCAAUGCAUCAAUAUUGGUAUCCAAAGGAUAUGAACCAAUCUUAAGACAAAUAAGUAUUGAGUCACAAAACACAGUGAAAAUAAAUUUCUAUAUAACCAGUGUUUCUUGAUGUAACUCAAGGGACUUUUAUCCACAUUAGUUUUCUCAACUACACUACGAGUUAUAUACAAAACGGGUUGGCACAAAUAGGUCAUGCACCUUGCCUGGAUAUUCAUGAGAGCUCUAGAGAACCUACCUAAGUUCUCAUUGGAAGCGACCCCACCUCCAUUCUCAUAUAGGUGAAUCCAUUAAGUAUGUUCUGCAUUUAAACAUACCAUCCAUAAGGAAUAUGGUAUUCAUUAAGAGUAAACACUCAACCUUAAUCAAUGCAGAAUACGCUCUAUCUACACCAUAAGGAUAAACUCUCAUACAAUUAGAGUUGAUAGAGCACAUCAAGUCAACAAGUGAUUUGUUAAUACCCAUAUGAACCUACUUCAUGGAAUUUCCAUUAUAAUAGGUUGGGUUACAACCACUCUUGACUUCUGUAAUAGGCAUAAGCCACAUCCCCCUCGAUGUUUCUUCCACUAGUUUCUUAUUUAGUGGUUUGGUCAAAUGAUCGACCAAAUUCAACUAUGACCUCACAAAUUCUAGGGAUAUAACCCUUGUUUCAAGCAACUACUGCACAAUAUUGUACCUUAGGCGUAUAUACAUGUUCUUCCCAUUAGAUAUUUUACUCUUAGCCUUAACAAUUGCAGCUUGGCUAUCACAACGCAUAGACACAGACGGAGCUGGUCUCGUCCAUCAAGGGAUAUCUACUAAGAGGUUUCUAAGCCACUCAACCUCAGAACUUGUCUUUUCUAAGGCAAUAAACUCAGCCUCCAUGGCAGACUAAGUAAUGCAAGUUUGCUUGACAGACUUCCAAGAAACUGCACUUCCACCAAGGAUAAAAACAUAUCCAUUAGCGGAUUUCAUCUCAGCUGAAUCCGAGAUCCAAUUUGCAUCUCUAAAUCCUUCAAGGACACUUCGAAAUCCACUAAAGCACAAACCAUAGUUAAUGGUGCCUCUCAAAUACUUAAGAACUUUAUGAACAACAGUCUAAUAGUUCUAAUUAGGAUUUUGGGUGUACCGACUCAAUGUACCUAUUGCAUAAGCAAUGUCAGGUUUGGUACAGUUCAUUAAGUACAUUAGGCUCCUUAUGAUUCGAGCAUACUCUAUUUAAGCAAUACUAUGUUCUAUAUUUUUCUUCAACUGUAAGCUAGGAUCAUAAGGAGUUGACACUGGUUUACAAUCAAAGUGUUCAAGCUUUCUUAGGAUCGAUAUUUUCAACAUAGUGCUCUUGAGAAAGUUUAAGCUCAUUAGGUGUUCUAGUUAUUUUAAUUCCUAGAAUCACCUCUGCCUCUCCUAGGUCUUUCAUAUCAAACUUAGAACCUAGGAAUUUCUUGGUCUCACACACAACCUUUAGGCUAGUUCCAAAUAUCAACAUCUCAUCAACAUAAAGGCAAAUGACUACACAUGUGUUAUUCUCAUACUUGCUAUAGAUACACUUGCCAGCAUCAUUAAUGGAAUAUCCAUUAGUUACUAACACAUGAUCAAACUUGUUGUGCCAAUAUUUGGGAGCUUGUUUUAACCCUUCCACAACUCAUAAGGAGUUUUACCAGUUUUUUUUGUAAGGUACUCUAUUUUAAAUAUGACAUGCGGAUAGGAUAGCCUCCCCCCCCCCCCCCCCCACAAGUUCAAGGGUGCUCUUAAACUUACCAACAUUGUAGAGAAAACCCUUUCCUACCAUCUCUUAAAGAAUGUCCCAUUAAAGGAAUCAAUUUUAGAGGUGUCAAGACGGGUGUGAACUAAGAAAGCUUCCAUUUGGAUAUAUUUUAAAAUUGUUGGGUUUUAAGGGUAUGGAAACAAAUUACUUGCCCCAAAGAUACAAACAAAUAACAGAAUUAAUAAGAAGAAAAACUUUUCGGCUGAGGCGUGACAAACACUGUCCUUUAAAAAAAAUCCCCCCCCUCCAAGACGAAAUUGAUGCACUAAGGGACCAAUGGGCUACCCCCCGGAAUCAAUAAAUCAAAACUCCGAUUGGGGGCACUCUAAAAAGCUCAUUUCUCAAAAAAAUUNNNNNNNNNNNNNNNNNNNNNNNNNNNNNNNNNNNNNNNNNNNNNNNNNNNNNNNNNNNNNNNNNNNNNNNNNNNNNNNNNNNNNNNNNNNNNNNNNNNNGGUAUGGAAACAAAUUACUUGCCCAAAAGAUACAAACAAAUUACAGAAUUAAUAAGAAGAAAAACUUAUCGGCUGAGGCGUGACAAACACUGUCCUUUAAAUAGAUUCACCCUCCUCGAAGACGAACUUGAUGCACUAGGGUACCAAUGGUCUACCUCCAGGAUUCAAUAGUCAAAUCUCGUAUUGGGUGCACUCUAUAAGCUCAGUUCUCAAAAAAUUUCUCCAAUUAGAUGUAUGAAAAACUCUCUAAAAAAUUCUUUGAAAAUUUGCUAUUCAUAUAUAAAGAGUGAAGGGUGACCUACUUUUAUAGGCUAUUAACACAGUCCUAAUGAGAAUCUACUUGUAAUCAGAACAAGACUUAAAGUGGAAGGGGAUUUUACUUCUAAAAGGAAUGAGACUCCACUAAAAAUAAUUCCCAAUAAGACUCUUCCCAAAAAUAUAAGACUAAUAGAAUAAAAUUAAAUUAAAUAAAAACAAUUUCUAAUAGGACUCUUCCCAAAAAUAUAAGAUUAAUAGAAUAAAAUAAAAUAAAAAUAAAAAUUAUUUACAUUCUUCCUACAAAAAUAUCUAUUAUUACUUCUUAUAUGAUUUCUUAGAGUUUUUCUUAAUAUUUUCAUGAAUUUUGAUCAAUUUUCAUCUUAUCGUUAUUUUGUGUUAAAAUAUCUACCAAUAUUUUUCAAUAUGCCACCAAUAUUUUUCAAUAUAUCCGUAAAACAUGUUGUCGAUAUAUUCGUAAAAACCUAAUAUUUUCAUCCUUGUAUAUUACCAAAGCACUUAGAAGCAAGAAGAAAUCCCAAAUCCUAAGAUAUUUCAAAUUCUUUCAAUAUUGUUGAUGACGAGUUUGAUAAGGAAGGUGAUGUUUUUUUAAUUAUGGUUGUUAAAAAAUUUGUUGACUCUUGGAUUUUGGAUUCUUGAAGUUCCUUUUACAUGUGCCCAUAUAAGGAGUAGUUUGAUAUCUAUAAGGAAUGUGAUGCUAGUAAUAUUUGAAUGGGCAAUGAUUCAAGCUCCAAAGUCACUAGGAUUGGUUCCAUAAAAGGUGAGGAUGUUUGAUGAUGUUGUGAGGAUAUUGAGUAAUGUCAAGCACGUUUUUAAGUUGAGGAAAAGUUUAAUUUCUUUAGGGGCUUUGCACAAUUUAGGUUAUGAUUUUUAUACAAAGAACAGUAUUAUGAAGAUCAACAAAGGUACUUUGAUAGCUAUGAAAGGGAAAAGGGUGAAAAAAUUUUACGCUUUGAUCAAGAAGACAAUUUUAAGUAGAGCUAUGAAGGUAAAUCCAAGUCAUAAAGAGUCUUUUGCGAGUGUUGAAAGAAAUUGUCAAAUUAGAAGAGCACAACAAGAUGAUCAAAACUUUGUUUUUGUUAAGAGUACUCAUUGACACAAAGACGAGAGUAAUUGUAAAAGGAAUGAAGUUAUAAAGAAGAUCAAGAUGAUUUUUCGAGUCAAGUUUGAUGAGAGUUUAAACUUGACACAUGCUUGUUCUCAUUAAUAAUACAGGAUUGAGAAAAUUUGAGUCAAGUGGAGUAUAUUGGGAUUUGACUCAAAUUUAUUUAUUUUUAACUUUUAGAAAAGUCAAUAUUCAUAGAGUUUGUAUUUUGAUAAAUUACCUUUUUAAGUUUGAUUAGAAUUAGGAAACAAUUGUUUUAAGGUUAACAAGUAAGGUUCUAUAAAUAUUUGGUUUUAUUUCAGAAAUAGUAGAAAAAAUAAUGGGUAAGAAAAGUGUGAAGGGAAAUAGAUAAAAGGACGUAUUGGGCUUUAGGUAGAGAAAGGUUGUGAGAGUUUAAAAUGUGUAAUCUUGAAAGUUAUAAUAAAUUUGAUUUCUCUUUCGCAUGGACAUGAGUGCUUACACUAAACUAUGUAAAUAGUUUGUCUUUUCUAUUUUAUUUUAUUUUUUUCCAUUGUAUUUAAAUGUCGUGAUUUUUCCUAACAAGUGAUAUCAGAUCUUCUAUAUACUCAACAAAUGGCAUCAGAGCUAACACCUAUGAGAGUUCUUGGGCCGUUUUCAAUCGACACUACCUAAACUCAAACUACAGCUCCAAGUGCUAAUCAUCUUGUCUACUAGAUGAACCGGGAACGGAGCCGGCCAAAAGCAAGUCCAUAAAGACUUGAAAUUUUAAGCUAUAAUAAAAGGACUAUCUAUUCACAAACACCCCCCCACCCCUGGGGAACCAAGAUUCAAACCUUCACCCCCUCUCCCAAAUCAACUUUAAGUUAUUUAUCGAUAUCAUACCAGUACUACAAUAUGUUUGUCAUAUCAGAUGAAUAAGCAGUGAAAUAUUGCAGCAAAUGCAAAUCAUUCAAAAUGUGAAAAUCAUUUUGUAGAAUCUAACUACAGCUACUGUACCAUGAAGUUUACACUACCAAUGUACAAAUGCUACUGCAUGAAGAGAGUCCACACAGAAAUAGCCAAACCCAAUAGUAGUUUCUCUCACUUUCUGCAAAUCCAUAGGCAUCUCCAAGUACCACACAUUUACAUAAUAAUCAUUACUAAGAAACACCCAGAAACUGGUAACAGUUUGUUUGUAUGAUGGCCUAAUAAAUACCGAUAUGAAGGAUACACUAAAACACCCCUAUGCAUGCUUUUCUGGGCUGUCCAGAUUUCUUUGCCCAUCUCACUCUACAGCUUUCAAUUCAGUGUUGUAUGGCCAUAACUAGCGGGUUUUAGGUGAAUGGCUUUCUGGCUUCCCAAACUUUUUCAACCCUUCUCACAAAGAAUGGUGCUGCUGAUGCGUGUGUAUAGGAUGUGGCCUAUAGGAAGUAGGUCAGUUGUUUCUUCUUCCUUGAACCGCCUUCUCCAUACAACUCAUUCCACUGCUUCAGCUCAUUCAUUACUGCUCCCUCAGAAGCAAAACUAGAAGCAACCUGCAACCAGGUUAAAGAUAUUAGAUGCAUGUCCACGCCUGUGAAAGCCAGAAGUUUUGUGCAUUGCAUUUCAAGAAGAAAAAUGAGACUCAGAAGUAGUUACCUGAUUCUUUGCCUGCCUCAUGUCUUCCAUGUUUAAGGGUCUCAGAACAAUUUCUUUCUCCUCUUUAGCUUCUUCUUUGGCAUCCGAAGCAUCCUCUGAGCUUUGCCCUUCAUCAGCUUUCUGCUUCUUUUCCUGUAAAAAGAAAAAUCAUAAGGAAAAAAAAAAAAAGCCAUUGUGUUCUACUGUGGAAAACAUGUUGGAAAGAGGGAAAAAGGAAGAAAAGAAUACUUGGAGAAGCUAAGAAAGUUGUUACCUUAUCCUUCAUCAUUCUCUCUUGUUGUAGUAGCUCCCUAACAGGUCGAUAAGCUGCCGUCACGCACAAGUUCUGUUUCAAUAGUUAAUGCCAAGGUCAACACAGCUGAUUCUUAAUCAAUUCACCAUUGCCAUCAGUAGAAGUACAAACCUUAAGAUCACUUCCAGUAUAUCCUUCUGUCAUGGUUGCAAGCUCCUUAAAGUCAAGAUCCUCUGCUUUUUCUUUUGCCAGGAGAGUCUUCAAGAUCAUCUCCCUGCUCUCCACAGAUGGUAGACCAACCAUAAUUCUGUUCAUCAUAUAGACCAUUAGUUUGUCUGAUUGAAGCACAGUGACACGCUUAUCUACUUAAAACAUUUCUGAUAUUUUGAUUUGAUAACACAGAAGAUGAUACAGUAAAGGGAAAAGUUUCUCUUAGAAUUUGAGAUUGAUAGUCAAAGGAGAGACAUGUUUUCUAGGGAGUCAAGUGCAAGCUCAAGGGAGUAAAAGAGAAUGGGUAAAAGUGGAAAACGUCACAAAUAUUACUACAUGGAUUUACUUAAAACUAUUUGAGUUUUCAUGCUUUGAUGAAGAUCUGGCCUUUUUUGUAGUUGAAGAUUAAGGGAUGCAGUAAAACGAUGAGAAUGAUGCUGAGUGUAAUACAAUAUACAAAUCUACCUGCGCUCAAACCGCCUGAUAAUUGCCUCGUCAAGGUCAAAUGGCCUGUUGGUUGCAGCAAGAACAAGGAUUCGUUCACCAGCUUUUGUCAGUAGCCCAUCCCAAUGUGUCAUGAACUCAUUCUUAAUCUUACGCAUUGCUUCAUGCUCUCCAACUCUAGUCCGCUGCCCGAGCAUGCUAUCGACCUCAUCCACAAAAAUAAUAGUUGGGGAGACCUUUGCUGCGAGUGUGAACAGAGCUCGAACAUUCUUCUCAUCUUCACCAAACCAUUUUGAAGUGAUGGUGGACAUUGAGACAUUGAUGAAGCUUGCUCCAGCUUCAUUGGCAAUGGCCUUUGCCAGCAUGGUUUUUCCAGUACCAGGAGGCCCAAAGAGCAAUAUUCCCCUACAAGGCUUAAGAAGCCCACCCUUGAAGAGGUCUGGCCUUCGAAGAGGGAGCAUGACCAGCUCCUGAAGUGAUUCUUUAAUGUCACUCAAAGCACCGAUAUCAUCAAAUGUCACUCCUAUCUCAUUCGCUGGGAUAACCUCUGGCCUUAUACGCUUCUCAAAUUCAUUGUCAGGUGGAACUUCCUGGAGGGAAACAAUUAACAGUUCAACAGUUAAAAGAGUAAGGGAAUGAUGGAAAAUUUUCCCAAUAAAAUUUUCUUUUACAAAAAUCAGCAUUGUGAUCUCUUAGCUUUGUUUUAAACUUUCAGAAGACAGGGACAUUUGUGACACACCUAGAAUCUAAGUUGCAUUAAAUUCAAUGCAUGAACCCACAAGAUUUAUCUCACAUCUCCUAUUCUAUCCCUCUUUUCAAACAAACAUUGAAGGAAAAGGACUUACUGCAGCUUUUGUUGCAGGUUGAUUCUCACCAUCCUUCUUUGCUAGUGCAGAUUUCUCAGUCUCACUCUUGCUUCCAGGUGCUGAAGUCUCAGCCUUUCCUUCAGGCUUUCCACCAGUACUCUCUUCCCCUUCGGUAUCCUAAAUUCAAUAGAAAAACAAAGCAUAUAAUUAAAGCACAUUGGUAUAGUUAAGUUCCAAUAUCAACCACACUAUGAUCAGAUUGUUGAAUUGUAGAAUGCCGAGAUGUAAAACAAACCUUAGAAGAUUCAGCAUUUGUUUCCAGUUUUAGUGUAUCUUUUCCACCACUUUUACCUUGCUGGAAUAUAUUCAAGCCAUGGGACAAACUGUACCAGGGCCACAAGAUGAGUUAUAUGGAACUCUGUUUAAACUAAAACUAAAUAAAUAAAGAAGCUGAGAAGACAGAAGCAUAGAAACAAUUGUAUCUACCUCUUGGAAGAUAUGACAAGCUUUCCAUUUCGGUAUUCUGGAUCUUUGUUAUUCAUCAAAUGAUAAGAUAUUGCAGAUAUUACAAUCUCUUCUAUGUAGUUACUUAGAAUCAUAGAGUCUGCAUGGCAGAUUGAACCCAAAUCAUCACAGUCGAGAUCAUUUGCUGCAAGCACCUCAGCAAUAUGGUUUUUGUUUUCCUGAAACUGGAGCAUCUUUAACUCCUCUUCCAGUUGAGAUUUCCAGCUAUCAAGACGUGUCUCAUCCUCCGGUGCCCUGAUUUCAAUAUUGUAAGGGAAUAGAAGGCCCACUCUCUCAUCCACUUCUCUGCCCUCAUCAUCAUUGUCCAACAUGCGGGAACCAAGUAUCAGAACUGACCCUGAAAGUUUGUCCAACAUUUUCUGGAACAAUUUGUAAAAUCUAUCUGAUUGGAGAAGAAACUUCUCAACAUCCCUGAUGUAUAAAAUAAUGGAACGUGCUUCCGAUACUGAAACCAAGACCUGUUAGUAAUAUAACACAUCUGCCUGUCAGUAACUAAAAUAAGCAAGAUUUGCCUCUUCUCUCAAUCAUGAUAAAACAUCAUCAAAACCAGAUCAUGCAUGAAUAUGAUAGGACUCUCAGAUUUAGAACAGAAAACUUAUUCAUCCUAGAUUACCUUGCAAAGUGACUGCAAAAGACGUUUCUCAUCAAAAGCCCAGUUGCUUGUGCGCUUGACAUGAGCUAAAAAAAAUAAAAGCAAUGAACAGCAGUAAGAAUAACAUUUCUUUCCAAAGAGAGGUGAGUAACUAAAAAUUAUGGAGUGACAAUUAAAUAACACCAAUAUAAAAGCAAGAAAAUAGAGCAUGUCACAGUACUAUAUCCCAACGGACAAAUAGGGCCAUGCUUAAACUACUCAGUAGCUGGUCUCAAAAAUUUCGAAAUAGGAACAAAUAUAAAUUUGAAGGGAAAUAGUCAAAUGCAAAAGUUUACAAAACUUAAGAGAUAAUAUUUUCAUUUAGCAAAAUAACGUGACUAGUUAUAUCAAAAAGCUGAAAAUUCAUAAAGGAAGGGUACUUAUAGCUGUAUAUUGUGAACAUUCAGACCCAAAAAAAUGAAUAGCAAAAUAAAAACAACUUGCACAAAAUUGUGAGUUCAAGUGUUCUAUUGGUUGAAUGCUAGACAAUUGGUUCACUAGUUGCAAACCUUCAAAUGUAGCAUUUAUGAAAAUAAAGUCAAGAUGGGAAAAUGGAUUCAAAUUAAGCAUCACAUGAUAAGGAGAACCCCAUCUCAUAUGCUCCCUAAUGCUCACAUGUAGUAAAACAAAAUCCAGAUUGAUUGGAAAAACUUAACUAUCGUAUUCAUUGAUCAAUUUGGUGAAAAAUAAUGGAUAAACAAUGGAUACUCAACAAUUGGAAUUGGAUAGGUUCAUAAGGUUGAGAUGAUUCAGGUGAUAUUCUCCUUGAUAGAAUCCAUCCAAUGUGGAAUUCCUAUAGAUUUGUGUUAUUGAAUGGCAGUGAUGCAGAGGAAACUAAGGGUAUUUCAAUUAAGUUCUGACAUGCAACCUGAACUUUGAGUGGUAGAUUGGGAAGCAACAGUGUUCAUAUCAGAUGAAGUAGAAGCAUUCCUGCGAUGCUUUGGAGGAUUAUUAGCACCUUCCAUACAUCUGCAAAUAAGCACAGCUACAGCUUUAGAAGUGAUACAUGAGACUUAAUACCUAAAUGGACAAACCCUUGAAUCCCAAUUACUUGGGCCAGCAGAAUUUAGAGUAUGAGUGAUCUACCAUACCUUGAUUUAAUAUCGGCACCACUGCUUUGCCUAGAUAAUGUGCCUGUAAUAGAAGUUCUUAUCAGAGCUAAGUUGUGGAGAAAAUAGGGUCAACACGAAGUAAAAAUAACAACACAGUAAAGAAAAUAAAAAGGCAUGAGUUGUAGUUUGUUAAAAGAAUGUAAUGUUCGGUUCAUCUAACCAGGUAUAGUAUAUCGCAAUUAAUGAUCAGUGAUAACUACAAACGCAUCUUUAAAACCAUAGGUAUUCCUCCUCUGCCUAUUAUGAGUUAUAUGGACAUUGUUAGGGCUUUAGCUCAAGUGUAAGUGGAUAUGUUACACAUAUUUGGCCUAGUACUCAACAAAUUAAGCUUUUAGGUCAAUUGAUCACCUAACAUGGCAUCAGAAUCUUGGUUUAUGGGAGGAUAUAUUUUUUGUUCUAACCAAUGUUUAUUUCUCCAUUUAUCAAGCCUAUGUGCAAACCCAAAAAAGACUGCCAAGGACAAAGGGUAUUAGGGCUUUAACCCAAGUGUAAGUUGCAAUGACAUACAUAGUUGGCACAUCACCUAACAGUUUAAACUUUUAGGUCAACUGGUACCCUAAUACGGUAUCAGUGCCUUGUUUUAUGGGAGGCAAUAUGUUUGAACCUCACCAAUGUUUAUUUAUUCAUUGAUUAAUCCUAAGUGCAAGCUCAAAUAAGUCUUCAUGUGACAAGGGUUGUUAGGACUUGGGAGUGUAAGUUGGUAUGAUAUACAUGGUUGGCCCAAAAGCUUAAGUUUUUAGGCCAAUUGCUAGCCUAAUUAACAUGAACAAAAACCAAAUGUUUAGCAACAUAAACUAUAGCAGGUUUUAAAUGAAGAAGAUUUGGCUCAACAUGUUCUAUUCAAUACGGGUAGGAGAGGAACCCAACUCGGUAUUCUUAAAAAUAUACAGGAAUCAAAAAAAUCACAAAGCACUCAACAAACCACAAAGUUGUACCACUUGACUCUUGUGAAAAUUAAAGUUUUAAAUAUUAGAAGCUGGAAUUCUGUUAAUACCUUUGGUUUCUUCUCUUUGGGGAAGGAUUGAGAAAGAGCCAAGAAAACUAGACAUUCGCCCCAAUGUUGUUUCUGAGAUGGACUUCUUGGAAGACUACAAAAAGAAGCUUUCCAGUUAGGAAAUACUCCAUUAGAGCCCAUUGGUUAACUUAUUCAACACAGGGCAAGUUAAACAUGAAUUGCUGGAAUGAAAAGUAUUUAGUUGACAACAGAGAAUGAUGAUUGCAAUGUUACAUGGUUAAACUUGAUCGAUCCUACUAAAUCAAAAUGCAAGUAUUCAUGGAGGGAAAGGCAUUUUCAUUUCAGCAAACAAAGAAAUCAGAGAAAGCUUACAGAUUCUUUUUUGGGACAACCAUAUUUGCCUUGCAGCUGUGAAAUGGCAAUCAUAGCAAGAUUUAGUGAUAUAGCAUGCAAAGAUAAACUUCAGGAUGAUUGAGUCUGUACAUGUUUCACCUUUAGAGAAAAGUCAUUAACAUCCAAUAGCAGCAACUUUGCUUCAAAGAAAUGUGCUAAAGCUUUGGCAAGUGUUUGCUGGUAAAGUUCUUCAAAAGAUUAACAAAAAUAAAAGUAAAGCAAAAGGCAAACAAGUUAGGCCAUCAAAAGGACUCAGAAACAUAAAUAUCCAAAUGCAGGGUCAGAGAACAUAUUCCAGAGAGCAUACCAGCAGGUCCUGAGAGCAAAAUAGCCCUGCUUGCAGGUGCAAGGUUUCGAGUGUGCUUAGAAAAGUCAGAGUGUUUUAGAUGAACAUAUGCAGCACUUGUAAGUAAUACUCGUGUCUGCUCACUGUCAUAGCCAUUAAUAGAAAGGAACAACAUUAGCAUAAAUAUGAUAAGAGAUCAAGAGACGUUUAGAUCAAUGUAAUGAAUCUGAGUUUAGAAUUAGUGUCUAUGUAAACUAGAAUGAUAUGGGAGUGUUCUAUGACUACUUCAAAAAAUUGCGACACUCUGCAUAGUCAACAUGUUACUUGGCAUUUCAAAAAAGGCCUAUUAGAAACAAUAGCUAAGAACUCCAUGUAUAUCUUAAUAAAGAAUGAUAAAUGUAACAUCUCAAAAGUAACAAAUUUGUGAAAGCUAAGACCUUGGAAGAUGCCAAUGCUGUCAAGUUUCUACUUCCUCAAACCAUGAUUUGCAUACUACUAACCUGAUCACAGAAAAAGACCAAAAGAAAAUCCUUGGAGUACAUUUAAUUAAGAGGAAAAUUUGAAGUUUCAGACUUGAGGAUCAAACAGUGUCAACAAUUUGCAUAAAAACCCAAGAAUACAAAAAUAAAUAUUCUCAUAUAGAAAAAGUGCUGUCAAAGUGCUAACACCAGUUACAACCUUUCAUGGACAUCCAUAUGCCCACAUGAAGUGGCAAAUACACAAACUGGACCAGUUUUACAAGAUGCCAGUUGCAUAUGACAGCAGAUAUUAAAGGGUAACUUAAAGACAGCACUGGUGCAUGAAAAAGAAAUCGACAAGCCUGGAAAGUUGGAUUGGAAAUGAUGUGCCCAACAUCUCACUUCCAGUGCCACAUAGUGCUCAUGGUCACCUACCUUUCUUCUGGCAUCUGCACUUACCAAUAUUGAGAAACACCAAAACAAAAUACGGAAAAGACGGCUCCAAGGAACUUCCAUUUUUAGAAUUUCCUCACCAAAAUGCCAAAUGGUUUACACAGAGAUUAAUUCUAAUUGCAAAAACUAGAAUUGAGAAGAAUUGGUACUUGAGAUGGAUUGAUCGUCUCUCAUCAGCUACUCUAUGAGUAAACUAUGUUAUAACGGAUAUUCACAACAACCAGGAGCAACUGUUGUUGAUAUGCCCUUGACUGAAAAUCAUACCUCUAAAUAUGUAAUAUUAGCAUACUUCCGAUAAGUAUGGGAAUAAUAGGUAGAUCCAGUACUGCUACAGGAUGAAGCCUAUGUGGGAAAAAAGGGGGAAAGGAAGAAGAUGCUUUAUGCGCACUUUUGAGAUUGAGUGAACUUCUUUUUGAACAUAAGACUUUAGAAGACAUGAGAGUCUCAAAAAGAAAUAACAGUGAUCUUAGGCAAUUUAACAGGGAAACUCUAACCACCCCAAAUUGCAUCCUAGUCUAAACUUUUUCCUUAUAGGUAAGGGACCUUCAGACAAAGUCAUAAGCAUAUGUACCUCAACAAAGACACCCUUCAUUCCCAAAUUCCCAAAUAAUUACUCCUCUUUCUAAUCCAUUAAAUCUAAAAGAUGAAGCUUAGAACACAAAACUGAAGUGAAAUGGAAAUCAAAGAGAGAAUCCCCAGAUUCGCUUGGAUUCAAUAACACAAACCAAUAAUAUGACAGGAAAAAAAAAUCCAGAAAGAUGGGAAGAAAAAAAAAAUGAAACCCCCAUCAAUUAGAAUCCCCAAAAGAAAAUUAUUAAAAGAAUUUCAGAAGGGUAUUGAAGAAUCAGUAGUUUAACAGCAAUACAUCAUGGGUGACAGAAGAAGCAUAUGCAGAAAAUAUCUUAAUACCAGAUCAUCCACAUGGUGGUAAUAACAGACUAAAUUGAUUAAAACAAUCAUAAAAUAAUAUUAGUUUUACACUAAAUAUCAAUACAAUUUUCUCUAACAAGGCCUCUAAAUUUUCAUAUGGAUUUAAGAACAAGCAAUACAUAUGCAAAUAAUGAAUCAUUGGGGAUGAAAAAUUCAUCAAUCUCAUUACCUGAGGAAAUAAGGAAAUUCAUCAAAGGUGAUCUUGCUUUCCCUUCCAUCCACAACCUGCCGCAGAAGCUCAUGCUCAAUCUGCUCUUCUGUAAUGGCGUCCGGCGAGCAAUUCAGCCCUGUCCAUCGACUCACUGUCUGUCCAGAAGCCAAACCAAGCCCAACCGAGACACCCACCCCAACGCUCAGCGCAGACAAGAAAAUGUGCUUCUGUUCCAUCACUUUAGGCCUCCUCCAAACCAAAUUCAAUUCUCUCCCAAAAAAGCAAUACCCCUCCUGUCUCUCUCCAACCUUCACACACAGACAAACAGAAAACAAAGCUCAAUCCCAAGAAGCAAACAAGCAACAGUUGUAUAUACUCUUUCUUUCCCACUAAUCGCACUUCUUCAAUAUUCAAUCCCACAUCUUUGAACACAAGUACCAGAGAAAAAAACAAGCAAACAAUACAAACCCAUCUCCCAAAAGCCUGCUAUCCAAUCAGAAAAUGGUUUGUUUCCUGGGAAACUUCAUCCCCAAUACAUUUGUUUUCACACCAAAUAAAUGACAUACUAGUACUACUCAACACACCCACACUAGAAACAUGAACCCACAGGGACUCACACCAAGAAGAAAUGAAACCAAUGAUGAUUGAAACUGAAGAAAAGGGUACCCAAAAGUACGUUGGUGAAAAAAUCUUCACACUAGAACAAAGUAAUAUUAUGAGCGGUUGUUUAUGGCAGAAUAUGAUUGAAAAUCCAGAGAAAUCUGGCAAAGAUUGACAAGGGACUUUUGGGGUUGAAGUUUAGAGCCUACCCUUUCAGGAAGGUAGAAGUUUGGACACAGGAAUGUAUGAAUCUCCGAUUGGUACGACGUUGGUGGACCAGUUUCGACAGGUAAAUGACUUGGAAUUUGGCUGUGUUCUUUGUUCUUCGGGCUAUUAAUAGGGUGCAACUACAGUGAAGGAUUACCGGAGACUGGCAACUCUCGGUUGUUUUUUUUUGUUUUUUCAGUUUUUAUUUGUUUAUUCUUUAUUUUUUAUUUUGGUAUUUUUUAUUUCUUGCCUUUUUCUUUUUUGUUUUGUUUGUUAUUAUAAUAAUAAUAAUUGUAGAGCUGGUAUUCAGGUAAAGUUGGUACUCACUUCUCUGUCUCUUUCCUCAUUCUGGUUGGCAUUCUUGCUCCUCUUUUUCUCUUAAAUUUAUUUUCCUUUUUUAGGGUUUUAGUAUUUCAUUUUCGAAAUACAAAUCAUUUCCCUUAUAUAAUAAAACUACGAUGGAUUAGUUGCAUUAAUACAAAAAAAUACAUACUCUCAAUUCCCUAUCAUACUAAAUUUUGAAUCAGGAUUUGUUUCAAUUGUACGAUAAAACUUAGAUAAUUGAAUAAUGACACAUAUGAAAUAUUUAAGUACCAAUAAGUAAAAAUAAGUAAUUAAGAUAAAAAUACAAAUUAAUAAAAUCAGAGAUAAGAUACAAAGUAAUAAGAUAUUAAAUAUAAAACGAUCAGAGAGAUCGAGAUGUGCACGUGACCUUUUUUUUAUUAACAAUACAAUAAUAUUUUCGAUAUUAAUUUGAUAGGAAUGUUGUAUCACUAUAUCGGGUUUUAUUGAAUUCUUAUUUAAAUUAUUUCAAUGAUACAUUUAAUACAAAUGUUACAAGGCAUAUUAUAAGAUAAAGAAUAUUUGAUACCCGAAAAAUGAAUUUAAAUAUGUUGUGAAUUAUCACAUUACAUGAAAAGAAAAUAAUUAAAAUACGAGUAAAUUAUAAUAUUAUGUGAAAAAUUAAAUUAACAAAUAAUAAUAAUUGAAAUUUUGGGUUUAAACCCUAAUCCUAAAAAUAAAUAAAAAAGAGGGUUUAAUUAGGUCACUUUUUGGUUCUUUUCUUAUAAAUAAACCAAACUUGAGCCUCAAGCAAAUGCAAAUUCAAUGAAAUAUCAUUUAGAACUUUAGUAUUGGGCCCAAUACUUUUGACCCCACAUACAUGAUGUACACAAAAGUUGUCCAAAACAUAAUUUUCCUUUAGGCAUUCCCACAUUUUAUGCUAGAAAAAAAUUCCCCUCUCUGGUUUUUUUUUUUUCCAUUUUUUUUAAAUCUUUUAAAAAAGGGAAAAAAAAAAAAAAAAAGGUUAAGAAGCAAAAGGAAGCUUCUCAAUCUUGGAGUCUUUUGAAAUGUCGUUUGGUGGACAAGUUGGCAUUAAUGUUGGGGGCAUUGACAAAGAUUCAACGUCCCUGGUUUUACAUUAUUUGAUUUCCCACUUGAUCAAUCUUUAUACUUCAUCCUACCCUUUUACGUCCUUUCACAUCUCAAAUUUUAUAAAAAUAUAAUUGUACGUGAUGCUUUAAUUAAUUUAAUAAAAAAAAGAAAUAAAAUAUUUUGAAAAAUGCUUUCUUAAAUUGACCGUUGCAAGUGUUUUUAUCCAAAUCACUUUUUUGUUAUAAAUAUAAAUAAAAUUAGCAGAAAAAAUCGUAUAGCAAUCUAUUAUAUGUAAAAAAAUUAUAAAUCUUAUCUGGAUCGUUAAAUAAUUCAAUAAAUAUGAGAAAAAAAAGUAUAUAAUUUUACUUAAUUGUUUAUGUUCUUUGGCCAUUAUCAAAGUUUUACAACAAGAUCUCUGACUUUUACUAUAGUCAAAAGUUACUUUUAAGAAAGAUCUUAAAAGUUUGCCCGUUGAAGAAUCAAGUUUUUAAAAAUAGUUGUACUCUCUUAGGAUUCACGAAAGUUCAUCAUCGUCAUUCAAAUAAGAUAUCUUUGUUUAUAUUUAUAUACUUUUUUAGAAUUAUAGAAAGUUUCCUAAUUCUAAAAUAUUUUAAAAAUCAUUUUUAGAAUUAAAUACUAAUUUAGAGUCAAAUACAAAUUUCAAAACUUAUUAAAAACAAAUUUUGAAAUUAGAAAUAUAGUAGAAAUCAAAUUAUAAAAUACAAAAACCUUAUUUCCCUAAUUUCUUAUAUUAGUAGUUCUAAAAACUUUACCACCCAUAAAUACAAGGUUAUCUUAAAUUUUACAAUUUUAAUUAACCCGAACUUGAUGAAGUUCAAAAUUAUCUUAAAAAUGAAUAAGAUCCAAUAAAAUAAAUUACAUAUAACUAAUAAGAAAUAAAUAAAACCAACAACUAAACAAAAUACCCUCAGAGAAAUCAAAGUAUAUUUAACCUAAAUAAAUGUAAGUAUUUUUAAUUAUUUAAAAUUUAAUUAUUGUGUAUAAUAACACCCAAAGAAACAAUGAGAAGAAGAGAAAAAAAUGCAAGUAAAAUUUUAAUAAUAAUAAUUUUUAAAAAUUUAAAGUAUUUUUUUUAUAUUUCCAAUUAUUUCUCAAUCAAUUCUAUAAAAACUAUUGAUAGAUUUCUCAAAUUUAUUUAUAAAAAAACAAUAUAUUUUAGAAAAAAUAAACCUUUAAUUGAUAAAUUAAAAAAAAAAAGAAAAAAAAAGGAUGCUUUUGAAAUUAACUUUUACUUUCUGAUGGGCGGUAUAUUACUUUACACGUGUGCAACGGCUGCAUAAAAGUUUAACGCACGUGCCUUCUUUUGCCCUUUUUUUCUUUUUAAAAUUUUUAAAAAUUUUAAAUUUUUUAUUAUUUAUUGCUUUCCACGUUACAGCUUCCCCCACCAUAAUUUUAAUGGCGGCUAAUAACAUAAUUUUGUAAAGUAUAAAGUCCUACGUUUCGUCAAUCCGAAAGUUUUAUUUGGUGGGGGCGGCUCCAAAUUAAUGAAUUUUGCAAAGCAAGUCUCCACGUGUCCAAUGGGCCCAUCCGUACAAAUAUUAAAAAUAUUAUUGUCAAAAAUAUAAUAAUUAUAAUAUGGUAUAAGGCUUGGGAGCGUGACAUUAAAAAUAAUAUUUAUUGAGUUCGAACCCAUCGAAAACUCGUUAAUUAAUUUUUAAUCACUAGUGUAUUAUAGCCCAUUUUGCACUUUAGUGUAGCCAUGAUGAGUGAUCAUAAAUUCCAUUUUCAUGGCCUCGUGAACUCAAAUUUAUUUCACAUACCUUGACAAUGACAACACGUGGAUAUUUUAAAAGAUAAAAGUUAUUUUGUGUGUGUCGGACAAAUAAAUUUAAUUAAAAUAAAUUAUUUUAUAUGUUAUUUUAAAUUUAUUUUUUAUUUGAUACGUAUAAAUUUUUAAAUAAUUUUAAUAUUAUAUUUAAAUACCGACCGUAUACUUGAGUUGGGACCUGCAAAGGAGAACCAAGAACUAGGUUCUAUGAGGGAAGAUUUAGUAGAGAAUUUUAACACAAAUUUGAAGCAAAUGAAAAAUAUAUGGGAACCAAGCAUGACCCAAAGGAGAAGGAUUCAUGGAUCUAAAGAGAGCAAACAAAGGAAGAAAAGAAAGAAAGAAGGAAAAGAGAAAGAGUGGUUGGGUUGUGUUCAUGGAGAGAGACCCAUUCAUUGGAUUCUUUAUCUUUUUGCUUUUUGUUCAUUCUUCUUUACAAUUUUCAUUGAUGGGUGAGUGGGGAUCUAUGCAUUGCUCCCCCACCCUCCACCCUCCACCCUCCACCCCAACCCCAACCCCAACCCCACCCGCCCAUAGUACAAAUGGUGAUUUUGUUUUUGUUGUUAACUUCUUGUUGGGUCCUCUGCCUCACAAAGCCCCUUUACCCUAAACCCUAAGGCUUGUAGUAUUUUAAUAUGUUGUGGAAAAAAAUAGUGAAAUAAAGUGAGCAGUGAUAGCCUUACCAAGUUAUCAAAAGGGAUGGGGAGGGAGGGGGCUAAUAAGAGAAUCUUGAGGAAAGUUGUUUGGUAAGAAGACAGGGGAAAUGAGAGGAGAGAUACCGCCCAAGCCAAAAAGCAAGGAUCCCACAAUGUUUCAUAGUCCUUUGAGGCCCCCUUUUUUUCCAACUCAGACUCACAUGCUAUCCUUUGAUUUGUGGGUUACACGCAAUGCCACUAUACUUUUCACUACUUUAUUACAAGCCCACACACCCACACCCAAAAGCUCCUUUUUCUUCAUGUCAAUACAAAAACCCUAAGUGGUCCUAGUCAACAUAGUUUUCUUCUUUGGUUUAUUACCCUCCUUUCCCAUUGAUUUUGCUUCAUUUUGUGGGGGUUUCUUGAUUUUGGUAUUGGUUAAUUGCUUUUGGUUUGAGAAAGCUAUAUUGGGUUCACGAAAAAUUUGAAUGAAAAAUGUAAGAGAAUGAAAAUAAGGUCGUUUUUUAAUAUAGUUUUUGUUUUCCAAAAGAAAAAAAUAUGAAAAAUAAUAUAAAACAAUUUCCAUUCUUGAAAACGGAAAGAUAGUAUUUUCAAAGAAUUUUUAACUGUUUUUAAUUGUUUUACUUAUUUUUUUUAAGGAUUUUUUUUAAAUAAAUUAUACAAAUAUGAAAAAUAAUUAAAAAUAAAAUAUUACACAAAAAUUUAAUUUUAAAAUACUUUUAAUAACAUAAAAAGUAGGUUUAGAAUAUUUCACAUUCCUAGAUAUAAAGAAUAGUUUAUAAAAACAAUUUUUCAUAAUUAUUUUUUAAAAUAUUUUAUAAAUAGAAGAAACGAUAAUAAAGAAGCAUCUUAUCAUUGAAUUUUUAUAUGAAUAUCAUAAAUGAAUGGUUGAAUAAAAUUAAUAAUUUUGUUUGGAAUUUGGAAAAAGUAUAAAGUGAAAAAAAAUAGAUGGUAGACUUUGGAAUCAUAUGUUACUUGCAUAAGGGGUUAGGAAUAUUAGGGCAUGGUGAAUUAAUUUUUAUUUUUUAUUUUAAUUUCUUGGUUGCUUCCUCAUGAGGAAUUCCCUAUUGAAGAAGAAAAUCUUUUAAGCCUACUUUUUGGUCUUUCCCUUUUGGUCAUGCACUUGUGCUUAAUGGGGGCUUGCUUUUUUUUUUUUUCUCCCCCUUUCUAAUGAAAGCUAUGGGCACAAUGAACGAAUGCUUGGGCUUUCCUUGCAUUUUAGGUCAAGGCUUUGUUCACAUUUUUCUGAUUGAUAUGAUACCUAGAAAACAAAUGCCAUGAGACCAACUAAUCCAAUGGAUAUUACUAUAUAAAAUCAUUUUAAUUAUAUUUAAUUUUUUAAAUAUUUUUUUAUGAUAAAUCAAAUCAAAUAUAAAAUAAUUUUUUCAUAUGGGGUAUUUAGAACGCUUCCCGAUAAUAUUUGUAAUUAUUCAUUUCUUCGUAGUUUAUAUUUAUGAUUUUAAAUGUGUUUACAUUUUAAAAAAAAUGGCUUAUAAUGUCAUAAACUUACUUAAAAAAAAACCGACAAUAAUUUCAAAGGUAUGUUAAAAUGUAUAUUCCAAGAAUAUGUUUGGAGAAAAAUCAAUAAUAUGGUUAUUGUCAAACAUUCAUUAAUGAAUCCCCAAAGCAUGGAUAAUAGAUUCAUGCACUUGUCACACAAUCACAAUUGUAUAAGAUGUCCCUCCCAAAUUCCCAAUGUUUUGCCCCCACCUUUAUAGAUGAACAAAGUAACAACUUUCUAGUCAACCAAACAUGCCCAAUUAGAAAAAGAAAAGAAAAAAAGGGUAAAAAUUUGGUAAAGCUCUCAAUUACCAUGGAGUCUUUGACCCAAAAGACAAGACAUUCCAAUUGGAGAAAGUGUGGGUCAUUGAAAACCAGGCCCUCCUCCCCCACCACCAUGAACCCCUCCAUAGAAUAUUUUAGAGUUUGUUAGCUGUUUCUUCCAUUAAUGCAUUUAUAUACAUUCCAAUUGAAUUAUAGCCAUUCAUUGGGAGGAGCCCAUAUAAAGUUGAAAAUUUGAAAAGAAGAGACCAUGGUUGGAGCAUAGGCACAAUCUUGAAAAGAUUCAAUGAUGUUUUGGGAGAUUUUUGCCCAAGGCACAACCCUUUAGUGUCGGUAGUAAAGCCAAAAUAGAGACAUGAUUGAAGGGGCACACACCAUGGCCUUAGAGCCUUGUGAGCUUUUGGUCCAUGAUUAGCUUUGGGUUGGAAAGUUGGGGGAUUUGAAGAAACAUACACUUAUCUUUGAUUGAGUAUUAAUGGAACAUAUGUUGGUUGGUUUGAAUCUUAAUUUGGAGAUUUUUUUUUUUUUUUUUAAAAAAGGAGUUGAUAGCCUAAUGCGAUUAAAAAUUCACAAAAAUCUAGGAGUUCGUCUUUUUAUAGUUACAUCUCGAAUCAUAAUUAAGGUCUAAAUCAUUAACAACUUUUAACUUAUGCAAAUCUAAAUUAAGUCAUCUUAAUGGAAAUUAAUACUUGAUUAUGAAUAGUAAAAACUAAAAAAUCAAUAUAAUUGAUUUGAUUUUCAAUUACUAUAAAGUUCGAUUCAAUUUGAGAGUUUUAAAAAUUAAUUUUAUCGGUUUAAUUUUUUAUUUCGUAAUCUCCUAACUAGUAACAACCUAAUCAAAUCAAAAUAUAAGGCUUUCAUCUCUUAUGAUUUGUAAUUGCUCAAUGUUUAAUGAUUUUUUUUUAUAUAUUUAUUAUUUAUAUACUUUUUAGAUUUUGUUAAAGUAAUUUAUUGUCAUUAAAUAUUUUAAAUAUAUUCUAAGCCUCAAACCCAUAUAAUUUUUUUAAAUGGGUUUUAGGUCUAAAUUAAUUUGCAUAUAAUUGAUCAUAUAAACAUAACCAAUUCGACUUUAAACAAGUUUGGUUUGGUUUAGCUUUUUGAUUACUAAAAUGCUUGAUCGAUCUUUUAUUUGAAUAUAAAUCGAUCGUGUCGAUUUGACUACUCUUCCACUUAUAUGGACUACUAACGAUGAAUAUUAAAACCUUAAAUAAAUAUCCAUCGUUGCCAACCUUAUGACAAAGAUAACAUAAAAAAAUAACUUUUUAACAUCAUGUGUUACUGUGUUAGCAACAUUUAUAAAUAUCUAACACCAUGAAUGUCAAAAACCCUAACACUAAAUAUUAUAAACUACUAACUUUUGAUGACACAUUUUUAAGAAAGCAUUAUAAAACUAGAAUAAAUUCAGUAAUUUUAUAUUAUUAAUUUAAAAAAAUUAAAAAAAAGUACUUUUAUUUGUUUUUUACUAGUAAGUUAGAAAAUGUGGGUAAAGACACCACAAAUCAGAACCGACCCACAUGGUGGCCAACUUGAACCCCAGUGUGGAUAGAGGCAGGACCAGCUUGGCCCAGCCAGAAAAUUGUCUUCUGCCUCUUUGUUGGUAGUGGUGGUAGAGGCCAGGCAAUAGGCAAACAGAGAGAGAGAGAGAGAGAGAGAGAGAGAGAGAGAGGGAGAGAGAGAGGGCGAGAGUACUAAUAACAACAACAACAAUAAUAAUAAUAAUGGAAUAGAAAAGAGAGAGAGAGAGGUCCAAGUAGGUCAAAAGCCAGGCAACAAUACAGGAACUACCUAACUUUAGAGAAAGAAAGAAAAAUAAUAAAAAAAAAAGAGGGGAAAAAAAAUAGUGGUCCAAAGCAAUUUCACAUCAUCUCCUAAAAGGUAUAAUCCCACAUGAAACCCAUCUUUCUUCUCUAAUAUACUCAUUUUUUUAUUGUUAGUGCACCCCUCUUAGAAUAUUGAUUGAGAGUGACAUGAGGCCCCCAUUAUGGAGGCCCUAGUCAAAAUUUUGUUAAGGUGGUGGUAGUUCUUUACAUGAAAAAUUAUCGCUUUUUUUUUUCUUUUUGUUUUCAUACUAUCUUUAGGUGGAGGGCAGAUUGGGAACAUAAUUUCUAAUUUAAAUCUACCUUAAAUAAUUUCAUUUUUUUUAGCUUUCGUGUUCAGGUCAAGCUCGGAGUUAAAAAUCAACCCGAGUCCAAUCCUAAGUGGAUCAUACCAAGUUUAGAUGUGAGAUAUAUUGGGAUUUAACCAAAAAUUCUCAAGCGGUUCAAGUUGGAUUUUGGACAUACGAACCAAACUUACAAGUUAUUUAUAAAAUUAAGAAUAUUUAUUCGUUAUUAAAAAAUUUGAUAGAAAUAAAAAACAUAGAUAAAAGUUUCCACCUCCGAGGAUAUUAUUUGAAAGUUUGUCACAAUUUUCUUCUUUCAUCUGGAUUAGAAUGUUAAUUUGGAGGAAAAUUUUGCUCCAAAUCUGCUUAUACCUUCAAUUACAUCAUGGGUGUGUAGCUUCUAAAUUCUAUAAUUUUGAGUUUGUAUUUGGGUAAGGUGCUUGGCCCAACUUUGCCAGGCCUAAUAUACAACUUGAUCAUAAAAGUCCUAAUCUUAAGACUAUGAAUCACCCGGGGCCCAUUUUAAUACUUUGGGCUAGGCCCAAUUCAAGUAUAAACCCCCCAAACACAAAAUCUUUUUUGUGUACGUGACAUUAAAGUUCUUUUAACCCUCUACAUUGAGUUUAAGGUGAAGGGGUGCAAUUUGGGCCUAUUGGGUCGGAUUGGAAGUCAUUUGAGCCUAUUAGGUCGGAUUGGCAGUCAAUUGGACCUAUUGGGUCGGGUUGAUAGUCAAUUCGAGGUCAACACUUACACGAAUCUUUUUUUUUUUGUUUAUUUACUUUACACUUCCCUUGAAAGGGAGAAAGAAAACUAAAUUUCUUGAAGUAUAUAAAAAUGAUUUAUUAAAUUUAAAUAAUUUCUAAAAUUUUUCACCAAUUUUUUUCUCCUAUUUGUCUACACUAUUUCAUUGAUUUUUUGAGAUUCAAAUGAACAAAGUUGAUUUACUAAGAAAAAUAUGGAAAAGAAAAUCAAAUAUGAUAAUAAUUAUUUAUUUUACAUACCAGAAAAAGAGAAAUAAAUUUGAAAAAUUAUGUAUAAAAAAUUAUUAAAUUUAAAAAUAUGAUUCACCUUUUUCAUUUAUUUUUAUUCCUUAUAUUAUUUCCCUUACAUUUCCAUUUAAACCUUCCAAUGGUCAUUUUUUUAAAUUAAAUUUUUUAUAUGUAAAAAUGGAAUAUCACAUACAAAAAGUAUAAAUUUUAUCUUUACACCUUAAAAAAAAAAAUCACUUCUAGAUCGUAAAAAUUUUGUUAUUUAUAAUGGUAUUAAAUCAAUAUUUAUUGAAUUUCAAAUUUAGAUCAUUGACAGUAUGGAUCAUUGAAUAAAGGCAUUGAUAAAACAAAGACUAUGAAUAAUUAAGGAAAAUGCCCAAAAGGAGGGGGGGGGGGGGGGGGGGGGGGGGGGAAAUUGGGUUUUUUAAAAAUUUUUUCCCCCCAAAAAAUAUUGCCCAAAAAAAAAAAAGGAAAAAAAAAAAUUUAAAAAAUUCAAACCCGGGUUUUAAGGGGUUCAACCCUUUUUUGCCACCUUUCCUUUUCCCCAACCCCCAAACCAGGGGGGGGUCCCCCAAAUUUNNNNNNNNNNNNNNNNNNNNNNNNNNNNNNNNNNNNNNNNNNNNNNNNNNNNNNNNNNNNNNNNNNNNNNNNNNNNNNNNNNNNNNNNNNNNNNNNNNNNAUUUAUUUAAGGUUUUAAUUUUCAUCGUUAGUAGUCCAUUUAAGUGGAAGAGUAGUCAAAUCGACACGAUCGAUUUAUAUUCAAAUAAAAGAUCGAUCAAGCAUUUUAGUAAUCAAAAAGCUAAACCAAACCAAACUUGUUUAAAGUCGAAUUGGUUAUGUUUAUAUGAUCAAUAAUAUGCAAAUUAAUUUAGACCUAAAACCCAUUUAAAAAAAUUAUAUGGGUUUGAGGCUUAGAAUAUAUUUAAAAUAUUUAAUGACAAUAAAUUACUUUAACAAAAUCUAAAAAGUAUAUAAAUAAUAAAUAUAUAAAAAAAAAUCAUUAAACAUGGGGCAGGGGGGGGGGGGGGGAGGGGUGAAUUGGGUUUUUCAAAAUCUUUUUCCACACAAUAAUAUAUGCACAAAAUAAAUAAAGGAAAGAGAUAAAGUUAGAGAAUUCAAACUCAGGUUUAUAGUGGUUCGACACUUCUUUGCCUACGUUCACUUUCCUCAAUCUCCUAACCGAGUGAGGGUUCCACUAACUUGAAACUUCAAUCAAGCUUCCAAUCGUCUUACACUUGGAUUCCGGCUCCAAUGAGCUCUUACACAAUCUCUUCAAGAUUUGAACCACUUGAAGGCUUUCACACUUAGUUUACACAAGGAUGAAACUCUCAACCUAGCUUAAGGAAGGCUCAAGUACAAGAGAAAGCUAGGAUGAAUUACAAGAGUGCACUAAGAAUAUGCAAGUGAUGGUUUAAUGCACUAAGAAAGAAAAUGAGAGCUUUUUGGAUCAAGAACAGGUAGGUAGGCUUUGAAUGCAAUUGUUCUCUUAGUCAUAAAUGAAGAGGAGCUCUCAAUUUAUAGGUUUCUAAGCUCGGGAGACAAAAACAGCAUAAAGUAGCCUUGACCGGACGAACAAAGGGUCAACCGGAUCACUAGCCGUUGGAGCAUUUAAUGCAUGGUAGGUUACCGUUGCCUCGACCGGACAAGGGUGAGGCUCGACCGGGAAAAAAAAUCUACUAGGAGAGAGAGAAGGUUUUUGUGCCUCCCUCGACCGGACAAGGGAAACUGGUCGACCAGUUACCCAAUCGGUUGAGCCGGUUGGCCAUAGCCUCGACCGGAUGAGCCUUUUGGCCCUGAAAACCUAUCCUUUUUUAUUUCUUUCUUUUCCAAUACUUAGGCAAGGUCUUUAGGUGAGUUAAUAUGCCAAUUUUGAAUCAAUUUGCCUUAGGUAUAUUUGAUAAAACUCGAUUUUUAAAGAAAAUCAAGUUUUAAAGAAUAAACCGAGUUUUCUAAGAUGCAUGAAAAGGUAUGAAUAUCUUAAGUGCACUCAUGCUAUUAUCUUACAUUCAUUUCCUAUGAUCACAAGUCUUCCAAAUGAUCUCGAUCCCGUAUUCGUUUGGUCCUUGAUGAAUUUUUGAGAUUAUGCCUGAGAUUCUUAACAAUUUAAAACAAUUAGUCACUUAACCAUGAUUUGUUAUCAUCAAAACCUGAUUAGGGGAACCCUUGGACUAACAAAUAUAAAUAUAUGAUUAGUGUAUAAAUAAAUAAAAUGAAGGUACAAAAGAAUGAGACCAAAGUAUAGUGACUAAUUAUAAAGAAAAAGCAUCCAUUGAUCGUGUCGGAUACACCUUUUAAAAAGAAGAAAAAUGUUAAGGUAUCGUAAUGAUGAAAUCGAUCAAGAUAUGGUAUAGUUAAAUGAGAUCAUACUACAAUAAUACAAAACUAAAAUAUUAAGGUACUACAAUGAUGAGUUCAAUUAAGAUAUGGUGUAAUUAAAUGAAAUCAAAGUACAAUAAUAAAAAAAAUGAAAUUAAGAUAUUAAGUUAAAGUUUAGUAAAUCAACUUAAUAACUUAAAAUAAUUUAAUAACUUAAUUUAAAUCGAUAAAAAAAUUAAGUAUAUUUAGUAAAACAACUUAAUAAUAGAAGUUAAAAUAAAGAAUAACUUCAAAUAAUAAAUAAAAUAAUUAAUUUAUUCUUAAGUUCAUAUUUUUAUUUUAUCUUUUUAUUUUUAUUUAUCAUAAUUACUUUUAUGAUCUCUUUUAUUAUUUCAGAAUCUUCACUUUUACUUAACCUAUUUUAUUCUAAUAAAAUUUAUAAAAAUAAAUAUGUUAAUUUAAUAAUUUAAAAUAAAUUUUAAAUUGACUUUAUUAAACUACUUUAAUACUUAUAAUAAUAAUAAUGAUUAAGUAAUAAGUUUUAAAUUAAAAAUUUAAAUAUAAUUUAACUUAAAAUCAAUUUAAAUCAUUAAGAUAAUUUGUCCGAAAGAUAAUAAUUAUGGUUUCAUACUAUAAAUGGACUUGAAAGGAAACAUAUCUUGGUAUAUUUUGGGUAGAAAGUGACGGAGAGGAAAGUCAGCAAGAGUUGGGUGAUGGUACGGAGGCUAAGGAGGGUACGAAGAGGAGUGAAGGAGGAGGAGUUAGGUUUUAGGUGAAUUGAUGGAAUUCCACGUCAAUUAAGCCAUCUCUCAUUCUCCAUUGACGCUUGGUGGAGCUUUUCCACGUCACCUCCUUCAAAAAAAGUUCUCCAAUUUUAUCUCCAACCACCAGCCAUCGCCUUUCCCACCUCCACAUGGUCCUCUUUCUUCUUCUUUCCACGUUGGAUAUGGUUUUUAAUUCUUGGAGGGCAAGCUUCUUUUCAUAAAUUUAAGUGCAAGAUUUUCAUAAUUUUGCACACCAUUGGAAGCAUGUGGGCUGAGUUUAUUCCUGUUACAUAUUAUUAAUUCAGCUUUAAUUUUUAAUUUUUUAAAAAGGAUUUUAUGUCAUUAUAUAUUGGGUUAGGGUUCAUGAAAAAUAAACAAUAUUUAGAACCCCGAUUAAUAAUAAUUUUAAAAUAAAAAUAAAAAUAUUUUCAAACAUAAAAAAUAUUAAAAACAUUUUUUAAAAUUAUAUUCAAAUAAAACUUUUAAUGUAAAAUUUAACGAUAAAUAUAGUUUUUAGAUUGAAAAUCCUAAAUUAUUUUAGAAUCGUGUUCAACCCCUGAAGAAAUUUCAAAAAGAUUAUAAAUAUUUUUUAAUAUUUAAAUAUGUAAAUUCACAUUCUUUAGAUUUACAUUCUGAGUGGAGAUUAGGUGGCAUAAUCUUUCCAAAAAAGUAGUCAAAAAAUGGAAAAAAUUUUCUAGCAUGCUUUCAUAGAAAAUGCCAAGAUCACUUCAUGGAUGGAUGGUGGGUCUAAUUUUUAAUGCUCCCUCAAAGCUCAGCAAGUCAAAAGACAUUGAGAGGUCGACCUAAAUUUUGGGAAAAGUUUAAGGUAAUAAAGAGUGAUAAACUUUUUCAAGCUCCAUAUUAAUCAGGAUUACACUAAAUUAAAAACAAAGUAGGAUUUAGUGCAAAAUGAUAGGAUCUAAAUUUGGUAAACCAAUCAUGUUUUUCAAUAGAUACUGCACCAACUCGAUUGGUCAUGAAUUUUACAAAGUAGCUUAUGGUUUACUUUCUUUUUAUAAUAUCAAAAGUAAGCAUUGAUUUCACUCUAUUGAGCUUUUCUUGAGGCAAGUACAAAACUACUAUUACUGCUAGCAACUUGGAGUUCAACAAAGGUUAUGGAACAAAUGAUGGUUCUCUGGAUACUUUUUCUUUUUUUACUUUACAGUUGUUUGAUACUCCUUUUUCUCCUUUUGGUUUUUAUAUAUAUAUGGAUUGACCCAAGGAGAUAAUCCCACCUUUUCUGACUCUUGAAGCUCUGAUCCAACCUUUUCUGCACUUCAUUUUGGUGGUAUUACCAAAAUUUUGAAGCUCCCCACUCCCCAGUCCUUAAAUUACAUUGAUUUAAUGCACUCAUUAGAAGGGUAUCCAAGGAAUGUUCCUAGAAAAUCUGGGUCUGGACACCUAUCAUGUUCAUCAGCCAGGAAAUCCCAGAAAGAGGCGUGGUGGACUGUCCCAUCUGGUGGGCUCAACAAAACUCUACUCUAUAAUUUAUACAUAAAAUCACUGCUACAUCUCAAUGUUCUAGCUGUAUGUGGGCUCAGCAAAAAUGAUUUUUUUUUGUAGCUUUGGUGAAAUUUUUGACUCAUUGUUGUGGUCCUUGAUGCUUUGGUGUUUGAUUUUCGACCUGUGAGGUCCUGAAUUGGCGGUGGGAAAGCUCCAUCCGCUGCAUUUUGGGCAUUUUUUUUUGUGGGGUUGUCUGAAUUAGCAUGACAUUUUUAUAUACUUUCAUACUAGUUUUUUUGGAUUAAAUGUAGUUGUCAAUUUGUUCAGACAGAUAGACAUUGUUUUCGGGUGAUGUCUGUGAAUGUUUAUCAAGAUACACCUGUACAAUUUUUCAAAUUCAAAGCUAAGUGCCUGCUCAUUUUGAUUGCAUUUGAAGUCAUUGUUGAUCCUUUGACUCUGUUGCCAUUUCUUUUGUAUUUGAUUGCAUAUUGAAAACCCUAGAUUUCUAAUGUAUUGUUACUAAGUUCCAUUGAUUAUGUGCAAAGAAACUGGUAUUGAUUGAAAUCAACCCUUCAUUUUUCUAAAUUUUGUCAUAUUUUAUAGAUAAGGUAGUUUAUGGCAGGGAUUUUGAUGUGAUUAGCCUUUGAUCGGUUGUAAUCCACUGUAAGAUUAAAUUUAUCAGUUUCACUAUCAAGUCAAAACCUAAUUUGCUUAUUUAAAGUGAAAAGAGAAGGUCGAUAUCGAUGACAAACUUUUCUAGCCUGUAGGUGUUUUGCUGACCUACCAUUUCUAUCUAGUUUGAGGCAAAAUCAGCUCAUUUUUGUCUUUUGCAUGGAUGUGCCAUUCUCAAACAGAGAAGCAAAUAAGUAUUGUAUAAUCACACAUGGGCAGUGCAUUUCACAUAAUGGUGGCGUAAACACGCCCCUUUGGACUAUUUAUACCGCCUCCUUUGACAGAAAGGCAUACACUUGUUUUGGGUUUUUCCUUCAAUUGUUGUUCUGCUUUGAGUUUUCUUGACACCCUUCUGGUCUGGAUAAGAGGAGGGAUUGCCUCUUUUCCUGAUUGUCCUUCCUGUCGAAAAACUCAAUCUGCUUGCUGGGGAAAAACGAAAUACACUGAGAGGCCUGGAUUGGUUCUAACACUAUCUGUAUGUAGCAGAAACUUUUGGAAUUAUAGUUUCUGAUUUUUUUUUGUCUCUAUAUAUGCAUCAUUUCUGGUAUGUUCUUGGUUUCUGAUGUGAUAAAGUCCUAUAUUAUUUUACUUAUAAAAAAAAGAAAAGAAAGAUAAAGUCCUAUAUUAUUUCAACAUAAUUCUUUCAUCACCUGUUUCUGGAUUGCUCCAUUGCAUAAUCUCAUUUUUCCUUCCCUUUUCUCUCACUUUUAGAGGGACUGAAAUCUCAGAUGACAACCAUGCCUGCAGUUGGGCAACUUCUAAUCUUGAAGUUUAGUAAGAAAAAGAAAUUUUCAUCUAAUGUGAUGGUCAUAGUUUGCUGAAACCUCAAAAUUGAUCAGAGCACUGUCAAAGAGGGAAAAUUAAUGAUAGUUGAAUUUGAAUUAGUGCGGAAUAUUGCAUUGAUAGUAUAUGAGUCGAUGGUGAGGCCUUAGAACUUGUUCUUGACAUUAGUGUUGUGAGGGACCCAAUAUCUGGUCUCUUAGUAGUUUUUUUUACUUUUCCCUUUGUCCUUGUUGUUUUGGGUUCAUCUUGAAAGGUCUGUCAUGCUUUGCUUUGGUGCUUUUCCUCUUCUGUGGGAAGCACAUGGGCUCAAGUCCUUUCCAACAUUUGGGACCAGUGGAUCAUAUUUUGGGUUUGUUCAGCUUAACUUUAACGGCCACCUCACACUUGGCUUGAGUUCCAUAUAUCUUUAGUUGUUAAAGUAACCAAAAUAUUUGAAUUCCAAACUUGUUGAUUCUACCAUCAUGUGUCCACUUUAGUAGAAAGAAUUUUUUUUCUGCACUUUACACACCAUUAUAUGAUUUUGUAGGCUGAUUUAUUCUUCUCCAGAGCUAUUCACCAAGCAUGUGAAUGUUCCUUUCUGGUAGAAUUUGUUCCAAUACUGUCUGAAAAAAACACCUGAUUAUCGUGCAACAUAUACUGAAGACUUUAGAUGGAAAUAGGAAAGAACAAUAUUUCCAUGUCAUAGAGGAGUUGAAUUGCAUAUUUAUCUACCCUGUCCUGAGGGGUAUUGAAUUGAUCGGGUUUAUCACAAAUGAUUCCAUCCAAAGUGGCACACUGUUUCUCUAUUGCACUCAACUGUUUGUGGUUAUUACUUGACUUGGUAGCAAAUUUUGAAGAUCGAUAAAUUGAUGUGAUCAAUUUUCUGUUUGAUUCCUUCAACGCAACAGGUUGGCCACUUGUUUUUUACACUGUUUCUUUUGCUUCUCCUGUGUCUGUUAUUAUCAACCUUCGCAUCUAAGAUUGUGUUGAAGUUCCAUGGGACAGCAAUCAAAGUUCUAGAAGCUAUACAUCGACAUCUCUCUCACAUAAAUCAGUUGGCAGAUGAAACUUAGAUGUAUUUUAUAAUGACAACUUUUAGUUAAGAGGAACUUCUGGGUUUAUUUGAUGCUGUAUCAGUUAACAUCCAUGUAUAUUUAUGUGGUAUUUAAAUUUCUUAACUUGUUAGUAACUGUGUUUGAUAAAGAUAUUCUCCUUUGUUUUCUCUUCAAUUAGUUCAAGAUCUCCACAUAGCUGAUCUGUUUAGGCCUUUUCUAUGCAGUUGCCUUAUUAUGGAACACAAUGAAAUUCUUAGUUCGACAAAACAGGAUUCUCCUGAAGUUAUUCCAUCACUCAUCAAAUUUAUAGCAUCAAAUGAAGUGGCCGGCUUUGAUAGUAUGGAAGACAUUUGUAGCUUGAAUAACCAGUACCAAAUGAAUGGCUUUCAGCCCGUCAGUUUGUCAUCUGAAGUAAGUAAUGGCUUAUUUAUUUUUGGUAAGCACAUUAAAAUAUAUAUAAAAUAAAAGGACAUGUAGAAAGAGAUAUAACAAAGGUCAAGGGCACACCAUAAUACACAGGAAGUACACAAAGGACACCAAUCAAAAAGGCAAAAAAAGAGGGUCUUGAAACUAACCCUCUUCUGCUAUGAACCUAACCAAUCAACAAAAUCCAACUUAGACAUAGAAGCCUCUGCUAUACCAUUCCUAACACAAGCCAAGAAAUUAUACACAAAAAGGGAUUGUUAACUUGCCUUGAAUGCUCCACAUUAUCAAAUGCCCUGUCAUUUCCUUUUUGUGAAAUUGUCCAAAAUAAUCACAAAGGGGCUGACAUCCAUGCUCUCUUCCACCUCUUCCUGACAUAGGACCCAUUCAAACUUAAUAACAUCAGCCUUAUAGAGGAGUGGAUCACCCACCUAAUCCCAAACACAGAGAGGACCAUAUGCCACAACAUUAUUGCUCAAUGUAAGAGAAUGUUGUCAACAGGCUCUUAUUCCCUUUUACACAUGAAACAUGUGUUCCUUAAAGACAAACCUCUCCUUUUCAACUGAUCCAACAUCAAAAUCCCUUUCCAUGUAACUUCCCAUGUAAAAAAUCUCACUCUCAUUAAAAUCCACAAGUUCCAAACAACAUCAACUGGGAAAGGAUUUGAUCCUCCUGGUGGCAAAAAGGAAUAGAAUACUUCAACAGAGAACUUACCUCUCUUAGUAUCCCUCCAUGCUAUCCUAUUCUCCACAUCCCAUAUCAGUACUGGCUCUUGAAUUUGUCUCCACUGUCCCUAACUCCCAGUUGUGGAACUGUCUAAAAAAACAUGGCUCCAGUGUCCCCUCUCCCCAACUUGCUCCCAAGGAUCUGCCACACAUAUCUUUUGAACUGGCUAUGGCAAAUAAAGUGGGAAGGAGUUCUGCCUGUUGAAAAAAGACUUGGCUGUACUAUUUUUCUGUACAUGUUUAGAAUAAUUAGAUAAGUGUUCACAUCUAAAUUAUUUCUUCUUGUGCUUUACAUCCAGAUCUUUCUUCAAGACCAAAUAUGUAUUUUUCCAAACUGUCUUGGAAAACAAGUUAUUUUUGUCCACCUGAAAUUUUUAUGAUAGUUCUGCUGAGUUCCACUGUAUUUCAUCUUGAUUUGAUAUGGGAUCUAAUUCUUAUAUGAAAUUUGGAUAUUCACAAACACCAGGGAAUGUUUAACAAUGAUGUGGAUUAGACUUGUACUUACAUGUUACAUUGUGAAUGUUAGCAUAUCAAUUCCAAACAAGACCAAUCUGAAAACCUCUUGGCCUGGCAAACUAGACUUUGGAAUCUCAGGUUUAGAACAGGCCUAAAUUUGAUAGGGAAAGGCUCUUUACUAUGCAGCCCCACUUAGGCUGGUAUGGUUGGGUGGGGGUGGCUUACUAUGACGGUUUUGUUGCUGAUACAGGAAAAAAAAUUUCAUUUCAUGAUUCAAUCAUAAUAUCUUCUUUGUGUAUUUAUGCCAGGAAACUGAAGCAGCUGCCAUCCUAAGCCAAAAUCAUGUGUCUCGACCAAUCAAAUCCCACCUUGCGAGUGCUAUUUCUAUUAGCAUGCCAUCUUCUCCCUUGGAAGUCCACUUGCAGAACACUAAAAGAGUUCUGUUCAGUGAUCAUGGUGAAACAAUGUUCAGCAAUGGGAUUCUGGAUUCAUCAGCUGCAUGUAAAACAGCCAGCACCGAACUUCCAAGACAGGCAAAAUUUCAUUCUCAGCCAAUGCCCACUGGUUCUACAUAUCCUGAGGCAAUUGUGGGUGAUAAAUUUCCUAACCAGUCAGAGUCACAGGCUAGAAAUCCAAGGAUUGAGAGGUUGAAAGAUAAACGAUUUGAUUCUUUUAAAACAUGGUCUGGGAAACUUGAAAGGCAGUUAUCAAAUUUACGUGGAAAACCACAGGAAAGCGAACUAGAGAAUAACACCACACAGAAUUCAGAGAUGGAAAUUUUACCUGUGGAUCGUUACUUUGAUGCAUUAGAAGGACCGGAGUUGGAUACCCUGAAGGUAUGUGUGUCUCCCUCCUAACCCUUUUAUAAAGUACACAUAAUUUUCACUCCAACCUUUUGGAUUAGUCAAAUCAUGUAAUUAACACCAUUUUCACAUCAUGGUCAUCAAACAAAACCUUCAUUUUUGAGCAAACGAGGGCCUCUUUUUCUUGGAGUUUGAUGUAUUGAUGCCUAUAAACAUAGCCCUUCAUCACUUCAAAUUGUUAAAUUUUGUAUAUGAUUACUAUCUUCCACAAACCAAAUGUUUACAUUGAUAUAGAAUGGUGUCAGUGUUUGAAGAAGAUAAUCUUUUUCUUCCUCUUACAGGCCUCAGAAGAAUUGGUACUUCCUGAAGACAAGAAGUGGCCAUUCCUUCUCCGAUAUCCUAUCUCAUCUUUUGGUAUCUGCCUUGGCAUGAGCAGCCAAGCCAUUAUGUGGAAAACUCUGGCAACCUCCCCCUCCAUGAAUUUCCUCCAUGUAAGCUCAAAUGUAAACUUCAGUCUCUGGUGCAUCUCUGCUGCUCUCAUUGCCAUUGUCUCUUUCAUCUACCUGCUGAAAGUAAUUUUCUACUUUGAAGCGGUUCGUCGUGAAUACUACCAUCCAAUUCGUGUCAACUUCUUCUUUGCCCCAUGGAUAGCUUUCCUGUUUUUAGCUCUUGGUGUUCCACCUUCAGUUGCUGAACACCUGCCUCCAGCUCUCUGGUACAUUCUCAUGACUCCAGUCUUCUGCUUUGAGCUUAAGAUCUAUGGACAAUGGAUGUCAGGAGGGCAACGGAGGCUUUCAAAGGUAGCUAAUCCUUCAAAUCAUCUCUCAAUCGUUGGGAAUUUUGUGGGAGCAUUACUGGGUGCAUCAAUGGGGCUAAAAGAAGGACCUAUAUUCUUCUUUGCUAUUGGGUUGGCUCACUACAUCGUCCUAUUUGUGACUCUCUAUCAGAGACUUCCAACCAAUGCAACACUCCCAAAAGAGCUCCAUCCGGUAUUCUUUCUGUUUGUUGCAGCACCCAGUGUGGCUUCUAUGGCAUGGACAAAGAUUCAAGGUUCCUUCGACUAUGGGUCACGGAUUGCUUACUUCAUUGCAUUAUUCCUGUACUUUUCACUGGUAAGCUCCACCACUCCAAAAACACGAAAAUAGCUCUGCAUUUCCAUUCUAUCUUUGUAUUCUCCAUGCACAUACUGGAGCAUAGGAAGAUGCAUUAACCAUCUGAAGAUGAUAUCUAGAGAUCCUUCUUGGCAGUGUUUUCUUGCAUCUGCAAUGGUGAUAAUCAUGAAACCAGCACAAAUAAGAAUUUUCUUUUUCUUUUUCUCUCAUAGAUAGCAAUAAAUUAACUAGUUAGGCCAUCCAAGCAUGGGUCUAAAAGUCUGAAAAAGCAUACUUGGGCACCUUUUUUUUCUCUAGCCGCGCCCCCCCCCCCCCCCCCCCCCCUCCCUAAGUGCUAUUUGAUAGCUAGAAAUUAACUCUUUUAAACACUUUUGACUAGUAGUUAUCACCUCUUAACCCAAUUAACAUAUUAAAGACCCUUACAAUCAUUUCUAAUCAAAUUGUGUUAAAUUUUGUUGUUUCGAUAGCUUUUUGAUCNNNNNNNNNNNNNNNNNNNNNNNNNNNNNNNNNNNNNNNNNNNNNNNNNNNNNNNNNNNNNNNNNNNNNNNNNNNNNNNNNNNNNNNNNNNNNNNNNNNNCCCCCCAAAAAAACAAAAAAAGGCUCUCCUUUCCCUUUUUUUUUUUUUUUUCCCCCCCCCCUUUGGGGGGGAGGGGGGGGGCCUUUCCCCUUUUAGGGGGGUUUUUGGGGGCUUUUUUUGGGGGGUUUUUUUUCCCUUCCCAAAGGGGUUUUAUCAAAAACCCCCCCAAAAAAAAAUUUUUUUUUUUUUUUUUUUUUUAAAAAAAAAAAAAAAUAUAUUUUUGGGCCCCCCCCCCCGGGGUUUAAAAAUUUAAAAAAAAAAUUUUGGGCCCCUUUUUUUUUUUUUGGGGGGCCCCCCCCCCCCCCCCCCCCCCCCCCCCCCUGCUUGUUUUGUAGGGAAAAAAAAAUGUACCAAAGCAUGAGUGACAAAAUCCUGGCAAAAACGUAGCCAACAAGUGGAGAAAAAAAAUAUAUUGCAUCAAUUUUUUGUUGCUAGGAUUUUAGAAUUGGUUAUAUAGGUGAUUUAAAGGGCAUGCUUUGUUUUUCUAACAAAUGUGAAAGUGCUGAUAGUAGCAGUCGUUUAGUUGGUUAUAGGUGGUCUCAAAGCUUCUGUUUUUUUGUUUGUGUGUUUUUACAGGCAGUUCGAGUCAAUUUUUUCCGAGGGUUCAGGUAUAGUUUGAUUUACAUUUCUGGCCUCUGAAACUAUCAAGCUUCUUGUGGUCCGAUUUUCUCAAAUGCAUUUUGAUUUGAACCUGCAGGUUCUCAUUGGCAUGGUGGGCUUACACUUUCCCAAUGACUGGGGCUGCCAUUGCAACCAUCAGAUAUUCAAAUGAAGUCACAAACAUAGUGACCCGAUCUCUCUCAGUCACACUCUCUGCCAUUGCCAUUCUCACAGUAACAGCUUUGCUGAUAACAACUAUCCUUCAUGCAUUUGUGCUCCAAGACCUCUUCCCAAAUGACAUUGCUAUUGCGAUUAGUGAGAGAAGACGAAAAACAAGCAAGAAGUGGUAUCACUUGAGGACUGGAAGUUCAGAUACCAAAGAGAUUGAAAAUUUCCUAAAAUUUGGAAGCUCUGAUAACAAGGACAUUGAAGCUUCCCUGAAACCUCCAAGCUGCAAACCUGAGGAAGUUUGAGCUUCUAGCCUGACUAACAUCCACAAUGGACAGGAUCAUCAUGUAUCAACACUCUAAAAUCCUUUUUGCCACUUCAUAAAUCUCCAUCACUCAGACAAGUGGGGACACGGGUUAGAAGUUUUUGCAGUUCAUGUGAACAUAUGUACAAAUAGAAAAUGCAGAUCCAUGCAGUAAGGGGAGAGCAAUGUACCAACACUAGCUGAGUUGUUGAUGUAACAUACAGGUGUUGGCAUCAUUUCUACUUUUGUGAAUAAAAUUCCCAUUUCUUCAUGAGAAAGAACCCCUUAGAAAUCUCUACCACUAUUUGUCUGAGCUCAGGACGGACCCAGCAUUCUGAUAUUCAAUUCUUUUGGGGUUUACUCAUGAGAGAUCUAGGAACUGAAUUACCAAUUUUCCUCUGCAUUUCACAGUGAUAUGAACACUCUUCCAUACAGGAUGUGGUAUUGCUUACUGGAAAAUUUGGAUUGAAGUUUAGGUAAUCCAUGCAGUUAAAUUUCUUCAUCCUACCUAUUUGACUUUGAUACUUGAAUGAACAUAAACUACAUGUUUGAGUCUCCAAAAAAUUUGUGAAUCAUUUAUGAUGGUUCAUGAUGUAGCAACAGUGUACUGUACUACUUAGGUGAAGAAAUGUUGUAGUUUGUAUAAAUUAGUUGGUUUUGUACUUUUCCUACCUACUAUGCCUAAUAUUCACGGGAGAAUUGUGUUUUGGGCUCAGCUGGACCCAAAAAUUAAUAAAAGAUCCUCAUAAGUUCCAUAUUUAAGCCCAACACCUAAAGAAAGUUUACAAAUUGAAAAGAAGGAUAUGAAACAUUCAAUUUUCCGAAAAUGCCCUUUAUUGUCAAAAAGAAAAAGAAAACAACUAAUUUACUACUCUCAUUCACUCUUUUUUUCCCUCUCUCUUUCAUCAUUCACCUUGUCUUUUUUUCUCACAUAUUAAUUGGUGGGACAUGUAAAUUAAUUCUUUUAUAGAAAAGUGUUACUAUUUUCAUCAAUUAUUUUUCUCCCAAAAACCAUGCCUAAUAAAUUAAAUAUUGGAAAUCAAUGGUUGAAAAUGAUUAUUACUAUAUUUUUAAAGUAAAUAUUUUUUAAAUACCUCAUAAUUUUUUUUAAACUUAAAAAAUAUAUAAUAAAUAUUUUUUAAACACCUUAAAAAAUAUUAUUAUUCUUUUUUAUCCAAUAUAUAUAUAAAUAUUUUUAAGGUUGUAGACAAUUAUUUGAAUAUUUUCUCUAUUUUUUGGACAAUACAUUGAUAUUAUCUUAAUAUAUUAUUUUGUAACAUGAUCAUUUUUUAACUAAUGGUGAUAAUUAAUUUUUAAUUGAAUAAUGUAUUAUAACUUAAUAAUUUGAAAAAUAUUCAAAUGCCCUUUUAAAUCUAAAAUAGAUGUGGACUUGACAUGGUUUAAAUUAUUAAAGCAUGAUGUCAUUAAGUUAAGUAAAUGUAUCAUAUUAAGAGAUGUGUAUGUAAAUUAUAUCAUAAUUUUCUCUUUUUUUUAAUUUUUUUUCCUCGUGCAUGAUAUCUUUUGUAUAAAGUUUUAUAGAUGAAAAAUAACAAAAUCUUUUGUUAUGUAAAGAGGCAUAACAAUACAUUAAAAUUGAAAAGAGAAUAUAAUGGAACACAAAUUAGAUGAAAAUCACUUUAAAUAAGGAUAUAAUAGAAAACAUAUAAAUGUAAGAAAAAACAAGUUUAGAUGAAAUUUAAAAUAAAAAAUCAAAGAAAAUAAAUUAAAAGUAAUAAUAUAAAAAUCGUAGAAUCUUCAAAACUAUAAUUACAACAAAAAAAUUAUUUUAAAUUAACUUGAUAAUUUAAAUUAAUGAUUUUUUAUAAAAAAAAAUUACAAAUGUUACAAAGAUAAUUUUUUAUCCUUUUUAAUUCUAUUUAAAUAUGAUUUUUUUAAUAUCUACUAACAUUAUGUUUAUAAAGGUAAAAUAGUAAAAAUAUAUAUUUUAUUCGGUUUACUUGUAAUAAAUACUUUAAUUUUGGAAUACUCUUUUAUAGUUAGUGUAACACCCUUAUAUAAUAGUGCAAAUUUCAUAAAUAAUUUAUGGGUAACAAAGAAAAUAAAGAAAUGAUUCAAAAUUAACUAAAAUCUUUCACAAAUGGUAACCUUGUACACCCUUGUACACUUAGUAUAUUUCCCUUGUACAUUUAGUACAUUUCCCUUGUACAGUUAGUGUAACAUCAUUGUACAAUGGUGCAAUAUAUCCCUCUUAAGUUGUGUGUCCAUGUAGGUAUAUUAAUCUUAUUUCUAAUGGUUUGGCUAACAAAAUGGUGGAUGAAUUAGAAUUAAAUUUUUUUUCCCCAAACAUUAUUACUAAGAAAAGUAUCGAAAUUUCCAUGUGAAAGUUAAAUAAAUUGCAUGACAUAGGUAUGCAAUCUAUGGGUGACAAGGAAAAUGAAAAAGUGAUUCAAAAUCGAUUAAAUUUUUUUAUAGAUGGUAGUCUUGUACACCCUUGUACACUUAAUACAUUUUUCUUGUACACUUAGUACAUUUCCCUUGUACAAUUAGUGUAAUACCAUUGUACAAUAUAUCUAUCCUAAGUAAUAUGUCCAUGUAGGUAUGUUAACCAUAUUUCUAAUGGUUUAACUAAUAAAAGGAUGGAUGAAUUAGGGUUAGUUUUUUUUUUUCCCAAAUAUCAUUAUUGGGGAAAGUAUCGGAAUUUCCAUAUGGGAGUUAAAUAAAGUGCAUGACAUGAGUAUGCAAUUUGUGGGUGACAAGGAAAAUAAAGGAGUGGUUCAAAAUAGAUUGAAAUAUUUUAUAAAUGAUAAUCUUAUACACUGUUUGUACACUUAGUACAUUUCCCUUAUACAGUUAGUAAAUACUCUUAUAUAGGGACACAAAUUUCAUAUUCCCGUAGUGCAUAUAUGCCUAUAUUUGUAUUAAACAUGAUUCUAGUAGUUUGAUUAAAAAAAUGAUGAAAAGCUUCAAUCCAAUUUUUUUAUGAACAUAUUACAUUUUUGUGAAAAAAAAUAUACAAUUGACCAAUUCCUUUAUUUAAUUGUGAACAUAUUAUAUUUUAAAAAUAAAAAAGAAUAAUUAAUAAAUGAAAUUUAAUUCUUUUUAUUAUCUUAGUAUUAAACAAGGUCUUCAAUUUUCAUUUUUAAAAAUAUUUUUCAUUUUUUUAAUUAAAUGUAUUUUCAAAAAGAGACAAUAUAGAAAAUAAAAAUAAUUUUUAAAAAUAAAAAAUAAUAAAAACUAGAAAAAAUAUUUUAAAACCAAUCUCAAAUAUAAUCUAUAUAAUUUUUAACUACUUGUUUUUAUUUAAAAUGAGAAAACAUAUCAUUUAACCCUUUUGUAUGAGAAAAAAAUCAAUCUCUACUAUACUAUGUAUUGAUAUAAUCCAUUUCUAAAUACGAAAACAUUUUAGUUAGAUAUUUAAAAUAAAAACUCUUCAUCUAUCCUCUUUCUCUCUUUUUCUUUUUUCUCAUUUCAAUAAAUUUUCAAUUAAUUCAAAUCAUUAAAAAAAUUCCUUAAUAAACAAAUUUGGAACAUUCAUAUAACUUAUUACUAAAGUCUAUGUUCAAAAAAUUAUUAAACUAUGGAAAGAAAAAGAUUAAAAAAAAAAACUUUAAACUUUUUAUUUUAUAAUAAUAAAAAAAUAAACUUUAAAAUACUUUUUAGUAUAAAAGAAAAAAAAUAGUAAAUAUAUUUAUUUUAAAUAGUGUUUUAAUCAUUAAAUUAUUUACUUGUAAAAUGUAAAAAAUAAUUUUUAUUCAUUUAAAUUAAUAUUUUUUUCAAAAGUAUGUUCCAAAAUAAUUUUUGAAUCAUUAAUAUAAUUUUUUUUAUUUAUAAUUUAAAAAUAGAAAAUAAUGUUGAUUUUUCAAUUAUUUUUAAAGGAGUUUAAAAAAUAAUAAAAAAUAAAAAAAUGAUUAAAUAAAUGAGAAUUUUAUGGAUAGGGCAUGUAAAGAGUGGUGGUAUAAAGACAAUGAUGGGUGUAAGUAAAAAGGGGUAUUUUUGUCUAUUCCAACCUUAUAUCCUUACAAUCAAUUAUAGGUGUUUGGAGGAUCUUUUAUUAAUUUUUGGCCUAGCUGGGCCCAAAACACAAUUCUCCCAAUAUUCACUUGGUUUGUAGCUUUGCAUUGGGAUUCUUGAGAUUAUGGCUUAGCUGGUUUCCAAUCUGCCUAUAAGUCUAGUUAAUGGUUUAGAAAUCACAUUUUAAAGUCUGCUUUACAAUAUACAGACAAAUCAUGGUCAAAGUAUGAAGUUAGAUGGCUUGUGGUCUGCUCUGUUGCCAUUGCAGUAUACGGGACAUGACCGGUGUUUAAUCUCCGUUUCAGUCAUUUAAGUGUUUUAUCUGGGGUUAAUCAUAUAAAUUGAAUUAGCAGCCUGCUAGUUCAACUUUGGAUGCAGAUAAUCUCUGAGCAGUAAAGGACUUUUUAUCCAAUUCUUCCUCCCUAGAAGAAGAAGAUUUAGCCUGUGAGUCCUCAGACAAGACAUUGCAGUCCUAAGGACGUAAUCUUUACCAUGUAGAAAUCACAUAGUUUUGGUUUUCUUACCAUUGAAUCAAAGCUACAAGUACAAAUGGGUUAUCUCUAUCAGGUUUGAGAAUCUGUAAGUCUAAGAUGGCAUCCCUUUUGGGAUAUUGUUUUGCUUGUGACUCACUUUCUCCUUAUGGGACCUGCAGACAUAAGAUAUUUCUGUCAUACACCUGUAAACUGUUAAUGCUAGGUCUGUUUACCACCUCAAAAUCUAAGGCCCUUGUCCCACUCCAAGUGAGGACAUUACCAUCUGCUCGGUAUACUGUACAAUGUCUGUCUAACAAUGAUGCAUGCGUUGGCAACUACCCUGAUAGAAUCUGGGAAUGUCUUGGUUCCCCUAAUCAGAGGGCAUUUAAGGGACUGUAUGCAUUGUUUUCACGCGGUGUACACUUAAGGGUCGUACAUGGUCAGCUCAAAAGAGGAUGGAAGCAACCAAACUAGAAAAGUUUCUCUUUCUUCAUACUUAGCCAAUACCAAACUGCGCUGAAAAAAAUAGUGUACUAGACUGCUAUAUGAUUCACCAAAAGCCAUAAAAGCAGAACAAACCAAUGAAAGCAUAACAACUCAUCGAUAUUGACCCUGUCUUAGUGCAAUGAAUGUUCAGUUAGCCUAUGGUCUGAACCUGAAAUAAGUUCUAUGUAUUAUUCGUUGUCCUCUAACUUGUAACAGUGACCUUAGGCUCAGCCCUUCCGACAUACAGCAUGCACAAAGGCCUCAGUACGCCUAGCUUGUCUGUUUCCUUAUCCCUUGCCUAGGCCGUCAACUCUUAAACUGAUGCUCAUUAGUCUGGAUUUCCAAAUUUGUAAACUAAAUUUCUCGGUUAUUUGCAAAUUUGUUAAUUAAUUCUCUUUCAUUUCAAUGUGCCUUAUUGCUUUAUGCUUCUAAUUCUAUGCCAUGCUGAUUAUUAGAUGUUUCAUGUACUCCUGUUGUGUAAUGGAAGAGGGAUAAUGUCUUAUCCUAUGGUCUUCUUUUCAGAUCCGAUUAAUGUCUUAUCCUAUGGUUUUCUUUUCAGAUUCAAUUAGUGUUUUCUUGGUAUGCAAUCACUUCAAAGAAUCUAGAGUAGUCCUUGGCUUCAGGCUUUGUUUAAGAUUUUUGUAAUCUGUAAUUUUCAUAGCAUAAGCUUUCUCUAGAAUGGUUGUUGACGUCAACCUCUAUCAGGACUCUUGUUCACAUUAAAUUCUGCGUCCUCAAUAGUUCCACGACACUAUCUUAGAACCCUCAAAGCCAUGGUGUUACAUCUGAAUGCAGUGCUUUCAUGAGAAGCACUGGGAUGUCUCGGUUAGUGUCUUGUUAGUAGCAACAGUGACUAGAUGAUUAAGAGCAGCGACAAGGAGCAUGUAAGAGGUUUUGGUCCCCUCAUCCCCAAACUAAGAUGAUAUAGUGGGACGGGAAAAACAAAAUAUUAAAGCUACUCCUGGUUGUACUGCUUUUGUGAAGAAGGGGAAGAUCCAAGAGGGAAAACAAAAAGAAGUAGAUAGAAACAGAAAAUCAAUGUUAUUGAGCUUUGGCAUUUCUCCUAGCACAGUUUGUCCAUGUCUCCCUAUCUUGCUUGGUGACAUGUGACAAACUUCUCAGUCUUAGCCAAAUCCUCUUUACCAUCCCUUGGCUACAGUUGAGCCAACUAAACUAGGCAAUGUUCCAUAAGGUUGGAUUACCAUUGAGCCUUGAAGUGAGAGCAUGGGUUCUCAUGAACCAUAACUAUAGCUAUUAUACAUGUUCAGAACUGCAGGACCACUGCCCAUUGGGACCCAGAAUGAAGGGGACUGUUGGCUUUGUAAAAUAUGGGAAACUGCUAGGAAAACCCUUGAAGAUGACACGGUAACUAGAAGAGAAACCGAAUCAGAAACAACGUUGAAAUUGAUAGAGGUCUACAUUGGGUAAAUGUAUGAGAAACUACAAAUCAAGACAAUUUACUUGAAACCCCAUCUUGAAGGGCAUUGCUUUCUCAUUAGUUUCAAACCCCAUCUUCAGUUUUUCAUUAACUAUGGUUGACAGCCCUGAUCUGAUUGCGUGUGUUGGCUUAAUUUCUCAUGGGGGUUUUACUAGAGCUCAGGACCAAUACCAUCUUUGUCAAGGACACCUUCUGGGUUCUAGCAUGAUGCUCUCUAUAAGCACCUCCUGUACACCCAGCUGAGAUACCGAUGUUUUUGAUAUCUUCUCAGCAAUGUUCCAGCAUUGAAAGUGAAAUGCAGAGGGGAUGAGGACUAGUUUGAGUUCAAUGAUAACUACGAACUACAAAGAAGAAGAAUCAAAUGAAUGAAAUAAUUGAAUUCAAUCAACAUGUCACGCCCCAAGACCCACUCUAAGGGCGUGACGGUCAUUUCACACCUCAAACCCGAAGGCUUAAAGUAUAAUCUGACCCAAACAGUCAUAUUGUAACUGGAUGUUACCAAUUACCAAAUACCUGCUCAGAGUAGCGGAAACAAAAUCUAAAAUCCUCAAAAUUCAAUUUCCAAAUAACUUCCAAAUACCAAAUGAUCCAAAUGAACAUAACUAACAGUUAAACAAAAUCCAACAUAAAAUCUUAAGUCAAAUCCUAAUGAUGACCAUUCUUCAGCCUAGCCAUCACUCCUCACCCGAACUAAGAGUACCUGAAAAUUUUCAACAAUUGGGAAUGAGCUCACAGCCCAAUAAGGAAUAUUAAUGCAAUUCAUGGAUCAAAUAUUUUCAUUUCAAAUAGGAGAUAUCAAUUUUUUUUUUUCUCAUCAAAUAUCAGAGUUCCAAAAAUACCAAUAUAUUCAAAAUUCAACCAACCAAUGUCAUAUCAAAUUCAAACACUUUCACAUAAGAUUCAAUCAAAUUCAUUCAAGUUUCAUUACUCUGGUUAUCAAAUGUUAAAUGCCCAGUUAGGUGGGACUUUUCAAAUGGGUGGCUAGCCUCAAAUUGUUCCUGGUGGACGGAACCAAACACUACUAGUACUAGUAACCUCUAACCAAACCCCUAGAGGCUGGGGUCCAAAUCAAUUACAUUCCCACCAUGAAAUGUAAAGGUCAACUAUUAUAUCCCGUUGACAGGGCCGAAUAGUCAACUAUUAUAUCCCGUUGACAAGGGCCAAAUAAACCAGAGUGAUGUUUUUGUUCAAGUAUUCAAAUUUACACAACAUAAUAUCUCCAUAUUUUGUGUCAUAAAUAAANNNNNNNNNNNNNNNNNNNNNNNNNNNNNNNNNNNNNNNNNNNNNNNNNNNNNNNNNNNNNNNNNNNNNNNNNNNNNNNNNNNNNNNNNNNNNNNNNNNNNNNNNNNNNNNNNNNNNNNNNNNNNNNNNNNNNNNNNNNNNNNNNNNNNNNNNNNNNNNNNNNNNNNNNNNNNNNNNNNNNNNNNNNNNNNNNNNNNNNNNNNNNNNNNNNNNNNNNNNNNNNNNNNNNNNNNNNNNNNNNNNNNNNNNNNNNNNNNNNNNNNNNNNNNNNNNNNNNNNNNNNNNNNNNNNNNNNNNNNNNNNNNNNNNNNNNNNNNNNNNNNNNNNNNNNNNNNNNNNNNNNNNNNNNNNNNNNNNNNNNNNNNNNNNNNNNNNNNNNNNNNNNNNNNNNNNNNNNNNNNNNNNNNNNNNNNNNNNNNNNNNNNNNNNNNNNNNNNNNNNNNNNNNNNNNNNNNNNNNNNNNNNNNNNNNNNNNNNNNNNNNNNNNNNNNNNNNNNNNNNNNNNNNNNNNNNNNNNNNNNNNNNNNNNNNNNNNNNNNNNNGGCUUCCAUUUGCUUCCGGGACAGGGAGGCCCCCCCCCCCUUCCCCCCCCCUUUUUUUUUUUUUUUUUUUUUCUUCCUUCCUUCCUUCCUUCCAGUGCUGUGCACACGCGUUUUCCUUUUUUUUUUUUUUUUUAUUUAACCCUAACCUAAAAUCGAAAUAUUCCAAGCAAUUUUUUUUUUUUUUUUUUUUAAUAAAACUUAAGAUCUCCCAAAUUCGAAUACUAAAAUCAAAAUAUUAAAUUUUCACUAUUUGAUAUUAAAACGAAUUAAAAAAAUAAUCUAACCCUAAUCUAGAUUUGGGGUUUUCCAAAAAAAAUAUAUCUAAUGCGUUUGAAAUUAAUCAAUGAAUCUAAAAUAUUAAACUAGGGGUUAGAAUCUUACCUAUAGAGAUCUGUUCUUCAACCCUGAAAUCUGACUACAACCUUACGUUCUCUGGAAUUCUGCGAACAGGAACUCUAUUCAGAAAAGAAGGGAAAGAAUAAAAUUUCUAAUUUAUACCUAGGGUAUUUAUUCGUAAAAUUACACUUUUACCCCUCUUCCACUUUAUUAAAUUAAUUAAUCAAUUAAUUAAAUUAUUAAUAACAAUUUCCUAAAUUACCCUUAAAAGAAAAUGCUUGGGCGUUACAUCCUCCCCUCCUUAACAAAAGUUUAGUCCUCUAAACUUGACAUACCUGAGUCUUGGAAUAACUGAGGAUGCUUUUCUCUCAUCUCUUCUUCUAACUCCCAAGUGGCCUCUCGGAUACUAUGAUUGUUCCACUGGACCUUUACCAACUUGACAACAGCAUGCCGUAGUACCUUAUCCAUCACAUCCACAAUUUGAACGGGUACCUCUUCAUAGGUCAAGUCCUCAAAAAUUUGAAUAGGCUCCAACUCCACAACAUGAGAAGAAUCAUAAAUAUACUUCCUUAGAGUCGAAACAUGAAACACAUUAUGAACCUUAGACAGGCUUGGGGGCAAGGCUACUUUAUAUGCCAAAGUGCCUACUCUUUCUAAUAUUUCAAACGGACCCACAAAACAAGGACUAAGUUUUCCUUUUCUCCCAAAUCUCAUCACAGACUUCAUAGGUGAAACUUUCAAGAACAAAUGAUCACCCACCUCAAACUCCAAAUCUCGCCUACGAUGAUCAGCAUAACUCUUAUGUCUACUUUGAGCUGCUUUUAAUCUUUCUUUAAUCAAAGCAACUUUUUCAACAAUCAACUGCACAAGUUCAGGGCCCAAAAGUUUCCUUUCUCCAACAUCAUUCCAACAGAUAGGAGAUCGACAUUUCCUACCAUACAAUGCCUCAAAAGGUGCCAUCCCAAUGCUAGCUUGAAAACUAUUGUUAUAGGCAAACUCUACUAAAGGUAAAUGAUCAUCCCAAUUACCUUGCAGGUCCAAAAUACAAGCUCUCAACAAGUCUUCCAAAACCUGAAUUACCCUUUCUGAUUGGCCAUCAGUUUGAGGAUGGAAAGUAGUACUAAAACUCAACUUAGUGCCCAAAGCUUUUUGUAGACUAUGCCAGAAUNNNNNNNNNNNNNNNNNNNNNNNNNNNNNNNNNNNNNNNNNNNNNNNNNNNNNNNNNNNNNNNNNNNNNNNNNNNNNNNNNNNNNNNNNNNNNNNNNNNNNNNNNNNNNNNNNNNNNNNNNNNNNNNNNNNNNNNNNNNNNNNNNNNNNNNNNNNNNNNNNNNNNNNNNNNNNNNNNNACUGAUCUAAAUAGGGUUUGAAUACCCUAUUCAUCAAGUCCAUAAAAGCAGCAGGUGCAUUAGUCAAACCAAAAGGCAUAACAAGAAACUCAUAGUGCCCAUACCUAGUUCGAAAAGCAGUCUUGGGUACAUCUUCCCCUCUAACCCUCAACUGGUGAUAACCCGAUCGAAGAUCUAUCUUAGAGAACACACAAGCACCUUGUAAUUGAUCAAACAAAUCAUCAAUCCGAGGAAGGGGAUACUUAUUCCUCACUGUCACCUUAUUCAACUCCCUAUAGUCAAUGCAAAGUCUCAUUGAGCCAUCCUUCUUUUUCACAAAUAGAACAGGAGCUCCCCAAGGUGAAACACUAGGCUUGAUAAAACCCUUGUCUAAUAACUCCUGAAGCUGAACUUUCAACUCCUUAAGCUCCACAGGUGCCAUCCUGUAUGGGGCCUUAGACAUAGGACUUGUUCCUGGUACCAGAUCGAUGGUGAACUCCACCUCUCUCUCUGGUGGCAAGCCAGGCAAAUCCUCUGGAAAGACAUCAGGAUACUCCCUUACUAUGGGUAUGUCUUCCAACUUCAAAUCACUUUCAUUACUCAUCACACUAGCCAAAAAUCCUUGGCAACCCUUCUUGAGCAAGCUACUAGCUCGCAAGGCUGAGAUCAUACGCAGUGGUCUGUCCACAUGCUUCCCUUCAAAGCUAAACUUAGGCUGACCAGGAAUACUAAACGUCACCCUUUUCUCAAAACAGUCAAUAGAGGCAUGGUAGGAAGCUAACCAAUCCAUCCCCAAAAUCACAUCAAAAUCCUGAAGGUCAAGGAGUACUAAGUCAACUGGCAUUUCCCUAUAACCAAUCAUCACAAUACAAUUUCUAAGCAUUCUAUUGGCCACAACAGAUCUCCCACAGGAGUAGCAACAAUCAAAUCAAAGUCCAUGCUAACAACAGGCAAACCCAACAAACCAGCAAAAGAUACUGAAACAAAAAAGUGUGUUGAUCCAGGAUCAAUCAAGACUCUAGCAAAUAAGGUGUGGAUUCGGAGAGUACCUGUCACCACAUCAGAAGUGGCCUGAGCAUCUCGAUGAGUCAUAGCAAACACCCGUCCUUGGGCUUUGGGUUUCUGUUUAUCCUCCUUAUUUUCCUCUUUAGGCUUCCUAGUGAUGAACUUCCUAUUCUCUGGACAAUCUCUGAUCAAAUGUCCUUGCUUCCCACAACCAAAGCAAGCUCCAGUCUCUCUAUAGCAUGGCCUACCCCCAUGCUUCUUACCACAAGUAGGACAAGCCCCAUCUAAAUUCUGCGUUGCCUUCCCUUUAUUCUGAUUUCUUCCUGAUGUAGACCUUCGCUGUGCUUGAUUACCAUGAGCACCAUCACUCCUAUUUCGCUUCCUUUGCUGUUCCCUAUACUGAUGAAGCUCUUCAUUAUCUUUCUCUGCUAUAAGGGCUCUGUCAACAACCUCUGAAUAGACACCAAGCUUCAGAAUAGAUAUCUUGUUCUUCAAAUAAGGCUUCAAUCCAUCCUGAAACUUUAAUGCCUUUUCCUCCUCUGUAGCAAUCAACUGUGGGGAAAAACGUGAUAACUCUGUAAAUUUGGCCUCAUACUGAGCCACAGUCAUAUCCCCCUGUUCCAAACUAAUAAACUCUCCCACCUUUUGCCGCCUAACACUGUCAGGGAAAUACUUCUUGUAGAAAGCCUCCCUAAAUUGUCUCCAUGUAUGGGUCCCUGAUCCUCCAAAAGUCUCCUAGUCAUACGCCACCAAUGAUGUGCCUCUUUAUCUAACAUAAAAGCUGCAUAAGAGGUUUUUUGCUCCUCAGAGCAAUCUAUGACACCAAAGAAUUUCUCCAUCUUAAGGAUCCAAGCCUCUGCCUCUGUGGGAUCUGUAGCACCAGAAAAGUAAGGAGGACCCAAUUUCUUGAAGUCAUCAAAAGAGAUACCCCUAGAAGAUGAAGACUGUCCCUGAACAUUAGUCCCAACAGCUCGAGCUUGGCUUUCAACUAAACCAGCUAGUGUCCCAAGAUACCUAUAGAUCCCUUCUGCACUCACGGGAGGCAAACCCUCAAUUGGAGGUACAUCAUCAUUAGCUUGACUGUUUUGUGAAGAAGCUGCUCUUCUUGGUGGCAUGAUGUCCUAAAAUAACAAGGCAUAACUAAAUUAGUUACUAAAUAACCAAUUAGGAAAUUUCCAAAUAAAGAAAGAAUUGGAAUUUAUACUAAAUGAACUAAAACUUAAACAAAUGCGUCACUCAUCUAUCCCCAAUCUAAACCAAUUCAAAUUCCCAUCAAGAUCAAAACCUAGUGCUCUGAUACCACUCUGUCACGCCCCAAGACCCACUCCAAGGGCGUGACGGUCAUUUCACACCUCAAACCCGAAGGCUUAAAGUAUAAUCUGACCCAAACAGUCAUAUUGUAACUGGAUGUUACCAAUUACCAAAUACCUGCUCAGAGUAGCGGAAACAAAAUCUAAAAUCCUCAAAAUUCAAUUUCCAAAUAACUUCCAAAUACCAAAUGAUCCAAAUGAACAUAACUAACAGUUAAACAAAAUCCAACAUAAAAUCCUAAGUCAAAUCCUAAUGAUGACCAUUCUUCAGCCUAGCCAUCACUCCUCACCCGAACUAAGAGUACCUGAAAAUUUUCAACAAUUGGGAAUGAGCUCACAGCCCAAUAAGGAAUAUUAAUGCAAUUCAUGGAUCAAAUAUUUUCAUUUCAAAUAGGAGAUAUCAAUUUUUUUUUUUCUCAUCAAAUAUCAGAGUUCCAAAAAUACCAAUAUAUUCAAAAUUCAACCAACCAAUGUCAUAUCAAAUUCAAACACUUUCACAUAAGAUUCAAUCAAAUUCAUUCAAGUUUCAUUACUCUGGUUAUCAAAUGUCAAAUGCCCAGUUAGGUGGGACUUUUCAAAUGGGUGGCUAGCCUCAAAUUGUUCCUGGUGGACGGAACCAAACACUACUAGUACUAGUAACCUCUAACCAAACCCCUAGAGGCUGGGGUCCAAAUCAAUUACAUUCCCACCAUGAAAUGUAAAGGUCAACUAUUAUAUCCCGUUGACAGGGCCGAAUAGUCAACUAUUAUAUCCCGUUGACAAGGGCCAAAUAAACCAGAGUGAUGUUUUUGUUCAAGUAUUCAAAUUUACACAACAUAAUAUCUCCAUAUUUUGUGUCAUAAAUAAAACAAAAUAUUCCAACAUAACAUUUAGUGCAAAACAAUUUGAUCCAUGCAUGGUAACAAAAUAUCAUUUUCUUUUCCACAAUUCAAAAUAACAUAUAAGAUAAUUUAAUUUUAUAAAUAUUACAUUAACUUCCCUUACCUCAAAAGAAGUCCUUGAAAGCUUGGGAGAAGAAUAAUUCUGAAAAAAAUAUAAUCUACUCUUCACCUAAUAUGACAUAAGAGAAACAAUUAUUACUAUUUAUUUAUAAUUUAACUAAUCUAUUCCUUAUUUAAAUAAAACUAAUAAAUUUCCAAUUUGUUUCUAAUAACAUAUUACUAAUUUAAUUAAAUUACAAUUUUAUUUCAUUAUAAAAUUCUAUAUAUAUAUAUAUAUAUUUUGCUAAAUCUCUCAUUCUAAAAAAAAAUACCAUUAUUACUAUUAUCUUAUUCAUUAAUCUAAAACUAAAUAUUAUUAUUUUAAAUUAACCAAUUCAAAAGCCACUAAACCAUUACCUAGUUGUCUCGGGUACACCAAACCACCAAACCAAAAAGCAAGUUUUUUUUCCAUUGCCAUCAUCAUAUUCAUUAUAUAUAUAUAUAUAUAUUAAAGGCUUCCAUUUGCUUCCAGUACACGUACGCCCCCCCCCCCCCCCUUUUUUUUUUUUUUUUUUUUCCCUCCCUCCCUCCCUCCGGGGUUGUGUACACCCGUUUUCCUUUUUUUUUUUUUUUUUUUUUUUACCCCUACCCAAAAACCAAAAAUUCCCAAGAAUUUUUUUUUUUUUUUACCNNNNNNNNNNNNNNNNNNNNNNNNNNNNNNNNNNNNNNNNNNNNNNNNNNNNNNNNNNNNNNNNNNNNNNNNNNNNNNNNNNNNNNNNNNNNNNNNNNNNNNNNNNNNNNNNNNNNNNNNNNNNNNNNNNNNNNNNNNNNNNNNNNNNNNNNNNNNNNNNNNNNNNNNNNNNNNNNNNNNNNNNNNNNNNNNNNNNNNNNNNNNNNNNNNNNNNNNNNNNNNNNNNNNNNNNNNNNNNNNNNNNNNNNNNNNNNNNNNNNNNNNNNNNNNNNNNNNNNNNNNNNNNNNNNNNNNNNNNNNNNNNNNNNNNNNNNNNNNNNNNNNNNNNNNNNNNNNNNNNNNNNNNNNNNNNNNNNNNNNNNNNNNNNNNNNNNNNNNNNNNNNNNNNNNNNNNNNNNNNNNNNNNNNNNNNNNNNNNNNNNNNNNNNNNNNNNNNNNNNNNNNNNNNNNNNNNNNNNNNNNNNNNNNNNNNNNNNNNNNNNNNNNNNNNNNNNNNNNNNNNNNNNNNNNNNNNNNNNNNNNNNNNNNNNNNNNNNNNNNNNNNNNNNNNNNNNNNNNNNNNNNNNNNNNNNNNNNNNNNNNNNNNNNNNNNNNNNNNNNNNNNNNNNNNNNNNNNNNNNNNNNNNNNNNNNNNNNNNNNNNNNNNNNNNNNNNNNNNNNNNNNNNNNNNNNNNNNNNNNNNNNNNNNNNNNNNNNNNNNNNNNNNNNNNNNNNNNNNNNNNNNNNNNNNNNAAAAAUUUCCAAUUUGUUUUUAAUAAAAAUUUACUAAUUUAAUUAAAUUACAAUUUUAUUUCAUUAAAAAAUUUUAUAUAUAAAAAUAUAUAUUUUGCAAAAUUUCCCAUUUUAAAAAAAAAUCCCCUUUUUUUUUUUUUUUUUUUCUUUAAUUUAAAAAUAAAUUUUUUUUUUUUAAAUUAACCAAUUCAAAAGCCCCUAAACCUUUCCCUAGUUUUUUUGGGUACCCCAAACCCCCAAACCAAAAAACAAGUUUUUUUUCCAUUGCCCUCAUCAUUUUCCUUAUAUAUAUAUAUAUAUUUUAAAGGGUUCCAUUUGUUUCCAGUACAAGUACGCCCCCCCCCCCCCCUUUUUUUUUUUUCUUUUUCUUCCUUCCUUCCUUCCUUCCGGUGCUGUGCACACGCGUUUUCCUUUUUUUUUUUUUUUUUUAUUUAACCCUAACCUAAAAUCGAAAUAUUCCAAGCAAUUUUUUUUUUUUUUUACCACUCUGUCAUUUGUAACGACCCUCACCCAACCAUGUAGAUAUUGUCCGCUUUGGGCCCAAGAGGGCCCUCACGGCUUUAAAACGCGUCUACUUGGUUAAGAGGAGCCUCUACAUAUAUAGCGCCAAGAACUUCCUCCCCUAUCCGAUGUGGGACAUUACAAAUACCCCCCCAUGCAGACACAACGUCCUCGUUGUGUCCCAUGGGAUUGCGGGGCCAAACAGACAAACACCCCUUACGGAGCCAAACAAACCCCCACACCGGGAUCGGGGAUCGGCUCUGAUACCAUUUGUAACGACCCUCACCCAACCAUGUAGAUAUUGUCCGCUUUGGGCCCAAGAGGGCCCUCACGGCUUUAAAACGCGUCUACUUGGUUAAGAGGAGCCUCUACAUAUAUAGCGCCAAGAACUUCCUCCCCUAUCCGAUGUGGGACAUUACACAACACCCCCUUUCUUGUAGGGUCAUGGCUUGCCCAUUAGAGCUGGUAGGACAGAAGCAACCUUAGAAAGUACUGAGAAGGACCCCUACUGUUGUCCUCCAUAGCAUUUCCAUGAACAAGUUCAUCAAAGAAAAUCCUCAAAAAUUGGGAAAGUUCUCACUUAUGUUUCACUGUGGGGUUUCGCAAUUGUAUCAGUGACCCUUAAAAUAAGUAAACAUAUGAGAAUACGUGCAGAGAUUCCAUGGAAUUUAAUGGGUUCCUCCUGCUCCAUGCAGUUUGAUAAGUCAAGUCUCAAAUAAUUGUUUCAAAUGAAAAAGGACCACAAUUCCUGGAAGUUGAUAAUAAAGACAAUGAUCAUAAUCACAUUAUUCCUUCAAAUUUGAUGGACUUUACCCCAUUGACUGUUUGUGUAGAGAGAAAAUAUAUCAUGAAUGAAACAAUCCUGAUUUUCAUUAAAAAUUAAAAUUUCACAGGAAUAAAGGAGAGAGAUUCUUUGCAGUUGGCCCAUACGGAAAAGGACAAAAAGAAAAUUUUAAUUUAUCCUUCUUUUUCUCCCUAAUGCCAGAAUUUCCAUGGCCGACUGUCCACACAGUUUCUAUGACCUUAAAAAAGACAAAUUUACAUUAUCAUCCCAAAGGAGGGAGAAGAAAGGGACAAAGAACAAGUGACUGAUGUUCUUCUUCAGACCUCUCAUUUCUUCUCUUUCACAUGCCUCUGGAAUCACUCCCAUUUUUCAUUUUCGAUGUCCUCAUUUCUGUGUACAAUAGCCUCCGUUCAUUUUCCUGGGGGAAAAAAGCAUUGUAAAGAAUAUCAGAAAACCCGAAAUUGUAUUGAUUAUCCUGCCAGUGUGAUUGAAAACUAGGUAGAAAUUGACAUACCAAUGGAUCGCUUGCAAUGGAGAACUGCCUCGUAAAUUGAGCUCUCUGAAUCACAAGACUUGCGCCAAUCCCCAGUAGAAUAGGCUGUGCUUGUUCUGGGAGAUGCUUCUGGUGAAUAAACCCAGCUCUUCCCUUCCUGCAUUCUUGAAUUAACACUUUCAGCUCUGGACCCAAUUCUGCGACCACGUAUUCUCCUGUAAAGGGGCCUAAGAAAAUCCAGGUACUUCUGAAGGAUUUGUUUUGAUAAUCUUCGGCAUCUUCUCAAGGAAGAACAGUGAGUGUUGGUGGCUGACAGUACAUGUUUUGGAGCAUGUGAUGAAGAGAUGGGCGUGGCUGGAAGGGAAUAUGACCCAUCAUAUGCCUCCAUCUUCAGUGGCUCCAUGAAGAUAGGCAUGAUGAGGCCAUUAGAGAAGAGCUCAUCAGCAUGAACAAGACUAAGAGGGGGUUGGGAAAUGGGGAAAUCAAAGUUGAAAUCCUGGGAAUUUCUAAAGAAUCUCUUAGAGGGAGGCAUUCUUGGGUCCAUCUCAAUGAAGGAGGCUUCAUCGGACACAUCAAGGGAGGUUCUAAGGGAAUCAUCUAGGCUCUCAAAGGAAGGUUUCAGGUUUAUUAACCAACUAUACGAAAAGCUUUCAAUGGAGAGAGGUUGGGAGGCCUCCAUGCCUGUGCCACUCUAUACUAUGGUGUAUAGAAAUGAGAAUUGAGAGAAGAAAAGAUGAUACACACUUUAUAGUACAAGGUGGGCAAGAGCAAAGUCCCUCCUAUUAUGGAACAUAUCCCUAAUGCAUAUAUAUAAUGCCUUAAUAUCCUCUCUUUCCCUCUCUCUCCCCUAACAAUUAUAUAUGUGGUUGUCCGACAAGAGACAAUUUUAAAUUUAAUAAUUGAAAAGGAGAAAAGGAGAAAAGGAAAAAUAGAAACACAAAUGUGAGCCCCACAACCACCCAUAACGUACUGUUGCAUCUAUGGCUUACCCUCCCAUUUUCCUAUUAUUUUUCUAUCAACUUCCUAAAGAAGAUGGUUUCCCUCUAUAAACCUAUUCCACUUCUUCUCAUACAUGAUAGGUCAUGAAAAGUAAUAGUGUUUAUGGGAAACUCCAUUAUUUGUUCCAAGCUUCUUCCCAACCUAUCACACAUGAAGUACAACCACAAUUGAGACUUUUGCUCUAAAAUGUUUCCUCUAGAUCUAUAAGCCACACAUGAUACACAAAAUUGUUGAAUUGCCUUCCAUUGGUUUUGUCUUUAUGUUCUAAUUUUCCCUUAUUUAUCAAUUUCCAGUGGGUAAGACCGGCUUGAAAGGAUGAGUUCACCCUCAGAUGCUUACAACCUAACCGCUGCAGCACAAGGCUAGACCUAGAUGAUAAAAUACUAAGCAAGUGGUGCUACAAGUAUUAUUCUAUAAUUGUCUCAUAAAAAAAUUUGAGUAUCAGAAGGCGUGAAAAAAGAUCCUUAGCAUGCUGAGAAGUAUUCUAAAUAUCUAUAUUAUAUUUUUCUAUAAUACCGUACUAUAGGGUUAGUUUGCACAUCCAGAUGACCUUAAUCUGAUCAAAAGGGGUUAUGUCAAACCAACUUUCACAAAAUAAGAAAAACAGGUAGGACUCUAAAGCAGAAUUUAUAAUUCAUUAUCUAGUUAUGCUAUGUGCACGCCUUUUCUAUAGGGGGGGUGAACCCUUCCACAAAUAUGAAAAGGAGACAAAUUUUUGGAGAGGUCCAUAAAAUUUCACCAAUAUGGCCUGGCUAUUCUAACUGAAGGCUUAUUAAAUCUUAUCAUAUGAAUAUUACUAUGUCCUAACACAUUUUCAGCAUCUGGUAAUGAAUUCACGACCUCAAUAUUCAUUAUACUAGGCAUAUAAAACCAAACUAGAUUGCGAGAAAAAAAGAAAGUGAACAUUUAAUGCCGAUUGACGAGAAUUAGAAAAUGUUUUUGGACUACAAUUGUAUACACACUUUUGCAUCAUGACAUCACAACAAAAUACAACAAGAAGACACUUGACAUUAAUUCUACAGUUUAAAUAAAAAGAUAAAUAACGGGUAUCCAUUUUCAUGUGUAGCUAUAUUGUUAUCCUUGAAUCAGUAAAACAGAUAUAUGAAAAAUCUGAAAGGAAAAGAAAAGGAAUACUAAAUAUCACAAACUUCUCUUGGCAAGGAAAUUCCAGGCUUUUACAGCCACUCAUAGUCUGAGUGGCGGUGAGUUCAAAUCUCUACAGGGCUUAAUGGUAGAGGAUGUUAUGUUUUUCUCAUCCAAAAUUAAACUGAUUAUUAUUUACAAACAAUCUAAAAAACAAAAAUAGCAGACAAGGGUCCCCUAAAGUUGUCGGAGGACGAUAUGGACAUUAGCCAAAGUUUCAGGGACAAAAGCCAGAAAUAGAAAGUGACUUGAAACCUAUUGGUCCCCGCACCGAUGUUCCCCUUCAAGACAUAAAGCAAAAGAAUACAAACAUUGGUAGAAGCAAUUAAAUUCCUAAAUGGAAUGUUUUUCAUUGAGGGAGAUUUGAUUAUAAUUCUGUAAACCAAAAAGAAAUUUCUUUCGGAGACACUGUUAACACUUCCAUAAAUACUGCUAGCCAGACCCAGUCGGUUACUUGAAGAAAGGAGGAAUAACUAAUUCAAAACAGAUCGAUCACAGGACAUAGACCUGUCUUCCAGAACAUUUCAACAGGAUAAAAUUUAAGGUUAGCAGUCAAGAAAUUUCAUAUCUGGAAAGUAAAAGCCUGUGGUAGUAGAGAGAUUUUGACUUUCAGUCUAGCAGCAAACUAGGAAUGAAGCUUAACAAAAUGGUCCCCUGCCUAUGGCUAUACUCUGGUUUGAGACUUACCAGCUGUCCUGAUAAAGUCACCAUGCACCAGAUCACAUCCCAAAAGAGUGCAGCUUUAGGUAAAAAUGGGAUGAUUUGAGGGGAGUGGUGGUGGAAAGAGAAUUACUGAGUAAACAAACCACCACCUUCCCCUUCCCCUUCGCCUUCCCCAACCACCUCCAUCCCAACAAAAGAGUAUCUUGUAAGGGAAACGAGAGCAGUGUCCUCCAUACUGUGAUGUGACAUGCUCUCACUGGAAACAGGACAAACCCCAUUAUGCUCAAACCAGAGAAUAUAUUUGGAGUUCAUUGGCAGCCAGAGCAUGAUGGUUACGGAAUGGAUGAACAAUAUGAGGAACAUUCCUCCAGAUGAAUCUUGGUAAAGCCCUACAAAUCAAUACUAACAUUUUACACAAUGGGAGAAGAAAUGGUGGCUAAAACCUGACUGAGCAAUUAUAGAGUACAAAACAAGAAUACUAUUUCAUGAGAUCUACGAAUACAAAGGCAUUCCAGAGACUAUGCAAGAGCAUUGAUGCCAACAGGUUCCUUGAUCGUGCAAAGACGGCACCAAUCAACAUCCCAAGGAAUAUAAAUGGUAGCAUUGUCUGCAAGUUGAGAUGUGCUGAGGCAAAAGCUACUGAACUCACAAGAAUGGAGCACCAUACAGGCAUGUACCUGGUCAAGGAAGGGAGAAGGAAUCCACGGAAGAAAAUCUCCUCCCAGAUAGGGGCACAAACUGAAAGAAACACUGCAUAAAGGGCCAUUGCCAAUGGGUCUCGUGCAACAAUUGAUUGCUGAACGCUUGACCCAGUGACCGGAGUGGAGGGAGCAACAGGCAAUAAAUUUUCAUUGAUCUGCGAGAGACGGUUGACCAGGGGAAACAUGAGGCAACCCAAGCCAACAUCAAAGUGCCACUUCCCUUCAAGGCUUAACCUGAACCAAUCAGAUGGAAGGGGAUGGAACCUUGCAAGGCAGAUAUGAAGAAUUGCAAUCCCAGAAAGACCUUCGGUCACUUCACCCAAGAGGCCAUACAAGGCUUGCCCUCUGUGUGUCAUGGUCUCCUUUCUGAAACCUGCUUUAUGAGCCAGAAAUGGAAUUAUCCAAGAUCCCACCAACCAGAAUGAAGCAAUCCAGAGGAGCAUAACCUGCAGGACCAGACAAUUUCACUUAACAAUCUUUAUUCACCUUCUAUUCAUCUAACAUGAAUUUCAACAGCAAAAUGAUUGCUCGACCUCUUCCUUGCAAAACUAAAUUUUCUAAGUGAAUGAUAUAGCUUAAUUUAGUUCAUGAAAACUUUGCUCAUAACACAUUAAGAUGUGAAUCACAAGAUGCAAUAUAUAUUUUACUAUAAAAGGCAAUAAAGUUUUGAAGCCAGUUCAGAUAAACUUUUCAAAAAAUACCCACAGAUAACUCUGUUUACUGCUAAAUAAUUGAUGGGUACAAAAGAAAUCUAUAGAGAAAAGUUUAUUAAAACUUACUUAAAAGUUUUAGCACAUGCUAACUUUUUAAGCAAUUUAAUAAUUGAUUCAAUAGCAUCUCAUGAUACCACCACCCUAGUUGCUGCCACCUAAAGAGAUGAUGGAUAUAUAAACAAUUCUAAUAUAAUUAAUAAAACAAAAUGUUCACAUGCUUUAUUAAUCCUUUUGAUAAUAUUUCUGAUAAAACCCAAUCAAUACUGCUACACUAGCUCCCUCCACUUCCAUGCCAUCAUCACCAUCAGAUCUGCACUGCAUUUUCAUGCCACAGCAACAACACUAUUUUACUAUUUCACUGCUUGGGCAUGUGUUAGCCCAGUAUCACAAUCACUAUUGCCACAUCACAGCUAUAAACUCCAACCCACCAUGGCCCAGCAUUACCAUGCUAUAGUUGCUGCCAUCCCACCACUACAACCAGACUAAUACCUCCAACACUACUACCUCUUGCCACUACCAAUACCACUCCUGCCGCCAAACAAACUGGUGGGUGAAUCUCAUGCUUUAAAGGGAGCCAUUCAUUUAUUCACGAAGUUUGAUUUAUUCACAUUUUAUCCAGUUCAUUUAUGUUGACUUUGUACCCACUUUUUCAGCCUCCUUCAAGUAAUUGGAUUUUAGGGAUUUGUAUAGUUCAGUGUGCCAGAUAUAAGAAAAGAAGAAAUUAAAUUUCAAUUACCAUUCAUAAAAGUGAUAUAACUUGACUUAAACCUGGUAGUUAUUAGAAUUUGGAGAAAAAAUUACUCGUUCAGCAGCAGGCACUAGAUAUACAGUGCCACUGCACUGCCAAACCACACAACUGCCAUAUUUAUCAUCAUCACCCACCCCUUUCAUUGCAAAAGCAACAGCAAGUGCGCUCAUAUAAUCCAUAUGUCCCAUCCACAAGUUGUAUCUAAUCUAAGAUCAGUUAUAAACUUAAUUAUAUUUUAGAAUAAUCUUGAAACUUACAGUUUCGUCAUCAGCUCCUAAUUUUCAAAUCUACCUAGCCAACCACUCUUAUCCUAUGUUCAAUUCCAGGAUUUGUGGUUAAACCAUUUUGAUAAGGUUUCAAGAUCAUGAUUAUUAUUUUGAUUAAAAAUUGUGAUUAUGUACACAUUUCUCCUACAACAUUUCCAGUUUUUCAAUAAUAUAAGGACUUCAGCUCAAUGUAAGAAAAGACCAAAAUUAAUUCUAGAACUGAGACCAAAAUUAAUUCUAGAACUGAACCCAAAAACCUUGGAUAGAUGGUUUUACUAUUGGUGUACUACAUACAUCCUAAAGAUGAUCCUUUAUAAGAAAUUCAGGUCAAUGUGCAAUAAUUCAACAGUGAGAACAGGGAAAUUAUGAAAUGGAUUUACUUGUACAAGAAAUAGAUUUUUCUUAUUUUGAACAUGUUUAAGUUAUGAAAAUAAGAUAGAUGGCAUGAACUUAAUAUAUACUUGACAAUUCCACAAUAUCUCAUAGUAACCAUGUGCUAUACAGAAGCUGCUUUACCUGCAAAAUGGUCAUUGCUGUCCAAGGCACUGUCCAAGGUUUCAUUCCAAAAAAUGCAUCAGCAGCCUGAAACAUGACCACCCAAAUCAUUCAAAGAUGCUGAUUAAUAUAUGAAAUUUUCAGGAAUUAGUCUUCCCAUUUGAUUAUGUAAGUGGAAAACACAUUGUGGGAUGGCAUUAAUUUGAAAGCCACUUCCUUAUUUUUCAAUGGUUCUUGUUUUAUCAUGCAUUUAUAAACUUAUUAGCAAUGCAAGGACAUAUAAUAACUUUAAAAAGGAGAAAAAGGAAGCAAAAAAGCAAUACAAACACCACAAGUUAGUAAUCACCAUGCACUCCAAAGAACAGACGUCAUUUGUUGGAGUGACUUCUGUCAAGUCGGGAACGGAAUGGGCUACAUUAUUCGUUCAAUUUUAAAGAAUAAGUAGGCAUUGUUACAAGGAUUAGUUACUUAAAAGGUUAAUUUUGAAAAAAGUUAACAAAGAUCUUUGAAGGACUAAAUUGGCAGUAUCAUGAGUUUAAAAGAGCACUUCUAUGUCUUCUCUUCCACUUGAUUACAUAUUAGAUUAGAUAAACAAAUGUAAGUCUUUAGCAUGUUUCUUCUCUAUUUGGAUAGAUUCAUAGUACUAAUCGUAAAUUUUGUGAAACGGCAUAAUCAUUAUUUGACAAUGAGAAAUGACAUACAUAAUGAAAACUACACCUUUAAUGCCUUUCGAACCUUUGAAACGCAAUCUUUUUUCAAUUUAUCAGACUGUUCAACUUCAGGCUUUGCCAAUUCUUCUGGCAGCUUAUCUUCUACAGUCUCAAACUCUGGAAUUUCUGCAGAAGAUUCUUCCUGCCUAUGGCAUGAACCUCUCCAUUUCUACAAGACAAUAAAAACUAAAAAUGAUAAAAUGACAUCAAUCCAUAUAAAUCUGCAAAAUCUAUCUCUCAUUCCGACCAAGAAUACACCCAGCCGUGCAUUUGGGGCUGAGAAAAAUUUGGACAAUCUUGUUUUGGUUUCAAGAAAAUGGAAAAGAUUAAUCUUAAUUAAGUCAUACAGUUAAACUUAUCCUCAAUUAAGCACAGGUUUCAUUUUCUCCUAUUCCAAAUGUCAAGAACCUAAAACUCAAUAUUGGUUUCAUUUCUCUCCUUCAAUUUCCCAGCAACCAAAAAACGCAAAUAUAUAAGUGUGGUCAUUGAGAAAUCAGAAAGAAAUACUCCAAAAAAAAAAAAACGAUUUUUGUAUUCAUAUCAACCUUUGCUUACCCUCGUGCAAGCAAUGCUUGUACACGUGGAAAUAAAAACUACUUUGGUUUUGCCAAGAUUAUCGCUCUCCCAAGCAAGAAAUGUCACGAAAUGCAAACCAAGCAAUACCCGCCGACAAACAUAGAUUUUCAAAUUCAUUUCCUCGUCAGUUUUCUCGGAACCAAACAGAAAGUAAAGGAAAACUUUAGAUAGAGGAGAGGACCGAAAGAAAGGUUAAGUGCAUACAGAACACAAAACAAGCGGCAUAAAAACAGAAAUCUUAAAAUUCAUGUUCCCUUUCUCGGUAACCUAACAGAAAACAAACGGAAUGUGAAAUUUAGAAAUGGAGAACUCACAUUCUUUGAAUACCUGGAGAGAGUAUCGACAAUACGAAAUCUUUGAUUCAGAGAAAGUGAAGUUCUUGGAAGAUUCGAAAUCCUGAUUCUUGAAAUUGGAGGAGAGAUGAGAGAGGGGUAGUGAGAGAGAGUGCGGCAGCAUGGGGCUGACAUUGUGGCGGCAUCGGAUUGGCCGAAAUCCGUAGAUGGAGGGUUUAGGUGGAGGAAUGCGAUUGAUGGAAAAACCCUAGCUCUCUGCAUCAGAUUUGAAACCCUAGUCUUGCUUGGUUUGACGAAGACGAAAGACGGCUAAUACGUCGCCGUUUCUGCGGAUGCCGUGGCCAGUGGCCCCCAACCUGGUUCAGUGAAUCUUGACGCUCAAGAGCUUCAAUGUACCGAUCACAAGGCCUCUCACCUGAAUGCUUAUAAACGACGUCGUUUCUGAAAGAAUUAGAGAAAAUACUCUGGAUUAUUAUUUAGAAAACUCCUUUUAAAACUUUUUAGUUAAAUCUUAAUCAUUGAAUUGAUCUCAAUCCUCACUAUUUAAACUUGAAAUUUUAUUUUAAGGUUAAAAGAAAAUCUUAAUUGUUGAAUUGAUCUCAACCUUCACUAUUUAAACUCAAAUUUUUAGUUAAGAAUUAUAGGAAAUUGUGCUCUUCGGCCUUUCUGAUUUUAGAAUGUUUCAUAAAAAAAUCCACCCCAUUUUGAACUAUGAAAUUGUUUUCUAUUCGAUUUUCUCACAAAAUAUGGGUUGAUUCAUUUAGUUCUUCCGACUCAUCACUCUUUAUUACAUUUGAAUUGAGAUAAAACAAUUUUUCCUCGUAAUUGGACUUUAAGAAGUGGUUGAGGUCGAACUUGAUGUUGAUUUCAAGUUUACUUUUAAAAAAAGAAAGUUUGUAGUUGAAGUUGGAAUGUGGUAAUCAAAUAGUCCAAGAAAUAAUUAAAGAACCCAAGUUAUGUAAAUCUACAUACUUAGUUGUUUUUCUUUAUGGUAGAAUUUGUCGAUUGCUUGUAGGUCCAUGACUUUUAAUCUCUUCGAAGAUUUUCUAAGUUAAACCUCGAUAUCAUUGUCUCCGUCACUUUUUUAUUAUUCUUUUGGUUAUUUCUAUUUGUCUAUCUUUACUUGUGAAUUACAUUAUUGCAAUGAGUUGAUUGAUUGGAUUUGAUAAUUUAAACUUUAAAAAUUUAUAAAUUAAUUUCUAUUUUAGUAAUUGAACUUAGUGGAUUGAUUUGGGAGUGUUGCCUCGUUUUCUUUAUAGUUUUGAUUGUUUGUCAAAUAAUCAAAAGAGAACAAAAAAUAAAAGGAAAAUAAAAAUCAAUGGAAUCCCAAUAAUUCAUUUUCAAGAUUAAUAAUGAUGAUGGUGAUGGUGAUAAUAAUAAUAAUAAUAAUAAUAAUAAUAAUAAUAAUAAUAAUAAUAAUAAUAAUAAGAUUAAUAAAUGAAGAUUUUUCAACCAAUGAUGUCAAAGGAUUGAAAAUUUGCAAAUCAAAUCCCAAUGUCAAAGCUUGAUUAAUGCGACUUUAGUAUUGGGGCCCAAGCCAUGCUUUUAAAUGUCCAUUUCUCAACAACUUAUGUUCUUGGCUAGUCAUCCAUCAUGACCCUGGUGUCCACAAAUUAAAUAAAUGAAUAAAAUAAAGUUAAAUUACAAGAAAAAUGGAUCCCUCAAUUUUUUGCUUUCAAUAUCAGCUUGGUUGGCUUUGUUGGGAACUUGGAAAAUGGAAAUAAAAGAAAAUUGAAUAAAAUAAUAAAUAGAUUUAAAAUUAAUAAAUUAUUUUUUACUUAUUUUUUCAAACUCAUUUACUUUUCUUUUAUGUAAAGAUUAAGAUUAUAUUUGGUUUAUGAAAAAAUGUAAGGGAAAAAAAAUAAAGAAAAGAAAAAAAUGAAGAAAAAAAAAGUUAAAUUUUUUUUUUUACAUAAUUAUUUAAACUUAUUUCAUUUAUUUUUGUUCUUUUAUGUAAAAUUAAAUAGUUUGAAAAUGCAUAAGUUUUGAAUUAAUUUCAAUUAUAUUUGAUUUUUUUUCUAAUAUUUUUUUGGGUUGAAAAUUAAAUAUGAAAAAAAAAUCAUUUUCUUUAAUAUUUACUGUUUUCUUGGUAUUUUCCCAAUAACCAAAUAUGACUUAAAUAAUUUAAAAAUAUAUAAACAUUAAAUAUGAUAAUAUAUAUAUAUAUAUAUAUAUAUAUAUAUAUAUUAUGUAUUUUACAUAGUAAAUACCAAAUAAGAAUUUUUUUUUUAAAAAUAUAUAUAUUUUUAGUUUAAUGAAACAAAUUUCUACUACAGUGAUUAUCCAUCUUCUUAGUUAUGAUUAUAAAAAAAAAAAAAAAAAAAAUGUUCUAGUAAAAGCAAAUAUCAUGAAAUAUAUUUCAUUCAAGUAAAUUUUAUAUUUCAUACAAGGGAGCUUUUUGUCUAGUUAUUAUAUUAGCAAUAAAACAUUUGUAUAUAAAAUAAUUUUUCUAAAUUUGACAAAAUAUUUUAAAGAAAAAAAAUCCAAAAUACUUUAAAAUAUUUCAUUCAAGCAAUUAAAAAAAAAAAAAAAGCCCUAUGGAUUUGCAAGUGUUAUUCCAUGUUUUUCCACAAAUUUAAUUGAAUUAGUGAUAGUAAGUAAAAGACAUGAAAAAAGAAGACAUAAACAAAGAUUUAUAAGGUUAACGACAAUUUUCUAAGUCCGCUCCUAUGUUGGAUUGCUUGCAAACUUGGAGGUUUGUUUAAUUCACCAAGAGCUUUUUUAAGUUAAAGUUUUCAAGUAUUUGUACACUUAGGUCAUGUUUGGUUCCUGAAAAUACUAAGAAAAGAAAAAAAAUACGAAGAAAAAUGAUUUUUUUUUUUAUAUUUGGUUGUCCUAUAAAAAAAUAUAAAAGAAAAUCAAAUAUAAUUAAAACUAAUUAAAAAUUUAUGUAUUUUUAAAUUAUUUAAUUUUUAUAUUGAUGAGUUAAAAUAAAUAAAAUGAGUUUAAAGUAACAAAAAAAUAAUUUAUUGACUUUUAAUCUAUUUUUUUAUUUUUCUUUACUUUUUUUUUUCUUAUAUUUUUUCUUUAUAUAUUCUUUCCCUUACAUUUUCCCUCAAAUUUUUCUGACAACCAAACAUAACCUUAAAUUCCAAAGUUUUAAUAUAUCAUUAUAACUCUUUACAUGUUAUUUCAAAUACUUUAAAACCUUUUCUCAUCAAGAAAAACUAUCAAGUCCUUUUCUGAUAAAAAAAAAGCUAUUAGGAAUGUGGAAUGGGGGUAAAUAUUGACCUCAUACGGAUACUCUUGUUCGUUGUUGAUUGGAAAUUAGUUCCAUAAUUCGUAUACCCUGAUUAGUGAUGGUUUUACAAACCCUUUCUCGCAAAGCAACUUAGUGUCAUAUGCACCAUGCUGAAUAAGGAGCCCAAGAAUGACUCCCAAACCCUAAGUCAAGCGGGACCAUUCAUUAAGUUUAAGUAUAUGAAUAAGAAGUAUAAAAUUUCUUAAUGAUUGAUAAAAUUGAUAUUCAAAAAUUGAAAGAUACUAAUUAAAGUCCGUGAUCUUUAGAUAUAUUAGUUUUACAAAAAUUAGUGUUAAAAAUACAAAUUUAUUGAAGUUGUGCACUCAUCAAGGGAAGGGAUUAGUCUAUCAAUUGAUUAACAACCCAUGUGGGGAAGUGUACAAUUGAGGUUUUUGAUGCACUUAUAAUGAUGAUUUCUGAACUUCGAUUAAUUGUGUGUUUUUCUCAAAAAAUAAUAUAUUUUCAUCAAUUUUAUCAAUAACGUAUCGAUCUCAUCCAACUUUAUAUUCGAGAACCUAGUUAGAAAUUUUGUUUUGAUGAAAAUCAUUAAAAAAUGAUGCAAAAUCAUAGACUAAUUUAAUUAUACCUUUGUCAUACUUCUUGAGGCCUUUGAGGGUGAUGUCUUGACUUGAUGCUAGGGGCUUUUAAGAAAUGAUUUUCAAUUUAUAACCUACUCAAAUAAUUUUAGACAAAUUUUUUAGAAAUAAAUCAUAAUUAAAGAGGAAUUAAUACAUCAUAUAUAUGUCAAAUCCAAUAAUCCAUGACCAACCUUACAUGCAAGUGUGAAUAUCAGAAAAUCAUUCUUAUGCGGGCAUUAAUUGAAAAUAAAAAUAAAUACGUGUCAUAUAGAAUUGACACUUUCGGCUUCUCCCACUUCAAUUUGAAUACCACAAACACCCACCACGUGCCCACAUUAUCCAAUAAUUCCUCUCACACCGACCAUUGGAUCCACCUUUGUCAACGUUGUAGCUCAACCACCACUCUACACGUGGCGUGAUCCAUCUCAUUUUCGCAUAAAUGUAACUCUCAUCAAAUACUUGGGGGGAAGCCUCUCUUCUAUUAAAUACUUUCAUGCCAAUAAUUCACCAUCGACAUUACACAUUUUCUCAUCUCCAUGGCCUCUUCUUCUUCUCCUACCAGGGUUUUGUUCUUCUUGGCUUUGGCCGGGCUCGUCGGUGUUGCGACUGGUAGCGUUGGGUUGGGCGCGAGGUUGGUGGCUAAGGAGAAUCGUGCUUGGGUUUCGGAGAAUGGGACGUUUGCUUUCGGGUUUUCUCCGGUGGAGUCUGACGACCGGUAUCAGUUGGGGAUUUGGUUUGGGCAGCUUCCGGGAGAUAGAACCAUGGUUUGGUCUGCUAGCAGGUGAGUUUUUACUUUUUAGGGCAAGUUGAUGAUGAUGUGAUAGUGUAAUAUGUGCAUGGUUUUGAAUAUUUCUGAGAAUUUGUUGUACGUGGUAUGUGGACUAGGCCCCAAAGCUUGUUUAAUCUGGGCCCCGUAGUACCGCAACCAGGAGCUGUUGUGGCAGACGGUGGUGUCUUGGGGCCUUUGGCCCAGACAGUGAUGAGGAAGAUGAUUAACUUGAUGAACAAAUUCUUUAGGUGUGAUUUUUUUUAAUUUAAGGGAACUAUUAGGAAAAGAAACUAGCGAGAUGAAAUAGUAGAAAAGAAAAAAUAAGAAAAAAAAUUAAAUAAAAUUAUUAUUAUUAUUAUUUAAAAAAAAAUGAUAUUUAAUCAUUGUGUCUAUAUUCAAACUAUAUGUUAUUUGAUUAAGUAAUUUGUAUAUCAUUUUUCAUAAAUUGACUAUUGAAAGAAAUAAUGGAAAUUGUUUUUUUUUUUUUCCAAGUCUAAUUAAGAAGAUGUCAGUGUCGUUGAAUUCAGAAACAUGCUCUAGUCUUUACCCAAGCUUUUGCAGGUAUAUAUGUGAAUGUGAUCACUACUUAGCCAACAAUUUCAUUUUCUCUCAAUCAUCUGCAUAUAUAUAGAAACUCCCCCGUCGGAAAAGAUGCAGUACUGGAGCUCGACAGCACAGGAAACCUUCUCCUGCUCGACGGAGAUGCAACAGUUUGGUCGUCAAAUACCUCCGGCGAAGGUGUUGAGACGGCAUACAUGUCUGAAUCCGGCAACUUCAUCUUGUACAAUGGCACCAACUUCCCUUUAUGGCAGAGCUUUUCUCACCCUUCAGAUACUCUCCUCCCAAACCAACCUCUCACAGCUUCAAUGGAGCUCACAUCCUCCUCACCUGCGCAUGGUGGUUACUACACUCUCCAGAUGCUGCAGCAGCCUACUUCCCUCAGCCUUGGACUCAUCUACAACUUGCCCGACUCUUACAUCACCUCGUUGCAGUCUUAUGCCAACUACUCCUACUGGUCUGGACCCGAUAUAUCAAACGUAACAGGAGAUGUAGUCGCGGUUUUGGACGAGGCGGGGAGCUUUGGGAUCAUGUAUGGGUCGUCAUCUGAUGGGGCGGUUUAUGUUUACAAAAGUGAUACUGAUGAGAAAGGGCUGUCUUCGUCUGUGAAUCAGACAGUUAGGCCAUUAGUUCUUCGAAGACUGAUACUCGAGAUGAAUGGGAAUUUGAGGCUGUAUCGUUGGGACGAUGAUGUGAACGGCACUCGCCAAUGGGUGCCUGAAUGGGCUGCAGUUUCUAACCCAUGUGAUAUUGCUGGGGUUUGCGGAAAUGGGGUGUGUAGCUUGGACAGAAGCAAGACUAAUGCCUCGUGUACAUGCCUGCCGGGGUCUUCUAAGGUGGGAGACAGCGGCCAGUGCUCAGAGAAUUCGUCGGUGUCAACUGGGAAAUGUGAUAAUAAUCAUCGGAAUUCAACUGCUUCCAAGCUGAAGAUGUCGAUAGUACAGCAAACUAACUACUAUUACCCUGAAUCUUCGAUUAUAGCAAAUUAUAGUAACAUGUCCCCAUUAUCAAAGUGUGGGGAUGCUUGUUUAUCAGACUGUGAUUGUGUUGCUUCUGUGUAUGGGCUGAGUGAGGAAAAGCCUUACUGUUGGCUGCUGAACAGCUUGGAGUUCGGUGGAUUCGAGGACACGAGUUCGACCUUGUUUGUGAAGGUUGGGCCUAAUGGGUCACCUGAAGGCAACGCAACAGGAUCUGGGGAUUCAUCUGAUGGCCUCCGGGACAAGGUCUUGGUUCUUCCAAUUGUUCUCAGCAUGAUUGUCCUUGUAGCACUCCUCUGCUUCUUGUUAUAUCACACUGUGUACAGAAGGAGGGCCUUGAAGAGAUCCCUGGAAAGCUCCUUGAUUGUGUCCGGUGCUCCAAUGAAUUUCAGUUACCGCGAUUUACAGUCCAGAACCGGCAAUUUUUCGCAGUUGCUCGGCACAGGUCAGCAUGUACAUAUACCUAUACUUUGAAAGGGAUGAAAUUGUUCGAAAAAAGCCAGUUGGACUUGAUCAAUUUGGAUUAAUGUUGUCUUCUCUUUUUUUCAGGAGGGUUUGGGAGUGUAUACAAGGGAAGCCUUUCAGAUGGGACAUUGGUUGCAGUGAAGAAGCUUGACAAGGUUUUGCCUCAUGGGGAGAAGGAAUUCAUAACUGAAGUGAACACCAUUGGCUCUAUGCAUCACAUGAACCUGGUUCGCCUAUGUGGCUACUGCUCGGAAGGCUCUCACCGGUAUGCAUUUCAUUUCAUCGCCUAAAACCAAUUACCACUAACCAUAAUUAAAUUCUUAUCAUCCUCUUUUGGGGUCAAGCAUACUAUAUUUUCGAGCAUAUAAUGGGGUUGGAAUUUGAUGAUUCUUCACAGGCUUCUGGUUUAUGAGUUCAUGAAAAAUGGUUCCUUGGACAAGUGGAUAUUCCCCUCAAAGCAUUGCCGGGACAGACUGCUAGAUUGGGGAACUCGUUUCCAUAUAGCCAUUGCUACUGCACAAGGGAUUGCUUAUUUUCAUGAGCAGUGCAGGAAUCGGAUAAUCCACUGUGAUAUCAAGCCUGAAAACAUACUUCUAGAUGAGAAUUUCUGUCCAAAAGUUUCAGACUUUGGACUAGCAAAGCUGAUGGGCAGAGAGCAUUCACAUGUUGUCACUAUGGUGAGAGGAACUAGGGGCUAUCUGGCUCCAGAAUGGGUUAGCAACCGGCCUAUUACUGUAAAAGCCGAUGUCUACAGUUACGGAAUGCUUCUCCUGGAGAUCGUUGGUGGCCGGAGAAACCUUGACAUGACCUUUGAUGCAGAAGACUUCUUCUAUCCUGGGUGGGCUUUUAAGGUAUAGAUCAAUCAAGUUCUUGCUUCUGUAAAUCACAAAUUGUUAAGUGUUUGAUAUUUUAUUAACGAAAAUGCCAAUUCCUCUAGGAAAUGAGUAAUGGGACGACAAGAAAAGUUGCAGACAGGCGACUGGAAGGGGCAGUGGAGGAAGAGGAGCUAGAAAGAGCAUUGAAAACUGGCUUUUGGUGCAUUCAAGAUGAGGUUUUCAUGAGGCCUUCAAUGGGGGAAGUGGUGAAGAUGUUGGAAGGAUCACUUGAAAUCAACACACCGCCAAUGCCACAGACAGUUCUGGAGCUCAUGGAGGAGGGCUUGGACAAUGUAUACAGAGCCAUGAAGAGAGAGUUCAACCAGUCCAGCUUCUUCACCAUCAAUAAUAGUACCCAUCCUUCAUCAAGGGCUACAUGUAGUUAUUCCACAAUGUCACCUAGAUAGCAAAGGAGAAAUGGAACAAAUUUUGUUGUUGUCCCGGAAUUUUAUCACCUUGAUAAAUACUGUCCAGAAACAUAAUUCUUAUUGAUCAAUUGUUACCAUACAUACUAAUGGGCAAUGAAAUUAGUAGAGAACUUUGCAUAGGUUGAGGUACGAAAAUCUGUCUUUUAAAGGAGAUUUAAGCCAUUUCUGGUUUGACAAUUUGAGAAAUUGGUGUACUUGACUUCUCUUUCAUUUGUCCCCGCAAGGAUACGAUAGUCGGCCAAGUGAUUUGUUGCAUAGCUCACAUCAAUAUGCAUAAAGCAUAGAACUUAAGGCUUCACAAAGAAAAGUCUUUUUUUGCCAAGAAAAAAAAAAAAAGAAGAAAGGAAGAAGAUAACUAAAAAAUGUCUGAAGUUACAUGACAUUAAGAGUGUGAGUCAAAAGACUCAUCGUAAAGUUUAAAAUCUUCAACAAUUUCAAAAGAAUUCAAUCUAGCUCUUUAAUUUUUAUAAGCUAAAUCCCAUUGACAUAAAUGAUAUUUAAUACUUCUCAAUUCCCAUAAUUGUAACUACAAAUUCAAUAAUCCAUUAUGCCAACUUUCAUAUAUAACCAUAAUGUUGGUAGCUAGUUUACAUUGAUAACUUUGUUCCAAACUUGUUGGAUCUAACUCUAAUAUUUAAUUACUUCAUGUGACUUACAUUGGACUUGAAAACUUGAUAUUAUUAUCAAUUCCUCCUUAAGGUCAUUCUGGUAACUAUGAUUAAGUUUGUUCGGAUGAAUAAUGACAUCGAAAGGUAUAUGCUGGUUUUUAUUAGAUGAUAUGAAAAUAAUAGGGAAAAAAAGAAAAAAAGAAUCGGAUUUGGAUUGGCAAUCAAGUGAUCCCUAUGAGUGCUUAAGUGCUCAAAACCACUUUACAUAAUUUUUUACUAAUUUUCUUAUUCAAUUUUUUCAUGAUAUUUUUCCGCUACAAUUUUUAAGAUUAUGAUUACACCUUAUGUUAUUGAUUUGAUAUAUGUUUUUUAGAGCUAGAUGCUAUUAUUCUCUAAGAGCCCCAUCGUGGAUUAAGUUUAGUUUGUGGUGAUUUCUUUCAUUAAGGAAUACACUCUCUCUCUCUCUCUCUCUAAUUGGGAAAUAUCAUGGUGGAUAUUGAAGUGACAUAUGGGAGAGUUUGUGGUGAUUUCUUUCAUUAAGGAAUACUCUCUCUCUCUCUCUCUCUAAUUGGGAAACAUCAUCGAUAUGUUGGUGGACAUUGAAGUGACAUAAGGGGAGAUGGAUAGAUAUUGAAGUGACAUAUAGGGGAGAUAUAUCCAUCUACCGAAGUUUAGGUUAUUUUUAAAAAAAUUGAUAUUUUUGCCAUUCACAUAUUUAAGAGAAUAAAAUAUAAAAGAGUUAAAUAUCUUAAUCCUCGUAAAAUUGAAAUUUCAACUUUUGACAUGUCAAAUUACAAAAUUAUAAAACACAUUAAAUUUUGAUAUGCCUUAGAAAAAACAUAUUUAAUUCAUUUUUUUAAUUUUCUUUGUUAUCUUAUUAAUUAAGUUAGCAAAUUACAUUAAAAAUCAAAUAACAAUGGAUCAAUUAAAAGAUAUAACACUAUGUUCGGUUGUCUAAGAUUUGAAAGUAAUGACAACAAAAAGAAAACAAAGAAAAAAAUAAAAAGAAAAAUAAAAAUACAUUUAAAAUUAAUAAAUUAUUUUUACAUCUUAAUAAAUUAUUUUUACAUAAUUCUUUAUUCAUUUCACUUAUUUAUACUCUUUUAUAUAAAAAUUAAAUAUUUUUAAAAAUAUAUAAAUUCUUAAUUAAUUUUAAUUAUAUUUGAUUUUUCUUUACACUUUUUUAGAGUUAAUUUUGUUUACCUUCUAGAGCUUUGGGUUAAAUAUAUUUAGUCACCUUGAGUUUAAAAUUUUAUCAAAUAUCUUUUUUUUCUUUUUUUUUUGAGUUAGAUGUAGGGGCAUAACUUGAGCAGAUAGGCCCUACUCAACCUGAUGUUUGAAUAACUUGAACAAUUAUUUUCAAUACUUGAGUUGUGAUAGAUUAAAUAUUUUCAAUUUGUGCUCAAUUUGGAUGACUAAAGAUUCAAACAACUCAAACCUAAUCCAAAUCAGAUUUAAUAUUUUUAUAAUAUUUAUAAUAUAAAAUAUAAAAUAUUAUUAUUACAUAUCAUAUCUUGAAAUUUUGUUCUAUUAACUAUUUAAAUUUUGACAUAAAUAUAUGAGUUUAUUACACUUUACCCCUGUAACUUAUAACUUGUUUCGCACAUUGUCCCAUCAAGUUCAAAAUUGAGUAAUGUACCUUCCAUAUUUAAUAACUGUAUGUAAUGUGCAUUUUUUUUAAAGACAACAUUAUUUUUUGGACGGAAAGGUAUGUGCUCUCUGCAUGAUUGAGGGCAAAAGUGUCUUUUUUCCUUUGCAGCUCCCUCUCUCGAUCGUUACUCCCCUUUGGAACCCCAAAUUGUAGCUCGCUUCUUUUUGACCCCGUUCUUCUUUUCUUCUUUCAAAGCCUCAGAAUGCGAAUCCCAAAAAGUUGCUACUGAAGCCCCAGAUAAUUUCUCAUGUUUAUAGGGUGGAAAUGUUUCUCCAAAUUUCCCUCAAAAAUUGCCUAAAAAUUUCCUAAAAAUUUCCCCAAAAAUUCCCCCAGUUUUCUAAAACAUGAAAACAAAACCCCAACCCUUAUAAAGGAUUAAGGGUACAUUAUUCGAUUUUGUACUUAAGGGGUCAAUGUGUAAAAUACGCUUUAAGUUGAGGGGUAAAAUGUAAUUAACUCUAAAUAUAUAGAAUUUUUUUUUAAAAAAAAAACAUUAUUUGGGUAAAUUUUGAAUUAUGCAAUCGAUUAUUUUCUCUUGAAUAGCCUCAUGAAUCCGAACUCAAUCUAAUUUUUUAUCGUACUUUAGAUAUAUAUAACUCAUUUGUCUUGUCUCGGCCACAUUGUCCCAAUCACAUUCAUAUAAGAAACUUAUGUUUGGGGCUGGUAAUAUUAAAAUAUUAUGAGAUUGGUAACUCAACUUUUGAUUUUUUAAUAUAACUAUUCUAAUCCCAAAAAUAAUAUAGGGUUCAUGCACUUUGAGCUGAACUAUUUUUUAAUGUCCAAUAUGCCAUCUUCUUUCUGCCAGGUCAAACUCCAACAUCUCCUGUGAAAAAAAAAAGGGUCUUCUUCCAUUUCCAGCAUCACCUUCACUAGAUGACCAUAACUCAUCCCAAACUUCUUCACCUCCAUUCGCGGACUCUCCACUGUCGAGUCAACUCGUUUCAUCUCAGUCACCGCCGCGGCUCAUCACCAACGACGACCGAGGAAACCUCGACUCUAUGUACCGCAUCAACGUCUCCCCCGAUCUCGAAACGGUGUCAGAGCCACACUGCAGAACCAGCAUAUCGGGUUUGAGAAUCGGCGUCUCGGCCGACACCAUUCAGACGGAUACGCAUUUGUGGUGCAAGGCGAACCAGACGUAGGAGGUGAGAGGAACCGCUGGAGACAAACGACACCAAAAUUCCUUUCCCAUCUUCCACUCCCUGGUUGUAGGUCUCGUCAUAGGAAACAAACGGCUGAGACUUAGUAAAUUGGGAGAGGAAGCAUGCUAGUUGUAGGUGUGAGAAGUUGCGGGAGAGACAUGGACGAAGGUGGGGGUGGGGGGGAGGGAGAGAGAAAGAGAGAGAGAGAGAGAGAGUCGAAGAGGUUAGGUUUUUUUUUGGAUUUGGGUUUCAAAGGGGGGCAGAGCAGAUGGAAAAUUUUAGGCAAAACGUUUUAUGUUUUUUCAGUUUUUUUAUUUUUUACUUUUUAAAUAUGUGGAGGUUGACUUGUAAUAAGAGAGGGCAUAUUAGGUAUUAAAAAUAGCUCAGCCCAAAGGGCAUGGAACCCAAAAUAUUUUGGGUUCAAUAUUGAAAAAUUAAAAAUGGUAAAAAUGAGUUUUGGUUUUCAUAAUAUUUAGUUAUCACCAUCCCAAAACCUAACUUUCCCAAUUUUCUCUUUCGUGCUUUCUGUUCACUUGCUCCGCAAUUUACGCAAAGACUCUCUUACCAUUGACUUUAUUACAAUUUCUACAAGAAAAUUCGAACUUCAAGACUAAGCAAAAAUCCUAGGAAUCAAGCUGGAAGCUACAAUGCUGUUUCAGGGAAGCACAUGAUAUACAAAUACAACCCUUAUAAGUUACAGCUUCGGCACUGACCAGGAGACUGUAAGUACUGGCCAUGGAUGCAGAAGAAGAAAGGCUAAGUAAAACCCACAUCCAUGGCCAAUUGGUAGAGAUAAACCACAAUCAGGAGAAACGAAUACGCCACGAAGAAACAAAGGCGCAGAAUCUGACAACUGGGUUUGCGGUCGUCCAAGCUUUAAUUCUCAACACAGGGGUGAUCAAUAAGCCAUCCAACAGAUGCGAACACUGGUGGGUGCCAUUCUCUCUCUCCUUAUCCGUCGGUGUGAUUUAUUUCAUCACCAUUUUUGAGGUGUUGAGGAAAUGGUACCUUCUGCUCUACCAUUUGGACGUCAACUACCUGGAGCAAGAACUUAUUCUACUGGAAAUGCAUGGGGGUGCUCCGUCCUGGCGAAAUGAUCAGCCAUUGAAGCCAGAUGUGGUGAAGCUCCUGAGGCGUAAAGCUUAUAUCACGAUACUGAUUUCUGCUAUGCUCGCCUUUCAAGCUCUGAUGCUCCACGCCUGCAGAUCCUUUCUUUGCAGCUGAAAGUAACCAUCUUCCCCUUUAAAUAAAUACUAGAAUAAAAAAAAAAAUUGUUGUUUAUUAUGCCAAAUUUCUCGAUGCCUUUGAAGAGUGUCAUGGGAAAGGCUAUUAAGAUGCAAACUACAUAAUUCAAAAUGCAUUAUAUGCAACGAAAUUAUUUACCAUGAAAUUUAUUUAUAUUGUUUUUCUUUCUAAAGUAUUCAAAAUGCAUGAUAUGCAAUCGAAAAAUUUGAGGGAAAAUAUUACAGAAAGAAAAUAGAGAGAAAAAGUAGAAUAAAAAAAUGAAAAAAAAUAAAAAAUAUAUUUAAAGUCAAUAAAUUAUUUUUAUAUUUUAUUUUAAACUCAUUUUAUUUAUUUUAACUCAUGAUAUAAAAUUAAAUAAUUUUAAAAUAUAUAAAAUUUUAAUUAAUUUUAAUUAUAUUUGAUUUGAGAAACUCAUUUUACUACACAUUUUUUUUUCCCUUUUUCAGUAGUUUUGGCAACCAAACAUUUACCUAAAAUUUUGUUAAUGCAUCUCCCUAGGUGUUUGUGCUCACAUAUUGGGCCCAAGAAUGGGUUCCUGCAACUACCAUCAGUGGGCUGGGCUGCCCAAUCAAUAACAAAAGGGCACUCACCUGGGUCUCAUGGGCCGAAAAAAAUGGAGCCCAUACACAACAGUUUUGAACCCAAACAUAAAUUUCAAGUUCAUAUAUACUUUUAAUCUCGUUUAUUCAUUCAUAUUAGAAAUCUAGAUUUAUAUUAAUUCAUUCAUGUAGAUCUAUAUAUUAGGAAUCAAAUUAGAGUGCAUAGAAACCAAAAUUAAGAGAGAGGAUUAUACCCAAGGAAGUUUUGUGUGAUACGUUGAACCGAAAGUGAUAAAAACUAAGGCUAUGUUUGGUUCCCGGAAAAUUUGAGGGAAAAUGCGAGGGAAAGAAAAUACAAAGGAAAAGUAGAAGGAAAGAAAAAGUGAAGGAAAAUAAAAAAAUAUAUAAAAAUUUGAUAAAUUAUUUUUUUUGUUACUUCAAACUCAUUUUAUUUAUUUUAACUCAUCAAUAUAAAGAUUAAAUAAUUUAAAAAUACAUAAGCUUUUAAUUAGUUUUAAUUAUAUUUGAUUUUCUUUGAUAUUUUUCAUAGGACAACCAAACAUGAGAAAAUCAUUUUCCUUAGCAUUUUUUUUCUUUCCUUUGUACUUUCCGGGAACCAAACAUAGCCUAAGACUAUGUUUAAUUCUCAAAAAGCAAUAAGGAAAGAAAAAAAAUGAAGGAAAAUUAUUUUUUCGUAUUUUAUUUUUCUAUGAAAACCUUGAAAGGAAAUAAAAUAUAAUUAAAAAUUUAUUAUAUAUUUUUAAAUUAUUAAUUUCCAUAUAAAAGAGGAACAAAAUGUCAGAUGAAUUUGAAGUAACAAAUAAAAAUAAUUUAUAAGUUUUAAAUUCAUUUUUUUAUUUUCCUUAAUUCCUUCUUUUACUUUUUCUUUCUAUUUUCUUUCCCUCACAUUUUCUCUUGGAUUUUCUAAGAACCAAACAUAAUAUAAAAAAUAUUUAAUAUAAAAAAACAAAUAAUAUAUAAAAAAACCCAAAUAAUUUGACAUGUGGUAUAUUGUUGCUAGUCAAAGUAAUGGUCGUGGGUGACUUUUAGAAGCCUCCAAUAAGAAAUGGCCAAAAAACCUAUGAGCUCGGCAUUUAUUUGAGUAUCUCGAGGACAAUAUUUUAUUUUUAAUUAUGUGUUUUAAUUCAUUGUUUUUUUUCUUUAAUAUUAUUUUAGAAAUAUGUUUAGAGAUAUGUUAAUUUUAGUGCUUAAAAAGAUUUUGAAAUAUAAAGAUUUUGAUAAUUAAAAAUUCGUUUAAAAAUGAUUUUAGGAAGCAUUUAACCUAUUUAAUCUUUAAAAUUUUUAUAAAAGAGUUGUUUUCAAGUGCUAAAAAAAUUAGAGACAUUUUAUAAAAUUACUAUUAAAUAAAUUCUAAAUAUAAUCGAGUCGUGUGACUAUAAAUUGCUAGACUUUUCCAUGUGAUUAAUCCUUGGAUACUUGGAAUUUGUUUAUGUGGGGUAGAGCUUUUGUGAGUUUGUUUGCAAUUUUCUCAUACUAGAAACAAAUGAAUGGUCAGAGAAAGGAACAUAGAAAAGAGAAGAUUGAAACACCUUCACCUGCUCCGAAGGUUCGUAUGAUCUUCAUGCCAGCCUCCAUGCCUCAUUUUCCCGCUUAUAAAAAAAGGCCACAAAAGACUUGACUGAUCUGAUAAAGCAGGGCCGGAAAAGCGAGCUCGACACGAAGAAACGAAAGCCGGCCAAUGCAGUCCGAGAGAUCACACAGCGAACUGUUCGAGUCUGGGCUUUUGUUUCUUCGUGUCGGUCUUGCUUCUGUCUCCGGCCGGAGGAACAAAAUUGUACAGACAUGGAUGGGAAGAACUCCUGUAAUAUCAAGAGUCCUUCUAUCUUUGGAUUGUUAUAAUAAUAUUAUCUUCAAAACAAAAUUUAUGCAAGUGGGGGUAUAUUUUUUAUUUUUUGUUUUUGAAAAUAGGAAGUUUUAUACAAAAUAUAAAAAAAUCUUAUAUGAAAGAUAGGUAUAAUAUUGUUAUGUUAUUUGAAAACAUUUUUUAAAAUUGACGGAAGUAAAAAAAUUUCAAUUCCAUAAAUUUUUAAAUUUUGAAAAAGUCUUUAAGAAGGGUAGGUAAGAGGAUGCUUGUUAAUGGUUAGAAAAUAGUUUUAUAUGUUUUAGAACAAAAGAAUAAUAAAAAAAAACAUGCUUAAUGAUUAGAAAACAGUUUAUACUCUUAAAAAACAAAAAAUCGGAGUGUUUUUAGAUAAUAUCUUUUAAUUUUUAAAAUUAUUUUUAUUUAUUGAAAAAUAAUCAUACAAAAUGCAGAAUGAUUAUGAGUAAAGUAUUACAUGUGAAACUUAUUUUUAAAAAAUAUUUAAAAACAUAAAAAAAAAGUUAAUAACAGUUCAAGUUUCCAAACAAACUAUUAUUUUACAAAAUAUUAUAUAAGAAUUUUAAAAAAUAGUUUUAAAAAAUACUUUUCGAACACAGUUUAAAUUUUUUUCUUUUUGUAUAAAAAUUCUUAUAUUUUGUAUAAGGGUUUUUAUUUUUAAAAAUAAAAAAAAUAAGAAAUAUAUUCAAAGAUAUUUAAUAAACAAUAAGAAUUCAAAAGAGAAAGCCUUAAAUUUUAUGUUAUUAUUGUAAAAUGAGAAUAAAUGUGACUCAAAUAAUAGUAGGGAUGACUAUGUAUUACUUUAAUAAUAUAUAUAUAUAUAGAGGGGGAGGGGGGAAGAAAUCAAAGAGAAGUGUUGAGAGAAUGAAAGAAAGAGAUAGAGAGAAUGAGAGGAAGAAAAUUUCUUUCUUUUUCUCGGGAUGCUCUUACAUGGGGUAUAAGAAGCCUUUUAUAGGAUUCAUAAUAUGAACUCCCAUUACUCAUCUUAAAGAUGAGUAAAUGGAGUUCAUAAAUGACCAUCAAUGUGGUCAUUUAUCACUUCAUUUACAACAUUCCCCCUUGGAUGACCACCUUAUUAAAAGAAUAUGUCUCAUUAAAACCUUGCUAGUAAAAAAUUUUAUAGGAAAAACCUAGCGAAGGAAAAAGAGUAUAAUAUUCUUUUCUUGGUAUAUUAGGACUGCCUCGUUAAAAACCUUGCCAAUAAAACCCAGUAGGACAAAACCUGGACGAAUGAAAAAAGAGUACAGUAUACUAACACCCUUUUACAAGCAUACUCCCUCUCAUGUCGAUAUCCUUGAGUUGACGCAUUCCAAUCAUAUAUAUUAAUUUCUUGAAUGUUGAGGUUGACAAUGAUUUUGUGAAUAAAUCUGCUAGAUUAUCACUUGAGCGUAUUUGUUGCACAUCAAUUUCACCACUCUUCUAGAGUUCAUGUGUACAAAAGAAUUUUGGUGAAAUGUGUUUAGUUCUAUCUCUUUUAAUAUAACCCCCUAUUAUUUGUGUAAUGCAUGUAGCAUUAUCUUCAAAUAAUAUUGUCGGGUCACCUUUGAUAGAGGAGAGUCCACAUGAUUCCCGAAUAUGCUGGACCAUAGAUCUUAGCCUUAUACAUUGAUGACUUGCUUCAUGAAUUGCCAGUAUUUCUGAAUGAUUUGAUGAUGUGGUCACCAUUAUUUGUUUGACAUCUUUCCAUGAAAUAGUAGUACCAUUGCAAUUAAACACAUACCCUAUUUGUGACCUACCUUUAUGUGGAUCUGAAAGAUAUCCUGCAUCUGCAUAUCCAAGCAAUUGUUGCUUUGAUUCCGUUGAGUAAAAUAAACCCAUAUCAAUAGUUCCGCAAAGAUAACAUAAUAUAUGUUUGAUACCAUUUCAAUGUCUUCGAGUUGGAGUGGAACUGUAUCUUGCUAAUAAAUUGACAGAAAAAGCAAUGUCUGGACGUGUACAAUUGGCAAGAUACAUAAGUGCACCAAUAGUACUAAGAUAUGGUACUUCAGGACCAAGUAACUCUUCAUUUUUUUCGCAAGGACGAAAUGAGUCAUUUUUCACAUCAAGUGAUCGGACAACCAUUGGAGAACUUAAAUGAUGCGCUCUAUUCAUAUAAAAGCGCUUCAAAAAUUUCUUAAUGUAUGUUGAUUGAUGUACUAAAACUCAAUUUGGAAAAUGCUCGAUCUGCAGGCCGAGAUAAAAUUUUGUUUUUCCAAGAUCUUUCAUCUCAAAUUCCUUUUUCAAGUAAUUUGUUGUUCUUGUGAGUUCUUCAGGAGUUCCAACAAGAUUUAAGUCAUCGACAUACACUGUAAUAAUUGCAAAUCCGAUUUCUGAUUUCUUAAUGAAGAUGCAUGGGCAUGUAGGGUUAUUCACAUAUCUUUUUUUUUAGCAAAUAUUCGCUAAGACGAUUGUACCACAUGCGUCCAAAUUGCUUUAAUCCAUACAAGGAUCGUUGUAACUUGAUUUAGUACAUGCUAUGAGACUUUGUACUAUUUUCUCCAGGCAAUUUAAAUCCUUUAGGGAUUUUCAUGUAUAUAUCAUUAUCCAUGGAUUCGUAUAAAUAUGCUGUAAUAACAUCCAUGAGAUGCAUAUCCAAUCCUUCUGAGACUGCCAAACUAAUUAAGAAACGAAAUGUGAUUGCAUCCAUGACAGGAGAAUAUGUUUUCUCGUAGUCAAUACUAGGUCUCUACGAGAAACCUUGUGCUACUAAUCGCGCUUUAUAUUUUAUGAUAUCAUUAUUCUCAUUGCGCUUUCGUACAAAUACCCAUUUGUACCCAAUAGGCUUUACAUCCUCAGGUGUUUGGACUACAGGUCCAAAAACUUCUCGUUUUGUUAACGAGUUUAACUCUGCUUGUAUAGUUUCUUUCCAUUUUAGCCAAUCAUUUCUAUGUCGACAUUCUUCCAUAUUUCGUAGUUCGGGAUUUUCAUCAUUUCUUAUGACUUCAUAGGCCACUUGGAAAGCAAAAAUAUUGUUAAUAACAAUAUUAUUUUGAUCCCAUUUUUCUCCCGUGUGUACAUAACUUACUAAGAUCUCACAAUUUUCAGGUACCUAUGCCUCUUUAGGGGCUUCUCGUUCAAUAUGUGGCUCUUCAUGGGCUUCUUGUUCAAUAUGUACCUCUUCAGGGGCUUUCUGUAUUAUUUAUGCCUCUUCUAGGGUUAUAAAUUUAUCAAUUUUAAAUUGAUCAGUCAUUUUGAUGACCUCUUCUAGAGUGCCAAGUUUUUCUUGGGUUCUCAUUUCUGGGAAGAUACAUUCUUUGAGCCAACAAGUUUACCACAUUUCAGGCGUAUCUUAGAUUCAUUUGUUAACUGUCCUACAGGGACAUCGAUCUGUGCUGAGUAUUUGCAGCCGGGAUAUAUGACUUUGUCACUUUCUUUGUAUUAAUGAAUGCAUAUGGUAAUUGAUUUGCAAGAUUUUGCAAAUGAAUGAUCCUUUGGAAGAUGGGUCAUAGUAGAUGCCUUCCAACUAAUUUCUCAUCGUUCUUUAGAAAUUGACUUUUCUCCCCUCUAAUGACUGGAAAACACUCUCAUUAAAAUGACAAUCCGCAAAGCGGGCAGUAAAAACAUCACCUGUUAAAGGUUCAAGAUAUCUUAUGAUAGAUGGAGAAUCAAAACCUACAUAAAUCCCAAGUCUUCGUUGGGAACCCAUUUUAGUGCGUUGUGUAGGUGCAAUUAGUACAUAAACUGCACAACCAAAGAUUUGUAAGUGAGAGAUAUUUGGUUGUUUUCCAAGCACAAGUUGUGAAGGGGAGUAUUCAUGGUAAGUUGUAGGUCAAAUACGGAUUAAAGCUGCAGCAUGCAUAAUAGCAUGUCCCUAGGCAGAAGUAGGUAAUUUGGUUCUCAUUAGUAAUGGUCGAGCUAUUAAUUGGAGAUGUUUGAUGAAGGAUUCUGCUAAACCAUUUUGGGUAUGAGUAUGAGCAACAAGAUGCUCAAUAUUUAUCCUUAUUGACAUGCAAUAGUCAAUGAAUGUUUGAGAAGUAAAUUCGCCAGCAUUAUCAAGACGUAUUGUCUUAAUUGGAUAAUCUAGAAAUUGUGCUCGUAAUCUGAUUAUUUGUGCAAGGAGUCUAGCAAAGGCAACGUUACGUGUAGAAAGGAGACAAACAUGUGACCACCUAGUAGAAGCAUAUAUUAAGAUCAUAAAAUAACGGAAUGGUCCACAUGGUGGAUGGAUAGACCCACAUAUGUCCCUAUGUAUUCUUUCUAAAAAGACUGGUGACUCAGAUUGACUUUAGUAAAAGAUGGUCUCAUUAUCAAUUUACCUUGUGAGCAGGCAACACAUGAGUAUUCAUUGGGUGAAAGAAUCUUCUAGUUCUUUAGUGGAUGUGCAUGUGAGUGUUCGAUUAUUCGACGCAUCAUUGAAGACCCUGGGUGACCUAGCCUGUCAUGCCAAAGGACAAAAACUUUUGGGUCGUUGAACUUCUGGUUCACGACAACAUAUGAUUCAAUAGGCUUUAUAGUUGUAUGAUACAACCCAGAUGAGAAAUUCGAGAGUUUUUCCAUUAUAAGCUUCUGGCCAGAUAUAAUGGAAGUAAUGUAAAUAUAUUCUAUAUUAUCUUCAUUCAUAGUUUCAAUAUGAUAUCCAUUUUUGCGGAUAUCUUUAAAACUGAGCAAAUUUCUUCUGGAUUUGCUAGAAUAUAAAGCGUCAUUUAUAUGGAAUCUAGUUCCAUUUGGCAACGUUAUGUUUGCUCUUCCAGAACCUUCAACUAAGUUUGUAGUACCAGAUAUGGUACUUACAUUAGCUUUUAUUAAUGUCAAUUCAAGAAAAUAUCUUUUAUCUAGAAGAAUUGUAUGCGUGGUCGCACAGUCUACGAGACAUACAUCAUCCUCAUUCAUCUUGAGACCAAAUAACACAUGGAUUUCAGAUAUAACAAAAUAAAACAAGGCAUAAUGUAAAUAACAAAGUAAAUCAGAUGUAAAUAUAAGACAUAAUAAUAUAUUAUUUCAUAUAUAAAGUAACAUCAAUCAAUGUUAAUUUUCUCAUCAUUUAUCAAAUGGUCUGUUUUUUCAUUGGGACCUCCAAAGAAAUCAAUGUUAUAGUAGGUUAGGUCUAAUCCAUCACCAUCGGUAAAGUUCAUCUCUAUCUCUUUUCUUUUUGCUUUUAUUGAUGCUUGGUAAAGGUCGACUAAAUGUUUGGGCAUACGACAGGUACGCGACCAAUGCCCCUUCAUACCACAUCUAUAACAAUUAUUCUCGUGGUUCUUAGGAGGUUUAUCUUGUAAAUACUUCCCAUUUUAUUGUAUUGUCUCAGUAUUGUUCCAUUUCUGGUGGUGCAAUGAGGCUUUCAUUUUCUGAGAAUUAUUACUAUAAGAACCAUGGUAUCGGGGAUUUCUUCCACGAUCACGACCACGUCCACGAGUUUGGGACGAUAUUGCAUUGUUCAGAUCUAGUUGGACGAGAUUGGUGAUUUCUCAUCAAAAUCUCAUUAUUUUGUUUAGCAACAAGAAGACAUGAUAUUAAUUCAGAAUAUUUUGUAAAUCUACGCUCUCGUUAUUGCUGCUACAAGAGCACAUUCGAGGUAUGAAACGUAGUAAAAGUUUUCUCUAACAUGUCUUCUUCUGUGAUUUUUUCUCCACACAGCUUUAAUUGAGAGUUGAUUUUGAAAAGUGCGGAGUUGUAUUCACUAACAGUUUUAAAAUCUUGCAACCUUAGGUGCAUUCAAUCAUAUCGAGCUUUUGGGAGAAUCACAGUUUUCUGGUGGUCAUAUAUUUCCUUCAAAUUACUCCAUAGAGUAAAAAAGUCCUUUACCAUAAGAUACUCAUUUUUUAAAGCUUCAUGGAAGUGAUGGCGAAGGAAAAUCAAUGCUUUUGCGCGAUUCUGCAGGGAUGCUUGAUUUCUUUCUUUGAUUGUAGCUCCAAGGUUCAUUGCAUCAAGAUGUAAUUCAGCAUCAAGGAUCCAAGAUGGAUAGUUCUUUCCCAAAAUGUCAAGUGCCACAAAUUCGAGUUUUGUGAUAGUCGACAUUGUCAAAUAACUUCAUAUAUAUGACAAAACAAUAUUAUUAGAAUCAAUUAUAAUAACUUGAUAGCAUUGGUAUAACUUUGAUUAUAAACAAAAUCAAAUAAUUUGUUUAUAACUUUUAACAAUAUGUAACAAAACAAAUCAACAAUAAUAUAACUAUGUAAAAUUUUAUCCUAUAUAAAUAACUUCAGGUUUAAGAUACGAGAAUUACCUUCAAAGCAAUUCGUGCUGAUAACGUGUUGUAAAAGGAGAAUAAAUGUGACUCAAAUAAUAGUAGGGAUGACUAUGUAUUACUUUAAUAAUAUAUAUAUAUAUAUAUAUAGAGGGAGGAGGAGGAGGAGGAGGAGGAGGAGGGGGGAGGGGGGGGGGGGGGGACCAAAACAAAAAAAAAUGUUGGGAAAAUGAAAAAAAAAAAGAGAAAGAAUGGGAGGAAAAAAAUUUUUUUUUUUUUUUCAGGAUGCUCUAACAUGGGGGGGAAAAAGCCUUUUAUAGGUUUUCUAAUAAGAACUCCCCUUACUCCUCUUAAAAAUGAGUAAAUGGAGUUCAUAAAAGACCCUCAAUGUGGUCCUUCCUCACUUCCUUUUCAACAAUUAUUAAUUUUUUGUAUUACUUAAAAGGGNNNNNNNNNNNNNNNNNNNNNNNNNNNNNNNNNNNNNNNNNNNNNNNNNNNNNNNNNNNNNNNNNNNNNNNNNNNNNNNNNNNNNNNNNNNNNNNNNNNNGGGAGGGGGGGGGGGGGGGACGAAAUCAAAGAGAAGUGUUGAGAAAAUGAAAGAAAAAGAGAGAGAGAAUGAGAGGAAGAAAAUUUCUUUCUUUUUCUCAGGAUGCUCUAACAUGGGGUGUAAGAAGCCUUUUAUAGGUUUCAUAAUAUGAACUCCCAUUACUCAUCUUAAAGAUGAGUAAAUGGAGUUCAUAAAUGACCAUCAAUGUGGUCAUUCAUCACUUCAUUUACAACAGUUAUUAAUUUGUUGUAUUACUUAGAGGGGGUGAAUGAAUUGAAAGCACUAUGGAGGUAAGCUUUUUAGUCUUUUCACCUUAUCCUUUUUAUACAUAAUGUCUCCAUCAAUGAUGUUCAGUAUAUUCCUUAUUUUUGUUUUACUCAAGUGUUCCUGUAUUGUAGCCCUCUCAAGACUCUUCCUCUUCACUCCAAACAAGUUAAUUGUCUUCAUAUCAAAGUAACAUAAGUUGAUUUUCUUAGAGGGCUAAUGCUACUUAUGUGAUUAUUUCUUUUACAAAAGUUGCAAAUAGUACUAUUUGAGGAUUCCUUGACAAAAUAAUUUUUAAAUUUUAAUUUUUUUAUUUUUUAUUUUUAUAGAGCUUGUAUCCUAAUCCCUUUAUGCCAAAGAUUAUUUUUUUACUUGCCAAAAUUAUCAAAAUUCUUGUCCCCAUUUGAGAAUUUUGAAAGAGAAGAGAUUAACUAAUGAAUUUUCUUUUCAAGUAAGUAUAUAUUUUAUUCCAAGGAAAACCUUAGCCUUUUUCAGAUAUUUUAAACUCCCAUUUUAAGUUAUUAAUUUCAACUUGAAGAGAGAUGAUUUUCUUUUUAAGAUAAGCCUGAAAGUUAUUUGAUCUAGUUUAGGUAACACCUAGAGGAGUUGAAUGGGUGUUUAAAAUUUUCUGCUUAAAAAUGAAUUAUUUUAUAAUCAUAUAACAAACAUUUUUUCAAUUUAGGAAAGCCUAAAAACACUCAAUACAAAAACAUAAGAUUUUUAUAUGGAAAACCACCCAUAUCAUGUGCGGAUGUAAAAACGACAAAGUCAGACUUUUAAUCAUUAAUUAACUAUUUGAAAGUAUUAUACAUGGUUUUAGUUGGUGGAAGCUAUCGUUAAGUCUUAUUACCCAACACCUACAAUGCACUUCACAUUUGCGAUAUAGCACUACAUGUGCUCUUAGUGGAUCUAACCUCAGUGCUUGAGAGGAUGUAGAUCUCCUUUUCAAUCCAACAUAAGCGAAAACAACAUUCCUUAAGAGUUUUAGGAAUAAGAUGACGAAUUUGGUUUUUCAAAAAAUUUGCAUCAAACCAAAAACCUUUUUAGGUAAAACAUUUAUAGGCAUAAGAAGCUAGCGGACUGGAUCUACAAUUUUCCAAAAUAAGACCUUAAAAAAAUUUAGAAAAUCAAAGUUCCAAAAACUUUGGAGAAUUCUAUCAUGGGUGUUUGAGUGCUCAUGGGAGCACUUGAGUGCUUAUGGAGAUUUUUUAAACUUUUUAAAAAUUCUUUUAGCUCAGUUUUAAAACCCUUAGUUCGCACUAUGCCUUAACAAACACCAAUUUGUCAUUCUUGAACCUUUUGAUUUUUAGUUGUGCCAUCUCGAUUGAUCACAUAACAACUUUGAGUCUUCAAUGAAGAGUAAAACACAAUUAGAAAGAUUCUAAACUAGAAUGAAAGGAACAAAAUUGUUGAUCUUAAAUUAUAUAGCCUAAUAUACCAACAAUCUCCUAUGAUAAUUUUAUGAAAAAAAAUACAAAUUACAUAAACCCCCUAAUACUCUUUAAUGGAGUUUAAGAAUUUCUCAAUAACUCUCGUCUAAACCAAAUCAUUCUUGAACAUACAGAUGAUGAUAAAUCACAUCUAAAAGUGGGCAAUACCCCACUACUUGUGACCUGCACACACAAACCAACCAAGUACCCAAGUAAAACAAUGUGUGAGAGAAAACACAACUCAAAUUCUAUCAAAUCAAGGUAAGAGUAGAUGGAUGUGAGUCAUGCAUACAAUGGAUAUCUAAUCAAUAGUAUCAAUAAAUUGUCUCCCCGUUUUUGUCGCAAAAAUGACAAAGAAGGAAUAAACAAUGAAUGCACAUAAGAGAAAGAGAAAUAAUUAAGCAAAAGAACUUCAACUUAUUUUUAGAAUGCUUCUUUCUUGGUAAGAUCUCUUAAGAAACCCUUCUUGAAAAUAGAAUUUUUUUUUUGUUUUGUUUUUUAUGAUGGAAAAUUGCUUUCUACCUUAAAAACUAUAUUUGGUAAAAUUUCACUAAAAUAAGUUUUUGAAAAUAGGUUAUUUUUUUGGAACAAAAGCUUUUAAAUAUCUAUAUAUAUAUAUAUAUAUAUUGUAGAAUAUUUCAAGAAAUAGUUGAAAAUAUGAAAAAUGUUUCGAGAACCUUUGUAUUUUAGAUUUGUGCACUUCAAUUUCAUGAACAAUAUUAAACUAAGAAAACUGUUUUUUAUAUACUAAUUUCUAAAUAAAAUUUUGUUGCUGGAAAUAACUAAAAUUUAUUUUAAAAAACUAUUUUUUAAGAAUUAUUUUUGAAAACGUUGCUAAAAAGACAAAAGUCCUUGGUCAUUUUUUUUUUCUUUUAUAUUUUUAUCUUUAUGUAAGAGGCCGGUCUUUUUUUUUUUUUUAAUGUUCCAUAAUCCUUGUGAUAUUGUAACGUGUAAUUCAUUUAUUUGACUUCAAAAGUUAAGAAAUAAUGAACCUUUCAUUAUUGUAGUUUGUCUUGUAGUAAGAGACUUAAAAAUCCAUGUACAAGAGGUCUUCGUUUCUUAAGUCAAGUCAACAAAAUGGAGGUGGAAGAAAUAAUGAACUUUCAUUAUUGUAGUUUGUCUUGCUAAAAGCCAUGUAUAACGGGUCUUCUUUUCUUAAGUCAAGUCAAUAAAUCAAAUUAAAAGAAAUAAUAAACUUUUAUUAUUGUAUUUUAUUUUGUAGCAAGAGACUUAAAAAACCAUGUAUAACAAGUCUUCCUUUCUUAAGUCAAGUCAAUAAAUCAAAUUAAAAGAAAUAAUAAAUUUUCAUUAUUGUACUUUGUUCUUGUAGCAAGAGACUUAAAAAUCCAUGUAAGAGGUCUUCAUUUCUUAAGUCAAGUCAAGUCAAUAAAUCGAAUCGGAAGUUUUUCCUUUUUUUUUUUUUUAAACCAACUUCUACUAUUACUUUUAUUAGUUAUUUUGAUCAUUUGAUUAAAUAUUGAAUUAUUAUUAUUUUUUAAAAAUUUUCAAGUACAAACCAUUUCAUGUUAAAAAAUUUAAAGUGGAUGUAACUUUCUUUUCAAGUUAAGAUAUCUUGAUUAAGGGAUAAAUAAUGGAUUGCAAUAUUUCAACUUUAAUUAAGUUAAUUUAUCAAUAUUCAAAUUAAGUUGGAGAAAAAAAAAAAAAAAAAGACAACACCUCAAUUUUAGUUUUCCAUUACACAUGAUUAUUUCUUUUUCUUCUUUUUCCUUUGCUUCUUUAACACGCAAUGAGAGCUCUAGUCAUCAUACCUUUCAAGACUCUAAACUUACAAAAAUUUUCAGUCUUUUCAUCGUAUCUUUUAAAAUUCUUGACACUCAUAAAGUAUUUAAGACUUAAUUUUAAUAAAUUCAUAUUUUUACAACUAUAACUAAGAGCUUUGACCUAUUAAAAAAAUGAAUAAAAAAUACUUUGCAAGACAUUAAAAGUUCAUAAUUAUUUCUUUUACCUUAAAUGUAGUUGUUAUGUGUUUGCUAGUUCACAUAUUUGAGCGUGGACCGUGGCGACCUGCAGACCCGGAGGGGCAGCGUUGUCUAUCAGAUUUUAGAAAAUUCGUGCAACUAGCCAUAUGGUUUUGGACUAAAAUAAAAAAUAAGACUUUAUUUUUGUUAUUUCUUUUAUCAAGAUAUCUUAAUUAAUAAUUCAAAAAUGUUAAUAAUAAAUUAUAAAAGAGAUUUUUGCUACUCUUCGAAAUUAUAAAAAAGUUUAUACACUCAUAAAACAAAUAAUUAAAUGUAUCUUCUAAUAAAUAAAUUUUUAUUAAAAUAAAUAAAUAUAUAUCUACUUUGACUUUAUUAACAUGAAGUAAAUUGUAGGUAUCUUUAAGUUAGAUUUCUUAUUGAUUAAAGAAAAAGACCAUUCAAGGUUUAGCUAGAUGGAAAAAAAAAUUUUAUUUAUUAGAAAAUUCAAUUUUUUUUAUUGAUGAAUCAUUGAUAAUGAUAUAUAAAAAUAAUUUAUAUAUCAUAUAUUAAUAUUACUUUAUAAAUAUUUUUUAGUUUUUCUUUUUUAAUCAUAAAUUUAAUUUAUAAUUAAAAAAAUUAUUUUAUAAAAAAAAAAAAAUUUAUGAUAUAUCGGAUAUACAUAUCUUAUAUCUUAGUAUAAAAUUAACAUAUCUCGUGUAAAAAAAAAUAAAAAAGAGUGAAUAAUAUAUUUCACCACUUAUACUAUCUCAUCAUUAAUUAAAUAUAAAAUUUAAUGUGAUAUCUUCUCUUUUAUCCUAUAUGAUGUUAUAUUUGGUCAAUCAAACAUAACCUAUAAAACUAAAAUUAUAGAAAUGAAAUGCAAGAGACCUUACUGAAAAAUUGAAAGUAAAAUUAUUGAUUUUUGAAAGUAAAUAUUGAUAAUAUUAUAAAAUUUUCAUUAACAUAAAUUAAAAAAUUAAAGGAAAAAAAAACAUAACACUAUCCUCACAAUUCCGUGAUAUUGUUUUUUUCAUAUUAGAAAUCCUUAUAAUCAACUUUCCUGUUUUAAAAAUAAUUUUUAUUACUAAUUUAGAUUAAAAAAAAAAAAAAAAAACCUUUCAACCAACCACACAUGUGACACAUGGUGGUUGUUUUUGAAUUUCAAUAAAAGAUUUUAUAAUUAUUAAGAAAAGAAAAAAAUGUUAAGAAAAAUGAUUAUUUUUAUUUGAUUUUAUUAUGAAAUAUAUGAAAGUAAAAAUAUAUAAUUAAAAUUAAUAAAAAACUAAUAUAUUUUAAAAUUAUUUAAUUUUUAUUUUUAAAAAUUAAAUAAAUAAAAUAAAAUUAAAAAUAAUUUAUUAAUUUUAAAUUUAUUUUUUAUUUCUCUCUCACUUGUUCUUUAAGACGUGUUGCGUGUAAAAUACCAUAAAACAAGUCAUAUCACCAUGCUCAAGAUUUCAACAUGGUAGGUGUAGGUUUUGAAGACUUUUCCAUGUGAUUAACACUUGGAUACCUGAAUUUUCUUUGGGUGGGGUUGGGCUUCUGUAAGUUUCUCUGCAAUUUUCUCCUACUUGGAAACAAAGGAAUGGUCAAAGAGAGGAACUCAGUGAAGAGAAGAUUGAAACGGACUGGAUACACCCUCGCCUGCUUCGAAGGUUGGUAUGAUCUUCACGGUUGGUAGGCCUUCUCAAGUCUCCAUGCAUGCCUCAUUUUUCCCAUAUGAUAAAUCAAUGGUCGGAAGAGCGAGCUUAACACGAACAAACAUGAUAAAAUCAUUAAAUUUUUGGAAUAAUAAUAUGAUGAAGUUAAUAAAUGAUAAGGAUUAGGAAGAUGUUUAAUGAAAUUUUAAAUUAAUAAUAAUUAGAUGUAUUUAACCUAAACUUUUGGAGAGAUUAAUGAAAUUAAUCAUAUAAAAAUUUCUUUAAUUUUAAUUUUAGAAUAAAUAUUAACAAUAUUUUUUUCAAAUAUAAAUAAUAAUAUUUGGAAAACAUCAUCAGUAAAUUGCCUUUUCAAUUUUUUCUCUAAUUGUCAUUUUAAAUGAAUAUUAAAAUCCUUUUAGUAAAAUUUAUGAAUUUAGUAAAAUAUUAAUAUCUAUAUUUUAUAAUUUUUAAUAAAGUUUUAUCAUUUUUAAUAUAAAAAAAAUUAUAUAAGUUGUGUUUGUCUUAUUAGUAUCACUAUUUACAAAAUUUAUCUUUAUAUUAUUUAUUUUAAAAAUUAUUAUUUAUUAAGAAUCAUUUUUAUAAAAGGUAAAACAUAAUUAUCAUAUAAAUAUAAAUUAAAAGUGGAGGUUAUAUUUGUUAAUUAUUUUUAAAAAGGGAUUUCAAAACAUUACUUCUCCAAAAAUAACAAUAAUAAUAAUAUAAACACAAUAUUGACUCAAAAUAUUAUGUGAAUGAAAAACUUAAAAAUAAUAUAUAUUUGUUUUUUAAAAAAUAUUUUGUCAUAAUUAAAGGUCAUCUACUCAACAUGUUGGUGGGAAUGGUAUAUAAGUCAAUGCCUGCUUUGCUCACAAAUCAAAAACCAAAACUUGCUAAUCCUUGUUAUUACACACUAUCCUUGCUCUGUGUUGAACAUGGCUACAAGCCCCUUUCGAUAUUUUAUUUCCCUUUUUCUGCUUUUGCUCUGUUUCGAAGCCUGUUUGAGGGUGGGUGAUGCUAAAGUUGGGUGCAGAGAGAGGGAGAGGCAAGCUCUCCUUCACUUCAAACAAGGUGUUGUCGAUGACGAUGGAGUGCUUUCUUCAUGGGGGAAUGGGGAAGACAAAAGAGAUUGUUGCAAAUGGAGAGGAGUCAAGUGUAACAACCAGACGGGUCAUGUGAUCAGGCUUGAUCUUCAUGCCCAAUCUUUGGGAGGUAAGAUUGGUCCUUCAUUGGCAGAGUUGCAGCACUUGAAGCAUUUGAACCUCAGCUCGAAUGAUUUUGAAGGUAAUUAUAUACAUAUAUACCUUGUGAAAAUUCAUCAGUUUGUCUCAGCAGAAUAUAAUUCUCUCUUUUCCCAAUUUUACAGGAAUUCUUCCCACUCAACUCGGUAAUCUUUCCAACUUGCAAUCCCUUGAUCUUGGCUAUAAUUAUGGGGAUAUGACCUGUGGAAACCUUGACUGGCUUUGUCACCUUCCUUUCUUAACACACCUUGACUUGAGUUGGGUUAAUCUUAGUAAAGCAAUCCAUUGGCCCCAAGCAAUUAAUAAAAUGCCUUCCCUAACUGAGUUAUACUUGAUUGAUACUCAGCUUCCUUCGAUUAUUCCAACAAUAUCCAUUUCCCAUAUUAAUUCUUCUACUUCUCUUGCUGUGCUUCAUCUCCCCUCGAAUGGUCUCACUUCUUCAAUAUACCCAUGGUUGUUCAACUUCAGUAGCAGCCUUGUUCAUCUUGACCUCUCUUGGAAUGAUCUAAAUGGUUCAACUCCGGAUGCUUUUGGAAACAUGACUACUCUGGCAUAUCUUGAUCUCUCUUCGAACGAGCUACGUGGUUCAAUUCCGGAUGCUUUUGGAAACAUGACUACUCUGGCAUAUCUUGAUCUCUCUUGGAACAAGCUACGUGGUUCAAUUCCGGAUGCUUUUGGAAACAUGACUAGUCUGGCAUAUCUUGAUCUCUCUUUGAAUGAACUUGAAGGUGAGAUUCCAAAAUCCUUGACAGAUUUAUGUAAUUUACAGGAAUUAUGGUUGUCUCAGAACAAUCUCACUGGACUGAAGGAAAAAGAUUAUCUGGCCUGCCCUAAUAACACAUUAGAGGUUUUAGAUUUAUCUUAUAAUCAAUUGAAAGGGUCAUUUCCCAAUCUUUCUGGAUUUUCACAGUUGAGAGAAUUAUUUCUUGAUUUCAAUCAACUAAAGGGAACUUUACAUGAAAGUAUUGGACAACUAGCUCAACUUCAACUGUUGUCCAUUCCUUCAAAUUCAUUGCGAGGCACUGUCUCCGCAAACCACCUUUUUGGUCUCUCCAACCUGUCUUACUUAGACUUAUCUUUCAACUCCCUUACAUUCAACAUAAGCCUUGAGCAAGUUCCCCAGUUUCGAGCCUCAAGUAUACUAUUGGCCUCUUGCAAAUUAGGCCCACGUUUUCCUAAUUGGCUUCAAACUCAAGAAGUUUUGAGCGAACUUGAUAUCUCUGCUUCUGGAAUUUCAGAUGUCAUUCCCAAUUGGUUUUGGAAUUUAACUUCAGAUUUAAAUUGGUUAAACAUUUCCAACAAUCACAUCUCGGGCACUUUGCCCAAUUUACAAGCAAGGUCUUAUUUGGGAAUGGAUAUGAGUUCAAAUUGCUUGGAAGGUUCAAUACCACAAUCUGUUUUCAAUGCUAGAUGGUUGGAUCUCUCCAAGAACUUGUUUUCAGGCUCAAUUUCUUUAUCGUGUGGGACUCCUAAUCAGCCUAGUUGGGGUUUGUCUCAUCUUGACCUCUCAAAUAAUCGACUAUCAGGAGAACUACCCAAUUGUUGGGAGCAGUGGAAAGAUUUAAUUGUUCUUGAUUUGGCAAAUAAUAAUUUUUCUGGGAAAAUUAAAAAUUCGAUUGGCUUGUUACAUCAGAUGCAAACAUUGCAUUUAUGUAACAAUAGUUUUACUGGAGCACUGCCUUCGUCCUUAAAGAACUGCAGAGCUUUGCGUCUUAUAGAUUUGGGAAAAAAUAAAUUGUCAGGAAAAAUAACCGCAUGGAUGGGAGGAAGCCUGUCAGAUUUGAUCGUUCUCAACCUAAGAUCUAAUGAAUUUAAUGGAAGCAUACCUUCAAGUCUUUGUCAACUGAAACAGAUUCAAAUGUUGGACCUCUCUAGCAACAAUCUAUCAGGAAAGAUACCAAAAUGUCUCAAAAAUUUAACUGCCAUGGCUCAAAAAGGAAGUCCGGUCCUUUCUUACGAAACAAUUUACAAUUUGAGUAUCCCAUAUCACUAUGUUGAUAGUACAUUGGUUCAAUGGAAAGGAAAAGAACAAGAGUACAAGAAAACUCUUAGAUUCAUUAAGAGCAUUGAUUUUUCAAGAAACCAAUUAAUUGGUGAAAUUCCAAUAGAAGUAACUGAUUUGGUAGAAUUGGUGUCUUUGAAUUUAUCAAGAAACAAUUUGAUUGGAUCAAUCCCUACAACAAUUGGUCAAUUGAAAUUAUUGGAUGUUCUUGAUCUAUCUCAAAACCAACUUAAUGGUAGAAUUCCGGAUACUCUUUCUCAAAUAGCCGAUCUAAGUGUUUUAGACCUAUCAAAUAACACCUUGUCAGGUAAAAUUCCAUUAGGCACUCAAUUACAAAGCUUUGAUGCCUCCACAUAUGAGGGAAAUCCUGGACUUUGUGGACCACCUCUUUUGAUAAGGUGUCCUGAAGAUGAACUUGGGGGAGUCUCCUUCACUAGUGGUCUUAGUAGUAAAAAAGAGGACAUUCAAGAUGAUGCAAAUAAUAUAUGGUUUUAUGGAAAUAUUGUUCUUGGAUUCAUCAUCGGAUUUUGGGGAGUUUGCGGCACUUUACUAUUCAAUAGUUCAUGGAGAUAUGCCUAUUUCCAAUUGUUGAGCAAGAUAAAGGAUUGGUUGUACAUGACAACAAUAGUAAAUAUGAAUAGAAUACGAAGGAGCCUGCAAGGUUAAAUGGUAAGACUUCUCAAAUUCUCUUUUUAGUUUUUCUGGUAAAAUGUGUUAACUUCUAUUUAUUAUCCAACAGUUAAGAAUAAAAAGUACACUUUAUGCUACUACUCAAAUCCCUCUUCUAUUAUUUGAUUGACCUUCCACAAUAUAUUGAUGAAAGCUUAGAUUUUGCAAAUAGAAGCAUCGAUAAAAUAAGCAAGCGUAGAAGAUUUUAAUAUACUUUUUUGUAAUAGUUGUGCAUAUUUAGCUUUCAUCAUGUAAAGAUUAAUCUUAUAGGCCGAGGAUCAUAGUUGAAGAAUGAUUAUUUGUAUUUUUAUUUCUAUCUUACUUCAAGUUACAAUUUUUUCUUUUAAAUGUUAAGUUAAUUUGUUGUCUUCAAAUAUUAUAAGUACAUUAAAAGUUCAAUUGUAAGUAACAUACUAAAACCUUCAUUUCUACUAAUCAAGAAGAGUCGCAACUAAGAAAUUAUUCCAAAUUGAUGAGCGUUGUUGCAUUUCAUCUUUGUAUUACAGGACUUCAGCUGGGUUGCAUCUCAAGGAUUAGUAGGUGAUAUAUGCUUUUGAGUAACGGGAGUAUUUAUGAUGGGAUAGUUACAUGCCUUAAUGCAAAAGCUUGUCAUCGGAUAAAUGACAUCAACAUGUAUUAAGUUUGCUUAUUUGGUAGUUAGCUUGGCUUUAAGUUUCUCGUGUUAUAUUCUAUUUAGAACUUUUUAAACAUUAAUUUUUGCUAUUAUAUGUACGACUUUGUAUUUUGUUGCUCUAAAAUUUAUUUGUUAUUUUUGUAGAAUCAAAUAUUAGAGGCCUUUGUAGGGGGUGCUAAAAAAAUACUUCAUCUUAGAAAAAUAUUUUUUUUUUUGCUCAAAAACAAAGUUUAUUUUUUGGGAAAUGCAAUGUGAUAAUACCCAUUAGUAUGAAAUGUGGGAUAUGCUACUACUGAAAACAGAGCACUCUGUUUUUUUGGUGCUCAAGCAUGAAAGCUCCUGUAACACAGAGAGGUCUGAUUUCCAACCGUGAAUCAAAUUGCUUAAGGUACUCCAUAUGCAGAUUGCUGGAAGUCACUUUGGGCAUCAAUCAUCUUCAAGGGACGAUGAUGAUGGGAAUUGGAUCAACGGCGGUAAAGACCAACUAUGGAAAGUUUGCUAAAAAGCUCCCAUUUCUUUAUUUUGGUUUCUGCUUUUGUAAAUAACAAUGUUAUCCAAAAUUUGUGUUGGUUGCUCAAGUUUUGUAAAAGCUAUUCAACCAAUACAAAUCGCUACAUAAUAUGCAUUUUGCCGAAGAUCUGUGAUGAUUUGGAGCUCUCUCCAAUGCCAUACCAGGUUACAACUGAAACAAGCAUCUUAUUUAGGAAUAGUUAACAACAACGAAGAACUGCAAUUUAUAUUUGUGUUUUUUGUUCCACUGAAUAUUGCAGUAAUCAACUUAUGGAAGAAGUUGGAGCUGUUGGAGAAGAAAGUGCUCUUCAUGUUUGCUCAAACAAUUCAGAGGGAAGUUUAGCUUUUGCUUUGGUAGUUGUGAAGUUGCAAACUGUUAUUAGAAUAAGAAGCCUCUACUUUUGCUUGUUACUGAAUAUGAAUUUUUUUUUUAAGAAGUAAAUUUGCUAAUUAUUGUUCUUUUUCUUAGGCACCCAAGAAAAGAGUAUGUACUUUUAGCAAAGACCAAGAGGAAACUAUUAGAGCUUCAUUUGAGCAGUGAGUGCUUAAUUUGUUCUUUUUUGUGGCAUAUGCAUGUAGUCUUAAAUUUGAUUUCCCUCUGCAUAAUUGAUGCUGAAUAUUGUGAUUUUGGAAAGAUUAAUGCUAGUCUCCUUUUCGUCUUUUAAAUUAAAUUAGAUUUGUUUACGUAUAGGUUUAAAGACCAUAAAAGGUGCACCUACAUGAUUGUAAGUGCUCUAGAUGGUGAUGGUACGUUCACAGCUGCCCAAGUUUCCCAUAAGCUCAAGCAACAAUUUGCUUGUGUUCCUCAUCAAAAAAAGAGUUGAAGACAACUUGCAUUUGAGAGAUGAAGAUCUUAAUGGUUGUGAUAUAGCCAAAGCACAGGAUUCCAAUGAUGAAACAUUGUUUUCACUAAGAAAAAGGUAACUAUAUCUUUAUGAAUUUCAUGCAAUUUUGUGAAUUAAUCUUAUUUGUGUGAUAUCCCACAUCGAAUGAGGGGAAAACUAUUAUAUAUACAUAUAUAGGUUCUCUUAGACACGUUUUAAAACUCAUGAGGGCCCCUUAAGCCCAUAAUAGAUAAUAACUACAUAGUUAGCAGUGGAUCGUUAUAGCUUGUAUGCAAACUUUAUCACAUACUUGCAUCUUUGUGGUUGCAGACUUGUAGUGUAUUUGCAUUUGCUUGCAUUUGUCAAGUACUAUACUUUGGUGAUGAAAUCAUAAAUUCAUGACACUCAAGACUUAAUCCAAUUGACAUGUUUUUUUUUUUACUAAAUACAAUAACUAAUUCUUAAGUUAUAAAUUAUAUCACCAAAUUAUUUUUUUACAAUAUAUAGUUUAUUUCAAAUUUUAUUUUAUUUUUCUUCACCUCUUAGGUUUAUCACUUUACAUUACAAAAUAAAAUAAAUUGCAAUUUCCCUUUUCACAAGAUUUUUAUUUUUACAAAAUAUUCAAUAUUUUCCAACUUUUAUAAAAUAAUUUCCGAAAUUAUAUAAUCGGCUGUUAUAAAGAUUUUAAAUUUUUGUGUUGUCAUGGGAUUAUUUUGUUGGCAUGCUUGACCCAGUUGGUAACUUAGGUUUUUUUUUUUUUUUUAAUUCGCCUGACCUUCACAUGUGGCCUAUUACCAUUGGUGGAAAAUUGUGGGUAAGGUGAGAUUUCGGUACCCAAGCUUGACCAUAUAUAUCUGUGAAUUACGCAGAAGACUCGAAAAGUCAAAGGAAAAAUCCUGGGAACCAAGCUGGAAAACACAGGACUGUUAUUUCAGGGAAGGUGUACGUUUGGGGGCAUAUUACAGCUUGGGUACUGAACAAGAGGCAUGUAAGAAGUCUGGCCAUGGAUGCAGAAGAAGAAAAGCAAAGUAAAACCCACAUCCAUGGACAGUUGGUAGAGAUAAACCACAAUCAGGAGAAACGAAUACGCCACGAAGAAACAAAGGCACAGAAUCUGACAACUGGGUUUGCGGUCGUCCAAGUUUUAAUUCUCAACACACUGGUGAUCAACAAGCCAUCCGGCAGAUGCGAACACUGGUGGGUGCCAUUCUCUCUCUCCUUAUCAGUCGGUGUGAUUUAUUUCGUCACCAUUUUUGAGGUAGUGAAGAAAUGCUACCUUCUGCUCUACCAUUUGGACGUCAACUACAUGGAGCAAGAAGCCAUUCUUCUGGAAAUGCAUGGGGGUGCUUCGUCCCGGCGACAUGAUCAGCCAUUGAAGCCAGAUGUGGUGAAGCUCCUGAGGCGUAAAGCUUAUAUCACGAUACUGAUUUCUGCCAUGCUCGCCUUUCAAGCUCUGAUGCUCCACGCCUGCAGCUCCUUUCUUUGCAACUGAGAUUAACCAUUAGCUAUGUUCACAUGUGAUUAAUGCUCUUGCCGUUUUAAAUACAUAAGAAUAAUGUUGUUUCAAAAAUCGUUUGCUUAUAUUUAAAUACUAUUUUCUCUUUUCCAACUGUCCUUACAAAUAGUCUUAUGCUUAGUAGUAGAAAAAAAAAAAAUAUUAAGAUGAAAAUUAUGUAAUUCAAAUUGAAUGCAUCAAUGGAACCGAAAUUAUUCAUCGUGAAAUUUAUUUACAUCGUUUUUCUUUCCAAAGUAUUUUCUAGUUGGAAAGAAAAUUCCAACAUUGCAAUUUUCGUUAGAAAAACGGGACAAAUUAUAAAAGAAAAGAAAAAUCAAUCUCAAAUACCAAUAUUAAAAUGAUUUAUCUAUUUAUCAACACAAUUUGAGUGGAAGAAAUAAAGACACGUGGAAAUCUAUAUAUCAGGAAUCAAAUAGGGUCAAGAAUGGGUUCCAACAAGAACCAUCAAUGGGCUGCCCAAUCAAUAACAAAAGGCCCUCGAUGGGUCUCAUGGGCCAAACAAAAUGGAGCCAGCACACAAUAAGUUUAAACCCAAAUAAAAAUUUCAAGUACAUAUUUUCAAUCCCAUUUAUAAUUUAUUCAUUUAAAUUAGAAAUCUAUAUAUCAAGAAUCAAAUUAGAGAGACCAAAAUUAACAUAUCAGAGUAGAAAUCUUUACAAUCAAAUUUCUUUUUUAUAAAUUUAAAAAUAUUUUCUAUAACUAAUUUAGAUUAGCAAAAAAGAAAAAAAAAAUCUUCAUCGGACCACACAUGUGAUACACUUUGGUAGUUGUUUUUAAAUUUCAAUAAACAUUCUUACAUCAAAAGUAUAAAAAAAACUAAAAAAAAAAAGGAAAUGUUUAGGAAAGUUUGAUUUUAUUGUAGAAAUUAAACAAAAAAAAGUUAAAUAUAAUUAAAAUUAGUAAAAAAAACUUAAAUAUUUUUAGAUUAUUUUAAGUUUGAUGUAAAGUAUAAAAAUAAUUUUUUAAUUUUAAAUCAAUUUUUUUUCUUUGCUUCUAUUUUUUUCUUUAUUUUUUUUUCUUUUCCUCACAUUUUUUCUUUCACUCCUGAGGAACCAAACAUAACCUAAAAGUUUUAAAUAUAUAAAAAAAAACUUCAUAUUAUAUAUAUAAGGGUUGUUAUUAUAUUGAUUUAUAUAAGUACAAUAUGAUUUUUUUUUUUUUUAUAACCGUGGAUGUUCGGGCCAGCUUACGCGCACCUCGACUAAUCCCACGGGGCCCUGAAGUUAACGACCGGGUAAACCUCCAGUGGCCCUGAGGGGACUCGAACUGGUGACCAUAAGGGAGCAAACCCAAGGCCGGACCAACUGAGUUACCCCUCAGGGUUAUAAGUACAAUAUGAUUAUUCAAAUCAUAUUACAUGUAUAGAAUACGAGAAAUCAAGUUGUGUCAUACUCAAAAUUUCAACAUGAUAGAUAUAGCUUUUGAAGACUUUUCCUUUGCGAUUAAUUCUUAUACUUGGAAUUUGUUUAGGUAGGGUAGGGUUUUUGGAAGUUUGUUCGCAAUUUUCUCAUACUUGGAAACAAUUUCCAAAGGAAUGGUCAGAGAAAGGAACUAAACAAAUAGAAGAUUGAAACGGACUAGAUAGACCCUCACCUGCACCGAAGGUUUGUAUGAUCUUCGUGGACCGCAGGCCGCAUGGCCUUCUCAAGCCUCCAUGCCUUGCUUUUCCGCUUAUAAAGAACAGCCAAAAAGGACUUGACUGAUCUGAAAAAUCAGUGGCCGGAAAAGCGAGCUCGACACGGAGAAACAAUUGCCCAUGCAGUUUGGGAGAUCACAGAGCGAACUGUUGGAGUCUGGGCUUUUGUUUCUUCGUGUCGAUCUCGCUUCCCUUUAUGGCAGAGCUUUUCUCACCCUUCAGACACUCUCCUCCCAAACCAACCUCUCACAGCUUCAAUGCAGCUCACAUCCUCCUCACCGGCGCAUGGUGGUUACUACACUAUCCAGAUGCUGCAGCAGCCCACUUCCCUCAGCCUUGGACUCAUCUACAACUUGCCCGACUCUUACAUCACCUCGUUGCAGUCUUACACCAACUACUCCUACUGGUCUGGACCCGAUAUAUCAAACGUAACAGGCGAUGUAGUCGCGGUUUUAGACAGGGCGGGGAGCUUUGGGAUCAUGUAUGGGUCAUCAUCUGAUGGGGCGGUUUAUGUUUACAAAAGUGAUACUGAUGAGAAAGGGCUGUCUUCGUCGUGUGAAUCAGAUAGUUAGGCCAUUAGUUCUUCGAAGACUGAUACUCGAGAUGAAUGGGAAUUUGAGGCUGUAUCGUUGGGACGAUGAUGUGAACUGCACUCGCCAAUGGGUGCCUGAAUGGGCUGCAGUUUCUAACCCAUGUGAUAUUGCUGGGGUUUGCGGAAAUGGGGUGUGUAGCUUGGACAGAAGCAAGACUAAUGCCUCCUGUACAUGCCUGCCGGGGGCUUCUAAGGUGGGAGACAGCGGCCAGUGCUCAGAGAAUUCGUCGGUGUCAGCUGGGAAAUGUGAUAAUAAUCAUCGGAAUUCAACUGCUUCCAAGCUGAAGAUGUCUAUAGUACAGCAAACUAACUACUAUUACCCUGAAUCUUCGAUUAUAGCAAAUUAUAGUAACAUGUCCCAAUUGUCAAAGUGUGGGGAUGCUUGUUUAUCAGACUGUGAUUGUGUUGCUUCCGUGUAUGGGCCGAGUGAGGAAAAGCCUUACUGUUGGCUGCUGAACAGCUUGGAGUUCGGUGGAUUCGAGGACACGAGUUCGACGUUGUUUGUGAAGGUUGGGCCUAAUGGGUCACCUGAAGACAAAGCAACAGGAUCUGGGGAUUCAUCUGAUGGCCUCCGGGACAAGGUCUUGGUUCUUCCAAUUGUUCUCAGCAUGACUGUCCUUGUAGCACUCCUCUGCCUGUUGUUAUAUCACACUCUGUACAGAAGGAGGGCCUUGAAGAGAUCCCUGGAAAGCUCCUUGAGUGUGUCCGGUGCGCCAAUGAAUUUCAGUUACCGCAAUUUGCAGUCCAGAACCGGCAAUUUUUCGCAGUUGCUCGGCACAGGUCAGCAUGUACAUAUACAUAUACUUUGAAAGGGAUGAAAUUGUUUGAACAAAGCCAGUUGGACUUGAUCAAUUUGGAUUAAUGUUGUCUUCUCUUUUUUUCAGGAGGGUUUGGGAGUGUAUACAAGGGAAGCCUUUCAGAUGAGGCAUUGGUUGCAGUGAAGAAGCUUGACAAGGUUUUGUCUCAUGGGGAGAAGGAAUUCAUAACUGAAGUGAACACCAUUGGCUCUAUGCAUCACAUGAACCUGGUUCGCCUAUGUGGCUACUGCUCGGAAGGCUCUCACCGGUAUGCAUUUCAUUUCAUCGCCUAAAACCAAUUACCACUAACCAUAAUUAAAUUCUUGUCAUCCUCUUUUGUGGUCAAGCAUACUAUAUUUUCGAGCUUAUAAUGGGGUUGGAAUUUGAUGAUUCUUCACAGGCUUCUGGUUUAUGAGUUCAUGAAAAAUGGUUCCUUGGACAAGUGGAUAUUCCCCUCAAAGCAUUGCCGGGACAGACUGCUAGAUUGGGGAACUCGUUUCCAUAUAGCCAUUGCUACUGCACAAGGGAUUGCUUAUUUUCAUGAGCAGUGCAGGAAUCGGAUAAUCCACUGCGAUAUCAAGCCUGAAAACAUACUUCUAGAUGAGAAUUUCUGUCCAAAAGUUUCAGACUUUGGACUAGCAAAGCUGAUGGGCAGAGAGCAUUCACAUGUUGUCACUAUGGUGAGAGGAACUAGGGGCUAUCUGGCUCCAGAAUGGGUUAGCAACCGGCCUAUUACUGUAAAAGCCGAUGUCUACAGUUACGGAAUGCUUCUCCUGGAGAUUGUUGGUGGCCGGAGAAACCUUGACAUGACCUUUGAUGCAGAAGACUUCUUCUAUCCUGGGUGGGCUUUUAAGGUAUAGAUCAAUCAAGUUCUUGCUUCUGUAAAUCACAAAUUGUUAAGUGUUUGAUAUUUUAUUAACGAAAAUGCCAAUUCCUCUAGGAAAUGAGUAAUGGGACGACAAGAAAAGUUGCAGACAGGCGACUGGAAGGGGCAGUGGAGGAAGAGGAGCUAGAAAGAGCAUUGAAAACUGGCUUUUGGUGCAUUCAAGAUGAGGUUUUCAUGAGGCCUUCAAUGGGGGAAGUGGUGAAGAUGUUGGAAGGAUCACUUGAAAUCAACACACCGCCAAUGCCACAGACAGUUCUGGAGCUCAUGGAGGAGGGCUUAGACAAUGUAUACAGAGCCAUGAAGAGAGAGUUCAACCAGUCCAGCUUCUUCACCAUCAAUAAUAGUACCCAUCCUUCAUCAAGGGCUACAUGUAGUUAUUCCACAAUGUCACCUAGAUAGCAAAGGAGAAAUGGAACAAAUUUUGUUGUUGUCCCGGAAUUUUAUCACCUUGAUAGAUACUGUCCAGAAACAUAAUUCUUAUUGAUCAAUUGUUACCAUACAUACUAAUGGGCAAUGAAAUUAGUAGAGAACUUUGCAUAGGUUGAGGUACGAAAAUCUCGGUCUUUUAAAGGAGAUUUAAGCCAUUUCUGGUUUGACAAUUUGAGAAAUUGGUGUAUUUGACUUCUCUUUGAUUUGUCCCCACAAGGAUACGAUAGUCGGCCAAGUGAUUUGUUGCAUAGCUCACAUCAAUAUGCAUAAAGCAUAGAACUUAAGGCUUCACAAAGAAAAAAAAAAAAAAGAAGAAGAAAGGAAGAAGAUAACUAAAAAAAGUCUAAAAAACAUGACAUUAGGAGGAUGAGUCAAAAGACUCAUCAUAAAGUUUAAAAUCUUCAACAAUUUUGAAAGAAUUCAAUCUAGCUCUUUAAUUUUUAUAAGCUAAAUCCCAUUGACAUAAAUGAUAUUUAAUACUUCUCAAUUCCCAUAAUUGUAACUACAAAUUCAAUAAUCCAUUAUGCCAACUUUAAUCCCCUUAACUUUCAUAUAUAACCAUAAUGUUGGUAGCUAGUUUACAUUGAUAACUUUGUUCCAAACUUGUUGGAUCUAACUCUAAUAUUUAAUUACUUCAUGUGACUUACAUUGGACUUGAAAACUUGAAAUUUUUAUCAAUUCCUCCUUAAGGUCAUUCUGGUAACUAUGAUUAAGUUUGUUCGGGUGAAUAAUGACAUCAAAAGGUAUAUGCUGGUUUUUAUUAGAUGAUGUGAAAAUAAUAGGGAAAAAAAGAAAAAAAGAAUCGGAUUUUGAUGAGCAAUCAAGUGAUCCUUAUGAGUGCUUAAGUGCCCAUAACGACUUUACAUAAUUUUUUACUAAUUUUCUUAUUCCAUUUUUUCAUGAUAUUUUUCCGCUACGAUUUUUAAGAUUAUGAUUACACCUUAUGUUAUUGAUUUGAUAUAUGUUUUUUAGAGCUAUAUGCUAUUAUUCUCUAAGAGCCCCAUCGUGGAUUAAGUUUAGUUUGUGGUGAUUUCUUUCAUUAAGGAAUACUCUCUCUCUCUCUCUAAUUGGGAAAUAUCAUCGAUAUGUUGGUGGACAUUGAAGUGAAAUAUAGGAUAGUUUGUGGUGAUUUCUUUCAUUAAGGAAUACUCUCUCUCUCUCUAAUUGGGAAACAUCAUUGAUAUGUUGGUGGACAUUGAAGUGACAUAAGGGGAGAUGGAUAGAUAUUGAAGUGACAUAUAGGGGAGAUAUAUCCAUCUACUGAAGUUUCGGUUAUUUUUUAAAAAUUUGAUAUUUUUGCCAUUCACAUAUUUAAGAGAAUAAAAUAUAAAAGAGUUAAAUAUCUUAUUCCUCGUAAAAUUGAAAUUUCAACUUUUGAAAUGUCAAAUUACAAAAUUAUAAAACACAUUAAAUUUUGAUAUGCCUUAGAAAAAAAACAUAUUUAAUUCAUUUUUUUUUAAUUUUCUUUGUUAUCUUAUUAAUUAAGUUAGCAAAUUACAUUAAAAAUCAAAUAACAAUGGAUCAAUUAAAAGAUAUAACACUAUGUUCGGUUGUCUAAGAUUUGAAAGUAAUGACAACAAAAAGAAAACAAAGAAAAAAAUAAAAAUAAAAAUAAAAAAAAUAAAAAAAUAUUUAAAAUUAAUAAAUUAUUUUUACAUCUUAAUAAAUUAUUUUUACAUAAUUCUUUAUUCAUUCCACUUAUUUAUACUCUUUUAUAUAAAAAUUAAAUAAUUUUAAAAAUAUAUAAAAUUUUAAUUAAUUUUAAUUAUAUUUGAUUUUUCUUUACACUUUUUUAGAGUUAAUUUUGUUCACCUUCUAGAGCUUUGGGUUAAAUAUAUUUAGUCACCUUGAGUUUAAAAUUUUAUCAAAUAUCUUUCUUCCUUUUUUUUUGAGUUAGAGGUAGGGGCAUAACUUGAGCGGAUAGGCCCUACUCAACCUGAUGUUUGAAUAGCUUGAACAAUUAUUUUCAAUACUUGAGUUGUGAUAGAUUAAAUAUUUUCAAUUCGAGCUCAAUUUGGACGACUAAAGAUUCAAACAACUCAAACCUAAUCCAAAUUGGAUUUAAUAUUUUUAUAAUAUUUAUAAUAUAAAAUAUCAAAUAUUAUUAUUACAUAUCAUAUCUUGAAAUUUUGUUCUAUUAAUUAUUUAAAUUUUGACAUAAAUAUAUGAGUUUAUUAUACUUUACCCCUAUAACCUAUAACUUGUUUUACACAUUGUUCCAUCAAGUUCAAAAUUGAGUAAUGUACCUUCCAUAUUUAAUAACUGUACGUAAUGUGCAUUUUUUUUAAAGACAACUUUAUUUUUUGGACGGAAAGGUACGUGCUCUCCGCGUGAUUGAGGGUAAAAGUGUCUUUUUUCCUUUGCAACUCCCUCUCUCGAUCAUUACUCCCCUUUGGAACCCCAAAUUGUAGCCCGCUUCUUCCUGACCCGUUCUUCUUUCCUUCCUUCAAAGCCUUAGAAUGUGAAUCCCAAAAAGUUGCUACUGAAGCCCUAGAAAAUUUCUCAUGUUUGUAGGGUGGAAAUGUUUCUCCAAAUUUCCCUAAAAAAUUGCCCAAAAAUUUCCCCAGUUUUUUGAAACACAAAAACAAAACCCCAACCCUAAACUAGAAGCAUAACAAAAAAAAUUUAAACCCUAACAUAAAAACCCUAGCCCUCAAUUGGCCCUAGUUUUAUUCAACCAUAAAUCCCCCAAAUUUCCCCUGAAAAUUGCCUUUAAAUUUCUACAAAAUUUCCCCCAAAAUUCUCCUAGUUUUCUUAAACAUGAAAAUGAAACCCUAACCUUGAACUAAAAUCAUAACAUAAAAAUUUAAACCCUAACAUGAAAACCCUAACCCUCAAUUUGCCUGAGUUUUAUUCUUCCAUAAUUUCCACAAAAUUUCCCCAAAUUUUCUGAAAGAUCCAAACGAAACCCUAACCCUAAAGAAAUUGGAAGACAAAAAAUACCUUUGAACUUUCAUGUCUCUCUUCAAUGUCAGCCCUGCAUUAGCUUCUUUGGGAUUCUAGGGCUUCAGCUUUGAGUUUCACUAAUAGCUACAGAGGAGGAACAGUACAUGCUGGAGAAGAUGAGGGUUUUAAAAUAACAAUGACCCUUUUGCCCUUGCUUUAUGGGAACGAAGACAAUUUUGCCCUCAGUCACGUGGAGAGUACAUGUCUUUCUGUCCAAAAAAAAUAAUGUCGUAUUUAAAAAAAUACACAUUUUAUGCAAUUAUAAAGAAUUAAGGGUACAUUAUUCGAUUUUGUACUUAAGGGGGCAAUGUGUAAAAUAUGCUUUAAAUUGAGGGGUAAAGUGUAAUUAACUUUAAAUAUAUAGAAAAAAUAUUUUUUUGAAAAACAUUAUUUGGGUAAAUUUUGAAUUAUGCAAUCGAUUAUUUUCUCUUGAAUAACCUCAUGAAUCCGAACUCAAUCUAAUUUUUUUUUAUCCUACUUUAGAUAUAUAUAACUCAUUUGUCUUGUCUCGGUCACUUCGUCCCAAUCACAUUCAUAAAUUUUCUCGGGAAACUUGUGUUUGAGGCUGGUAAUAUUAAAAUAGUAUGAGAUUGGAAACCCAACUUUUGAUUUUUUAAUAUAAUUAUUCUAAUCCUAAAAAUAAUAUAGGGUUCAUGCACUUUUAGCUGAACUAUUUUUUAAUAUCCAAUAUGCCCUCUUCUUUCUGCCAGGUCAACCUCCACAUGUGAAAAAAAAAAGAGGUCUUCUUCCAUCUCCAGCAUCACCUGUGAAAAAAAAAGGGUCUUAUUCCAUCUCCAGUAUCACCUCCACUAGAUGACCAUAACUCCUCCCAAACUUCUUCACCUCCAUUUGCAGACUGUCCACUAUCGGGUCAACUUGUUUCAUCUCAAUCAUCGCCGCGGCUCAUCACCAGCGACGACCGAGGGAACCUCGACUCUAUGUACCGCAUCAACAUCUCCCCCGAUCCCGAAACUGUGUCAGAGCCACACUGCAGAACCAACAUAUCGGGUUUGAGAAUCGGCGUCUCGGCCGACACCAUACAGAUGGAUACGCAUUUGUGGUGUAGGGCGAACCGGAUGUAGGAGGUGAGAGGAACCGCUGGAGAUAAACGACACCAAAAUUCCUUUCCCAUCUUCCACUCCCUGGUUGUAGGUCUCAUCAUAGGAAACAAACGGCUGAGACUUAGUAAAUUGGGAGAGGAAGCAUGCUAGUUGUAGGUGUGAGAAGUUGCGGGAGAGUCAUGGACGAAGGUGGGGGGAGAGAGAGAGAGAGAGACUUGAAGAGGUUAGGUUUUCUUUUUGGGAUUUGGGUUUCAAAAGGGAGCAGAGCAGAUGGAAAAUUUUAGGCAAAACGUUUUAUGUUUUCUCGGUUUUUUGAUUUUUUGGUUUUUUUUUUAAAAAAAAAAUAAGUGGAGGUUGACGUGGUAGAGAAGAGAGGCAUAUUAGGUAUUAAAAAUCAGCUCAGCCCAAAGGGCAUGGAACCCAAAAUAUUUUGGGUUCAAUAUUGAAAAAUUAAAAAUGGUAAAAAUGAGUUUUGGUUUUCAUAAUAUUUAGAUAUCACCAUCCCAAAACCUAACUUUUCCAAUUUUCUCUUUCGUGCUUGCCGUGAAAGUCACUUGCUCCGCAAUUUACGCAAAGACUCUAUUACCAUUGACUUUAUUACAAUUUCUACAAGAAAAAUCGAACUUCAAGACUAAGCAAAUAUCCUAGGAAUCAAGCUGGAAGCUACAAUGCUGUUUCAGGGAAGCAUAUGAUAUACAAAUACAACCCUUAUAUGUUACAGCUUCGGUACUGACCAGGAGACUGUAAGUACUGGCCAUGGAUGCAGAAGAAGAAAGGCUAAGUAAAACCCAUAUCCAUGGCCAAUUGGUAGAGAUAAACCACAAUCAGGAGAAACGAAUACGCCACGAAGAAACAAAGGCGCAGAAUCUGACAACUGGGUUUGCGGUCGUCCAAGCUUUAAUUCUCAACACAGGGGUGAUCAAUAAGCCAUCUAACAGAUGCGAACACUGGUGGGUGCCAUUCUCUCUCUCCUUAUCAGUCGGUGUGAUUUAUUUCAUCACCAUUUUUGAGGUGUUGAGGAAAUGGUACCUUCUGCUCUACCAUUUGGACGUCAACUACCUGGAGCAAGAACUUAUUCUACUGGAAAUGCAUGGGGGUGCUCCGUCCUGGCGAAAUGAUCAGCCAUUGAAGCCAGAUGUGGUGAAGCUCCUGAGGCGUAAAGCUUAUAUCACGAUACUGAUUUCUGCUAUGCUCGCCUUUCAAGCUCUGAUGCUCCACGCCUGCAGAUCCUUUCUUUGCAGCUGAAAGUAACCAUCUUCCCCUUUAAAUAAAUACUAGAAUAAAAAAAAAUUGUUGUUUAUUAUGCCAAAUUUCUCGAUGCCUUUGAAGAGUGUCAUGGGAAAUGCUAUUAAGAUGCAAACUACAUAAUUCAAAAUGCAUUAUAUGGAACGAAAUUAUUUACCAUGAAAUUUAUUUAUAUUGUUUUUCUUUCUAAAGUAUUCAAAAUGCAUGAUAUGCAAUAGAAAAUUUUGAGGGAAAAUAUCACAGAAAGAAAAUAGAGAGAAAAAAUAGAAUAAAAAAAUAUGAAAAAAAAAUAAAAAAAUAUAUUUAAAGUCAAUAAAUUAUUUUUAUAUCUUAUUUUAAACUUAUUUUACUUAUUUUAACUCAUCAAUAUAAAGGUUAAAUAAUUUUAAAAUAUAUAAAAUUUUAAUUAAUUUAAAUUAUAUUUGAUUUUAUUUGACAUUUUUCAUGAUACAAUCAUGAGAAACUCGUUUUCUUAAACAUUUUUCUUUUCUUUUUUCAGUAGUUUUUGGCAACCAAACAUUACCUAAAAUUUUGUUAGUGCAUCUCCUUAGGUGUUUGUGCUCACAUAUUGGGCCCAAGAAUGGGUUCCUGCAACUACCAUCAAUGGGCCGGGCUGCCCAAUCAAUAACAAAAGGGCACUCACCUGGGUCUCAUGGGCCGAGAAAAAUGGAGCCCAUACACAACAGUUUUGAACCCAAACAUAAAUUUCAAGUUCAUAUAUACUUUUAAUCUCGUUUAUUCAUUCAUAUUAGAAAUCUAGAUUUAUAUUAAUUCAUUCAUGUAGAUCUAUAUAUUAGGAAUCAAAUUAGAGUGCAUAGAAACCAAAAUUAAGAGAGAGGAUUAUACCCAGGGAAGUUUUGUGUGAUACGUUGAACUGAAAGUGAUAAAAACUAAGACUAUGUUUAAUUCCCAAAAAGCAAUAAGGAAAGAAAAAAAAAUAUGAAGGAAAAUUAUUUUCUUGUAUUUUAUUUUUUUAUGAAAAACUUGAAAGGAAAUAAAAUAUAAUUAAAAAUUUAUUAUAUAUUUUUAAAUUAUUAAUUUCCAUAUAAAAGGGGAACAAAAUGUCAAUGAAUUUGAAAUAACAAAUAAAAAUGAUUUAUAAGUUUUAAAUCCAUUUUUUUUAUUUUCCUUAAUAUUUUCCUUCUUCUACUUUUUCUUUCUAUUUUCUUUUUCUCACAUUUUCUCUUAGAUUUUCUAAGAACCAAACAUAAUAUAAAAAAACAAAUAAUAUAUAAAAAAACCCAAAUAAUUUGACAUGUGGUAUAUUGUUGCUAGUCAAAGUAAUGGUUGUGGGUGACUUUUAGAAGCCUCCAAUAAGAAAUGGCCAAAAAACCUAUGAGCUUGGCAUUUAUUUGAGUAUCUCGGGGACAAUAUUUUAUUUUUAAUUAUGUGUUUUAAUUCAUUGUUUUUUUUUCUUUAAUAUUAUUUUAGAAAUAUGUUUAGAGAUAUGUUAAUUUUAGUGCUUAUAGUAAUAUAAAGAUUUUGAUAAUUAAAAAUUUGUUUAAAAAUGAUUUUAGGAAGCAUUUAACCUAUUUAAUCUUUAAAUUUUUUAUAAAAGAAUUGUUUUCAAGUGCUAAAAAGAUUAGAGACAUUUUAUAAAAUUACUAUUAAAUAAAUUCUAAAUAUAAUCGAGUCGUGUGACUAUAAAUUGCUAGACUUUUCCAUGUGAUUAAUCCUUGGAUACUUGGAAUUUGUUUAUGUGGGGUAGAGCUUUUGUGAGUUUGUUUGCAAUUUUCUCAUACUAGAAACAAAUGAAUGGUCAGAGAAAGGAACAUAGAAAAGAGAAGAUUGAAACACCUUCACCUGCUCCGAAGGUUCGUAUGAUCUUCAUGCCAGCCUCCAUGCCUCAUUUUCCCGCUUAUAAAAAAAAGGCCACAAAAGACUAGACUGAUCUGAUAAAGCAGGGCCGGAAAAGCGAGCUCGACACGAAGAAACGAAAGCCGGCCAAUGCAGUCCGAGAGAUCACACAGCGAACUGUUCGAGUCUGGGCUUUUGUUUCUUCGUGUCGGUCUUGCUUCUGUCUCCGGCCGGAGGAACAAAAUUGUACAGACAUGGAUGGGAAGAACUCCUGUAAUAUCAAGAGUCCUUCUAUCUUUGGAUUGUUAUAAUAAUAUUAUCUUCAAAACAAAAUUUAUGCAAGUGGGGGUAUAUUUUUUAUUUUUUGUUUUUGAAAAUAGGAAGUUUUAUACAAAAUAUAAAAAAAUCUUAUAUGAAAGAUAGGUAUAAUCUUGUUAUGUUAUUUGAAAACAUUUUUUAAAAUUGACAGAAGUAAAAAAAUUUCAAUUCCAUAAAUUUUUAAAUUUUGAAAAAGUCUUUAAGAAGGGUAGGUAAGAGGAUGCUUGUUAAUGGUUAGAAAAUAGUUUUAUAUGUUUUAGAACAAAAGAAUAAUAAAAAAAAACAUGCUUAGUGAUUAGAAAACAGUUUAUACUCUUAAAAAACAAAAAAUCGGAGUGUUUUUAGAUAAUAUCUUUUAAUUUUUAAAAUUAUUUUUAUUUAUUGAAAAAUAAUCAUACAAAAUGCAGAAUGAUUAUGAGUAAAGUAUUACAUGUGAAACUUAUUUUUAAAAAAUAUUUAAAAACAUAAAAAAAAAAGUUAAUAACAGUUCAAGUUUCCAAACAAACUAUUAUUUUACAAAAUAUUAAAUAACAAUUUUAAAAAAUAGUUUUAAAAAAUACUUUUCGAACACAAUUUAAAUUUUUUUCUUUUUGCAUAAAAAUUCUUAUAUUUUGUAUAAGAGUUUUUAUUUUUAAAAAUAAAAAAAUAAGAAAUAUAUUCAAAGAUAUUUAAUAAACAAUAAAAUUCAAAAGAGAAAGCCUUAAAUUUUAUGUUAUUAUUGUAAAAUGAGAAUAAAUGUGACUCAAAUAAUAGUAGGGAUGACUAUGUAUUAUUUUAAUAAUAUAUAUAUAGAGGGGCGGGGGGAAGAAAUCAAAGAAAAGUGUUGAGAGAAUGAAAGAAAGAGAGAGAGAAUGAGAGGAAGAAAAUUUCUUCUUUUUCUCGGAAUGCUCUUACAUGGGGUGUAAGAACCCUUUUAUAGGAUUCAUAAGAUGAACUCCCAUUACUCAUCUUAAAGAUGAGUAAAUGGAGUUCAUAAAUGACCAUCAAUGUGGUCAUUCAUCACUUCAUUUACAACAUUUCCCCUUGGAUGACCACCAUAUUAAAAGAAUAUGUUUCAUUAAAACCUUGUUAGUAAAAAUUUUUAUAGGAAAAACCUAGUGAAGGAAAAAGAGUACAAUAUUCUUUUCUUGGUAUAUUAGGACUACCUCGUUAAAAACCUUGCCAGUAAAACCCAGUAGGACAAAACCUGGACGAAGGAAAAAAGAGUACAGUACACUAACACCCUUUUACAAGCAUACUCCCCCUCAUGUCAAUAUCCUUGAGUUGACGCAUUCCAAUCAUGUAUAUUAAUUUCUUGAAUGUUGAGGUUGACAAUGAUUUUGUGAAUAAAUCUGUUAGAUUAUCACUUGAGCGUAUUUGUUGCACAUCAUUUUCACCACUCUUCUAGAGUUCAUGUGUAUAAAAGAAUUUUGGUGAAAUGUGUUUAGUUCUAUCUCUUUUAAUAUAACCCCCUGUUAUUUGUGUAAUGCAUGUAGCAUUAUCUUCAAAUAAUAUUGUCGGGUCACCUUUGAUAGAGGAGAGUCCACAUGAUUCCCGAAUAUGUUGGAUCAUAGAUCUUAGCCUUAUACAUUCAUGACUUGCUUCAUGAAUUGCUAGUAUUUCUGAAUGAUUUGAUGAUGUGGCCACCAUUGUUUGUUUGACAUAUCUCCAUGAAAUAGCAGUACCAUUGCAAUUAAACACAUACCCUGUUUGUGACCUACCUUUAUGUGGAUCUGAAAGAUAUCCUGCAUCUGCAUAUCCAAGCAAUUGUUGCUUUGAUUCCGUUGAGUAAAAUAAACCCAUAUCAGUAGUUCCGCAAAGAUAACAUAAUAUAUGUUUGAUACCAUUCCAAUGUCUUCGAGUUGGAGUGGAAUUGUAUCUUGCUAAUAAAUUGACAGAAAAAGCAAUGUCUGGAUGUGUACAAUUGGCAAGAUACAUAAGUGCACCAAUAGCACUAAGAUAUGGUAUUUCAGGACCAAGUAACUCUUUUUUUUUUUUUCGCAAGGACGAAAUGAGUCAUUUUUCACAUCAAGUGAUUGGACAACCAUUGAAGAACUUAAAGGAUGCGCUUUAUCCAUAUAAAAACGCUUCAAAACUUUGUUAACGUAUGUUGAUUGAUGUACUAAAACUCCAUUUGGAAAAUGCUCGAUCUGCAGGCCGAGAUAAAAUUUUGUUUUUCCAAGAUCUUUCAUCUCAAAUUCCUUUUUCAAGUAAUUUGUUGUUCUUGUGAGCUCUUAAGAAGUUCCAACAAGAUUUAAGUCAUCGACAUACACUGUAAUAAUUGCAAAUCCGGUUUCUGAUUUCUUAAUGAAGAUGCAUGGGCAUGUAGGGUUAUUCACGUAUCCUUCUUUUAGCAAAUAUUCGCUAAGACGAUUGUACCAUAUGCGUCCAGAUUGCUUUAAUCCAUACAAUGAUCGUUGUAACUUGAUUGAGUACAUGCUACGAGACUUUAUACUAUUUUCUCCAGGCAAUUUAAAUCCUUUAGGGAUUUUCAUGUAUAUAUCAUUAUUCAUGGAUUCGUAUAAAUAUGUUGUAAUAACAUCCAUGAGAUGCAUAUCCAAUCCUUCUGAGACUACCAAAUUGAUUAAGAAACAAAAUGUGAUUGCAUCCAUGACGAGAUAAUAUGUUUCUUCGUAGUCAAUACCAGGUCUUUGCGAGAAACCUUGUGCUACUAAUCGCGCUUUAUAUCUUAUGAUCUCAUUAUUCUCAUUGCGCUUUCGUACAAAUACCCAUUUGUACCCAACAGGCUUUACAUCUUCAGGUGUUUAGACUACAGGUCCAAAAACUUCUUGUUUUGUUAAUGAGUUUAACUCUGCUUGUAUAGCUUCAUUCAGUUUUAGCCAAUCAUUUCUAUGUCAACAUUCUUCCACAUUUCGUAGUUCGGGAUUUUCAUCAUUUCUUUUGACUUUAGAGGCCACUUGGAAAGCAAAAAUAUUGUUAAUAACAAUAUUAUUUAAAUCCAUUUUUUCUCCCGUGUGUACAUAACUUACUGAGAUAUCACAAUUUUUAGGUACCUGUGCCUCUUCAAGGGCUUCUCGUUCAAUAUGUGCCUCUUCAAAGGCUUUUUGCAUUAUUUAUGCCUCUUCUAGGGCUAUAGAUUUAUCAAUUUUAAAUUGAUCAGUCAUUUUGAUGGCCUCUUCUAGAGUGCCAAGUUUUUCUUCGGUUCUCAUUUUCUAGGAAGUUACAUCAUUUGAGCCGACAAGUUUACCACGCUUCAGGCAUAUCUUAAAUUCAUUUGUUAACUGUCCUAUAGGGACAUCAAUCCGUGCUGGAGUAUUUGUAGUCGGGAUAUGUUACUUUGUCACUUUCUUUGUAUUAAUGAAUGCAUCUGGUAAUUGAUUUGCAAGAUUUUGCAAAUGAAUGAUCCUUUGGAAGAUGGGUCAUAGUAGAUGCCUUCCAACUAAUUUCUCAUGGUUCUUCAGGAAUCGACUUUUCUCCCCUUAAUGAUGGGAAAACACUCUCAUUAAAAUGACAAUCCGCAAAGCGGGCAGUAAAAACAUCACCUGUCAAAGGUUCAAGAUAUCUUAUGAUAGACGGAGAAUCAAAACCUACAUAAAUCCUAAGUCUUCGUUGGAAAUCCAUUUUAGUGCGUUGUGUAGGUGCAAUUGGUACAUAUACUGCACAACCAAAGAUUUGUAAGUGAGAGAUAUUUGGUUGUUUUCCAAGCACAAGUUGUGAAGGGGAAUAUUCAUGGUAAGUUGUAGGUUGAAUAUGGACUAAAGCUACAACAUGCAUAAUAACAUGUCCCUAGGUAGAAGUAGGUAAUUUGGUUUUCAUUAGUAAUGGUCGAGCUAUUAAUUGGAGACGUUUGAUGAAGGAUUCUGCUAAGCCAUUUUGGGUAUGAGUAUGAGCAACAAGAUGCUCAAUAUUUAUCCCUACUGACAUGCAAUAGUCAAUGAAUGUUUGAGAAGUAAAUUCUCCAGCAUUAUUAAGACGUAUUGUCUUAAUUGGAUAAUAUGAAAAUUGUGCUCGUAAUAUGAUUAUUUGUGCAAGGAGUCUAGCAAAGGCAACGUUACGUGUAGAAAGGAGACAAACAUGUGACCACCUAGUAGAAACAUCUAUUAAGAUCAUAAAAUAACGGAAUGGUCCACAUGGUGGAUGGAUAGGCCCACAUAUGUCCCUAUGUAUUUUUUCUAAAAAGACUGGUGACUCAGAUAUAACUUUAGUAAAAGAUGGUCUGAUUAUCAAUUUACCUUAUGAGCAGGCAACACAUGAGUAUUCAUUGGGUGAAAGAAUCUUCUAGUUCUAUAGUGGAUGUCAAUGUGAGUGUUCGAUUAUUCGACACAUCAUUGCAGACCCUGGGUGACCUAGCCUGUCAUGCUAAAGUACAAAAACUUUUGGGUCGUUGAACUUCUGGUUCACGACAACAUAUGAUUCAAUAGGCUUUAUAGUUGUAUGAUACAACCCAGAGGAGAAAGUCGGGAGUUUUUCCAUUAUAAGCUUCUGACCAGAUAUAAUGGAAGUAAUGUAAAGAUGUUCUAUAUUAUCUUCAUUCAUAGUUUCAAUAUGAUAUCCAUUUCUGCGGAUAUCUUUAAAACUAAGCAAAUUUAUUCUGGAUUUGCUAGAAUAUAAAGCAUCAUUUAUAUGAAAUCUAGUUCCAUUUGGCAACGUUAUGUUUGCUCUUCUAGAACCUUCAACUAAGUUUGUAGUACUAGAUAUGGUACUUACAUUAGCUUUUAUUAAUGUCAAUUCAAGGAAAUAUCUUUUAUCUCGAAGAAUUGUGUGCUUGGUCGCACAGUCUACGAGACACACAUCAUCCUCAUUCAUCUUGAGACCAAAUAACACAUGGAUUUCAGAUAUAACAAAAUAAAACAAGGCAUAAUGUAAAUAACAAAGUAAAUCAGAUGUAAAUAUAAGACAUAAUAAUAUAUUAUUUCAUAUAUAAAGUAACAUCAAUUAAUGUUAAUUUUCUCAUCAUUUAUCAAAUGGUCUAUUUUUUCAUUGGGACCUUCAAAGAAAUCAAUGUCAUAGUAGGUUAGGUCCAAUCCAUCACCAUCAGUAAAGUUCAUCUUUAUCUCUUUUCCUUUUGCUUUUAUUGAUGCUUGGUAAAGGUCGACUAAAUGUUUGGGCGUACGACAGGUAUGCGACCAAUGCCCCUUCAUACCACAUCUAUAACAAUUAUUCUCGUGGUUCUUAGGAGGUUUAUCUUGUAAAUGCUUCCCAUUUUCUUGUAUUGUCUCAGUAUUGUUCCAUUUCUGGUGGUGCAACGAGGCUUUCAUUUUCUGAGAAUUAUUACUAUAAGAACCAUGGUAUCGGGGAUUUUUUCCACGAUCAUGACCACGUCCAUGAAUUUGGACGAUAUUGCAUUCACUUUAAGGAAUGGUUCAGAUCCAGUUGGACGAGAUUGAUGAUUUCUCAUUAAAAGCUCAUUAUUUUGUUUAGUAACAAGAAGACAUGAUAUUAAUUCAGAAUAUUUUGUAAAUCUACACUUUCUAUAUUGCUGUUGCAGGAGCACAUUCGAGGCAUGAAACGUAGUAAAAGUUUUCUCUAACAUGUCUUCUUCUAUGAUUUUUUCUCCAUGUAGCUUUAAUUGAGAGCUGAUUUUGAAAAGUGCGGAGUUGUAUUCACUAAUAGUUUUAAAAUCUUGCGACCUUAGGUGCAUCCAAUCAUAUCAAGCUUUUGGGAGAAUCACAGUUUUCUGGUGGUCAUAUCUUUCCUUCAAAUUACUCCAUAGAGUAAAAAAGUCCUUUACCGUAAAAUACUCAUUUUUUAAACCUUCAUGGAGGUGAUGACGAAGGAAAAUCAAUGCUUUUGCGCGAUCCUGCAGGGAUGCUUGAUUUCCUUCUUUGAUUGUAGCUCCAAGGUUUAUUGCAUCAAGAUGUAAUUCAACAUCAAGGAUCCAAGAUAGAUAAUUCUUUCCCGAAAUGUCAAGUGCCACAAAUUUGAGUUUUGUGAUAUUCGACAUUGUCAAAUAACUUCAUAUAUAUGACAAAACAAUAUUAUUAGAAUCAAUUAUAAUAACUUAAUAGCAUUGGUAUAACUUUGAUUAUAAACAAAAUCAAAUAAUUUGUUUAUAAUUUUUAACAAUAUGUAACAAAACAAAUCAACAAUAAUAUAAAUAUGUAAAAUUUUAUCCUAUAUAAAUAACUUCAAGUUUAAGAUACGAGAAUUACCUUCAGAACAAUUCGUGCUAAUAAUGUGUUGUAAAAAGAGAAUAAAUGUGACUCAGAUAAUAGUAGGGAUGACUAUGUAUUACUUUAAUAAUAUAUAUAUAUAUAUAAAGGGGGAGGGGGGGAAGAAAUCAAAGAGAAGUGUUGAGAGAAUGAAAGAAAGAGAGAGAGAGAGAGAAUGAGAGGAAGAGAAUUUUUUUUUUCUCGAGAUGCUCUUACAUGGGGUGUAAGAAGCCUUUUAUAGGCUUUAUAAUAUAAACUCCCAUUACUCAUUUUAAAGAUGAGUAAAUGGAGUUCAUAAAUGACCAUCAAUGUGGUCAUUCAUCACUUCAUUUACAACAGUUAUUAAUUUGUUGUAUUACUUAGAGGGGGUGAAUGAAUUGAAAGCACUAUGGAGGUAAGCUUUUUAGUUUUUUCACCUUAUCCUCUUUAUACAUAAUGUCUCCAUCAAUGAUGUUCAGUAUAUUCCUUAUUUUUGUUUUACUUAAGUGUUCUUGUAUUGUAGCCCUCUCAAGACUCUUCCUCUUCACUCCAAACAAGUUAAUUGUCUUCAUAUCAAAGUAACAUAAGUUGAUUUUCUUAUAGGGCUAAUGCUACUUAUGUGAUUAUUUUCUUUACAAAAGUUGCAAAUAAUAUUUGAGGAUUCCUUGACAAAAUAAUUUUUAAAUUUUUAUUUUUUUAUUUUUUUUAUUUUUAUAGAGCUUGUAUCCUAAUCCCUUUAUUGCAAAGAUUAUUUUUUUACUUGCCAAAAUUAUCAAAAUUCUUGUCCCCAUUUGAGAAUUUUGAAAGAGAAGAGAUUAACUAAUGAAUUUUCUUUUCAAGUAAGUAUAUAUUUUAUUCCAAGGAAAACCUUAGCCUUUUUUAGAUAUUUUAAACUCCCCUUUUAAGUCAUUAAUUUCAACUUGAAGAGAGAUGAUUUUCUUUUUAAGAUAAGCCUGAAAGUUAUUUGAUCUAGUUUAGGUAACACCUAGAGGAGUUGAAUGGUGUUUAAACUUUUCUGCUCAAAAAUGAAUUAUUUUAUAUUCAUAUAACAAACAUUUUUUCAAUUUAGGAAAGCCUAAAAACACUCAAUACAAAAACAUAAGAUUUUUAUAUGGAAAACCACCCAUAUCAUGUGCGGAUGUAAAAACGACAAGGUCAGACUUUUAAUCAUUAAUAAACUAUUUGAAAGUAUUAUACAUGGUUUUAGUUGGUGGAAGCUAUCGUUAAGUCUUACUACCCAACACCUACAAUGCACUUCACAUUUGCGAUAUAGCACUACGUGUGCUCUUAGUGGAUCUAACCUCAGUGUUUGAGAGGAUGUAGAUCUCCUUUUCAAUCCAACAUAAGCGAAAACAACAUUCCUUGAGAGUUUUAGGAAUAAGAUGACGAAUUUGGUUUUUCAAAAAAUUUGCAUCAAACCAAAAACCUUUUUAGGUAAAACAUUUAUAGGCAUAAGAAGCUGGCAGACUGGAUCUAAAAUUUUCCAAAAUAAGACCUUAAAAAAAAUUAGAAAAUCAAAGUUCCAAAAAUUUUGGAGAAUUCUAUCAUGGGUGUUUGAGUGCUCAUGGGAGCACUUGAGUGCUUAAGGAGAUUUUUUAAACUUUUUAAAAAUUCUUUUAGCUUGGUUUUAAAACCAUUAGUUCGCACCAUGCCUUAACAAACACCAAUUUGUCAUUCUUGAACCUUUUGAUUUUUACUUGUGCCAUCCUGAUUGAUCACAUAACAACUUUGAGUCUUCAAUGAAGAGUAAAACACAAUUUAGAAAGAUUCUAAACUAGAAUGAAAGGAAUUAUAUAGCCUAAUAUACCAACAAUCUUCUCCUAUGAUAAUUUUAUGAAAAAAAAUACAAAUUACAUAAACCCCCUAAUACUCUUCAAUGGAGUUUAAGAAUCUCUCAAUAACUCUCGUCUAAACCAAAUCAUUCUUGAACAUGCAGAUGAUGAUAAAUCACAUCUAAAAGUGGGCAAUACCCCACUACUUGUGACCUGCACACACAAACCAACCAAGUACUCAAGUAAAACAAUGUGUGAGAGAAAACACAACUCAUAAAUUCUAUCAAAUCAAGGUAAGAGUAGAUGGAUGUGAGUCAUGCAUACAAUGGAUAUCUAAUCAAUAGUAUCAAUAAAUUGUCUCCCCAUUUUUGUCGCAAAAAUGACAAAGAAGGAAUAAACAAUGAAUGCACAUAAGAGAAAGAGAAACAAUUAAGCAAAAGAACUUCAACUUAUUUUUAGAAUGCUUCUUUCUUGGUAAGAUCUCUUAAGAAACCCUUCUUGAAAAUAGUUUUUUUUUUUUUGUUUUGUUUUUUAUGAUGGAAAAUUGUUUUCUACCUUAAAAACUAUAUUUGGUAAAAUUUCACUAAAAUAAUUUUUUGAAAAUAGGUUUUUUUUUUGGAACAAACGCUUUUAAAUAUAUAUAUAUAUAUAUAUAUAUAUAUAUAUAUAUAUAUAUAUAUAUAUAUAUAUAUAUAUAUAUAUAUAUAUAUAUAUAUAUAUAUAUAUAUAUAUUGUAGAAUAUUUCAAGAAAUAGUUGAAAAUAUGAAAAAUGUUUCAAGAACCUUUGUAUCUUAGAUUUGUGCACUUCAGUUUCAUGAAUAAUAUUAAACUAAGAAAACUGUUAUUUAUAUAUUAAUUUCUAAAUAAAAUUUUGUUGCUGGAAAUAAUUAAAAUUUAUUUUAAAAAACUAUUUUCAAGAAUUAUUUUUGAAAACGUUGCUAAAAAGACAAAAGUCCUUGGUCAUUUUUUUUUCUUUUAUAUUUUUAUCUUUAUCUAAGAGGCCGGUCUUUUUUUUUUUUUAAUGUUCCAUAAUCCUUGUGAAAUUGUAACGUGUAAUUCAUUUAUUUGACUUCAAAAGUUAAGAAAUAAUGAACCUUUCAUUAUUGUAGUUUGUCUUGUAGUAAGAGACUUAAAAAUCCACGUACAAGAUGUCUUUCUUUCUUAAGUCAAGUCAACAAAAUGGAGGUGGAAGAAAUAAUGAACUUUCAUUAUUGUAGUUUGUCUUGCUAAAAGCUAUGUAUAACGGGUCUUCGUAAGUCAAAUCAAUAAUCAAAUUAAAAGAAAUAAUAAACUUCCAUUAUUCUAUUUUAGAGACUUAAAAAGCCAUAUAUAACGGGUCUUCUUUUCUUAAGUCAAGUCAAUAAAAUAAAAGUAGAAGAAAUAAUGAACUUUCAUUAUUGUAGUUUGUCUUGCUAAAAGCCAUGUAUAACGGGUCUUCGUAAGUCAAAUCAAUAAAUCAAAUUAAAAGAAAUAAUAAACUUUCAUUAUUGUAUUUUAUCUUGUAGCGAGAGACUUAAAAAGCCAUGUAUAACGGGUCAUCUUUUCUUAAGUCAAGUUAAUAAAUCAAAUUAAAAGAAAUAAUAAACUUUUAUUAUUGUAUUUUAUAUUGUAGCAAGAAACUUAAAAAGCCAUGUAUAAUGGGUCUUCUUUUCUUAAGUCAAGUCAAUAAAUCAAAUUAAAAGAAAUAAUAAACUUUUAUUAUUGUAUUUUAUCUUGUAGCGAGAGACUUAAAAAGCCAUAUAUAACGGGUCAUCUUUUCUUAAGUCAAGUCAAUAAAUCAAAUUAAAAGAAAUAAUAAACUUUUAUUAUUAUAUUUUAUAUUGUAGCAAGAGACUUAAAAAACCAUGUAUAAUGGGUCAUCUUUUCUUAAGUCAAGUCAAUAAAUCAAAUUAAAAGAAAUAAUAAAUUUUUAUUAUUGUAUUUUAUAUUGUAGCAAGAGACUUAAAAAGUCAUGUAUAAUGGGUCUUCUUUUCUUAAGUCAAGUCAAUAAAUCAAAUUAAAAGAAAUAAUGAACUUUUAUUAUUGUAUUUUAUAUUGUAGCAAGAGACUUAAAAAACCAUAUAUAACGGGUCUUCUUUUCUUAAGUCAAGUCAAUAAAUCGAAUUGGAAGUUUUUCCUUUUUUUUUUUUUUUAAACCAACUUCUACUAUUACUUUUAUUAGUUAUUUUGAUCAUUUGAUUAAAUAUUGAAUUAUUAUUAUUUUUUUAAAAUUUUCAAGUACAAACCAUUUCAUGUUAAAAAAUUUAAAGUGGAUCUAACUUUCUUUACAAGUUAAGAUAUCUUGAUUAAAGGAUAAAUAAUGGAUUGUAAUAUUUCAACUUUAAUUAAGUUAAUUUAUCAAUAUUCAAACUAAGUUGGAGAAAAAAAAAAGACAACACCUCAAUUUUAGUUUUCCAUUACACAUGGUUAUUUCUUUUUCUUCUUUUUCUUUUGCUUAUUUGACACACAAUGGCAGCUCUAGUCAUCAUACCUUUCAAGACUCUAAACUCACACAAAUUUUCAAUCUUUUCAUCAUAUCUUUUAAAAUUCUUGUCACUCAUAAAGUAUUUAAGACUUAAUUUUAAUAAAUUCAUAUUUUUAUAACUAUAACUAAGAGCUUUGACCUAUUAAAAAAUGAAUCAAAAAUCGUUUGCAAGACAUUAAAAUUUCAUAAUUAUUUCUUUUACCUUAAAUGUAGUUGUUAUGUGUUUGCUAGUUCACAUAUUUGCAAUAUACCCUAGGAUGGUUGAGCUAUGUAACAUGCUUCUCGGAAUCAAUUCAUUCGGUUUUUUUUUUUUCCUUUUCCCUUUUGGUUCUACUCAUUUUAAUGUAAAGAAGAACCAAAACAUAUUCACUAGUUGAUUUUACCCUUGGUUGCACAACUAACCAUAUGGAGUCUAGACUUGAAAAUUUUAUGCAUUUUGGGUCUAACAAGUUAUGAUACUUAGACCUAGCAUUACAUGUGAAAGAAAACAAAAAAGUAAUAAUAAAAAUAUAAUUCUCAUUGGAAAAUUAAAAUUGUUAUGAAAUAUUUUAUUUUCUCAUAUGUUGUUUAGAUAUUGAUGGAUUGACUUGUUAAUUAAAGUUGAAAUAUUCUAAUAUUUUUCUGUCAUCAAGGUGUCUUAUGUGGUGACUCAAAAAUAGUAUUAAUAAAUGAUAAAAGAGAUUGUUGCUAAUCUUCAAAAUUAUAAAAAGUUUAUACACUUUGCUAGUCUUCAAAAUUAUAAAGCGUUUAUACUUUAAAAAAACAAAAUAAAUAAACAUUAGUCUAUAUUGAAUGUGUUAAUAUGAAGUACAUUGUAGCUAUAAUUUUUUAAAGGAUUAAAGAAAAAAACCAUUCAAUAUUUUGCUAGGUAUAAAAAAUCUUAUUUAUUACAAAUUAUUUUGUAGAUGAUGAAUCAUUGAUGAAGAUAGGCUAAGGAAUUUAUAAAAGGUAAAAAGUAAUUAUUCAUAUAAAUGAAAAGUGAAGGUUAUAUUUGUUAAGUAUCUUUAAAAGGGGAUUUCAAAACAUUACUUUCUCUAAUAAUAAUAAUGUAAACUCAAAAUAUAUGUAAAUGAAAAUAAAAAAUAGUAUUUUUAUAAACUUAAAAAUAAUAUAUUUGUUUUUUUAAAUAUUUUUAGUCAUAAUUAAAGGUCAUCAUAUCUGUCAAAAAUUUAUCUUUAUAUUAUUUAUUUUAAAAAUGAUUAUUCAUUAAGAAUCAUUUUGAUAAAAGGUAAAAAAUAAUUACCAUAUAAAUUAAAAGUGGAGGUUAUAUUUGUUAAUUAUUUAUAAAAGGGGAUUUCAAAACAUUACCUUCUCCAAAAAUAACAAUAAUAAUAAUAUAAACACAAUAUUGACUCAAAAUAUUAUGUAAAUGAAAAACUUAAAAAUAAUAUAUAUUUGUUUUUUUUUUUUUAAUAUUUUUAGUCAUAAUUAAACUUCAUCUACUCAUCACGUUUGUGGGAAUGGUAUAUAAGUCAAUGCCUGCUUUGCUCAGAAAUCAAAAACCAAAACUUGUUAAUCCUUGUUAUUACACACUAUCCUUGCUCUGUGUUGAACAUGGGUACAAGCCCCUUUCGAUAUUUUAUUUCCUUUUUUCUGCUUAUGCUAUGUUUUGAAGCCUGUUUGAGGGUGGGUGAUGCUAAAGUUGGGUGCAGAGAGAGGGAAAGGCAAGCACUCCUUCACUUCAAACAAGGUGUUGUGGAUGAUUUUGGAAUGCUUUCUUCUUGGGGGAAUGGGGAAGACAAAAGAGAUUGUUGCAAAUGGAGAGGAGUCGAGUGUGACAACCAGACGGGUCAUGUGAUCGUGCUUGAUCCUCAUGCUCCGUUUGAUGGAUAUUUGGGAGGUAAGAUUGGUCCUUCAUUGGCAGAGUUGCAGCACUUGAAGCAUUUGAACCUCAGCUGGAAUGAUUUUGAAGGUAAUUAUAUACAUAUAUACCUUGUGAAAAUUCAUCAAUUUGUCUCAGCAGAAUAUAAUUCUCUAUUUUUCCAAUUUUACAGGAAUUCUUCCCACUCAACUCGGAAAUCUUUCCAACUUGCAAUCCCUUGAUCUCGGCCAUAGUUUUGGGUUUAUGACCUGUGGAAACCUUGAGUGGCUUUCUCACCUUCCUUUGUUAACACACCUUGACUUGAGUGGGGUUCAUCUUAGUAAAGCAAUCCAUUGGCCACAAGCAAUUAAUAAAAUGCCUUCCCUAACUGAGUUGUACUUGAGUUAUACUCAGCUUCCUCCGAUUAUUCCAACAAUAUCCAUUUCCCAUAUUAAUUCCUCCACUUCUCUUGCUGUGCUUGAUCUCUCCGUGAAUGGUCUCACUUCUUCAAUAUACCCAUGGUUGUUCAACUUCAGUAGCAGCCUUGUUCAUCUUGACCUCUCUAUGAAUGAUCUAAAUGGUUCAAUUCCGGAUGCUUUUGGAAACAUGACUACUCUGGCAUAUCUUGGUCUCUAUGGGAACGAGCUACGUGGUUCAAUUCCGGAUGCUUUUGGAAACAUGACUAGUCUGGCAUAUCUUUAUCUCUCUUCAAAUCAGCUUGAAGGUGAGAUUCCGAAAUCCUUGAGAGAUUUAUGUAAUUUACAGAUACUAUACUUGUCUCAGAACAAUCUCACUGGACUGUUGGAAAAAGAUUUUCUGGCCUGCUCUAAUAACACAUUAGAGGUUUUAGAUUUAUCUCAUAAUCAAUUCAAAGGGUCAUUUCCCUGGCUUUCAGGAUUUUCACAGUUGAGAGAAUUAUAUCUUGAAUUCAAUCACCUAAAUGGAACUUUACCUGAAAGUAUUGGACAACUGGCUCAACUUGAAGUGUUGUCCAUUCGUUCAAAUUCAUUGCGAGGCACUGUCUUGGCAAACUACCUUUUUGGUCUCUCCAACCUGUCUGUCUUAGACUUAUCUUUCAACUCCCUUACAUUCAACAUAAGCCCUGAGCAAGUUCCCCAGUUUCAAGCCUCUCGUAUAAUGUUGGCCUCUUGCAAAUUAGGACCACAUUUUCCUAAUUGGCUUCAAACUCAAAAAUAUUUGUUGGACCUUGAUAUCUCUGCUUCUGGAAUUUCUGAUGUCAUUCCCAGUUGGUUUUGGAAUUUAAAUUCAGGUUUAGCAUGGUUAAACAUUUCCAACAAUCACAUCUCAGGCACUUUGCCAAAUUUACAAGGAAUAUUUUAUUUGGGAAUGUGGGAUAUGAGUUCAAAUUGCUUGGAAGGUUCAAUACCACAAUUUCUUUUCAAUAAUGAAUGGUUGUAUCUCUCCAAGAACAUGUUUUCAGGCUCAAUUUCUUUAUCUUGCCGGAUUGCUAAUCUGUCUGGUUCGGGUUUGUCCCAUCUUGAUCUCUCAAAUAAUCGACUGUCAGGAGAACUACCCAAAUGUUGGGAGCAGUGGAAACAUCUAAUUGUUCUUAAUUUGGCAAAUAAUAAUUUUUCUGGGAAAAUUAAAAAUUCAAUUGGCUUGUUAUAUCGGAUUCAAACAUUGCAUUUACGCAACAAUAGUUUAACCGGAGCAUUGCCUUUGUCCUUAAAGAACUGCAAAGAUUUGUGUCUUGUAGAUUUUGGAAGAAAUAAAUUAUCAGGCAAAAUACCUGCAUGGAUGGGAAGAAGCCUAUCAAGUUUGAUUGUUCUCAACCUAAGAUCCAAUGAAUUUAAUGGAGGCAUACCUUUAAAUCUAUGUCAAUUGAAAAAUAUUCAAAUGUUGGACCUCUCAAACAACAAUCUAUCUGGUACUAUACCAAAAUGUCUCAACAAUUUAAGUGCCUUAACUCAAAAAGGGAGUUUGGUCAUUUCUUAUUAUGAAGGAGAGUUGAAUGGUUGGAAGCUCUCCUAUCUUGAUAAUACAUUGGUUCAAUGGAAAGGAAAAGAACUAGAGUACACUAAAACUCUUGGACUUGUGAAGAGCAUUGAUUUUUCGAAUAACAAGUUAAUAGGAGAAAUUCCGUCAGAAGUAACUGAUUUGGUAGAAUUGGUGUCAUUGAACUUAUCAAGAAACGAUUUGAUUGGACCAAUCCCUGCAACCAUUGGUCAAUUGAAAUUAUUAGAUUCUCUUGAUCUAUCUCAAAACCAGCUUAAUGGUAGAAUUCCAGAUAGUCUUUCUCAAAUAGCUGGUCUAAGUGUUUUAGACCUAUCAAAUAACACCUUGUCAGGUAAAAUUCCAUUAGGCACUCAAUUACAGAGCUUUAAUACCUCCACAUACGAGGGAAAUCCUGAACUUUGUGGGCUACCUCUUUUGAAAAAGUGUCCAAAAGAUGAACCUGGGGAAGCCUCCUUCAUUGGUUUUAGUAGUAAAACAGAGGAUAUUCAAGAUGAUGCAAAUAAUAUAUGGUUUUAUGGAAAUAUCGUUCUUGGAUUCAUCGUCGGAUUUUGGGGAGUUUGUGGCACUUUACUACUCAAUAGUUCAUGGAGAUAUGCCUAUUUCAAGUUCUUGAACAAGAUAAAAGACCGAGUGUAUGUGACAACAACAAUAAAUAUGAAUAGACUAUGGAGGAGCUUCCAAAUUUAAAUGGUAAGAUUUCUCAAAUUCUCUCCUUAGUCUUUUUAAUAAAUUAUAUUACCUUAGUAGCCUCUUUCUAUUAUUGCUCAAAUCCCUAUUCUAUUAAUUAACUUACCUUCCACAACUUAUGGAGAUAAAAUAAGAUUUUUCAAAUAAAAAUAUCAUAUUUUAUUUGAUUAGAUGUGAAAUUCAACUAUAACUAAGGAAGCCUUGAAUAUUUUGAUAUACCAAAUAUAACAACACCACAUUUUUAGUUCUCAUUGUACAUAUAGAUAAAUGUUAUGGCUUGAGAAUCAUAGUUGAAAAAUUAUAAUUAUCACUAUUUUUUUCUCAUCUUGCUUUUACUUACAGUUGUACCUUUUGCUGAAGUUCAGUCAACUUGCUUUAAGAAUAUUUGAGGUUUUAUUGUAAGAAGCAUACUACCAUACUUUCCUUUAUAUUAAUCAAGAAAAGUAAAUUUGCUUCUAUUGAAGACAUUUUUUUCAAAUUGAUGAAUAUUAUUUCAUUUGUUGUAUUGCAGAACUUCAAUUGGGUUGCAUCUCAAGGAUUAGUAGGUAAUAUAUGCUUGUGAGUAAUGAGUUUAUUUAGUAUUGGACAGCCUGAAUGUAAGAGCAUUUGUGUUUAUUGAACUCAUCAUCUUAUAAAUAACUUUGGCGUGUAUUAAGUUUGUUUAUUUGAUAAUAGGCGUGGCUUAAGUUUCUUAUGUUAUGCUCUAUUUAGAGCGAAUCAAAUAUAUUAGAGGAUGAUAUCAAGUCCUUUGUGGUGCAAUGCUAGAAACUACUUCGCUUUAAAAAAAACGUUUUCUUUUGCUCAAAAACCAGUAGCAACUAAAGCCAUAAUUUAAAAUGGGACAUGGUAAGACUAAGAACAGAAACUGAGCACUCUGUUUUUCUGGUGCCCAAGCAUGGAAGUUAUUAUAAUAAAAAGAAACAGCUGGUCAGAAUAAAACAAAAUUCAAAACAUGGUGUUUCUCACAAUGCAUAUUGAGGCUUCAUCCACUGAUAUUCCACAACAGAUUAACCGUCAAAAACCCUUAUGUUGAGUAGGAGAAAAGAAGCUCCAUACUUCUCAGGACAUACAGAACAACACCUUGGGUAGAGACCUUGACCAUGCUUGCAGAAAUGUGUUUUUGGAGCAGCAAUCCGAAGUAUAGGAGGCUUCAUAUUUGGGAACACUCCUCAUUCAAUGUAUCAUUGUGACUGAGAUGACUACAUAUUGAGGUUUGAUCAGUUCUAGGAAGGUGACUGGUUAUCAUAAAGCAUUUACCAACCAUUCUUGAAUACAUACUUAUGUGAUUUAGCAGGAUGGAACUGCAACUAGUCAUUAAUUAAGCAACAAAAAUGGCUGUGGUAAGAUUCUGAGACAUUGAUUGUAUAUUCCAUUGUUUUUUAUUUGAGGUUAAAUUCGGCUUUUGUUUUUUUUACUUUUUAAUUCUCUACUGCUUACAUGCCUCUUGUAUCUGAAGAGGCUAAUUGUUCAUGCGGUUGAAUUUUGCAACAUUUUCUUAUUGUUCGGGGCUUAAGCUUCUGUUCAUUUUUUCAUUAUUAUGUUUUUGUGCUUUGUUUUUUAUGACUAAUCCCAUGCCACAUAGUGAAGUGUUCACAGAGAAUGACUGGAAAUUUGUCCAGCUUGGGCUUGCUCUAUUUUAGAACAUUUUAGCCAUUCAAGACAUCUCGUUGCAGUAGAAGGCUGGGAGUCUGCACGCCACUCAAUUUUUAUCUCUGAGUAACCAAUUUUUGGUGCUGUUAUUCUUCAUUGAUUUAGAAGAUGAGCUGUUAUUUUUGGGGAUAUCUGUGUUAUAAUACACAAUAGUAUGCAUUGGGAUAUGCUACUACUGAAAACAGAACAAUCUGUUUUUGUGGCGUCCAAGCAUAAAAGCUAUUGUCACACAGCGAGGUCUGAUUUCCAACUGUGAAUCAAAUUGCUCGAGGUACUUCAUAUGCAGAUCGCUGCAAGUGGCUUUGGCCAUCAAUCUCCUUCAGGGGAUGAUAAUAUUGAGAUUGCAGUGAAGGUUUGGGUGUUUGUCACAAUGCCUGUUGAAGCGUCAUCAGAUGAUAUUUAGUCAUCAGAUGAUAUUUAAUGACAGAUAGGGUAUCUGUGGGGUUGAAAUCUCAUUACAUGCGGCAACACAGUUCUUGAUAUUUAAUGACAGAACGGUAAGCGAACUUUAUAUGUAGUUUUUUCCCUUCUCAUGGGUUCAUUUGUAAGUGUCCCAAUUUUCAAACAGAUGAAUAAUGGAUGGUGAAAGUGUCCUACACAUCAUAGAACAAAGAACAAGGAACAAGGAUCAGGAGUUCCCUUUACCUCUUGGGAUCUGUGUUGACACAUCCAUCUCAAAUUUCACUACUUGCAUUUUCUUUUGGGAAGUUUUUAUUGAGGACAGAAUAAUAAAUUAGCAUAUAGCUCUGUGAUAUCUGUCUAACCAUGCUGGCUUUUCCAUUUUGCAGAUUUGCAUGCUAGAUUUAGUGCUUAAACUAUCACUGGAAGAUUCUAAAGAGCCUCAAACAGCCCACAUCCUUCUUUAAAAGUUAGAUUUAUGAUCAGACUGAUCAAGGGUUGACUCAUUUUCUCUUGAAUCUGAUCAAAUCCUUCGACUCUCAUACUAACCCAAAAGGUUUCCCCUUUCAUUUCAACAACUUAGAAGUUCAUUGUUGAUGAUGAUGUUGCUGUUAUAUUCAUUAUUAUUACAACUAAUUUGAUAAGCAAUUAUUGUUAUUAUUUUUCUUUAUCUUAUAACACAAUCAUAUGAUAAAUGGAAUAUAAUGUCAUGACUGCAUUGAAAUUCUUGACCAAACAGAAAAAUGGGAAAUUUUGCUGUCUAUUUUAAAGCAUUGUAAUCAAUAUAGGGUAUCAUGAUGAUGAAUCAAGUCAACCUUGCCCCUACACUUUUGUGGUUGUGAAUGCAUUGAAAGAAAGUAAUAAUUCAGUCUGUGAAUCAAACAGGCCAUUAGUUCUUCGAAAGACUGAUACUCGAGAUGAAUGGGAAUUUGAGGCUGUAAGGCUGGGACGAUGAUGUAAACGGCACUCGCCAAUGGGUUCCUGAAUGGUCUGCAGUUUCUAAUCCAUGUGAUAUUGCUGGGGCUUGCCCUGUGUAGCUUGGACUGAAGCAAAACUAAUGCCUCCAGCAUGUACAUGCCUGCUGGGGGCUUCUAAUGUGGGAGACGGCGGCCAGUGCUCAGAGAAUUCUUCGGUGUCAACCGCGAGAUGUGAUAAUAAUCAUCGGAAUUCGACUGCUUCCAAGCUGAAGAUGUCGAUAGUGCAGCAAACUAAGUACUAUUAUCUCAUUUUUCCGAUUAUAGCAAAUUACAGUAACAUCUCGCCAUUAUCACAGUGCGGUGAUGCUUGUUUAUCAGACUGUGAUUGUGCUGCUUCCGUGUUGGCUGCUAAACAACUUGGAGUUUGGUGGAUUCGAGGACACGAGUUCGACCUUGUUUGUGAAGGUUGGGCCUAAGGGAUCACCUGGAGGCAACGCAACAGGAUUUGGGGAUUCAUCUGAUGGCCUCUGAGACAAGGUCUUAGUUCUUCCAAUUGUUCUCAGCAUGACUGUCCUUGUAGGACGACUCUGCUUCUUGUUAUACCACAGUGUGUACAGGAGGAGGGCCUUGAAGAGAGCCCUGGAAAGCCCCUUGAUUGUGUCCGGCGCUCCAAUAAAUUUCAGUUACUGUGAUUUGCAGUGCAGAACCGGCAAUUUGCACAGGUCAGCAUGUACAUAUACAUAUAUAGACUUUGAAAAGGAUGAAAUUGCUUGAACAAAGCCAAUUAGACUUGAUCAAUGAGGAUUAAUGUUGUCUUCUUUUUUUUUUUUUUUUUCAUGAGAGUUUGGGAGUGUAUACAAGAUGGGACAUUGGUUGCAGUGAAGAAGCUUGACAAGCCUCUUGGGAAGAAGGAAUUCAUAACUGAAGUGAAAACUAUUGGCUCUAUGCAUCACAUGAACCUGGUUCAACUCUGCGGCUACUGCUCAGAAGGCUCUCACCAGUAUGCAUUUCAUUUCAUUGCCUAAUACCAAUUACCACUAACCAUAUUUAAAUUCUUAUCAUCCUCUUUGGGGGUCAAGCAUACUAUAUCUUCGAGCUUGUAAUGGGGUUGGAAUUUGAUGAUUCUUCACAGGCUUCUGGUUUAUGAGUUCAUGAAAAACGGUUUCUUGGACAAGUGGAUAUUUCCCUCAAAGCAUUGUCGGGACAGACUGCUAGAUUGGGGAACUCGCUUCCAUAUAGCCAUUGCUACUGCACAAGGUAUUGCUUAUUUUCAUGAGCAGUGCAGGAACCGGAUCAUCCACUGUGAUAUCAAGCCCGAAAACAUACUUCUAGAUGAGAAUUUCUAUCCAAAAGUUUCAGACUUUGGACUAGCAAAGCUGAUGGGCAGAGAGCAUUGACAUGUAAUCACUAUGGUGAGAAGAACUAGUGGUUAUUUGGCUCCAGAAUGGGUGAGCAACCGACUUGUUACUGUAAAAGCCGAUGUCUACAGUACAGAUAGCUUCUUUUGGAGAUCGUUGGUGGCUGGAGAAACCUUGACAUGACUUUUGAUGAAGAAGACUUCUUCAAUCCUGGGUGGGCUUUUAAGGUAUAGAUCAGUCAAGUUCUUGCUUUUGUAAAUCACAAAUUGUUAAGUGUUUGAUAUUUUAUUAACAAAAAUGUCAAUUCCUCUAGGAAAUGAGUAAUGGGACGACGAGAAAAGUUGCAGACAGGCGAUCGACUGGAAGGGGCAAUGGAGGAAGAAGAGCUGGAAGAGCAUUGAAAACCGGCUUUUGGUGCAUUCAAGAUGAGGCUUUCAUGAGGCCUUCAACGGGGGAAGUGGUGAAGAUGUUGGAAGGAUCACUUGAAAUCAACACACCGCCAAUGCCACAGACAGUGCUGUAGCCCAUGGACGAAGGCCUAGACAAUGUAUACAGAGCCAUGAAGAGAGAGUUCAACCAGUCCAGCUUCAUCACCAUCAAUAGUACCCAUCCUUCAUCAAGGGCUACAUGUAGUUAUUCCACAAUGUCACCAAGAUAGCAAAGGAGAAAUGGAACAAAUUUUGUUGCUGUCCAAGAAUUUUAUCCCCAUGAUACUUUGAUACUGUCCAGAAACAUAGUAUUUAUUGACCAUUUGUUAAACUAGUAGAGAACUUUGCAUAAUGUUGUUGCUAAGAUUUCAAAUGGUAAAAGAAAUUAUAUUAAUUGCGAAACAAAAACAUAAACAAUUAGGUUGAGGUACGGAAAUCUCGUUCUUUUAAAGGAGAUUUAAGCCAUUUCUAGUUUGACAAUUUCAGAAAUCGGUAUACUUGACUUCUCUUUGGUUUGUCCCCUCAAGGAUACAAUGGUCCAAGUGAUUUGUUGCAUAGCUCACGUCAAUAUGCAUAAAGCAUAGAACUCAAAGCUAGCGGUUCACAAACAAACCUAUUUUUUUUGGCCAAGAGAAAAUAAAUAAAUAAAAAGGAAGAAGGCAGAAGAUGACUAAAAAAAUGUGUUAAAGUUAUAUGACAUUAGGAGGGUGAGUCAAGGCUAAUCAUAAAGUUUGAAAUGUUCAACAAUUUCAAAAUAAUUCAAUCUCGAUAAAUCCCAUUAACAUAAAUGAUAUUUAAUAUUUUUUAAUUUCCAUAAUUUUACAUUUGUAACUACAAAUUUAAUAACCCAUUAUGCCAACUUUAAUCCCUAUAACUUUCAUAUAUAACCACAACGUUAGUAACUAGUUUCUUUAAUCCCAAAUCUCCAUUUUUUUGAACUUUUAAAAACUUUUUUGGACCUCAUAUGACUUAGAUAUUGAUUUGAUAGGUUAAUUAUGCUUAGGGGGUGUUCAAUUGAUGCUUGAAAAAAAUCAAAAUAAAAAAAGACUAAGAAAUGAGUAAGGAUACAAAGCAUGUCAAAAUAUGAUAUCCCACAUCGGAUAUGGAAGAAAGUUCUUGACACUAUAUAUGUAGAGACUCCUCUUAAUUAUGUAAACGUGUCUUAAAACCAUGAGGGUCCCUUUGGGUUUAAAGCGAACAAUAUCUAUACUACGAAAAAUGUGAUGAAUUCUCGCAUUCUUCAUACCCUCCUCCACUUCUUUGAACUUUAAAAAAAAAAAUUGAACAUCAUAUGAUUUUGAUAUUGAUUAAAUAGGUUAAUUACACUUGGUGGGUAUGAGAUUAAUGCCCGAAAGAAUUGAAAUCGAAAAUUUAAAAAAAAUUUUGAGGAUUCCUCACACUCUUCAUACCUUAUCAAAUUUCCACUUCUUUCAAUUUUUGAAAUCUUUUUUGAAUGUCAUAUGGAUUGAAUAUUGAUUAAAUAAGUUAAUUUAGAAGGUGUGAAAUUGAUGUCUGAAAAAAUCAAAAUCCAAAAAUAUUAAAAAAUUAGCAAAGAGUGUGGAAUUCCUUAUUGCUACUAAUUAUAUUAUUAUUAUUAUUUUGUAUUUUCAAUACUUCAACCAAUAUUUGAUGUGAUUAAAUUUAAAAUGUAAGAAAGAAUUUAUUAAUACAAUUUUCAAUUAAUAAUUAGUACACAACUAUCUUAAUUUUUAAACAUUGUAUACUUAUUUAAAUUUAUUUUCAUAUUUUUAUAAAAGUGUAAUUACACUUACAAUUUAUUGAAAUUUUUGUAAAGCUCCUGAGACGUAAAGGUUAUAUCACGAUACUGAAUUCUGCUAUGCUCGCCUUUCAAGCUCUGAUGCUCCACGCCUGCAGCUCCGUUCUUUGCAACUGAAAUACACCAUUAGCUAUGUCCGCCUGUGAUUAAUGCUCUUGCCAAUGGAGCCGGUGAAAUUUAUUUACAUUGUUUUUCUUUCCAAAGUAUUUUUUUAGAUGGAAAGAAAAAGAGACAAAUUAUAAAAAAUAAAUCUCCAAUACCAAUAUUUAAAAAUGAUUUAUCUAUUUGUCAACACAAUUUGAGUGGAAGAAUAAUCAAGACAUGUGAAAAUCUAUAUAUCAGGAAUCAAAUAGGGCCCAAGAACAGGUUCCAACAAGAACCAUCAAUGGGUUGCCCAAUCAAUAACAAAAGGCCCGGUCUCAUGGAUCACACAAAAUGGAGUCACCACACGAUAGGUUUAAACCCAAAUAUAAAUUUCAAGUUCAUAUUUUCAAUCCCAUUUAUAAUUUAUUUAUUCAAAUUAGAAAUCUAUUUAUCAAGAAUUAAGUUAGAGUGCAUGGAGACCAAAGUUAAGAGAGAGGAUCAUGCCAAGAUUUAAAAUGAACAAAAUAUUUAUGAUUUAUCUAUAAUAAAUAUUCAAAUAAUAUUAAAAAAAAAACUAAUUAUUUUGAUGAUCAUAAAAUAUAUCAUUAUUGAAAUACAAACAAAUUUAAAUAAUAAAAUCUUUUUUUAUCUUAAUAAUUAAAAGUUACAUAUUUAAUAAAAUUAAAAUUACUAAUAAUUUAAUAAAUCUUUGUGUCAUUCUUAUCAUAAUUUAAGUUGUCAACAUUAAUGAUAUAAGAUGAUGAAAUGUAUUUAAAUUUUUUAAUUAUUUAUAUAUUUUUAAUUUCUUAUAAUUAGUUUAAAUUUUAAUAAUAUAUAAAUUAUAUAUUUAUGAGAUUACCAAUUUGAUCACUGUUUAACCAUAAAUCAAUAAUUUUUCUCAUUGAAUAAUCAAUCUAAUUCUAAAAACAUUGAUAAAAACUAAAGAAUCUUUAUUAUAAAAAAAAUAAAAGAUGUAAAAAACAAAUAAUUUGACUAGUCAAAGUAAAGGUCAUGGGUGACUUUUGGAAGCCUAGAAUAACAUAGGAAAUGUACAAGAAAUCAUUGAGCUUGCCAUUUAUUUCAGUAUUUGGAGGAUAAUAUUUAAUUUUUAAUCAUAUAAAAACAAAAGUAUAUUUAAUUCAUUAUUUUCUAAUAUUAUCUUAGAAAUAUUUUUAGAGAUAUAUUUAUUUUAGAACUUAUUGAGGAUAUUAAUACAAUGAAUUUGAUAAAUGUAAUAUAAAAAUGUAUAAAGUCAUUAAUUUUUUUUAUUUAUUAAAUUUGAAAUAUACAUAUCAUGUAGUAAUUUUUUGAAAAAAAAGAUUACUUUUAUAAAGCCAAUUCAAGGAAAAAGAAAACAUAACACUAUCCUCACUUCUCCGUGGUGUUUUAUUUCAUAUUAGAAAUCCUUCUAAUAAAAUUUCCUUUCUAAAAAUUUUAAAAAUAUUUUUUAUAACUACAAAAAAAAAAAAAAAAAAAAAAAAAAAAGCAUUACACUUAUCUUAUUCAUUACACUUUUAGAUUAUGUUGGUUUUAUUGGGAGCAGGGGGAAGGGAAUGGGAAGGAGAAAGUAGGUUUGCUUACUUGGAAAUGCUAUUUACAGAGAGACGGGGGUUUAGCCAGCUGAGAUUUGAAACAAAGAAAGGAAAGCUGGUGAUGGUGGAUUGAAUAUAGAGAAUGUGGGGUUUUGGGGUUGGGAGGCAUAUAUUCUUGACUGUUACGGUAACAACAUUUAUGAAAUGGACACAGCCUCCCUGAUGGUAGUACUCCAAAACGAUGUCGUUUCAGGACCCAAAAAGACAGGGUUUUAUCUCCCUCACCGCAUUGUAAUUAUUAUUAUUACGAUGGUUAAAAUUAGGAGUCAAUUUCUUGGGAUAUUCCACUAAUAAAAAAUAAAUAUAUUAUUUAUUUUAUUUUAUUUUUUAUUUCACUUAUCUUAUCAUAUUGUAGACCCCCCAUACGGUGAGGGCUUUUGGGUUUUUUUUGUUUUUGUUUUUUUUGUUUUUUAUUUUAUUCUUCUGACCACCCUAGAAAUUAAGCUGCAUGGGGCGGCAGAUGGGAUGGGUGGCAGGGGGCAAGCGGUGGCUUGCUGAGGAAGACGAGAGAAAAUAAAAAAAAAAAGAGGAAAAGGAAAAGGGAGAUCUGCAGAGGGUGGGAGGACUUUUCCGGAGAGCAGAAGACACCACUGUCAGUUGGAGGGCUCAGGUAUGGCCAUCUUCUCAAUUUUGGGUCUUUCUUUUUCGCUAUUUUUACUCAAUUCAUGCUGUGAAUCUAUUCUUCUCUGUCAUUGGGCUUGUUGAUUAUUGCUUUGGCACCUUUCUCUCCGAACCCCAUGCUCGUCCCUGCCUCACCCACGUCCCACGCAUGGCCGUCACCCUCACCUAUCUUCCUCAUCACCUCUUUCUCCCUCUAAUCGCCAUACCCGACUCCACAAGGACUCCCAAGGUCGCUCUUCUGCACGCAUGGAGUCCAAGCAAGCAUGCUGCCCCUCCCCGCAUCUCCUUGCUGCGCGCACCGCGCCGACGAGGCGCUUGCUCGUCUCACCAGCCGUUGCCUCGCCGCCAACCGCCAUCACCCGCUCCGGCUACGCUCACAUCUGCUCUUGCUCCGGGACCGCGUCGCCGCUGCCAUCGCUCCAGGACCACGCCGCCGCUGCAAUCGCUCCAGGACUACGCCGCCGCCGCCAUUACCCGCGACAGCGCCACCGCUGCCAUAGCCCGCGGCAGCGCCACCGUCUUCGCCUGGAAGGGCGAGAUCCUCCCGAGGCCUAGGAGCUGUCCACCAAGCUUGGAGAAAUCCGUGACUCCGAGCACCGUCGCCGCAGCCAGACGCGAGGGGGGGGGGGGGGGGGGGAACUAGGAAGAAGAUGAAGUCUUGUUGGGCUUGGGCUAAGGCUAGGCCCAAUUUGUGUUUGGUUUUGGCUAGGCCCAGUUUUGAGUUUGGUUUUGGGUUUGGGUUAUGAAGGCUUUGGGCUUGGGUUUGAGUUUGGAGCCCAGGCCCAAGCCUAUGCUGAAGAUGGGGCCUUUGUCUUGAGCCCAUUUCUAUUAUUACCAUAAUUAUUAUUAUUGUUAUUUUUAAUUAUUAUUGUCAUUGCUAUUAUUAUUACUAUUAUUAUUAAUCAUUGUUAUCAUUAUAUUUACUACUAUUAUUAUUAAUCAUUAUUAUCAUUAUAAUUAUUAUUAUUAUUAUCAUUAAUUAUUAUUGUCAUUGCUAUCAUUAUUAUUAUUGCUAUUAUUAUUACUAUUAUUAUUAAUCAUUGUUAUCAUUAUAUUUAUUAUUAUUAUUAUUAAUCAUUAUUAUCAUUAUAAUUAUUAUUAUUAUUAUCAUUAAUUAUUAUUGUCAUUGCUAUCAUUAUUAUUGUUAUUAUGAUUGUUGCUAUUAUUAUUAAUCAUUGUUAUCAUUAUAUUUAUUAUUAUUAUUAUUAAUCAUUAUUAUAAUUAUAAUUAUUAUUAUUAUUAUUAUUAUUAUUAUUAAUUAUUAUUGUCAUUGCUAUCAUUAUUAUUAUUAUCGGCAUUAUGAUUGUUACUAUUAUUAUUAAUCAUUGUUAUCAUUAUAUUUAUUAUUGUUAUUAUUAAUCAUUAUUAUCAUUGUUAUUAUUAUUAUUAUCAUUAUUAUCAUUAAUUAUUAUUAUCAUUAUUAUUAACUCAACUUUCAAAAUCUAUUUAUCAUUAUUAUUAUUAUCAUUAAUCCAAACUUUCAACACCUAUUCAUUAUUAUUAAUUAUUAUCAUUAAACCCAACUUCCAAAAUCUCAUCAUUAUCAUUAUUAUCAAUUCACAUUUUCAACACCUAUUUAUUAUUAUUUAUUAUUAUCAUUAGUCCAAACCUCCAAGAUCUCAUCAUUAUUAUUAUAAUUAACUCAACUUUCAAAAAUCUAUUUAUUAUUAUUAUCAUCAUUAAUCCAAGCUUUCAAAAACCUCAUCAUUAUUGUUAUUAUUACCUCAACUUUCAAAAUAUUAUUAUUAUUAUUAUUAUUAUUAUUAUCAUUGAUUAAUACUUUCAAAACCUUAUUAUUAUUAUUAUUAUUAUUAUUAAUUCAAACUUUCAAGACCUUAUUAUUAUUAUUAAUUCAAACUUUCUAACUUCCAAUUUCCAAGCCCAAUUUAUAAAAAUUCAACCUUCAAAUAAUACUUCAAAAUUCCGACAUUUAAAAUUCAAUUCCAAUUUCCGAAAAUUCUCAUACUCACUUUAAUUUAUUUAAUCACUAAUACUUUAUUCAUUUAUUUUUAAAACUCCAUUCUUAAUCUAUUUAUUUAAAAUUUCUGUUUGCCGAAUUAAAUUCCGAAAAUUCCCAUUCUCACUUCAAUUUAUUUAAUCACUAAUACUUUAUUCAUUUAUUUUUAAAAACUCCAUUCUUAAUCUAUUCUUUAAAAUUUCCAUUUACCGAAUUAAAUCCCGAAAAUUCCUAUACUCACUUUAAUUUAUUUAAUCACUAAUACUUUAUUCAUUUAUUUUUAAAACUCUAUUCUUAAUCUAUUCUUUAAAAUUUCCAUUUACCGAAUUAAAUUCCGAAAAUUCCUAUACUCACUUUAAUUUAUUUAAUCACUAAUACUUUAUUCACUUAUUUUAAAACUAAUCUAUUCUUUAAAAUUUCCGUUUAUCGAAUUACAUUUCUAUUUUUGAAAAUUCCAGUAUUCACAUUAAUUUAUUUAAUUAUUAUUAUGUUAUUUAUUUAUUCUAAAAUUCUAUUUUAAACAAUUCAUUUAAAACUUUCGAUCUCUGAAUUAAAUUUCUAUUUCUGAAAAUUUCACUAUUCACAUUAAUUUAUUUAAUUAUUAUUAUGUUAUUUACUUAUUCUAAAAUUCCAUUUUAAACAAUUCAUUAAAAUUUCCGACUUUCGAUUUUAAUUUCUAAUUCCAAAAACUCCAAUAUUCGCAUUAAUCUAUUUAAUUAUUAUUAUUUUAUUUAUUUAUUCUAAAAUUCUAUUUUAAACAAUUCAUUUAAAACUUUCGACUUCCGAAUUAAAUUUCUAUUUCUGAAAAUUUCAAUAUUCACAUUAGUUCAUUUAAUUAUUAUUAUUUUAUUUAUUUAUUCUAAAGUUCCGUUUUAAACAACUCAUUAAAAUUCUCGACUUCUGAUUUAAUUUAUAAUUCCAAAAUUCCAAUACUCACAUUAAUCUAUUUAAUUAUUAUUAUUUUAGUUAUUUAUUUCGAAAUUCCAUUUUAAACAAUUCUUCAAAAUUCAAAAUUCGGAACUUAAUUUCCAAUUUCCAAAAUUCUAAUUUCUUUCAAAUUUAAUAUCCAAAAUUCCAAUUCUUAAAUUUAAUUCUCAAGACUCCAAUCUUCAAAUAAUUUUCGAGACUCCGAUUUCCAAAUAAAUAUCCAAAAUCAAGUUUUUACUCCAAUAGUUUUAAUUCCAUUUCGGUUCUUAAAUAAUCUUUUGAUCUUCUGGAUUUUACAUAAGCAAUAAUGAAUUCUUCAUAAUUCUAAAACAUGGAAUUUGUGAGAUUAGUUCAUGAACAAUAAAUUGGGCUUUGGUGGGGGGGCCAUAUGAUUGAUCCCUAUUGAUUGUCAACUGUUGUGCUUGAUAUAUUUUGCUCGAUCUUCAUUUUGCGCUCCGAUAUGCAUGAGCUAUAAUUCGUAUUCGUUAAUUGUGUACUAAUCCCGUUUCUUGAUAGCGCAUUGUGGCUCGUGGCUCAGGUACGCACACAUUUUCAUUUUGAUCAUUCUCUAUGCAUGUUGGAUUUUCAUAUGUGCAUGAUUUGACUUAGGCAUCCAUUGAUUGUCACGUCGGCUUCAUUUUAUUAGUAGAGACCCGACUUUAGGGGCUUAGAGGGGUGCUACGGUCUUUACCGUACCUUCCCGAUGAGUAACCUGACCCCCGAACCCGAUCCGAUUUUUCACAGACCACCUUUUCCAAAAUAAGGAGUCACACUUAGGGUUUUUCUUUCUUAUUUUGUUUACCCUUUUAAAAUAAAACAAAAAUAAGUGGCGACUCCAAGUCAUUUUCAAAUAGUCAAUAAAAAUCAAUUUUCCUAAAUAAACAUCGAGCUCGCCAUUGAGUGGGAAACGCAUUGAGCCGAAAUGCGGGGUCCACACAUAUAUUUAACUAAAUAUGACAUAAGAUAAACUAUGAGAUAUAUUAUUUGUUUUAUUUUUUAUAAAUAUGUUAAUACCAAGUUAAAUUAUAUAAAAUACACAUAUCCCCUGUAUUAUAAAUUUAUUUAUUUAUUUAUCUAUUUUUAAUUUAUAAAAUAAUUUUUUUAUAAUAAAAUAUAAUUUAUGGUUAAAAAGAACUCAAAAAUUUAUAAAAUAUAUUAUAAAAUAAUAUUAAUUAUAUGUAUUAUUUAAUAUAUAAAUUAUUUUUAUAUAUUUCAAAUAACAUAAUAUAAAAAAAUUAUUUAUAAAGUUUAAAUAUUUUAAUCAUGAAUAUUUUUAUAUUUUUUUAAAUAAAAAAUAUUAGAAUAUAAUAUAAAUUUUAUUUUAAAAUUUUAAAAAUAAUAUAUAUUCUAUUUUAUGUUUUUAUUCAUUUUAUAAACUAAAUAUAAAUCUAAUAUAACAUGUUUUAUUGGAUAUCUUAGUUUAAGAUAUCAUAUCCAUUGCAUAUAAUAUAUCACAUUCAAUUGAAAAUCAUAUAGCAUGAGAUAUGAUAUUUCAAGAUAUAUAUACAUAUAUAUUUUAUCCAAUGAACCAACAUAAUCUAAAUUAGUUAUAAAAUAUAUUAUUUUUAAAAGUGUUUAUUUCUUAGUCAUUACACUUUAUUAUUAUUAUUAUUAUUAUUAUUAUUAUUAUUAUUAUUAUUAUUAUUUUCUUUAUUUUUUUCACAUGCAAUGAUAGUUUCUAGUCAUCAUGCCUUGCAAGACCCAAUACUCACAAAAUUUACAAGUUUACUCAUCAUAUCUUUUAAAUUUUUUGUUACUCCUAAAGUAUUCAAGACUUUUAGCAAUGUCAUAUCCUUAUCACUACAACUAACAACUUUGACCAAUUCAAAAAAUGAACUUCACAUGCAAUAGUAGUUCUAAUCAUCAUGUCUUGCAAGACCCGAUAGUUACAAAAUUUUCAAGUCUACUAUUCAUCAUAUCUUUUAAAAUUUUGGUUACUCAUAAAGUAUUCAAGACUUUUAGCAAUGUCAUAUCCUUAUCAUUAUAACUAAGAACUUUGCCCAAUUCAAAAAAUGAACUUCUCAUGCAAUAGUUCUAGUCAUCAUGCCUUGCAAGACCCGAUAGUUACAAAAUUUUCAAGUCUACUACUCAUCAUAUCUUUUAAAAUUUUGGUUACUCAUAAAGUAUUCAAGACUUUUAGCAAUAUCAUAUCCUUAUCAUUACAACUAAGGACUUUGCCCAAUUCAAAAAAUGAACUUCACAUGUAAUAGUAGUUCUAGUCAUCAUGCCUUGCAAGACCCGAUAGUUACAAAAUUUUCAAGUCUACUACUCAUCAUAUCUUUCAAAAUUUUGGUUACUCAUAAAGAAUUCAAGACUUUUAGCAAUGUCAUAUCCUUAUCACUACAACUAAGAACUUUGCCCAAUUCAAAAAAUGAAUUUCACAUGCAAUAGUAGUUCUAGUCAUCAUGCCUUGCAAGACCCGAUAGUUACAAAAAUUUCAAGUCUACUACUCAUCAUAUCUUUUAAAAUUUUGGUUACUCAUAAAGUAUUCAAGACUUUUAGCAAUGUCAUAUCCUUAUCACUACAAUUAAGAACUUUGACCAAUUCAAAAUAUGAACUUCACAUGUAAUAGUAAUUUUAGUUAUCAUGCCUUGCAAAACCCGAUACUUACAAAAUUUUCAAGUCUACUACUCAUCAUAUCUUUUAAAAUUUUGGUUACUCAUAAAAUAUUCAAGACUUUUAGCAAUUCAAAAGUGCAUGCUUUAGAAAGUUAUUACUUUUUGUAGUUUAAAUGUGAGUGUUAUGUAUUUGUCUUUUCACAUAUUUAUAUAUAACCUAGAUGGCCAAUCAGGCCAUUACCAUACAAUUUUUUUUUUUUUUUUAUAUAUAAUCUCAUAAAGCAUUUUCAAUUUUUUUUUAUAAUGUAUAUAAAAUAAUGUCAAUCCAUUUACACUUACGAAAAUGAUUUUUCUUAAAAAUGUCAAAGGCAACGAGGUAUGAAUAUUUUUAUAUCUGGAAACUGCAGGGACCCACUAAGGGGAGUACAUGCUAUUAGUGUCGGUGAGGAGAAGAUAGAGGAAACACAUUGGGGGGUGAGUCAAGGAGGAAGGGGCGUGCCGCCCUGCCGGGAGCGUGGUGGCAUGAAUUACUUGGGCGGAGCGAGAUGUCACGUGGACCGCGCUUUGCGCGGACACGCGGCGACCUGCAGAUCCGGAGGGGCGACGUUGUCUAACGAAUUUUAGAAAUUCGUGCCACUAGCCAUAUGGAUUUUGGACUAAAAUAAAAAACAAGACUUUAUUUUUGUUAUUUCUUUUAUAAGGAUGUCAUAAUUAAUAAUUCAAAAAUGUUAAUAAUUAAUUAUUAAAGAGAUUUUUGCUACUCUUCGAAAUUAUAAAAAAGUUUAUACACUCAUAAAACAAAUAAAUGUAUCUUCUAAUAAAUAAAUUUUUAUUAAAAUAAAUAAAUAUAUAUCUAAUUUUGAAUUUAUUAAUAUGAAGUAAAUUGUAUGUAUCUUAAGUUAGAUUUCUUAUUGAUUAAAAAAAAAGACCAUUCAAGGUUUAGCUAGAUGAAAAAAAAAUCUUUAUUUAUUAGAAAAUUCAAUUUUUUUUGAAUGAUGAAUCAUUGAUAAUGAUAUAUAAAAAUAAUUUAUAUAUCAUAUAUUAAUAUUACUUUAUAAAUAUUUUUAGUUUUUCUUUUUUAACCAUAAAUUUAAUUUAUAAUUAAAAAAAUUAUUUUAUAAAUGGUAUCUCUUGUCAUCAUACCUUUCAAGACUCUAAGCUCAUAAAAAUUUUCAGUAUUUUCAUCAUAUCUUUUAAAAAGCCAUGUAUAACGGGUCUUUUUUUUCUUAAGUUUAAGUCAAUAAAUCAAAUUAAAAAAAAUAAUAAACUUUCAUUAUUGUAUUUUAUAUUGUAGCGAGAGACUUAAAAAGUCAUGUAUAACAAGUCUUCCUUUCAUAAGUCAAGUCAAUAAAUAGAAUUAAAAGAAAUAAUAAAUUUUCAUUAUUGUACUUUGUCUUGUAGCAAGAGACUUAAAAACCCAUGUAAGAGGUCUUCAUUUCUUAAGUCAAGUCAAGUCAAGUCAAUAAAUCGAAUUGGAAGUUUUUCCUUUUCUCUUUUUUUAAACCAACUUCUACUAUUACUUUUAUUAAUUAUUUUGAUCAUUUGAUUAAAUAUUAAAUUAUUAUUAUUUUUUUUCAAGUACAAACCAUUUCAUGUUAAAAAAUUUAAAGUGGAUCUAACUUUCUUUACAAGUUAAGAUAUCUUGAUAAAGGGAUAAAUAAUGGAUUGUAAUAUUUCAACUUUAAUUAAGUUAAUUUAUCAAUAUUCAAACUAAGUUGGAGAAAAAAAAAAAACAAAGACAACACCUCAAUUUUAGUUUUCCAUUACACAUGGUUAUUUCUUUUUCUUCUUUUUCCUUUGCUUCUUUGACACGCAAUGGUAUCUUUAGUCAUCAUACAUUAAAAAAAACAAGAUAAAGAAACAUUAGUCUACAUUGAGUGUGUUAAUAUGAAGUACAUUUUGUAGAUGAUGAAUCAUUGAUGAAGAUAGGCUAAGGAAUUUUUUCGGUCUAUAGAAUGACUUGUUAAUUAAAGUUGGAAUAUUAUAGUACUUUAUUUUUAUUAUCUCUUUAUCAAGAUGUCUUAAUUAAUGAUUCAAAAAUGUUAAUAAUAUCAUAAAAGAUAUUUUUUCUACUCUUGAAAAUUAUAAAAAAAGUUUAUACACUCAGAAAACAAAUUAUCUUCUAAUAAAUAAAUUUUAUUAAAAUAAAUAAAUAUAUGUCUACUUUGAAUUUAUUAAUAUGAAGUAAAUUGUAGGUAUCUUAAGUUAGAUUUCUUAUUGAUAAAAGAAAAAGACCAUUCAACAUUUAACUAGAUGGAAAAAAAAUCUUUAUUUAUUAGAAAAUUCAAAUUAUUUUUUGAAUGAUGAAUCAUGGAUAAGGAUAAAUACUCUAGAUGGGUCAAAUAUGGUAGAUAACUUGGUUCCAAUAAAUAUUACAUUAAAUUUUUUUGGAACUUAUAUUUCUGCUAACUAAAAGCAACCUCUAUAUGGAUUCAAUAUAGAGGAUGGUGUGACCGUAAAGUUAUUUCUUUAAAUUUUUGGCCGUAUAUUGUCACUUAACUACCACUUAUAAUAAUAAUAAUGAUGAUGAUGAUAGAGGAAACUGCAUGGGACCCACGAAGGCAUGGGGAGUACACGCUAUUGGUGUCGGUGAGGAGAAGAUAGAGGAAACACAUUGGGGGGUGAGUGAGGGAGCAAGGGCGGGAUGGAGUCAACAAGAGUGUUGACUGAGGAUAAUAAAGGGGCACGCCGCCCUGCCGGGAGCGUGGUGGCAUGAAUUACUUGGGCGGAGCGACAUGUCACGUGGACCGUGGCGACCUGCAGACCCGGAGGGGUAGCGUUGUCUAACGGAUUUUAGAAAAUUCGUGCAACUAGCCAUAUGGAUUUUGGAAUAAAAUAAAAAAUAAGACUUUAUUUUUGUUAUUUCUUUUAUCAAGAUGUCUUAAUUUAUAAUUCAAAAAUGUUAAUAAUAAAUUAUAAAAGAGAUUUUUGCUACUCUUCGAAAUUAUAAAAAAGUUUAUACACUCAUAAAACAAAUAAAUGUAUCUUCUAAUAAAUAAAUUUUUAUUAAAAUAAAUAAAUGUAUAUCUACUUUGAAUUUAUUAACAUGAAGUAAAUUGUAGGUAUCUUAAGUUAGAUUUUUUAUUGAUUAAAGAAAAAGACCAUUCAAGGUUUAACUAGAUGGAAAAAAAAUCUUUAUUUAUUAGAAAAUUAAUUUUUUUUUAAUGAUGAAUCAUUGAUAAUGAUAUAUAAAAAUAAUUUAUAUAUAUCAUAUAUUAAUAUUAUUUUAUAAAUAUUUUUAGUUUUUCGUUUUUAACCAUAAAUUUAAUUUAUAAUUAAAAAAUUUAUUUUAUAAAAUAAAUAUAUAAAAAAAUAAAUUUAUGAUAUAUGAGAUAUACAUAUCUUAUAUCUUAGUAUAGAAUUAACAUAUUUCGUGUAAAAGGAAUAAAAAAAGAGUGAAUAAUAUAUUUCACCACUUAAACUAUCUCAUCAUUAAUUAAAUAUAAAAUUUGAUGUAAUAUCUUCUCUUUUAUCCUGUAUGAUGUUACAUUUGAUCAACCAAACAUAACCUAUAAAGUUAAAAUUAUAGAAAUGAAAUGUAAGAGACCUUACUGAAAAAUAGAAAGUAAAAUGAUUGAUUUUUGAAAGUAAAUAUUGAUAAUAUUAUAAAAUUUUCACUAACAUAAAUUAAAAAAUUCAAGGAAAAAAAAAACAUAACACUAUCCUCACAAUUCCGUGAUAUUGUUUUUUUCAUAUUAGAAAUCCUUAUAAUCAACUUUCCUUUUUAUACGUUUUAAAAAGAAUUUUUAUUACUAAUUUAGAUUAAAAAAAAAAAAAAAAACCUUUCAACCAACCACACAUGUGACAUGGUGGUUGUUUUUAAAUUUCAAUAAAAGAUUUUAUAAUUAUUAAGAAAAGAAAAAAAUGUUAAAAAAAAAUGAUUAUUUUUUUUUAUUAUGAAAUAUACGAAAGUAAAAAUAUAUAAUUAAAAUUAAUAAAAAAACUAAUAUAUUUUAAAAUUAUUUACUUUUUAUUUUUAAAAAUUAAAUAAAUAAAAUAAAUUUAAAAUAAAAUAUAAAAAUAAUUUAUUAAUUUUAAAUUUAUUUUUUAUUUCUCUCUCACUUGUUCUUUAAGACGUGUUGUGUGUAAAAUACCAUAAAACAAGUCAUAUCACCAUGCUCAAGAUUUCAACAUGGUAGGUGUAGGUUUUGAAGACUUUUCCAUAUGAUUAAUACUUGGAUACCUGAAUUUUCUUUGGGUGGGGUUGGGCUUCUGUAAGUUUCUCUGCAAUUUUCUCCUACUUGGAAACAAAGGAAUGGUCAAAGAGAGGAACUCAGUGAAGAGAAGAUUGAAACGGACUGGAUACACCCUCGCUUGCUCCGAAGGUUGGUAUGAUCUUCAUGGUCGGUAGGCCUUCUCAAGUCUCCAUGCAUGCCUCAUUUUUCCCAUAUGAUAAAUCAAUGGUAGGAAGAGCGAGCUUCACACGAACAAACACAAUAAAAUCAUUAAAUUUUUGGAAUAAUAAUAUGAUGAAGUUGAUAAAUGAUAAGGAUUAGGAAGAUGUUUAAUGAAAUUUUAAACUAAUAAUAAUUAGAUGUAUUUAACCUAAACUUUUGGAGAGAUUAAUGAAAUUAAUCAUAUAAAAAUUUCUCUAAUUUUAAUUUUAGAAUAAAUAUUAACAAUAUUUUUUUCAAAUAUAAAUAAUAAUAUUUGGAAAACAUCAUCAGUAAAUUGCCUUUUCAAUUUUUUGUCUAAUUGUCAUUUUAAAUGAAUAUUAAAAUCCUUUUAGUAAAAUUUAUGAAUUUAGUAAAAUAUUAAUAUCUAUAUUUUAUAAAUUUUAAUAAAGUUUUAUUAUUUUUAAUAAAAAAAAAAUUAUAUAAGUUGUGUUUGUCUUAUUAGUAUCACUAUUUACAAAAUUUAUCUUUAUAUUAUUUAUUUUAAAAAUUAUUAUUUAUUAAGAAUCAUUUUUAUAAAAGGUAAAAAAUAAUUACCAUAUAAAUAUAAAUUAAAAGUCGAGGUUAUAUUUGUUAAUUAUUUUUAAAAAGGGAUUUCAAAACAUUACUUUCUCCAAAAAUAACAAUAAUAAUAUUAUAAACACAAUAUUUACUCAAAAUAUUAUGUAAAUGAAAAACUUAAAAAUAAUAUAUAUUUGUUUUUUAAAAAAUAUUUUUAGUCAUAAUUAAAGGUCAUCUACUCAACAUGUUGGUGGGAAUGGUAUAUAAGUCAAUGCCUGCUUUGCUCACAAAUCAAAAACCAAAACUUGCUAAUCCUUGUUAUUACACACUAUCCUUGCUCUGUGUUGAACAUGGCUACAAGCCCCUUUCGAUAUUUUAUUUCCCUUUUUCUGCUUUUGCUCUGUUUCGAAGCCUGUUUGAGGGUGGGUGAUGCUACAGUUGGGUGCAGAGAGAGGGAGAGGCAAGCUCUCCUUCACUUCAAACAAGGUGUUGUCGAUGACGAUGGAGUGCUUUCUUCAUGGGGGAAUGGGGAAGACAAAAGAGAUUGUUGCAAAUGGGCAGGAGUGGAGUGUAACAACCAGACGGGUCAUGUGAUCAGGCUUGAUCUUCAUGACCAAUCUUUGGGAGGUAAGAUAUCUCAGCUUGGUCCUUCAUUGGCAGAGUUGCAGCACUUGAAGCAUUUGAACCUCAGCUAUAAUGAUUUUAAAGGUAAUUAUAUACAUAUAUACCUUGUGAAAAUUCAUCAGCUUGUCUCAGCAGAAUAUAAUUCUCUCUUUUCCCAAUUUUACAGGAAUUCUUCCCACUCAACUUGGAAAUCUUUCCAAUUUGCAAUCCCUUGAUCUCGGCAGUAAUUAUGGGCAUAUGAGCUGUGAGAACCUUGACUGGCUUUCUCACCUUCCUUCGUUAACACACCUUGACUUGAGUGGGGUUUAUCUUAGUAAAGCAAUCCACUGGCCACAAGCAAUUAAUAAAAUGCCUUCCCUAACUGAGUUAUACUUGAGUGAUACUCAGCUUCCUCCGAUUAUUCCAACAAUAUCCAUUUCCCAUAUUAAUUCUUCUACUUCUCUUGCUGUGCUUCAUCUCUCCUUGAAUGGUCUCACUUCUUCAAUAUACCCAUGGUUGUUCAACUUCAGUAGCAGCCUUGUUCAUCUUGACCUCUCUAUGACUGAUCUAAAUGAAUUAAUUCCGGAUGCUUUUGGAAACAUGACUACUCUGGCAUAUCUUGAUCUCUCUUGGAACGAGCUAUGUGGUUCAAUUCCGGAUGCUUUUGGAAACAUGACUACUCUGGCAUAUCUUGAUCUCUCUUUGAACGAGCUACGUGGUUCAAUUCCGGAUGCUUUUGGAGACAUGACUACUCUGGCACACCUUGACCUUCAUUCUAAUCAUCUAAAUGGAUCAAUUCCGGAUGCUUUUGGAAACAUGACUAGUCUGGCAUAUCUUGAUCUCUCUUCGAAUCAACUUGAAGGUGAGAUUCCGAAAUCCUUGACAGAUUUAUGUAAUUUACAGGAAUUAUCUCGGAACAAUCUCACUGGACUGAAGGAAAAAGAUUAUCUGGCCUGCCCUAAUCACACAUUAGAGGUUUUAGAUUUAUCUUAUAAUCAAUUGAAAGGGUCAUUUCCCGAUCUUUCUGGAUUUUCACAGUUGAGAGAAUUAGAUCUUGAAUUCAAUCAACUAAAUGGAACUUUACCUGAAAGUAUUGGACAACUAGCUCAACUUCAAGUGUUGUCCAUUCGUUCAAAUUCAUUGCGAGGCACUGUCUCGGCAAACCACCUUUUUGGUCUCUCCAACCUGUCUUACUUAGACUUAUCUUUCAACUCCCUUACAUUCAACAUAAGCCUUGAGCAAGUUCCCCAAUUUCGAGCCUCAGGUAUAAUGUUGGCCUCUUGCAAAUUAGGCCCACGUUUUCCUAAUUGGCUUCAAACUCAAGAAUUUUUUAGCGAACUUGAUAUCUCUGCUUCUGGAAUUUCAGAUGUCAUUCCCAAUUGGUUUUGGAAUUUAACUUCAGAUUUAAAAUCGUUAAACAUUUCCAACAAUCACAUCUCAGGGACAUUGCCCAAUUUAACUUCAUAUCCAUCUUAUUUGGGAAUGGAUAUGAGUUCAAAUUGCUUGGAAGGUUCAAUACCACAAUCUGUUUUCAAUGCUAGAUGGUUGGAUCUCUCCAAGAACUUGUUUUCAGGCAUUUCUUUAUCGUGUGGGACUCCUAAUCAGCCUGGUUGGGGUUUGGCUCAUCUUGACCUCUCAAAUAAUCGACUGUCAGGAGAACUACCCAAUUGUUGGGAGCAGUGGAAAGAAUUAAUUGUUCUUAAUUUGGCAAAUAAUAAUUUUUCUGGGAAAAUUAAAGAUUCAAUUGGCUUGUUACAUGGGAUGCAAACAUUGCAUUUACGUAACAAUAGUUUUACUGGAGCACUGCCUUCAUCCUUAAAGAACUGCAGAGCUUUGCGUCUUAUAGAUUUGGGAAAAAAUAAAUUGUCAGGAAAAAUAACAGCAUGGAUGGGAGGAAGUCUGUCAGAUUUGGUCGUUCUCAACCUCAGAUCUAAUGAAUUUAAUGGAAGCAUACCUUCAAGUCUUUGUCAACUGAAACAGAUUCAAAUGUUGGACCUCUCUAGCAACAAUCUAUCAGGAAAGAUACCAAAAUGUCUCAAAAAUUUAACUGCCAUGGCUCAACAAGGAAGUCCGGUCCUUUCUUAUGUAGCAUUUUACGGUUUGGAUAUCCCACAUUACUAUGUUGAUAGUACAUUGGUUCAAUGGAAAGGAAAAGAACAAGAGUACAAGAACACUCUUGAACUCAUCAAGAGCAUUGAUUUUUCAAGCAAUAAAUUAAUUGGUGAAAUUCCUAUAGAAGUAACUGAUUUGGUAGAAUUGGUGUCAUUGAAUUUAUCAAGAAACAAUUUGAUUGGAUCAAUCCCUACAACAAUUGGUCAAUUGAAAUUAUUGGAUUUUCUUGAUCUAUCUCAAAACCAACUUAAUGGUAGAAUUCCGGAUACUCUUUCUCAAAUAGCCGAUCUAAGUGUUUUAGACCUAUCAAAUAACACCUUGUCAGGUAAAAUUCCAUUAGGCACUCAAUUACAAAGCUUUGAUGCCUCCACAUAUGAGGGAAAUCCUGGACUUUGUGGACCACCUCUUUUGAAAAGGUGUCCUGAAGAUGAACUUGGGGGAGUCUCCUUCACUAGUGGUCUUAGUAGUAAAAAAGAGGACAUUCAAGAUGAUGCAAAUAAUAUAUGGUUUUAUGGAAAUAUUGUUCUUGGAUUCAUCAUCGGAUUUUGGGGAGUUUGCGGCACUUUACUAUUCAAUAGUUCAUGGAGAUAUGCCUAUUUCCAGUUCUUGAGCAAGAUAAAGGAUUGGUUGUACGUGACAACAAUAGUAAAUAUGAAUAGAAUACGAAGGAGCCUGCAAGGUUAAAUGGUAAGACUUCUCAAAUUCUCUUUUUAGUUUUUCGGGUAAAAUGUGUUAACUUCUAUUUAUUAUCCAACAAUUAAGAAUAAAAAGUACACUUUAUGCUACUACUCAAAUCCCUCUUCUAUUAUUUGAUUGACCUUCCACAAUAUAUUGAUGAAAGCUUAGAUUUUGCAAAUAGAAGCAUCGAUAAAAUAAGCAAGCCUAGAAGAUUUUAAUAUACUUUUUUGUAAUAGUUGUGCAUAUUUAGCUUUCAUUGUGUGAAGAUUAAUCUUAUAGGUCAAGGAUCAUUGUUAAAGAAUUAUGAUUAUCAGUAUUUUUAUUUCUAUCUUACUUCAAGUUACAAUUUUUUCUUUUAAAUGUUAAGUUAAUUUGUUGUCUUCAAAUAUUAUAAGUACAUUAAAAGUUCAAUUGUAAGUAACAUACUAAAACCUUCCUUUCUACUAAUCAAGAAGAGUAACUCUGGAACUAAGAAAUUAUUCCAAAUUGAUGAAUGUUGUUGCAUUUCAUCUUUGUAUUACAGGACUUCAGAUGGGUUGCAUCUCAAGGAUUAGUAGGUGAUAUAUGCUUUUGAGUAACGGGAGUAUUUAUGAUGGGAUAAUUACAUGCCUUAAUGCAAAAGCUUGCCAUCGGAUAAAUGACAUCGGCUUGUAUUAAGUUUGCUUAUUUGGUAGUUAGCAUGACUUUAAGUUUCUCGUGUUAUAUUCUAUUUAGAACUUUUUAAACAUUAAUUCUUGCUAUUAUAUGUACGACUUUGUAUUUUGUUGCUCUAAAAUUUAUUUGUUAUUUUUGUAGAAUCAAAUAUUAAAGGCCUUUGUAGGGGGAUGCUAAAAAAUACUUCAUCUUAGAAAAAUAUUUUUUUUUUUGCUCAAAAACAAAGUUUAUUUUUGGGGAAAUGCAAUGUGAUAAUACCCAUUAGUACGAAAUGGGAUAUGCUACUACUGAAAACAGAGCACUCUGUUUUUCUGGUGCUCAAGCAUGAAAGCUACUGUAACACAGAGAGGUCUGAUUUCCAACCGUGAAUCAAAUUGCUUGAGGUACUUCAUAUGCAGAUUGAUGGAAGUCACUUUGGGCAUCAAUCAUCUUCAGGGGACGAUGAUGAUGGGAAUUGGAUCAGCGGUGGUAAAGACCAACUAUGGAAAGUUUAUUAAAAAGCUCCCAUUUCUUUAUUUUGGUUUCUGCUUUUGUAAAUAACAGUGUUAUCCAAAAUUUGUGUUGGUUGCUCAAGUUUUGUAAAAGCUAUUCAACCAAUACGAAUCGCUACAUAAUAUGCAUUUUGCAGAAGAUCUGUGAUGAUUUGGAGCUCUCUCCAAUGCUAUACCAGGUUAGAAUUGAAAUAAGCAUCUUAUUUAGGAAUAGUUAACAACGACGAAGAAAUGCAAUCUAUAUGUGUUUUUUGUUCCACUGAAUUUUGUAGUAAUCAACUUAUGGAAGAAGUUAGAGCUGUUGGAGAAGAAAGUGCUCUUCAUGUUUGCUCAAACAAUUCAGAGGGAAGUUUAGUGAGACAAUUUUUAACUUUAUUUCCAUUUACUCUUUGUCAUGAGAGCAAUUUUUGUGCUUAAUUGGAGCUUGAGCUUUUGCUUUGGUAGUUGUGAAGUUGCAAACUGUUAUUGGAAUAAGAAGCCUCUACUUUUGCUUGUUACUGAAUAUGAAUAUAUUUUUUUUUAAGAAGUAAAUUUGCUAAUUAUUGUUCUUUUUCUUAGGCACCCAAGAAAAGAGUAUGUACUUUUAGCAAAGACCAAGAGGAAACUAUUAGAGCUUUAUUUGAGCAGUGAGUGCUUAAUUUGUUCUUUUUGGUGGCAUAUGCAUGUAGUCUUAAAUUUGAUUUCCUUCUGCAUAAUUGAUGCUGAAUAUUGUGAUUUUAGAAAGAUUAAUGCUAGUGCUCUUUUCGUCUUUUAAAUUAAAUUAGAUUUGUUUAUGUAUAGGUUUAAAGACCAUAAAAGGUGCACCUACAUGAUUGUAAGUGCUCUAGAUGGUGAUGAUACGCUCAUAGCUGCCCAAGUUUCCUAUAAACUUAAGCAACAAUUAGCUUAUGUUCCUCAUCAGAAAAGAGCUGAAGACAACUUGCAUUUGAGAGAUGAAGAUCUUAAUGGCUGUGAUAUAGCCAAAGCAUAGUAUUCCAACGAUGAAACGUUGUUUUCCCUAAGAAAAAGGUAACUAUAUCUUUAUGAAUUUCAUGUAAUUUUGUGAAUUAAUCUUAUUUGUGUGAUAUCCCACAUCGAAUGGGGGGAAAUUUGUGUUAUAUAUAUAGGUUCUCUUAGACAUGUUUUAAAGCCCAUGCAAGCCCCUUAAGCUCCUUAAAACUUUGUCACAUUGUCAAUUGCAUCUCUGUGGUUGCAGACUUGUCGUAUAUUUGCCUAUAUUUGUCAAGUACUAAUCAUAAAUUCAUAACACUCAAGACUUAAUCCAACUGACAUGUUUUUUUUUUACUAAAUACAACCUGUUGUCAUUCACUACCAUAGGUUGGCCACAAAAUUUCAAACUUUCCAUUCUUUAGGGCCCAUGUUUGCCCUUUUCUGGUUCAGACCCAAUCAUCUUUGGUACUCAUGUAUGGUUUCUGUUUCUAGGUUCUCACGAUCGAGUGCAUUAAUUGCUACUUCUUUCUUUCUUUCUUUCUUUCUUUCUUUUGGUUCUUGCCUCUAGUCCAUCUUCUCACAUCAUGUUCUCCUUGCUGCUGAUCAUUUUCUUUCUUGAUUACCCAUCAUUCUGUACCUUAGGGCAUAAUAAGUCUCCUGGCUGCCUUAAGAAAUUUGUGCAACAAUAUGCAUCAAUCAAACAAUACAUCCCAGAAUCAUCUCUCCGUUCAUGUUAGGAUCCAUGCUUUGGUUCAUUUAUAAAUUUGAAAUAAGGCAAUUAAGAAUGAAAUUGAAGAUAAUUAUCCAAGACUUUCUAAGUAAAGUGGAAUAUAAAAAAGGAUAUCCAAUAGAUUUCAGGUAGUUGAUAAAUGUUUUCUUGAAUUUAGUUGUAUUUAAAAUAUUUCUUCUCAAUAUUGAUAGAUUUAAUUUCUAAGGUGAAUCAAGCACAUGUUUCUCUUUUUGGGUAAGCUUAUUCAGCUAUAUGAUUUGUAACUAAAAUCCCGAUUGACAUUGUAGGCGCAAGGAGAAGCAUAGAUUACCGAGUAAAGAGGUACCAGAACAGAAGAUUAAAGAAAAGCUUUUGCAAAGUUUCGGUGAUGAAACCCUAAGCUCUGUUAUGAAGUAACUUUCUUUCUUUCUCUCUCUCUCCAAAAACACUAAAACAAACAUCAAGAUGUUUUUCUUUUGUAAUAUGCAUGUCUUUUUUUCUUCUUUCUAAGAUUCAACCUUCAAUAUAAAUUAUUCUUCCAUGUUGCGUUGAUGAAAACCUGUUUGUGACACCUUCCAUUUCUGCAUGAACUUUAGUUGAGGUUAUAUUCGGCUUUUGUUAUUUUUAUUUUUUAAUUCUCUACUGCUUACAUGCUUCUUGUAUCCGAACAGGCGAAUUGUUCAUGCAGUUGAAUUUUGCAACAUUUUCUUAUUGUUCGGGGCUUAAGCUUCUGUUCAUUUUUUCAUUAUUAUAUUUUUAUGCUUUGUUUUUACGACUAAUCCUAUACCACACAGUGAAGUGAUCACAGAGAAUGACUGGAAAUUUGUCCAGCUUGGGCUUGCUCUAUUUUAGAACAUUUUAGCCAUUCAAGACAUCUCGUUGCAGUAGAAGGCUAGGAGUCUGCAUGCCACUCAAUUUUUAUCUCUGAGUAACCAAUUUUUGGAGCUGUUAUUCUUCAUUGAUUUAGAAGAUGAGCUGUUAUUUUUUGGGAAAUCUGUGUUAUAAUGCACAAUAGUAUGAAUUGGGAUAUGCUACUACUGAAAACAGAGCAAUCUGUUUUUGUGGUGUCCAAGCAUGAAAGCUAUUGUCACACAGCAAGGUCUGAUUUCCAACUGUGAAUCAAAUUGCUCGAGGUACUUCAUAUGCAAAUUGCUGCAAGUCGCUUUGGCCAUCAAUCACCUUCAGAGGAUGAUAAUAUUGGGAUUGCAGCGAAGGUUUGGGUGUUUGUCACAAUGCCUGUUGAGGCGUCAUCAGAUGAUAUUUAAUGACAGAUGGGUUAUCUAUGGGGUUUGAAGUCUCAUUACAUGUGGCAACACAGUUCUCGAUAUUUAAUGACAGAAUGGUAAGCGAACUUUAUGCGUAGUUUUUUCCCUUCUCAUGGGUUCAAUUGUAAGUGUCCCAAUUCUCAAACAGAUGAAUAAUGGAUGGUGAAAGUAUCCUACACAUCAUAGAACAAAGAACAAGGAACAAGGAUUAGGAGUUCCCUUUACCUCUUGGAAAUUUGACACAUCCAUCUCAAAUUUCACUACUUGCAUUUUCUUUUGGGAAGUUUUUAUUGAAGACAGAAUAAUAAAUUUGCAUAUAGCUCUGUGAUAUCUGUCUAACCAUCCUGGCUUUUCCAUUUUGCAGAUUUGCAUGGUAGAUUUAGUGCUUAAACUAUCACUGGAAGAUUCUAAAGACCCUCAAACAGCUCACAUCCUUCUUUACAAGUUAGAUUUAUGAUCAGACUGAUCAAAGGUUGACUCAUUUUCCCUUGAAUCUGAUCAAAACCUUCUGACUCUCAUGCUAACCCAAAAGGUUUCCCCUUUCAUUUCAACAACUUAGAAGUUCAUUGUUGAUGAUGAUGUUGCUGUUAUAUUUAUUAUUAUUACAACUAAUUUGAUAAGCAAUUAUUGUUAUUAUUUUUCUUUAUCUUAUAACACAAUCAUAUGAUAAAUGGGAGAAUAUAAUGUCAUGACUGCAUUGAAAUUCUUGACCAAACAGAAAAAUGGGAAAUUUUGCUGUCUAUUUUAAAGCAUUGUAAUCAAUAUAGGGUAUCAUGAUGAUGAAUCAAGUCAACCUUGCCCCUACAUUUUUGUGGUUAUGAAUGCGUUGAAAGAAAGUAAUAUUUCAUUCUGUGAAUCAAACAGGCCAUUAAUUCUUCGAAGACUGAUAUAUCGCUGGGACGAUGAUGUAAACGGCACUCACCAAUGGGUUCCUGAAUGGGCUGCAGUUUCUAAUCCAUGUGAUAUUGCUGGGGCUUGCGGUGUGUAGCUUGGACUGAAGCAAAACUAAUGCCUCUUGCAUGUACAUGCCUGCUGGGGGCCUCUAAUGUGGGAGACGGCGGCCUGUGCUAAAAAAAUUCUUCUGCUUCAGCCGCGAAAUGUGAUAAUAAUCAUCGGAAUUCGACUGCUUCCAAGCUGAAGAUGUCGAUAGUGCAGCAAACUAAGUAUUAUUAUCCCAUUUCUUCUAUUAUAGCAAAUUACAGUAACAUCUCACCAUUAUCACAAUGCGGUGAUGCUUGUUUAUCAAACUUUGAUUGUGCUGCUUCCGUGUUGGCUGCUGAACAACUAGGAGUUUGGUGGAUUCGAGGACACGAGUUCGACCUUGUUUGUGAAGCUUGGGCCUAAGGGAUCACCUGACAGCAACGCAACAAGAUCUAGGGAUUCAUCUGAUGGCCUCUGGGACAAGGUCUUGGUUCUUCCAAUUGUUCUCAGCAUGACUGUCCUUGUAGGACUCCUCUGCUUGUUGUUAUACCAUAGUGUGUACAGGAGGAGGGCCUUGAAGAGAGCCUUGAAAAGCUCCUUGAUUGUGUCCGGUGCUCCAAUGAAUUUAAGUUACCACGAUUUGCAGCGUAGAACUGGCAAUUUGCACAGGUCAGCAUGUACAUAUACAUAUAUAGGCUUUGAAAGGGAUGAAAUUGCUUGAACAAAGCCAAUUAGACUUGAUCAAUGAGGAUUAAUGUUGUCUUCUUUUUUUCUUUUUUUUUUCAUGAGGGUUUGGGAGUGUAUACAAGAUGGGACAUUGGUUGCAGUGAAGAAGCUUGACAAGCCUCUUAGGAAGAAGGAAUUCAUAACUGAAGUGAACACUAUUGGCUCUAUGCAUCGCAUGAACCUGGUUCGACUCUGCGGCUACUGCUCAGAAGGCUCUCAACAGUAUGCAUUUCAUUUCAUUGCCUAAUACCAAUUAGCACUAACCAUAUUUAAAUUCUUAUCAUCCUCUUUGGGGUCAAGCAUACUAUAUUUUCGAGCUUGUAAUGGGGUUGGAAUUUGAUGAUUCUUCACAGGCUUCUGGUUUAUGAGUUCAUGAAAAACGGUUUCUUAGACAAGUGGAUAUUUCCCUCAAAGCAUUGCCGGGACAGAUUGCUAGAUUGGGGAACUCGCUUCCAUAUAGCCAUUGCUACUGCACAAGGGAUUGCUUAUUUUCAUGAGCAGUGCAGGAACCGGAUCAUCCACUGUGAUAUCAAGCCCGAAAACAUACUUCUAGAUGAGAAUUUCUGUCCAAAAGUUUUAGACUUUGGACUAGCAAAGCUGAUGGGCAGAGAGCAUUGACAUGUUAUCACUAUGGUGAGAAGAACUAGUGGCUAUUUGGCUCCAGAAUGGGUGAGCAACCGACCUGUUACUGUAAAAGUCGAUGUCUACAGCAUAGAAAGCUUUUUCUGGAGAUCGUUGGUGGCUGGAGAAACCUUGACAUGACUUUUGAUGAAGAAGACUUCUUCAAUCCUGGGUGGGCUUUUAAGGUAUAGAUCAGUCAAGUUCUUGCUUCUGCAAAUCACAAAUUGGUAAGUGUUUGAUAUUUUAUUAACGAAAAAUGUCAAUUCCUCUAGGAAAUGAGUAAUGGGAUGACGAGAAAAGUUGCAGACAGGCGACUGGAAGGGGCAAUGGAGGAAGAAGAGCUGGAAGAGCAUUGAAAACCGGCUUUUGGUGCAUUCAAGAUGAGGUUUUCAUGAGGCCUUCGACGGGGGAAGUGGUGAAGAUGUUGGAAGGGUCACUUGAAAUCAACACACCGCCAAUGCCACAGACAGUGCUGUAGCCUAUGGAGGAAGGCUUAGACAAUGUAUACAGAGCCAUGAAGAGAGAGUUCAACCAGUCCAGCUUCUUCACCAUCAAUAGUACCCAUCCUUCAUCAAGGGCUACAUGUAGUUAUUCCACAAUGUCAUCAAGAUAGCAAAGGAGAAAUGGAACAAAUUUUGUUGCUGUCCAAGAAUUUUAUCCCCAUGAUACUUUGAUACUGUCCAGAAACAUAGUAUUUAUUGACCAUUUGUUACCAUAUAUAGGAAUGGGGAAUGAAACUAGUAGAGAACUUCGCAUAAUGUUGUUGCUAAGAUUUCAAAUGGUAAAAGAAAUUAUAUUAAUUGCGAAACAAAAAAAUAAACAAUUAGGUUGAGGUACGGAAAUCUCAUUCUUUUAAAGGAGAUUUAAGCCAUUUCUAGUUUGACAAUUUCAUAAAUCGGUAUACUUGACUUCUCUUUGGUUUGUCCCCUCAAGGAUACAAUGGUCCAAGUGAUUUGUUGCAUAGCUCACGUCAAUAUGCAUAAAGCAUAGAACUCAAAGCUAGCGCUUCACAAACAAACCUAUUUUUUUUUUUUGCCAAGAGAAAAUAAAUAAAUAAAAAGGAAGAAGGCAGAAGAUGACUAAAAAAAUGUGUUAAAGUUAUAUGACAUUAGGAGGGCGAGUCAAGGCUAAUCAUAAAGUUUGAAAUGUUCAACAAUUUCAAAAUAAUUCAAUCUCUUAAAUUUUUAUAAGAUAAAUCCCAUUAACAUAAAUGAUAUUUAAUAUUUUUAAAUUUCCAUAAUUUUACAUUUGUAACUACAAAUUUAAUAACCCAUUAUGCCAACUUUAAUCCCUAUAACUUUCAUAUAUAACCAUAAUGUUAGUAACUAGUUUAGAUUAACAACUUUGUUCCAAAUAUUCUUAAAUCUAACUCUAAUAUUUAAUUACUUCAUGUGAUUUACAUUGGCCUUGAAAACUUGAAAUUAUUGUUAAUUCCUCCUUAAGGUCAUUCAGGUAAGUUUAGGAGAAUAAUGACAUUAAAAGGUGUAUGUCAAUUUUUAUUAGAUGAUGUAAAAAUAACAAAAAAAAAAAAAUCGGCUUUUGGUGACGAGUGAUCAAGUGAUCCGUAUGAGUGCUUAAGUACUCAUAAACACUAUUACAUAUUUUUAUUAACUUUCUAAUUCCAAUUUUUUCAUGAAAAUUAUUCAACAAACUAUGAAGAGAAUCAAAAUAUUUAAUUUCUAAAAUUUAAAAGAUUUUCAAAAUUUGACAAAAUUAACGUAUAAGUAAAGAAAGUGAAACUUCAAGGUGAAAAGAAUGUGAUGAAUCCUCAUAUUUUUUGUACCAUUUCUCACAUUCUUUGCACAUUCUCCAAUUUUUUAGUGUUUUAAUUUUCUAUUUUUUAGGAUAACUUACAUCAUUUCUAAGCUUAAUUAAUAUCAAUAAACAAUAUUAUUGUAUUUUUAAGUGGAAAAAAAGUUCAAAAAAUUAUAAAAUUUCAAAGGUAUGAAGAAUGUGAGGGGGGAUACGAAGAAUAUGAAAAAUCCUAAAUCUCCAUUUCUUUGAACUUUUAAAAACUUUUUUGGACCUUAUAUGACUUAGAUAUUGAUUUGAUAGGUUAAUUAUACUUAGGGGGGUGUUCAAUUGAUGCUUGAAAAAAAUCAAAAUAAAAAAAGACUAAGAAAUGAGCAAGGAUACAAAGAAUGUCAGGAUGUAAUAUCCUACAUCGGAUAUGGGGGAAAGUUCUUGACACUAUAUAUGUAGAGACUUCUCUUAAUCAUGUAGACGUGUUUUAAAACCAUGAGGGUCCCUUUGGGUUUAGAAUUAACUUUUUUGAACAUCAUAUGAUUUUGAUAUUGAUUAAAUAGGUUAAUUACACUUGGUGGGUAUGAGAUUGAUGCCCGAAAGAAUUGAAAUCGAAAAUUUAAAAAAAAUUAGCAAGGGUAUGAAGAGUGUGAGGAUUCCUCACACUCUUCAUACCUUAUCAAAUUUCCACUUCUUUCAAUUUUUGAAAUCUUUUUUGAAUGUCAUAUGGAUUGAAUAUUGAUUAAAUAAGUUAAUUUAGAAGGUGUGAAACUGAUGUAUGAAAAAAUCAAAAUCCAAAAAUAUUAUAAAAUUAGCAAAGAGUGUGGAAUUCCAUAUUGUUACUAAUUAUAUUAUUAUUAUUAUUAUUUUGUAUUUUCAAUACUUCAACCAAUAUUUGAUGUGAUUAAAUUUAAAAUGUAAGAAAGAAUUUAUUAAUACAAUUUUCAAUUAAUAAUUAGUACACAACUAUCUUAAUUUUUAAACACUGUAUACUUAUUUAAAUUUAUUUCAUAUUUUUAUAAAAGUGUAAUUACACUUACAAUUUAUUGAAUUUAUUAAUAAUGUUGUUUCAAAAAUCAUCCUUAAAAAUAGUCUUUUGCUUAUUAGAAGAAAAAAUAUAUAUUAAGAUGAAAAUUAUGUAAUUCAAAUUGAAUGCAACAUCAAUGGAGCCGGUGAAAUUUAUUUACAUUGUUUUUCUUUCCAAAGUAUUUUUUUAGUUGGAAAGAAAAAGAGACAAAUUAUAAAAAAUAAAUCUCCAAUGCCAAUAUUUAAAAAUGAUUUAUCUAUUUGUCAACACAAUUUGAGCGGAAGAAUAAUCAAGACAUGUGAAAAUCUAUAUAUCAGGAAUCAAACAGGGCCCAAGAACAAGUUCCAACAAGAACCAUCAAUGGGUUGCCCAAUCAAUAACAAAAGGCCCGCUCUCAUGGAUCAAACAAAAUGGAGUCACCACACGAUAGGUUUAAACCCAAAUAUAAAUUUCAAGUUCAUAUUUUCAAUCCCAUUUAUAAUUUAUUUAUUCAAAUUAGAAAUCUAUUUAUCAAGAAUUAAGUUAGAGUGCAUGGAGACCAAAGUUAAGAGAGAGGAUCAUGCCAAGAUUUAAAAUGAACAAAAUAUUUAUGAUUUAUCUAUAAUAAAUAUUCAAAUAAUAUUUAAAAAAACUAAUUAUUUUGAUGAUCAUAAAAUAUAUCAUUAUUGAAAUACAAACAAAUUUAAAUAAUAAAAUCUUUUUUUAUCUUAAUAAUUAAAAGUUACAUAUUUAAUAAAAUUAAAAUUACUAAUAAUUUAAUAAAUCUUUGUGUCAUUCUUAUCAUAAUUUAAGUUGUCAACAUUAAUGAUAUAAGAUGAUGAAAUGUAUUUAAAAUUUUUAAUAAUUUAUAUAUUUUUAAUUUCUUAUAAUUAUUUUAAAUUUUAAUAAUAUAUAAAUUAUAUAUUUAUGACAUUAUCAAUUUGAUCACUGUUUAACCAUAAAUCAAUAAUUUUUCUCAUUGAAUAAUCAAUCUAAUUCUAAAAAUAUUGAUAAAAACUAAAGAAUAUUUAUUAUAAAAAAAAUAAAAGAUGUAAAAAACAAAUAAUUUGACUAGUGAAAGUAAAGGUCAUGGGUGACUUUUGGAAGCCUAGAAUAACAUAGGAACUGUACAAGAAAUCAUUGAGCUUGGCAUUUAUUUGAGCAUUUCGAGGAUAAUAUUAAAUUUUUAAUCAUAUAAAAACAAAAGUAUAUUUAAUUCAUUAUUUUCUAAUAUUAUCUUAGAAAUAUUUUUAGAGAUAUAUUUAUUUUAGACCUUAUUGAGGAUAUUAAUACAAAGAUUUUGAUAAAUGUAAUAUAAAAAUGUAUAAAGUCAUUAAUUUUAUUUAUUUAUUAAAUUUGAAAUAUACAUAUCAUGUAGUAAUUUUUUUUAAAAAAAUUACUUUUAUGAAGCCAAUUCAAGGGGAAAAAAAACAUAACACUAUCCUCACUUCUCAGUGAUGUUUUAUUUUAUAUUAGAAAACCUUAUAAUAAAAUUUCCUUUUUACAAAUUUAAAAAGAUAUUUUAUAACUAAUUUAGAUUGACAAAAAUAAAAGAUACACUUUGGCAGUUGUUUUUAAAUUUCAAUAAAAGUUCUUACAUCAAAAGUAUUAAAAUUUUAAAAAAGAAAAAAAAUUGUUAAGGAAAGUUUGGUUUUAUUAUAGAAAAUAGAAAAGAAAGCUACUUAUAAUUAUAAUUAGUAAGAAACUUAAAUAUUUUUAAAUUAUUUUGAGGUUGUUGUAAGGCAUAAAAAUAAUUAUUAAUUUUAAAUCAAAUUUUUCUUCUUUUUUUUCCUUGUAGUUUUUCUAUUAUCUAUUUUUUUUUCCUCACAUUUUUCCGUAUUUUCCAACAAUGGGAGAGAUAAAAAAAAUUUAAUUUUCCAACAAACAUAAAAUUUUAGUCAUUACACUUUAUCAUUAUUAUUAUUUUCUUUAUUUUUAUUUUUUAAAUGCAAUGGUAGUUCUAGUCAUCCUGCCUUGCAAGACCCGAUGCUCACAAAAUUUCUAGUCUACUCAUCAUAUCUUUUAAAAUUUUGGUUACUCAUAAAGUAUUCAAGACUUUUAGUAAUGUCAUAUCCUUAUCACUAUAUCUAAUAACUUUGACCAAUUCAAAAAAUGAACUUCAUAUGCAAUAGUAGUUCUAGUCGUCAUGCCUUGUAAGACCUGAUACUCAAUAAUUUUUCAAGUUUAGUCAUCAUCAUAUCUUUUAAAAUUUUGGUUACUCAUAAAGUAUUUAAGACUUUUAGCAAUGUCAUAUCCUUAUCACUAAAACUAAGAACUUCGAUUAAUUCAAAAAAUGAACUAGAAGUACCUUGCAAAAUAUCAGAAGUUUGCCACUACUUUUUGUAGUUUAAAUUUGAGUGUUAUGUAUUUCCUAUCCACAUAUUUAGUAUAUAACCUAGGAUGGCUAGUCGAGCCAUUACCAUACAAUACGUAUGCUUAUCAUUUUUUGUUAAACUCGUUUUAAUGUAAAAGAACCAAAACAUAUUCAUAAGAUAAUUUUCCUCUUUGUUGGGCAACUCAACUAGUUAUAUGGAUUUUAGACUCAAAAAAUUAAUAUGUGUCAUAUUUGAUAGAUUAAGAUAAUUAGAAUUAGCGUCUUAUGUGAAAGAAAAUAAAAAGUAAUAAUCAAAAUCCAAUGCUUACUGGAAAAUUAAAUCUAUAGAGAAUCUUUUAUCUUUUUCUCCUAAUUCGUUUAGAUAUUAAUAGAUUGAUUUGUUAAUUAAAGUUGAAAUAUUAUAAUACAUUUUUUUUGUCAUUUCUUUUAUCAAGAUGUCUUAAUUAAUGAUUCAAAAAUGUUAAAAUAAAUUAUAAAAAAGAUUUUUGCUACUCCUGAAAAUUAAAAAAAAAAAAAAUUAUACACUCAGGAAACAAAUAAAUGCAUCUUCUAAUAAAUAAAUUUUUAUUAAAAUAAAUAAAUAUAUGUCUUCGAAUUUAUUGACAUGAAGUACAUUUUAGGUAUUUUAAGUUAGAUUAUUAUUGAUUAAAGAAAAAGACCAUUCAACAUCUAGCUAGAUGGGAAAAAAAUCUUUAUUUAUUAAAAAAUUCAAAUUAUUUUUUGAAUGGUGAACAUUGAUAAGGAUAGAUAAGGAAUUUUCUUGGUAUAUAUAAAUUCAAAGUGAUCUUGGACAAAUUGGAUCAGUGGUCCCCAACCAAUAUCAAUGAUAGAUAAAAACAACCUCUCUAGAUGGGUCCAAUAUAGUAGACGACUUGACUCCAAUAGACAUUGCAUUCAAUUUUUGUGGAGCCUAGCUAAAAGCAACUUCUCUAGAUAGAUCCAAUAUAUAUAGAUGAUGACUUGACUGUAAUAAUCAUUUCAUUAAAUCAACUAUGAUUUUUUAAACCAACUUUUACAAUUAUUUUUAUUAGUUAUUUACAUUUUAUGAUAUAUUGAAAUUUUGUUGCAAACAAUUAUUUUCAUUUAAAUAAAUAUUGGAUGGUUUCUUAGUCCUCUUGAAUUUUUAAUGAUUGAUCAUCGGAUGAGUAUAUGCUAUUCAUGUUAAUAAAAGGACCAAAACAUAUUCAUAAGAUAAUUUUCCUCUUUGUUGUGCAACUCAACUAGUUAUAUGGAUUUUAGACUCAAAAAAAUUAAUGUGUCAUAUUUGAUAGAUUAAGAUAAUUAGAAUUAACAUCUUAUGUGAAAGAAAACAAAAAGUAAUAAUCAAAAUUCAGUGCUUACUGGAAAAUUAAAUCUAUAGAGAAUCUUUUAUCUUUUUCUCCUAAUUCGUUUAGAUAUUGAUAGAUUGAUUUGUUAAUUAAAAUUGAAAUAUUAUAAUACACUUUUUUUUUGUCAUUUCUUUUAUCAAGAUGUCUUAAUUAAUGAUUCAAAAAUGUUAAAAUAAAUUAUAAAAAAGAUUUUUGCUACUCUUGAAAUUUAUAAAAAACAGGAAACAAAUAAAUGCAUUCUUCUAAUAAAUAAAUUUUUAUUCAAAUAAAUAAAUAUAUGUCUACUUCAAAUUUAUUAACAUGAAGUAAAUUUUAGGUAUUUUAGGUUAGAUUCUUAUUGAUCGAAGAAAAAGACCAUUCAACAUCUAGCUAGAUGGGAAAAAAAUAAAUCUUUAUUUAUUAAAAAAUUCAAAUUAAUUUUUGAAUGGUGAAUCAUUGAUAAGGAUAGAUAAGGAAUUUUCUUGGUAUAUAUACAUUCAAAGUGAUCUUGGACAAAUUGGAUCAGUGGUCCCUAGCCAAUAUUUAUGAUAGAUAAAAGCAACCUCUCUAGAUGGGUCCAAUAUAGUAGACGACUUGACUCCAAUAGACAUUGCAUUAAAUUUUUGUGGAGCCUAUAUUUAUGCUAGCUAAAAGCAACUUCUCUAGAUCCAAUAUAUAUAGAUGAUGACUUGACGGUAAUAAUCAUUUCAUUAAAUCAACUAUGAUUUUUUAAACCAACUUUUACCAUUAUUUUUAUUAGUUAUUUACAUUUUAUGAUAUAUUGAAAUUUUGUUGCAAACAAUUAUUUUCAUUUAAAUAAAUAUUGGAUGGUUUCUUAGUCCUCUUGAAUUUUUAAUGAUUGAUCAUCGGAUGAGUAUAUGCUAUUCAUGUUAAGAAAUUCAAAGGGGAUGCAACUUUAUUCUCUUUAAUAGAAUUUUAUUUUAUUUUAAAAACUAUAUUUAUUUACUUUAUGAAUAUAGAAACUCUUUCUAGCUUUUUAACAUAGUACCAAUAUCUUUGUAUUUGGUUAAUAACAUUGAUUACAUUCUUCUAAAACUAAGAGUUCUAUGUUCCUUCAAUAAUAUCAUCAUAUAGACAUCACUCCACAAAACACUACCAAAUUUUCAUCUUUAUCAUCAACAUUUUUAUUUACUAAGUUAAGAUAUCUUGAUGAAGGAACGAAUAAAGAAUUAGAAUAUUUCAAUUGUAAUUAAGCCAAGUUAAUGUACAUGCUAAUAUUUAAACAAAGUAGGAGAGAAAAUGAUUACUACUCAAAAAGGGCUAUUUGAUAGCUUGUAAUUAACUCUUUUAAACACUUUUGAGUAGUAAUUAUUGCCCUUUAACCCAAUUAACAUAUUAAGGACCUUUGCAAUCACUUCUAAUCACUUUGUGUAAGUUUUGGUGUUUUUGUUAGUAAUUUGAUCACCAAAGCAAUCCAAGAUGGAGGAGAGUUAUUUGGAAUCCAUGGUAAAGCAAUAGAAAGCUCAGGAACAUGAAGAAUCAGAGAUUUGAAGCCUUAAAGUCCUUUGCCAUAACCAAUCCGGAUUGCAAGGAGGAGAAGUAAAGAGAGAAUCCACCUUGAAGCAUUCUUGAUGACAGUCAUUUCAGCCACUUUUGGAGUACUUCCUGAAGUCCAAUUUAUGCAUACUUUAUGUCGUUUCGAAGAUCGGGAAGUUAACAAUCCAAUGCUUGAAACGGUUCGCAAAUCGGAGUUGAAAUGAAGAAGUUAGAGCCAAUGGAAGCAGAUCACUCCAAGCUGAAGGCCAAUUUCGCAGGGCUGCGAAAUCAGCCUUUGGCUGCGAAAUCAGCCUUCGGCUGCGAAAUGAUUUCGCAGCCAUCUUGUUCAUCUGCGAAAUUUCGCAGCCAUUUUGUGCGCCUGCGAAAUUCUCCCGAGUGCUUCCAGAUAUUUGCGACCAUCGUUUUUUGUUAUUUUGCCUCAGAUAUUUGUUGUCUAAAUGCCAAUUCUCUCCUUGUAAUCCACCAAUUAGAUGAUUCCUUAGUUGUUGAGCAAGGAUGCAGGGGUAAACAACCUGAUAUGUAUUGUUUUGUAAUUUUCACUUUAAAAACGUCGGGGAACUUUCCCCAGGAGACUAUCUUAUGUAAAUUUUACACUUAGUGAAAUAGGAAAUAUCUUUUGCUUUCUUUUUCUCUCUACUAUUUUCUAUUUUCUUAGUAGCCAAACAUCCUUGGAGGAUGAAAUCCCCAAGGAUGAGAGGCUAAAACCUUUUAGUUUCUUGAAGUAAUGGAUGCCAUGUGAAGCUCCCGUGUCAGGAUGGAGAUUUCCAAGCCAUGAAUGUAAGUAGCUGAGCGUCAUAAAUGUUUUCAUUCAAAGUAAAGCUUUUAAUCCCUCUGACUUGCUUUGAAUGGCCAAUACUUGAUAACCUUUUGGUCUCAGUGGAAUUCUUAUUGUUAGAUCCACUGACGUUCAUUANNNNNNNNNNNNNNNNNNNNNNNNNNNNNNNNNNNNNNNNNNNNNNNNNNNNNNNNNNNNNNNNNNNNNNNNNNNNNNNNNNNNNNNNNNNNNNNNNNNNNNNNNNNNNNNNNNNNNNNNNNNNNNNNNNNNNNNNNNNNNNNNNNNNNNNNNNNNNNNNNNNNNNNNNNNNNNNNNNNNNNNNNNNNNNNNNNNNNNNNNNNNNNNNNNNNNNNNNNNNNNNNNNNNNNNNNNNNNNNNNNNNNNNNNNNNNNNNNNNNNNNNNNNNNNNNNNNNNNNNNNNNNNNNNNNNNNNNNNNNNNNNNNNNNNNNNNNNNNNNNNNNNNNNNNNNNNNNNNNNNNNNNNNNNNNNNNNNNNNNNNNNNNNNNNNNNNNNNNNNNNNNNNNNNNNNNNNNNNNNNNNNNNNNNNNNNNNNNNNNNNNNNNNNNNNNNNNNNNNNNNNNNNNNNNNNNNNNNNNNNNNNNNNNNNNNNNNNNNNNNNNNNNNNNNNNNNNNNNNNNNNNNNNNNNNNNNNNNNNNNNNNNNNNNNNNNNNNNNNNNNNNNNNNNNNNNNNNNNNNNNNNNNNNNNNNNNNNNNNNNNNNNNNNNNNNNNNNNNNNNNNNNNNNNNNNNNNNNNNNNNNNNNNNNNNNNNNNNNNNNNNNNNNNNNNNNNNNNNNNNNNNNNNNNNNNNNNNNNNNNNNNNNNNNNNNNNNNNNNNNNNNNNNNNNNNNNNNNNNNNNNNNNNNNNNNNNNNNNNNNNNNNNNNNNNNNNNNNNNNNNNNNNNNNNNNNNNNNNNNNNNNNNNNNNNNNNNNNNNNNNNNNNNNNNNNNNNNNNNNNNNNNNNNNNNNNNNNNNNNNNNNNNNNNNNNNNNNNNNNNNNNNNNNNNNNNNNNNNNNNNNNNNNNNNNNNNNNNNNNNNNNNNNNNNNNNNNNNNNNNNNNNNNNNNNNNNNNNNNNNNNNNNNNNNNNNNNNNNNNNNNNNNNNNNNNNNNNNNNNNNNNNNNNNNNNNNNNNNNNNNNNNNNNNNNNNNNNNNNNNNNNNNNNNNNNNNNNNNNNNNNNNNNNNNNNNNNNNNNNNNNNNNNNNNNNNNNNNNNNNNNNNNNNNNNNNNNNNNNNNNNNNNNNNNNNNNNNNNNNNNNNNNNNNNNNNNNNNNNNNNNNNNNNNNNNNNNNNNNNNNNNNNNNNNNNNNNNNNNNNNNNNNNNNNNNNNNNNNNNNNNNNNNNNNNNNNNNNNNNNNNNNNNNNNNNNNNNNNNNNNNNNNNNNNNNNNNNNNNNNNNNNNNNNNNNNNNNNNNNNNNNNNNNNNNNNNNNNNNNNNNNNNNNNNNNNNNNNNNNNNNNNNNNNNNNNNNNNNNNNNNNNNNNNNNNNNNNNNNNNNNNNNNNNNNNNNNNNNNNNNNNNNNNNNNNNNNNNNNNNNNNNNNNNNNNNNNNNNNNNNNNNNNNNNNNNNNNNNNNNNNNNNNNNNNNNNNNNNNNNNNNNNNNNNNNNNNNNNNNNNNNNNNNNNNNNNNNNNNNNNNNNNNNNNNNNNNNNNNNNNNNNNNNNNNNNNNNNNNNNNNNNNNNNNNNNNNNNNNNNNNNNNNNNNNNNNNNNNNNNNNNNNNNNNNNNNNNNNNNNNNNNNNNNNNNNNNNNNNNNNNNNNNNNNNNNNNNNNNNNNNNNNNNNNNNNNNNNNNNNNNNNNNNNNNNNNNNNNNNNNNNNNNNNNNNNNNNNNNNNNNNNNNNNNNNNNNNNNNNNNNNNNNNNNNNNNNNNNNNNNNNNNNNNNNNNNNNNNNNNNNNNNNNNNNNNNNNNNNNNNNNNNNNNNNNNNNNNNNNNNNNNNNNNNNNNNNNNNNNNNNNNNNNNNNNNNNNNNNNNNNNNNNNNNNNNNNNNNNNNNNNNNNNNNNNNNNNNNNNNNNNNNNNNNNNNNNNNNNNNNNNNNNNNNNNNNNNNNNNNNNNNNNNNNNNNNNNNNNNNNNNNNNNNNNNNNNNNNNNNNNNNNNNNNNNNNNNNNNNNNNNNNNNNNNNNNNNNNNNNNNNNNNNNNNNNNNNNNNNNNNNNNNNNNNNNNNNNNNNNNNNNNNNNNNNNNNNNNNNNNNNNNNNNNNNNNNNNNNNNNNNNNNNNNNNNNNNNNNNNNNNNNNNNNNNNNNNNNNNNNNNNNNNNNNNNNNNNNNNNNNNNNNNNNNNNNNNNNNNNNNNNNNNNNNNNNNNNNNNNNNNNNNNNNNNNNNNNNNNNNNNNNNNNNNNNNNNNNNNNNNNNNNNNNNNNNNNNNNNNNNNNNNNNNNNNNNNNNNNNNNNNNNNNNNNNNNNNNNNNNNNNNNNNNNNNNNNNNNNNNNNNNNNNNNNNNNNNNNNNNNNNNNNNNNNNNNNNNNNNNNNNNNNNNNNNNNNNNNNNNNNNNNNNNNNNNNNNNNNNNNNNNNNNNNNNNNNNNNNNNNNNNNNNNNNNNNNNNNNNNNNNNNNNNNNNNNNNNNNNNNNNNNNNNNNNNNNNNNNNNNNNNNNNNNNNNNNNNNNNNNNNNNNNNNNNNNNNNNNNNNNNNNNNNNNNNNNNNNNNNNNNNNNNNNNNNNNNNNNNNNNNNNNNNNNNNNNNNNNNNNNNNNNNNNNNNNNNNNNNNNNNNNNNNNNNNNNNNNNNNNNNNNNNNNNNNNNNNNNNNNNNNNNNNNNNNNNNNNNNNNNNNNNNNNNNNNNNNNNNNNNNNNNNNNNNNNNNNNNNNNNNNNNNNNNNNNNNNNNNNNNNNNNNNNNNNNNNNNNNNNNNNNNNNNNNNNNNNNNNNNNNNNNNNNNNNNNNNNNNNNNNNNNNNNNNNNNNNNNNNNNNNNNNNNNNNNNNNNNNNNNNNNNNNNNNNNNNNNNNNNNNNNNNNNNNNNNNNNNNNNNNNNNNNNNNNNNNNNNNNNNNNNNNNNNNNNNNNNNNNNNNNNNNNNNNNNNNNNNNNNNNNNNNNNNNNNNNNNNNNNNNNNNNNNNNNNNNNNNNNNNNNNNNNNNNNNNNNNNNNNNNNNNNNNNNNNNNNNNNNNNNNNNNNNNNNNNNNNNNNNNNNNNNNNNNNNNNNNNNNNNNNNNNNNNNNNNNNNNNNNNNNNNNNNNNNNNNNNNNNNNNNNNNNNNNNNNNNNNNNNNNNNNNNNNNNNNNNNNNNNNNNNNNNNNNNNNNNNNNNNNNNNNNNNNNNNNNNNNNNNNNNNNNNNNNNNNNNNNNNNNNNNNNNNNNNNNNNNNNNNNNNNNNNNNNNNNNNNNNNNNNNNNNNNNNNNNNNNNNNNNNNNNNNNNNNNNNNNNNNNNNNNNNNNNNNNNNNNNNNNNNNNNNNNNNNNNNNNNNNNNNNNNNNNNNNNNNNNNNNNNNNNNNNNNNNNNNNNNNAUAGCCUCAUUUCGCAGGGUGUUUCGCAGCUGCGAAACACCCCUUUGGCACUCGUGUGCCAUUUCGCAACACAGUAACCCAUUUUCGCAGCUGCGAAAUGGGCUGCGAAAUGGGCUGCGAAAAGGGCCCUCCUCUGCGAAAAUGCCCUUUCUCUGCGAAAUCCGCCCUCGGCUGCGAAAAUUUAAGUGACCCUUGGUAUCCAAUUUUUAACGGUAUAAAUUCCAAAUUUCUAAUAUAACCGGUCAUUUGAACUUUAAAUAGUACCAGAGAAGACCCAAAAACAGAGCAACCUUCCAUCUUCUCCCUCUCGCCUGAACCUCGGCCGCGCGCACCUCCGCUCAUCUCCGCCGGCCCGCCAUGGCAAGAACCCGAGGAGCUAAGUCCUCCUCCCCGUCAAGCCGUACGAGGGUUUCAUCAAAGACCCCUGUCCAAGGCUCCACAUCUGAGCCUCCGCGACCACCGCGCGUCCCACCUCCAGUUGAGGGCGCACCAAUGAGCCCUCCGGUCAGGCGCUAUCAUACACGGGCGAGCAGCCAGCCACCCAAGAAGAAAGCUAAGGUAUCUGAGCCAACGUUAAUCGAUUUAUCAGAGCCAGAAGAGCCAGCUACCGAGCCUCAGCCGUCUCCGCCGUCUCGGCCAGCCUCAGGGUCUCGGCCGUCUCGGCCAGCCUCAGGGUCUCGGCCGUCUCGGCCUUCUCGGCCAUCUCAACCGUCUCAGCCAGCUUUAGAGUCUCCGCCAUCUCGACCAGCUUCAGGGUCUCGGCCGUCUCAGCCGUCUCGGCCAUCUCAGCCGUCUCAGCCAGCUUCAGAGCCUCAGUCGUCUCAGCCGCCGCCUUCAGAUUCUCAGAUCCCCUCCGGCAUGACUCCUGAGAUGAUUAUCAAGCGCCCCAUGCUCACUCAGCCGCCCAUAGAGGGUAAUUUAGAUUGCAGGGCUAGGCCUUUCCACUCUGAGCUCUGUUUUGACUUGGCCACUUUCAGACUUCAGCCCCAGCUCAGGGACUCCUUCCAUCUGCUCCGGAGGUAUCAUAUGGAACAAUUGCUUACUCCAAGGGAUUUCUUUUAUCCCCGUGUGGCAAUGGAUUUUUAUCAAUCCAUGACCACACACCAUGUCCGCGAUCCUACUGUCAUCCACUUCACCAUAGACGGACGUCAUGGUAUUCUGGGAGCUAGGCACAUAGCAGAGGCAUUGCGCAUUCCCUACGAGCCAGCUAGGCCAGAGGAUUAUCGAGUCUGGACUAAUCCUUCCCCGAGCGACAUAGUUCGUAUUCUGUCCAGAGGGGCAUCCACAGGCCAGUAUCUACAGAGGAAGGAGCUCCCUCCUAGCAUGUUUUUCAUAGAUGCUCUCCUCCGCCACAAUNNNNNNNNNNNNNNNNNNNNNNNNNNNNNNNNNNNNNNNNNNNNNNNNNNNNNNNNNNNNNNNNNNNNNNNNNNNNNNNNNNNNNNNNNNNNNNNNNNNNNNNNNNNNNNNNNNNNNNNNNNNNNNNNNNNNNNNNNNNNNNNNNNNNNNNNNNNNNNNNNNNNNNNNNNNNNNNNNNNNNNNNNNNNNNNNNNNNNNNNNNNNNNNNNNNNNNNNNNNNNNNNNNNNNNNNNNNNNNNNNNNNNNNNNNNNNNNNNNNNNNNNNNNNNNNNNNNNNNNNNNNNNNNNNNNNNNNNNNNNNNNNNNNNNNNNNNNNNNNNNNNNNNNNNNNNNNNNNNNNNNNNNNNNNNNNNNNNNNNNNNNNNNNNNNNNNNNNNNNNNNNNNNNNNNNNNNNNNNNNNNNNNNNNNNNNNNNNNNNNNNNNNNNNNNNNNNNNNNNNNNNNNNNNNNNNNNNNNNNNNNNNNNNNNNNNNNNNNNNNNNNNNNNNNNNNNNNNNNNNNNNNNNNNNNNNNNNNNNNNNNNNNNNNNNNNNNNNNNNNNNNNNNNNNNNNNNNNNNNNNNNNNNNNNNNNNNNNNNNNNNNNNNNNNNNNNNNNNNNNNNNNNNNNNNNNNNNNNNNNNNNNNNNNNNNNNNNNNNNNNNNNNNNNNNNNNNNNNNNNNNNNNNNNNNNNNNNNNNNNNNNNNNNNNNNNNNNNNNNNNNNNNNNNNNNNNNNNNNNNNNNNNNNNNNNNNNNNNNNNNNNNNNNNNNNNNNNNNNNNNNNNNNNNNNNNNNNNNNNNNNNNNNNNNNNNNNNNNNNNNNNNNNNNNNNNNNNNNNNNNNNNNNNNNNNNNNNNNNNNNNNNNNNNNNNNNNNNNNNNNNNNNNNNNNNNNNNNNNNNNNNNNNNNNNNNNNNNNNNNNNNNNNNNNNNNNNNNNNNNNNNNNNNNNNNNNNNNNNNNNNNNNNNNNNNNNNNNNNNNNNNNNNNNNNNNNNNNNNNNNNNNNNNNNNNNNNNNNNNNNNNNNNNNNNNNNNNNNNNNNNNNNNNNNNNNNNNNNNNNNNNNNNNNNNNNNNNNNNNNNNNNNNNNNNNNNNNNNNNNNNNNNNNNNNNNNNNNNNNNNNNNNNNNNNNNNNNNNNNNNNNNNNNNNNNNNNNNNNNNNNNNNNNNNNNNNNNNNNNNNNNNNNNNNNNNNNNNNNNNNNNNNNNNNNNNNNNNNNNNNNNNNNNNNNNNNNNNNNNNNNNNNNNNNNNNNNNNNNNNNNNNNNNNNNNNNNNNNNNNNNNNNNNNNNNNNNNNNNNNNNNNNNNNNNNNNNNNNNNNNNNNNNNNNNNNNNNNNNNNNNNNNNNNNNNNNNNNNNNNNNNNNNNNNNNNNNNNNNNNNNNNNNNNNNNNNNNNNNNNNNNNNNNNNNNNNNNNNNNNNNNNNNNNNNNNNNNNNNNNNNNNNNNNNNNNNNNNNNNNNNNNNNNNNNNNNNNNNNNNNNNNNNNNNNNNNNNNNNNNNNNNNNNNNNNNNNNNNNNNNNNNNNNNNNNNNNNNNNNNNNNNNNNNNNNNNNNNNNNNNNNNNNNNNNNNNNNNNNNNNNNNNNNNNNNNNNNNNNNNNNNNNNNNNNNNNNNNNNNNNNNNNNNNNNNNNNNNNNNNNNNNNNNNNNNNNNNNNNNNNNNNNNNNNNNNNNNNNNNNNNNNNNNNNNNNNNNNNNNNNNNNNNNNNNNNNNNNNNNNNNNNNNNNNNNNNNNNNNNNNNNNNNNNNNNNNNNNNNNNNNNNNNNNNNNNNNNNNNNNNNNNNNNNNNNNNNNNNNNNNNNNNNNNNNNNNNNNNNNNNNNNNNNNNNNNNNNNNNNNNNNNNNNNNNNNNNNNNNNNNNNNNNNNNNNNNNNNNNNNNNNNNNNNNNNNNNNNNNNNNNNNNNNNNNNNNNNNNNNNNNNNNNNNNNNNNNNNNNNNNNNNNNNNNNNNNNNNNNNNNNNNNNNNNNNNNNNNNNNNNNNNNNNNNNNNNNNNNNNNNNNNNNNNNNNNNNNNNNNNNNNNNNNNNNNNNNNNNNNNNNNNNNNNNNNNNNNNNNNNNNNNNNNNNNNNNNNNNNNNNNNNNNNNNNNNNNNNNNNNNNNNNNNNNNNNNNNNNNNNNNNNNNNNNNNNNNNNNNNNNNNNNNNNNNNNNNNNNNNNNNNNNNNNNNNNNNNNNNNNNNNNNNNNNNNNNNNNNNNNNNNNNNNNNNNNNNNNNNNNNNNNNNNNNNNNNNNNNNNNNNNNNNNNNNNNNNNNNNNNNNNNNNNNNNNNNNNNNNNNNNNNNNNNNNNNNNNNNNNNNNNNNNNNNNNNNNNNNNNNNNNNNNNNNNNNNNNNNNNNNNNNNNNNNNNNNNNNNNNNNNNNNNNNNNNNNNNNNNNNNNNNNNNNNNNNNNNNNNNNNNNNNNNNNNNNNNNNNNNNNNNNNNNNNNNNNNNNNNNNNNNNNNNNNNNNNNNNNNNNNNNNNNNNNNNNNNNNNNNNNNNNNNNNNNNNNNNNNNNNNNNNNNNNNNNNNNNNNNNNNNNNNNNNNNNNNNNNNNNNNNNNNNNNNNNNNNNNNNNNNNNNNNNNNNNNNNNNNNNNNNNNNNNNNNNNNNNNNNNNNNNNNNNNNNNNNNNNNNNNNNNNNNNNNNNNNNNNNNNNNNNNNNNNNNNNNNNNNNNNNNNNNNNNNNNNNNNNNNNNNNNNNNNNNNNNNNNNNNNNNNNNNNNNNNNNNNNNNNNNNNNNNNNNNNNNNNNNNNNNNNNNNNNNNNNNNNNNNNNNNNNNNNNNNNNNNNNNNNNNNNNNNNNNNNNNNNNNNNNNNNNNNNNNNNNNNNNNNNNNNNNNNNNNNNNNNNNNNNNNNNNNNNNNNNNNNNNNNNNNNNNNNNNNNNNNNNNNNNNNNNNNNNNNNNNNNNNNNNNNNNNNNNNNNNNNNNNNNNNNNNNNNNNNNNNNNNNNNNNNNNNNNNNNNNNNNNNNNNNNNNNNNNNNNNNNNNNNNNNNNNNNNNNNNNNNNNNNNNNNNNNNNNNNNNNNNNNNNNNNNNNNNNNNNNNNNNNNNNNNNNNNNNNNNNNNNNNNNNNNNNNNNNNNNNNNNNNNNNNNNNNNNNNNNNNNNNNNNNNNNNNNNNNNNNNNNNNNNNNNNNNNNNNNNNNNNNNNNNNNNNNNNNNNNNNNNNNNNNNNNNNNNNNNNNNNNNNNNNNNNNNNNNNNNNNNNNNNNNNNNNNNNNNNNNNNNNNNNNNNNNNNNNNNNNNNNNNNNNNNNNNNNNNNNNNNNNNNNNNNNNNNNNNNNNNNNNNNNNNNNNNNNNNNNNNNNNNNNNNNNNNNNNNNNNNNNNNNNNNNNNNNNNNNNNNNNNNNNNNNNNNNNNNNNNNNNNNNNNNNNNNNNNNNNNNNNNNNNNNNNNNNNNNNNNNNNNNNNNNNNNNNNNNNNNNNNNNNNNNNNNNNNNNNNNNNNNNNNNNNNNNNNNNNNNNNNNNNNNNNNNNNNNNNNNNNNNNNNNNNNNNNNNNNNNNNNNNNNNNNNNNNNNNNNNNNNNNNNNNNNNNNNNNNNNNNNNNNNNNNNNNNNNNNNNNNNNNNNNNNNNNNNNNNNNNNNNNNNNNNNNNNNNNNNNNNNNNNNNNNNNNNNNNNNNNNNNNNNNNNNNNNNNNNNNNNNNNNNNNNNNNNNNNNNNNNNNNNNNNNNNNNNNNNNNNNNNNNNNNNNNNNNNNNNNNNNNNNNNNNNNNNNNNNNNNNNNNNNNNNNNNNNNNNNNNNNNNNNNNNNNNNNNNNNNNNNNNNNNNNNNNNNNNNNNNNNNNNNNNNNNNNNNNNNNNNNNNNNNNNNNNNNNNNNNNNNNNNNNNNNNNNNNNNNNNNNNNNNNNNNNNNNNNNNNNNNNNNNNNNNNNNNNNNNNNNNNNNNNNNNNNNNNNNNNNNNNNNNNNNNNNNNNNNNNNNNNNNNNNNNNNNNNNNNNNNNNNNNNNNNNNNNNNNNNNNNNNNNNNNNNNNNNNNNNNNNNNNNNNNNNNNNNNNNNNNNNNNNNNNNNNNNNNNNNNNNNNNNNNNNNNNNNNNNNNNNNNNNNNNNNNNNNNNNNNNNNNNNNNNNNNNNNNNNNNNNNNNNNNNNNNNNNNNNNNNNNNNNNNNNNNNNNNNNNNNNNNNNNNNNNNNNNNNNNNNNNNNNNNNNNNNNNNNNNNNNNNNNNNNNNNNNNNNNNNNNNNNNNNNNNNNNNNNNNNNNNNNNNNNNNNNNNNNNNNNNNNNNNNNNNNNNNNNNNNNNNNNNNNNNNNNNNNNNNNNNNNNNNNNNNNNNNNNNNNNNNNNNNNNNNNNNNNNNNNNNNNNNNNNNNNNNNNNNNNNNNNNNNNNNNNNNNNNNNNNNNNNNNNNNNNNNNNNNNNNNNNNNNNNNNNNNNNNNNNNNNNNNNNNNNNNNNNNNNNNNNNNNNNNNNNNNNNNNNNNNNNNNNNNNNNNNNNNNNNNNNNNNNNNNNNNNNNNNNNNNNNNNNNNNNNNNNNNNNNNNNNNNNNNNNNNNNNNNNNNNNNNNNNNNNNNNNNNNNNNNNNNNNNNNNNNNNNNNNNNNNNNNNNNNNNNNNNNNNNNNNNNNNNNNNNNNNNNNNNNNNNNNNNNNNNNNNNNNNNNNNNNNNNNNNNNNNNNNNNNNNNNNNNNNNNNNNNNNNNNNNNNNNNNNNNNNNNNNNNNNNNNNNNNNNNNNNNNNNNNNNNNNNNNNNNNNNNNNNNNNNNNNNNNNNNNNNNNNNNNNNNNNNNNNNNNNNNNNNNNNNNNNNNNNNNNNNNNNNNNNNNNNNNNNNNNNNNNNNNNNNNNNNNNNNNNNNNNNNNNNNNNNNNNNNNNNNNNNNNNNNNNNNNNNNNNNNNNNNNNNNNNNNNNNNNNNNNNNNNNNNNNNNNNNNNNNNNNNNNNNNNNNNNNNNNNNNNNNNNNNNNNNNNNNNNNNNNNNNNNNNNNNNNNNNNNNNNNNNNNNNNNNNNNNNNNNNNNNNNNNNNNNNNNNNNNNNNNNNNNNNNNNNNNNNNNNNNNNNNNNNNNNNNNNNNNNNNNNNNNNNNNNNNNNNNNNNNNNNNNNNNNNNNNNNNNNNNNNNNNNNNNNNNNNNNNNNNNNNNNNNNNNNNNNNNNNNNNNNNNNNNNNNNNNNNNNNNNNNNNNNNNNNNNNNNNNNNNNNNNNNNNNNNNNNNNNNNNNNNNNNNNNNNNNNNNNNNNNNNNNNNNNNNNNNNNNNNNNNNNNNNNNNNNNNNNNNNNNNNNNNNNNNNNNNNNNNNNNNNNNNNNNNNNNNNNNNNNNNNNNNNNNNNNNNNNNNNNNNNNNNNNNNNNNNNNNNNNNNNNNNNNNNNNNNNNNNNNNNNNNNNNNNNNNNNNNNNNNNNNNNNNNNNNNNNNNNNNNNNNNNNNNNNNNNNNNNNNNNNNNNNNNNNNNNNNNNNNNNNNNNNNNNNNNNNNNNNNNNNNNNNNNNNNNNNNNNNNNNNNNNNNNNNNNNNNNNNNNNNNNNNNNNNNNNNNNNNNNNNNNNNNNNNNNNNNNNNNNNNNNNNNNNNNNNNNNNNNNNNNNNNNNNNNNNNNNNNNNNNNNNNNNNNNNNNNNNNNNNNNNNNNNNNNNNNNNNNNNNNNNNNNNNNNNNNNNNNNNNNNNNNNNNNNNNNNNNNNNNNNNNNNNNNNNNNNNNNNNNNNNNNNNNNNNNNNNNNNNNNNNNNNNNNNNNNNNNNNNNNNNNNNNNNNNNNNNNNNNNNNNNNNNNNNNNNNNNNNNNNNNNNNNNNNNNNNNNNNNNNNNNNNNNNNNNNNNNNNNNNNNNNNNNNNNNNNNNNNNNNNNNNNNNNNNNNNNNNNNNNNNNNNNNNNNNNNNNNNNNNNNNNNNNNNNNNNNNNNNNNNNNNNNNNNNNNNNNNNNNNNNNNNNNNNNNNNNNNNNNNNNNNNNNNNNNNNNNNNNNNNNNNNNNNNNNNNNNNNNNNNNNNNNNNNNNNNNNNNNNNNNNNNNNNNNNNNNNNNNNNNNNNNNNNNNNNNNNNNNNNNNNNNNNNNNNNNNNNNNNNNNNNNNNNNNNNNNNNNNNNNNNNNNNNNNNNNNNNNNNNNNNNNNNNNNNNNNNNNNNNNNNNNNNNNNNNNNNNNNNNNNNNNNNNNNNNNNNNNNNNNNNNNNNNNNNNNNNNNNNNNNNNNNNNNNNNNNNNNNNNNNNNNNNNNNNNNNNNNNNNNNNNNNNNNNNNNNNNNNNNNNNNNNNNNNNNNNNNNNNNNNNNNNNNNNNNNNNNNNNNNNNNNNNNNNNNNNNNNNNNNNNNNNNNNNNNNNNNNNNNNNNNNNNNNNNNNNNNNNNNNNNNNNNNNNNNNNNNNNNNNNNNNNNNNNNNNNNNNNNNNNNNNNNNNNNNNNNNNNNNNNNNNNNNNNNNNNNNNNNNNNNNNNNNNNNNNNNNNNNNNNNNNNNNNNNNNNNNNNNNNNNNNNNNNNNNNNNNNNNNNNNNNNNNNNNNNNNNNNNNNNNNNNNNNNNNNNNNNNNNNNNNNNNNNNNNNNNNNNNNNNNNNNNNNNNNNACCUAUAUCAUUAAAAGAGCAUUUNUGAGGUUCAGCUACCCUUUUUGUAAGUUUUGAAGGACUAAAACUCAGUUGUUAAACAUAUACCGGUUCGGGAAGUAAGCAUCACCUUAGUUGCUUCCCCAACUCGAGGUGAAAAGUUCCAAAAUCUCCAUUUUUACACAGUGAGUUAAGCAUGGCUAUCCAAAGCUUUGAGAAACUUCUUUUUCCAUCUUUUAACCUAUUUGCAUGUUAGUUUAGUUUACAACACCUUCAUCUUUUUAUGUUUUCAUCUUAACCUAAUCUUUAUUAAGAAAAGUUCACUCCAUCCUCCGAACUUCAUCAGUUAAAGUAAAAACCCUUCCCAGUGUUCGAUCCUAGAGCCACUAUGCUAUAGUAGCUUUGCUACUUUAGUGUAAGGACGUUAGGUAUAAAUUUUGUUGAUACCCUUACAUGCCAAGCUACCAAGAGUCGGGUUAUCAGAAAAUAAAACUAAAUAUCAAUUUUAAUUUUCCAACAAACACUUUAGCCAUUACACUUGAUUAUUUUUUUUUUUUUUUUCGCAUGCAAUAAUAGUUCUAGUCAUCGUGCCUUGCAAGACCCUCUACCUACAAAAUUUUUAAGUCUAUUCAUCAUAUCUUUUAAAAUUUUGGUUACUCAUAAAGUAUUCGAUACUUUUAGCAAUAUCAUAUCCUUAUCACUACAACUAAGAACUUUGACCGAUUCAAAAGUACGUACUUUGCAAAGUUUUUACUUUUUGUAGUUUAAAUAUGAGUGUUAUGUAUUUAUCUUUCCACAUAAUUAUAUAUAACCUAGAAUUGCCAAUCAGGCCAUUACCAUUCAACAUGUAUACUUGUUCAACUCAUUACUAUACAAAAUUCUUAUCCCUUUUUGUUAAACUCAUUUUAAUGUAAAAAAAAACACCAAAAAAUAUUCAUUAAAUGAUUUUCCUCUUUGUUGUGCAACUAGCCAUAUGGAUUUUAGACUUGAAAAAUUAAUGUGUGUCAUAUUUGACAAAUUAAGAGAAUUAAAACUAGCAUCUUAUGUGAAAGAAAAUAAAAAAUAAUAAUUAAACUUUUAGUCCUUACUGGAAUUAAAAUCAAUAGAGAAUCUUUUAAUUUUUUUCUCUUAAUUUGUUAAGAUAUUGAUAUAUUGGCAUGUUAAUUAAAGUUGGGAUAUUAUAGUACUUUAUUUUUGUUAUUUCUCUUAUCAAGAUGCCUUAAUUAAUAAUUCAAAAAUCUAGGUAUAUAAAAAUUCAAAGUGAUUUUGGACAAUUUGGAUUAGUGGUCCCCAAUUCAUAUUUAUGAUAGCUAAAAGCAAGUUCUCUAUAUGGGUCCAAUAUAGUAUAUGACUUGACUCCAAUAGACAUUACAUUAAGUAUUUUUGGAACUUAUACUUCUACUAGCUAAAAGCAACCUUUCUAGAUGAAUGUAAUAUAGAGGAUGACUUGUCUAUAAUAAUCAUUUAUUUUUUUAAUUUUGACGUAAUAGUAGUAGUAAUAAUAAUAAUAAUAAUAAAUUUUAAACCCGGGUCUUUGGUAGAUGGGCAAUCAACUAUGCAUAUUUGUGAAGAAAAACAUUUAAAAACGAUAUAUACAUUAUUGCAAAAUUUAUUGCAAAAUAUGCAUAUUUAUGAUUUAUCUAAUAUUUCAAGUCAGUUUGCUUGGUUCAUGAGAUGACAUUUUUUUCAAAACUUAGCUAAAAACUAGAUCAAAUUGACAGAUUCGAUUGAUUAGACCGACAUUGAACCGGUCCACCAAGUGGUCCAAACGUCAAAUUGAUGAACCUGCUGAGUAGGUUCAUGAGUUGCCCUUUUUUCUCCUAUUUUCCAAAACAUAUAAUACAUACUUUUGCUUUUUACAUUGACUGAUGUGGGAAAGUUACUUUUAUUUUUCCUUAGGCAAAAUGCCAUAUACAAGCUGAUCAUGGGAUUUUAACUUGGUCUUUGAUAUGCAAAAUGAACAGAAGUACGUCUUUGUGAAGAAAACAAUUUAAAAACUAUAUAUUCAUUAUUAUAAAAUUUAAAAUGAACAAAAUAUUUAUGAUUUAUCUAUAAUAAAUAUUUUGAAUAAUAUUAAAAAAAAACUAAUUAUUUUGACUAUAAUAAAAUAUAUAGCUAUUGAAAUCGAAACAAAUUUAAAUAAUAAAAUCUUUUUUAUCUUAAUAAUUAAAAGUUACAUAUUUAAUAAAAUUAAAAUUACUAAUAAUUUAAUAAAUAUUUGUGUUAUCCUUAUCAUAAUUUACACUAUCAAUAUUAAUGAUAUAAAAUGAUGAAAUGUAUUUAAAAUUUUUAAUUAUUUAUAUAUUUUAAAUUUUUUUAUCAUUAUUUUUAAUUUUAAUAAUAUAUAAAUUAUAGAUUUAUUAUAUUACCAAUUUGAUCACAGUUUAACUACAAGUCUAAUCAUUGAACCGAUAAUUUUUUCCAUUUAAUUAUCAGUCCAAUCAUGAAAACAUUGAUAAAAAAUAAAUAAUAUUUAAUAUAAAAAACAAAUAAUUUGACUAGUCAAAGUAGAGGUCAUGAGUGGCUUUCAGAAGCUUUAAACCAUUUCGCUAACAUAGGAAAUGUCCAUGGAAGCCUCCAACCAUGAAUCUAUGAGCUUGGCAUUUAUUUGAGUAUUUCGAGGACAAUACUUUAUUUUUAAUCAUAUAAAAACAAAAGUAUAUUUAAUUCAUUAUUUUUUAAUAUUAUCUUAGAAAUAUUUUUAUAGAUAUGUUUAUUUUAGAACUUCUUGAGGAUAUUAAUACAAAGAUUUUGAUAAAUGUAAUAUAAAAAUGUAUAAAGGCAUUAAUUUUAUUUUAUUUUUAUUAAAUUUGAAAUAUACAUAUUAUGUAGUAAUUUUUUGAAAAAAAAAUUAUUUUUAUGAAGCCCAAUCAAGGAAACAAACAUAACACUAUCCUCACUUUUCCAUUGUGUUGCUUUUCCAAUUAGAAAUCCUUAUAAUCAAAUUUCCUUUUUAUAAAUUUAAAAAUAUUUUUUAUAACUAAUUUAGAUUAACAAAAAAAAAAAAACACCUUCAACGGACCACACAUGUGAUACACUUUGGUAGCCUUUAAAAUUACAAAGCAUUUAUACACUGAAAAAACAAAUAAGUAUAUCUUCUAAUAAACAAAAAAUUAUUAAAAUAAAUAAACAUUAGUCUACAUUGUAUGUGUUAUCUUGAAGUACAUAGUAGCUAUAAAUUUUUUAAGGAUUAUUAAAGAAAAAGACCAUUCAAUAUUUCUCUAGGUAUAAAAAAAUCUUUAUCUAUUACAAAUUAAUUUUUGGAUGAUGAAUUAUUGAUGAAAAUAGGCUAAGGAAUUUUUUUUGUCUAUAUAAGGGGUUAGUCUUGUUUAUGUGGCACACCUUCCACUUGGAUCUUGUAAUAUCUAAAUUCAUUGACUUGACUUAAAAAUUUUGAGAAAUAAUAAACCCUUCCUUUCCUCUAGUGGAUGACUUAAAAAUCUAUGUUAUAGUAUAUUUUUUUUAUUGCAUCUUAAAUUUUUCAAGUCAAGUUAAUAUAUCGACUAUGAUUUUUUAAACCAACUUUUACCGUUACUUUUAUUAGUUACUUACAUUUUAUGAUAUAUUGGAAUUUAAUACAAGUGGACUACAAGAUUUGAACCUGGGCCUUUGGUUGAUGAGCUAUUAAGCUAUGCAUAUUUGUGAAGAAACACAUUUAAAAACUAUACAUAAAGUAUUGCAAAAUUUGAAAUUAAUAUAAAUAGUUAUGAUUUGUCUAAUAUUUCAAGUCACUGUGCUUGGUUCAUGAGAUGUCAUUUUUUCAGAACUUAGCUAAAAACUAGAUUGAAUUGACGGAUUUGAUUGAUUGGACCGACAUUGAAUCGCCCCACCGAGUGGUCCAAACGUCAAGUUGAUGAACAUAUAAUACAUACUUUUUUGCUUUUUACAUUAAUUUCUAACUAAUAUGAGAAAGUUACUCUUGUUUUUUCUAGGCAAAAUGCCAUACAAGCUGACCAUGGGAUUUAAACUUGGGUCUUUGACAUGCAAAAUGAAUAGAAGCAUGUCUUUGUGAAGAAAAUAUCGAAUUUAAAAACUAUAUAUAUGUAUUAUUGCAAAAUUUAAAAAGAACAAAAUAUUUCUGAUUUAUCUAUAAUAAAUAUUCAAAUAAUAUUAAAAAAAACUAAUUAUUUUGAUGAUCAUAAAACAUAUAGUUAUUGAAAUCCAAACAAAUUUAAAUAAUAAGAUCUUUUUUAUAUCUUAAUAAUUAAAGUUACAUAUUUAAUAAAAUUAAAAUUACUAAUAAUUUAAUAAAUCUUUGUGUCAUUCUUAUCAUAAUUUAACUUAUCAACAUUAAUGAUAUAAGAUGAUGAAAUGUAUUUAAAAAUUUUAAUUAUUUAUAUAUUUUUAAUUUAUUAUCAUUAUUUUAAAUUUUAAUAAUAGAUAAAUUAUAUAUUUAUGACAUUACAAUUUUAUCACGGUUUAACCAUAGAUUUGAUCAUUGAAUUGUGAAUCAAUAAUUUUUAUCAUUGAAUGAUUAAUCUAAUUCUAAAAAUAUUGAUAAAAACUAAAGAAUAUUUACUAUAAAAUAAAAUAAAAGAUAUGAAAAAACAAAUAAUUUGACUAAUCAAACUAAAGGUCAUGAGUGACUUUCAAAAGCCUCCAACCAUGUCGAAUAACAUAGGAAAUGUUCAAGAAAUCGUUGAGCUUGGCAUUUAUUUGAUGAACAUAUAAUACAUACUUUUUUGCUUUUUACAUUUCUAACUAAUAUGAGAAAGUUACUCUUGUUUUUUCUAGGCAAAAAAUGCCAUACAAGCUGACCAUGGGAUUUAAACUUGGGUCUUUGACAUGCAAAAUGAAUAGAAGCAUGUCUUUGUGAAGAAAAUAUUGAAUUUAAAAACUAUAUAUAUAUAUAUAUAUAUAUAUAUAUAUAUUAUUGCAAAAUUUAAAAAGAACAAAAUAUUUCUGAUUUAUCUAUAAUAAAUAUUCAAAUAAUAUUAAAAAAAACUAAUUAUUUUGAUGAUCAUAAAACAUAUAGUUAUUGAAAUCCAAACAAAUUUAAAUAAUAAGAUCUUUUUUUUUUAUCUUAAUAAUUAAAGUUACAUAUUUAAUAAAAUUAAAAUUACUAAUAAUUUAAUAAAUCUUUGUGUCAUUCUUAUCAUAAUUUAACUUAUCAACAUUAAUGAUAUAAGAUGAUGAAAUGUAUUUAAAAAUUUUAAUUAUUUAUAUAUUUUUAAUUUCUUAUAAUUAUUUUAAAUUUUAAUAAUAGAUAAAUUAUAUAUUUAUGACAUUACAAUUUGAUCACAGUUUAACCAUAGAUUUGAUCAUUAAAUCGUGAAUCAAUAAUUUUUCUCAUUAAAUGACUAAUCUAAUUCUAAAAAUAUUGAUAAAAACUAAAGAAUAUUUAUUAUAAAAAAAAUAAAAAAAUAAAAAAACAAACAAUUUGACUAGUAAAACUAAAGGUCAUGGGCGACUUUCAGAAACCUCCAACCAUGUCGAAUAACAUAGGAAAUGUUCAAGAAAUCGUUGAGCUUGGCAUUUAUUUGAGUAUUUCAAUGACAAUAUUUAAUUUUUAAUCAUAUAAAAACAAAAGUAUAUUUAAUUCAUUAUUUUCUAAUAUUAUGUUAGAAAUAUUUUUAGAGAUAUAUUUAUUUUAGAACUUACUGAGGAUAUUAAUACAAUGAUUUUGAUAAAUGUAAUAUAAAAAUGUAGAAAGUCAUUAAUUUUAUUUAUUUAUUAAAUUUGAAAUAUACAUAUCAUGUAGUAAUUUUUUGAAAAAAAAGAUUACUUUUAUAAAGCCAAUUCAAGGAAAAAGAAAACAUAACACUAUCCUCACUUCUCCGUGGUGUUUUAUUUCAUAUUAGAAAUCCUUCUAAUAAAAUUUCCUUUUUAAAAAUUUUAAAAAUAUUUUUUAUAACUACAAAAAAAAAAAAAAAAAAAAAAAAAAAGCAUUACACUUAUCUUAUUCAUUACACUUUUAGAUUAUGUUGGUUUUAUUGGGGGCAGGGGGAAGGGAAUGGGAAGGAGAAAGUAGGUUUGCUUACUUGGAAAUGCUAUUUACAGAGAGACGGGGGUUUAGCCAGCUGAGAUUUGAAACAAAGAAAGGAAAGCUGCUGAUGGUGGAUUGAAUAUAGAGAAUGUGGGGUUUUGGGGUUGGGAGGCAUAUAUUCUUGACUGUUACGGUAACAUUUCUGAAAUGGACAAAUCGAUGUUGCUACAGCCUCCCUGAUGGGGGUACUUCAAAACGAUGUCGUUUCAGGACCCAAAAACGACAGGGUUUUAUCUCCCUCACCGCAUUGUAAUUAUUAUUAUUAUGAUGGUUAAAAUUAGGAGUCAAUUUCUUGGGAUAUUCCACUAAUAAAAAAUAAAUAUAUUAUUUAUUUAUUUAUUUAUUUUAUUUCAUUUAUCUUAUCAUAUAUUUAACUAAAUAUGACAUAAGAUAAACUAUGAGAUAUAUUAUUUGUUUUAUUUUUUAUAAAUAUGUUAAUACUAAGUUAAAAUAUAUAAUACACAUAUCUCAUGUAUUAUAAAUUUAUUUAUUUUUUAUCCAUUUUUAUUUUAUAAAAUAUUUUUUUAUAAUAAAAUAUAAUUUAUGGUUAAAAAGAACUCAAAAUUUUAUAAAAUAUAUUAUAAAAUAGCAUUAAUUAUAUGUAUUAUUUAAUAUAUAUAUAUAUAUAUAUAUAUAUAUAUAUAUAUAUAUAUAUAUAUAUAAAUUAUUUUUAUAUAUUUCAAAUAACAUAAUAUAAAAAAUUUAUUUAUAAAGUUUAAAUAUUUUAAUCAUGAAUAUUUUUAUGUUUUUAAAAAUAAGAAAUAUUAGAAUAUAAUAUAAUUUUUAUUUUAAAAUUUUAAAAAUAAUAUAUAUUCUAUUUUAUGUUUUUAUUCAUUUUAUAAACUAAAUUUAAAUCUAAUAUAACAUGUUUUAUUGGAUAUCUUAGUUUAAGAUAUCAUAUCCAUUGUAUAUAAUAUAUCAUAUUCUAUUGAAAAUCAUGAGAUAUGAUAUUUCAAGAUAUAUAUACAUAUAUAUUUUAUCCAAUGAACCAACAUAAUCUAAAUUAGUUAUAAAAUAUAUUAUUUUUAGAAGUGUUUAUUUCUUAGUCAUUACACUUUAUUAUUAUUAUUAUUAUUAUUUUCUUUAUUUUUUUCACAUGCAAUGAUAGUAUCUAGUCAUCAUGCCUUGCAAGACCCAACACUCACAAAAUUUACAAGUCUACUCAUCAUAUCAUUUAAAUUUUUUGUUACUCAUAAAGUAUUAAAGGCUUUUGGCAAUGUCAUAUCCUUAUCACUACAACUAACAACUUUGACCAAUUCAAAAAAUGAACUUCACAUGCAAUAGUAGUUCUAGUCAUCAUGCCUUGCAAGACCCGAUAGUUACAAAAUUUUCAAGUCUACUACUCAUCAUAUCUUUUAAAAUUUUGGUUACUCAUAAAGUAUUCAAAACUUUUAGCAAUGUCAUAUCCUUAUCACUAUAACUAACAACUUUGACCAAUUCAAAAAAUGAACUUCACAUGCAAUAGUAGUUCUAGUCAUCAUGCCUUGUAAGACCCGAUAGAUACAAAAUUUUCAAGUCUACUACUCAUCAUAUCUUUUAAACUUUUGGUUACUCAUAAAGUAUUCAAGACUUUUAGCAAUGUCAUAUCCUUAUCACUACAACUAAGAACUUUGCCCAAUUCAAAAAAUGAACUUCACAUGCAAUAGUAGUUCUAGUCAUCAUGCCUUGCAAGACCCGAUAGUUACAAAAUUUUCAAGUCUACUACUCAUCAUAUCUUUUAAAAUUUUGGUUACUCAUAAAGUAUUCAAGACUUUUAGCAAUGUCAUAUCCUUAUCACUACAACUAAGAACUUUGGCCAAUUCAAAAUAUGAACUUCACAUGUAAUAAUAAUUAUAGUCAUCAUGCCUUGCAAAACCCGAUACUUACAAAAUUUUCAAGUCUAUUACUCAUCAUAUCUUUUAAAAUUUUGGUUACCCAUAAAGUAUUCAAGACUUGCAAUGUCAUAUCCUUAUCACUACAACUAAGAACUUUGACCAAUUCAAAAUAUGAACUUCAAAUGUAAUAGUAAUUUUAGUCAUCAUGCCUUGCAAAACCCAAUACUUGCAAAAUUUUCAAGUUUACUACUCAUCAUAUCUUUUAAAAUUUUGGUUACUCAUAAAAUAUUCAAGACUUUUAGCAAUUCAAAAGUGCAUACUUUAAAAAGUUGUUACUUUUUGUAGUUUAAAUGUGAGUGUUAUGUAUUUGUCUUUUCACAUAUUUAUAUAUAACCUAGAUGGCCAAUCAGGCCAUUACCAUACAAUUUUUUUAUUUUAUUUUUUUUAUAUAAACUCAUAAAGCAUUUUCAAUUUUUUUUUAUAAUGUAUAUAAAAUAAUGUCAAUCCAUUUACACUUACGAAAACGAUUUUUCUUAAAAAUGUCAGAGGCAACGAGGUAUGAAUCAGGGACCCACGAAGGGGAGUACAUGCUAUUGGUGUCGGUGAGGAGAAGAUGGAGGAAACACAUUGGGGGGUGAGUCAGGGAGGAAGGGGCGCGCCGCCCUGCCAGGAGCGUGGUGGCAUGAAUUACUUGGGCGGAGCGAGAUGUCACGUGGACCGCGCUGUGCGCGGACACGCGGCGACCUGCAGACCCGCAGGGGCGACGUUGUCUAAUGGAUUUUAGAAAUUCGUGCCACUAGCCAUAUGGAUUUUGGACUAAAAUAAAAAACAAGACUUUAUUUUUGUUAUUUCUUUUAUCAAGAUUUCAUAAUUAAUAAUUCAAAAAUGUUAAUAAUUAAUUAUAAAAGAGAUUUUUGCUACUCCUCGAAAUUAUAAAAAAGUUUAUACACUCAUAAAACAAAUAAAUGUAUCUUCUAAUAAAUAAAUUUUUAUUAAAAUAAAUAAAUAUAUAUCUACUUUAAAUUUAUUAAUAUGAAGUAAAUUAUAUGUAUCUUAAGUUAGAUUUCUUAUUUAUUAAAGAAAAAGACCAUUCAAGUUUUAGAUAGAUGAAAAAAAAUCUUUAUUUAUUAGAAAAUUCAAUUUUUUUUUAAUGAUGAAUCAUUGAUAAUGAUAUAUAAAAAUAAUUUAUAUAUCAUAUAUUAAUAUUACUUUAUAAAUAUUUUUAGUUUUUCUUUUUUAACCAUAAAUUUAAUUUAUAAUUAAAAAAUUAUUUUAUAAAUGGUAUCUCUAGUCAUCAUACCUUUCAAGACUCUAAGCUCACAAAAAUUUUCAGUAUUUUCAUCAUAUCUUUUAAAAAGCCAUGUAUAACGGGUCUUUUUUUUCUUAAGUUCAAGUCAAUAAAUCAAAUUAAAAGAAAUAAUAAACUUUCAUUAUUGUAUUUUAUAUUGUAGCGAGAGACUUAAAAAGUCAUGUAUAACUAGGGAUGGCAAUGGGGCGGGUCAUUUCGGGUACCUGCCCCGCCCCGCCCCUAAUGGGGUGGGAUAUUAUUUUUCUAAACGGGUAUGGGACGGGUUUGGGAUUUUUUUUGAAACCCGGGGCGGGUUCAGGGCGGGUUCGGGUAUUGCCCCACCCCGCCCUGCCCCGCCCCGAUUAUAUAUAAAAUUAAAAUUAAAAUUUAAUUUAAUUUAAAAUUUAAAAUUAAAUUAAUUUAAUUUUUAUUUUAUUAUUUUUAAUAUAUAGAUAAUAAUAAAUUAUUUUUAAUAAAAUAAGUUAUAAAAAAUAUAAUUAUUUAAUUAUUUAUAAAAUAUAUUUAUUUUAAUAUAAUUAAAAAAAAUUAAAAGUAAUUUUUUUAAAAAAUUAAAAUUAAAAUUAAAUAAAAAGCUAAACGGGGCGGGUAUGGGAAUGUAGCAUACCCGCCCGCCCCGCCCCGCCCCGUUUAAGUUUUUAAAUGGGACGGGGAUGGGAAUUGAUUUAAAUAAACGGGGCGGGGUUGGGAGGGGGGCGCCCCGCCCCGAACCCGCCCCGUUGCCAUCCCUAUGUAUAACAAGUCUUCCUUUCUUAAGUCAAGUCAAUAAAAAGAAUUAAAAGAAAUAAUAAAUUUUCAUUAUUGUACUUUGUCUUGUUGCAAGAGACCUAAAAAUUCAUGUAAGAGGUCUUUAAAUGUCAAGUCAAGUCAAUAAAUCAAAUUGAAAGUUUUUCCUUUUCUCUUUUUUUAAACCAACUUCUACUAUUACUUUUAUUAGUUAUUUUGAUCGUUUGAAUAAAUAUUGAAUUAUUUCUUCCUUUUUUUUUAAUUUUCAUGUACAAACCAUUUCAUGUUAAAAAAUUUAAAGUGGAUCUAACUUUCUUUACAAGUUAAGAUAUCUUGAUUAAGGGAUAAAUAAUAUAUUUUAAUAUUUCAACUUUAAUUAAGUUAAUUUAUCAAUAUUCAAACUAAGUUGGAGAAAAAAAAAAAAAAGACAACACCUCAAUUUUAGUUUUCCAUUACACAUGGUUAUUUCUUUUUCUUCUUUUUCCUUUGCUUCUCUGACACGCAAUGACAGCUCUAGUCAUCAUACCUUUCAAGACUCUAAGCUCACAAAAAUUUUCAAUCUUUUCAUCAUAUCUUUUAAAAUUCUUAUCACUCAUAAAGGAGUAUUUAAGACUUAAUUUUAAUAAAUUCAUAUUUUUACAACUAUAACUAAGAGCUUUGACCUAUUAAAAAAUGAAUCAAAAAUACUUUGCAAGACAUUAAAAGUUCAUAAUUAUUUCUUUUACCUUAAAUGUAGUUGUUAUGUGUUUGCUAGUUCACAUAUUUGAGCAUGGACCAUGGCGACCUGCAGACCUGGAGGGGCAGCGUUGUCUAACAGAUUUUAGAAAAUUCAGCAACUGGCCACAUGGAUUUUGGACUAAAAUAAAAAAAUAAGACUUUAUUUUUGUUAUUUCUUUUAUCAAGAUAUCUUAAUUAAUAAUUCAAAAAUGUUAAUAAUAAAUUAUAAAAGAGAUUUUUGCUACUCUUCGAAAUUAUAAAAAAGUUUAUACACUCAUAAAACAAAUAAACGUAUCUUCUAAUAAAUAAAUUUUUAUUAAAAUAAAUAAAUAUAUAUCUACUUUGACUUUAUUAACAUGAAGUAAAUUGUAGGUAUCUUAAGUUAGAUUUCUUAUUGAUUAAAGAAAAAGACCAUUCAAGGUUUAGCUAGAUGGAAAAAACAUCUUUAUUUAUUAGAAAAUUCAAUUUUUUUUUUAUUGAUGAAUCAUUGAUAAUGAUAUAUAAAAAUAACUUAUAUAUCAUAUAUUAAUAUUACUUUAUAAAUAUUUUUUAGUUUUUCUUUUUUAAUCAUAAAUUUAAUUUAUAAUUAAAAAAUUUAUUUUAUAAAAUAAAUAUAUAAAAAAAUUAAUUUAUGAUAUAUCGGAUAUACAUAUCUUAUAUCUUAGUAUAAAAUUAACAUAUCUCGUGUAAAAGAAAUAAAAAAAGAGUGAAUAAUAUAUUUCACCACUUAUACUAUCUCAUCAUUAAUUAAAUAUAAAAUUUGAGGUAAUAUCUUCUCUUUUAUCCCAUAUGAUGUUAUAUUUGAUCAACCAAACAUAACCUAUAAAGCUAAAAUUAUAGAAAUGAAAUGCAAGAGAUCUUACUGAAAAAUUGAAAGUAAAAUUAUUGAUUUUUGAAAGUAAAUAUUGAUAAUAUUAUAAAAUUUUCACUAACAUAAAUUAAAAAAUUCAAGGAAAAAAAAAAAAAACAAAACAUAACACUAUCCUCACAAUUCCGUGAUAUUGUUUUUUUCAUAUUAGAAAUCCCUAUAAUCAACUUUUCUUUUUAUACGUUUUAAAAAGUUUUUUUUAUUACUAAUUUAGAUUUAAAAAAAAAAAAACCUUUCAACCAACCACACAUGUAACACAUGUUGGUGGUUGUUUUUAAAUUUCAAUAAAAGAUUUUAUAAUUAUUAAGAAAAGAAAAAAAUAUUAAAGAAAAUUAUUAUUUUUAUUUAAUUUUAUUAUGAAAUAUACGAAAGUAAAAAUAUAUAAUUAAAAUUAAUAAGAAAUUUAUAUAUUUUAAAAUUAUUUAAUCUUUAUUUUUAAAAAUUAAAUAAAUAAAAUAAAUUUAAAAUAAAAUAUAAAUAUAAUUUAUUAAUUUUAAAUUUAUUUUUUAUUUCUCUUUCACUUUUCCUUUAAGACGUGUUGCAUGUAAAAUACCAUAAAGCAAGUCAUAUCAUUUCACCAUGCUCAAGAUUUCAACAUGGUAGGUGUAGCUUUUGAAGACUUUUCCAUGUGAUUAAUACUUGGAUACCUGGAUUUUCUUUGGGUGGGGUUGGACUUUUGUAAGUUUCUCUAUAAUUUUCUCUUACUUGGAAACAAAGGAAUGGUCAAAGAGAGGAAUUCAGUGAAGAGAAAAUUGAAACGGACUGGAUACACCCUCGCCUGCUCCGAAGGUUGGUAUGAUCUUCAUGGUCGUAGGUCUUCUCAAGUCUCCAUGCAUGCCUCAUUUUUCCCAUAUGAUAAAUCAAUGGUCGGAAGAGUGAGCUUAACACGAACAAACAUAAUAAAAUCAUUAAAUUUUUGGAAUAAUAAUAAUAAUAAUUUGAUGAAGUUAAUAAAUGAUAAGGAUUAGGAAGAUGUUUAAUAAAAUUUUAAAUUAAUAAUAAUUAGAUGUAUUUAACGCAAACUUUUGGAGAGAUUAAUGAAAUUAAUCAUAUAAAAAUUUCUCUAAUUUUAAUUUUAGAAUAAAUAUUAACAAUAUUUUUUUCAAAUAUAAAUAAUAAUAUUUGAAAAACAUCAUCAGUAAAUUGCCUUUUCAAUUUUUUCUCUAAUUGUCAUUUUAAAUGAAUAUUAAAAUCCUUUUAGUAAAAUUUAUGAAUUUAGUAAAACAUUAAUAUCUAUACUUUAUAAUUUUUAAUAAAGUUUUAUCAUUUUUAAUAAUAAAAAAUUAUAUAAGUUGUGUUUCUCUUAUUAGUAUCACUAUUUACAAAAUUUAUCUUUAAAAUUAUUUAUUUUAAAAAUUAUUAAUUAUUAAGAAUCAUUUUUAUAAAAGGUAAAAAAUAAUUACCAUAUAAAUAUAAAUUAAAAGUGGAGGUUAUAUUUGUUAAUUAUUUUUAAAAAGGGAUUUCAAAACAUUACUUUCUCCAAAAAUAACAAUAAUAAUAAUAUAAACACAAUAUUUACUCAAAAUAUUAUGUAAAUGAAAAACUUAAAAAUAAUAUAUAUUUGUUUUUUUAAAAAUAUUUUUAGUCAUAAUAAAAGGUCAUCUACUCAACAUGUUGCUGGGAAUGGUAUAUAAGUCAAUGCCUGCUUUGCUCACAAAUCAAAAACCAAAACUUGCUAAUCCUUGUUAUUACACACUAUCCUUGCUCUGUGUUGAACAUGGCUACAAGCCCCUUUCGAUAUUUUAUUUCCCUUUUUCUGCUUUUGCUCUGUUUCGAAGCCUGUUUCAGGGUGGGUGACACUAAAGUUGGGUGCAUAGAGAGGGAGACACAGGCUCUCCUUCACUUCAAAAAAGUUGUUCUCGAUGACCAUGGAGUGCUUUCUUCAUGGGGGAAUGGGGAAGACAAAAAAGAUUGUUGCAAAUGGAGAGGAGUGGAGUGUAACAACCAGACGGGUCAUGUGAUCAGGCUUGAUCUUCAUCACCAAUAUUUGGGAGGUAAGAUAUCUCAGCUUGGUCCUUCAUUGGCAGAGUUGCAGCACUUGAAGCAUUUGAACCUCAGCUGGAAUCAUUUUAAAGGUAAUUAUAUACAUAUAUACCUUGUGAAAAUUCAUCAGCUUGUCUCAGCAGAAUAUAAUUCUCUCUUUUCCCAAUUUUACAGGAAUUCUUCCCACUCAACUUGGAAAUCUUUCCAAUUUGCAAUCCCUUGAUCUCGGCAGUAAUUAUGGGCAUAUGAGCUGUGAGAACCUUGACUGGCUUUCUCACCUUCCUUCGUUAACACACCUUGACUUGAGUGGGGUUAAUCUUAGUAAAGCAAUUCAUUGGCCCCAAGCAAUUAAUAAAAUGCCUUCCUUAACUGAGUUAUACUUGCACUAUACUGAGCUUCCUCCGAUUAUUCCAACAAUAUCCAUUUCCCAUAUUAAUUCUUCUACUUCUCUUGUUGUGCUUGAUCUCUCCUCGAAUAGUCUCACUUCUUCAAUAUACCCAUGGUUGUUCAACUUCAGUAGCAGCCUUGUUCAUCUUGACCUCUCUUGGAAUGAUCUAAAUGGUUCAAUUCCGGAUGCUUUUGGAAACAUGACUACUCUGGCAUAUCUUGAUCUCUUUUGGAACGAGCUACGUGGU